RNAcentral lists this long non-coding RNA (183720 nucleotides) under Erythranthe guttata (spotted monkey flower). Lineage: Eukaryota; Viridiplantae; Streptophyta; Magnoliopsida; Lamiales; Phrymaceae. The record is from RNAcentral.
CCGGAUAAAAAUACAAGCAUCAGCACUAGUUACAAACUCUUCAACCGAUUCAUUUGUUGGGGGUUCAUGGAAUUCUAAUGAUCGAGUUGCCUUCUUUACAAGUACAAAACGAUCUACGUUUUGAACAUACUUUUAUGCGUGUGACCAAUAUCAAACAAAAAGUUAGAGGGUGUAAAAUUUUUGAAAAAAGAAAUUCAAUAAAGAGCUUAUGAUAAAACUUGUAAUUGCCAUUAAUUUGUCCGGGAAUACAUUUUGUAUCCGACAAAGUAUCUUGUGUGUAUAAAAAUAGGAAAAUAUGUAAAGAAACUAGCUAACAAAAAUUCUAUUGCUUUAGAACCUAGUCUAUAUAUUAUGUUUUACUCAAGUGGGAGGUGAGAUCAAUGAAUGACUCCUCACUGCAAGGAAUAGUGAGGCCACCCAUCGGAUGAUGAAAUCUGAAUUCUUCUUCAGUUCGGCAUAGCAAUUCUUGAAACAAAGGAUCGUUCAAAUACGUUAAUGGAAUAACAAAUCGCUUAUUUUCACUCUCCCCGACAUAAUCAGCCAAAUGCCCCUUUGGAACUUCUGUUGUCCUCUUUUCAGCCGAUAAAGACCGUCUAAGAAUUUUGUGAAUAGCCAUCGAUUUUUGUUGGAAGAGAUGAAAAUCUUGGUGAGGCUGAAGAUGAAAGCAAAGAAGUAUACGAGAGUUUAGUGAAAAUCUUGAAAAUCGAGUUUUGAAAGCUGGUUGUGAGUUUAGAAAUGUGUCGUGUAAACAUAUAUAUAGAUGAACUUGUAAAUGCCAUAUUCCUCAUAGCUGGAUAGAGUGGUUACGAAGUGGACAAAUGGUAUAUGAUUUAUGACAAACAAAAUCACAUGAAGAAUCACAUGCUUUUGUCUCUAAAAUCUUCAAAACAUUUCAGCAAGAAAAUUUCAUAAGACCCACCGAAUUAAAUGCAGUAUACGUUAGAUGAUGUGAUAUAUGUGUAGGGACUGUAAUUUGUAAGGCUUACAUGCAUUAGUUACAAGAGAAAACUUAUAGGGUGGUUUAAUUAGGGCCAUGUUGCCAUAGUUGGUGGGAUACAAUAUUUAUGAUCUCAUAAGUUCAUGUUAUUGGCCUAAUAAAUUCAUUAUGAAUUUGUUUUUUUAAAGACAAAUCCAUGUGAUUUCAUAUGCUUAUGUUUUUUUCAAUUUCAUAGAGGAUACAUCAUUUGUUUAUAGCCUAUAUAUACAAACAUCAUUUCUUGAUUACAACCAUCAUCAACAACUCCUUACUCACCUCUCACUUAUUUCAAAUACUUCUCCAAGAUUCACUUCAUACAAAAAUGGCCAUCCGCCAAAUACUGAAACGAUCUUUAUCCAACGAAAGAAGAUCAAAUAAAGUUCCAAAGGGUCAUUUAGUUGUUUACGUCGGAGAAAAUGAAAAGAAGAGAUUUGUAAUUCCAUUGUCAUAUUUAAACCAUCCUUUGUUUCAAGAAUUGCUAUGCCAAGCCGAAGAAGAAUUCGGAUACCAUCAUCCAAUGGGCGGCCUUACUAUUCCUUGCAGAGAGGAUUUAUUCAUUGAUGUAACAUCUUGCUUGAGCAGAACAUGAUAUAUAUACAGUUAUGCAUAAACUAGGUCUUAGGGCAAUAGAAUGUUUGUUAGCUAGUUCGUGGACGAUUUUGUUCAUUUUUUUUUUUCGUACACAAAGAAGAUACUUUGUCAGCAGGUAGAAGAUGUACUCAUGGACAUAUAGAUUAACGGUAUUACUUAUGAAAGAUCUUUUGUUUACUCCGAGCCAUUUUGACAUGUGCAUUUUAUGUCGGGUAAAUUCCAUUUUCCCUCUUAUACUUUGACUUGGCAUCACUUUACCCCUUUCUACUCUCGAUUGUAUCGAUUUGACCCCUGCACUUGAAAACUUGUCUUAAUAUGGCUCUCGAUGUUAGUUGUCAGACAUUUGACCUUAACACCUUUCGGUUUAAGCUCUGAAGUUGUGAAUUGAAAGUUGGGUUGUGAGUUUAGAAAUGUGUCGUGUGAAUGCGUAUAGAUAGAUGAACAUGUAAAUGCCAUAGUCCUUGCGAAGAAGCCAAAGGGUAUCUGGUUUAUGACAAACUCGUAGAAACAAAAGCACAUGAAGAAUCACAUGAUUUUGUCUCUAAAAUCUUCACAAGAUAUAUUUUGGAGCAACAUGUAAUUAAUGAUUUGUCAUCUGUGGGGUUAAGGACAUUAUUCAUAACACCACCUGCAAGAAAAUACUCAGCUGAAUUAAAUGCGGCAUAAGUUCAAUUGCAGAACAUAACUUAUAGCAUUCAGGAUAACGAAAUAAAUAGCGAUGAUGAGAUGUGCGGGGCCGCGGCCUUCACUUCUUGAAUUUCUUGUGAAUACAAAAUAAAAAUGGGUUUAAUUGAGAUAGCCUCACUAACUUAGAUAAUGUACGAUAAACCCACGUAUUUUUAUGUUUUUGAGUAAAAUUCAUUUAUUGUAAGUUUCAUUUGAUAUAAACCCAAAUAUUUAGUUUAUACCAUUUUCACCUUUUUUACUCAUUCAAACCCUAAUUAGGGGUUGUAAUUAUUUUUAUCUAUUGAUUUUAUUAAAAAAAUAUUUUAUGUUUUUUUAUUUUAUUACAUUUCUUUUUUAUAGUGGUGGCCCGAGUCGUUGGAGCUCCGUUUACCUGACUCAACAUUAGUUGACAUAUGACAUCCCUUUUUUUUUUUGGCGGCGGGUCGUCGGACCUUUGGUUAGCUGACUCAAUGGUAGUUAACUUCAACAUUAGUUAACAUUUGACAUCACAUUUUUUUUCUUUUAAUUUUUUUUCUGGUGGGGGGUCGUCGGGGCUUCGAUUAGCUAACUCUACAUUAGUUGACAUCGUUUUUUCUCUCUCUCUUUUUUUUUUUUUUUUUUUUGUUUCGGCGGCUUGUCGUCGGAGCUCCGAUUAUUUGACUCAACAUUAGUUAACUUCAACAUUAGUUAACAUACUAUUUUUUUUUUCCGGCGGCGGAUCGUUAGAGCUCAGAUUAGUUGACUUCAACAGGAGGUCCAACUUUUUUUUUUUAAAUUAUUUUUUUCCGGCAACAUGACGUCGUAACUCUGAUUAGUUGAGUUCGCACUAGUUGACUAUGCACUAGUUGAGUUCGCACUAGCUGACUUUGCAUUAGUUGACAUCCGACCAUUUAUUUUUUAUUUUUUUCUUUUAACUCUUUGUCGGCGGCGGGUACUUAGGGCUCUGAUUAACUGACUAAGCAUUAGCAGACACCCGAUUAUUUUAGUGUUGAAAUCAGCUAAUCGUAGCUCCGACGAUCAGCCAUCGAAGGAAAAAAAAAAAAAAGGUUGAAUGUCAAAGUUAACUAAUGUUGAAGUUAACUAAUGUUGAGUGCACUAAUUAACUAGAGAUCCGACGACACGCUGGCGAAAAAAAUAUAUCAACUAAUGUUAAAGUUAACUAAUGUUGAAAUUAACUAAUGUAGAGUCCGCUAAUCAGAGCUCCACCCGCCACCGAAAAAAAAUUAAAAGAAAAAAAAAAUAGAAUGUCAAUAGUCAACUAAUGUUGAAGUUAACUAAUGUUGAGUCAGCUAACCGGAGCUCCAACGAGCCAGACCACCGCCGUAAAAAAAAAUUUAAUUAAAAGAAUAAAAAUGAGGUCGGGUCAGACCAGACCGGACCGGGUCAAACCGACCCGGUGGGCGGGUGGGAUGGGAUGGUGAUGGGUUGGAGCUGAUGACCCUUCGAAAAUUCAUAUUUUUGUGGAUUUAUUUGAAAUGAAAGUUAAAGGAUGAAUUGAUUUGUAGUAAAACUUUAUUCUAUGGACCUAGCUCAAAUUUACCCUUUAAAUAUUGAUCAAUCAAUUCAUUCGCAUCCAACCAACCCUCACUAGGAGAGUUGGUACAUAGCAUUUACUAAUAGGGUAAAGGUCUAGGGUUCGAGUCCCCCCCUCCCCUACUUUCCCUUGUAAUGGACUAUAAUUUACUCAAAAAAAAAAAAAAAUUCAUUCGCAUCCCAAAAUUAAUUAUAGAAACUUUGACUUUCAUAUAGAUGGAAAUGUGAACGCAAGGGUUAAAUUCAUUUUCAUGUUCGACUUUUCCGAAUUCACUCAAUGUAAAUAUGUUCGAUUAGCGAGACCCCCUCAUAUUGUUUAAAUUGAAAUACACCCAUUUUAUUAUGUGUAUUUGAGAGACAUCCCUAACUUCUCAUAUCCCUAUUUUACCCUUAUAUUAUUCCAAUGCCCACUCCUCUUUUCCACUACCUAUAUAUUAUCAUUUUAUUUUCUACAUUUUUCUUUUUUUUUCUUUUUAAUAAAUUUAUUUUUUUAAUAAAUUUGUUUUUUCCUUGGGAGAUUUACCACAUUGUAAACAGCUACAAAUUACAAUAAUCAACUACAAAAUUUCAAUACGACUACAAUUUAUAACAAAAACGACUAUAAAAAUAUCUCAAUCCAACAACAAAUUUUAGCAACCAACUACAAGUUACAAUUUAUAGUAAUCCCCUACAAUUUAUCGAAAACAACUACAAAAUCAUCAAAACCAACACAAAAUCAUCAAGACCAACUACGAAAUCAUCGAAACCAACUACAAUAUAUAGAAAUCAACUAAAAUAUUAUCGUAACCUACUAUGAAAAAUAUCAAAAUCAACUAUGAAUCACCGAAACCAACUAAAAAAACAACUCUAAGUUGCAAGGCGUCGGAAGACCACCCAUUUUCCACUGUCGGAAACAACUAAAUGAAAUAUCUGUUAAAUAACCAAAAUCCCACUGCGUUUCAAGUACAAUGAUGAGCCGCCGCAGAUGCUCCUCCACCGUCACUCCCCAAUUCGACAACCUCCUCCUGCUCCAAUUACUAGUGCCAUGCCUCGAACUCCGCCUCUGAAAUCUCCUCGCCGUGCGGCCGCUCUCCGGUUGUUAUGGAGGGCGAUGAAAUUGACGUGGGUGCGGCAGCUGCUGUUGAGGUUGGAGAGCGGAUUGGCUGCGGCGACGAAAUUCGCGGGGGCGUUUUGACCGAGGGAGAAUGCUAGCUAUGGAGAGAAUGGACUUAGGGGAGGAUUAAUAGGGAAAGAUUGCUUUGGAUCUUGUUAUUGUUGGUUGAAGAUGAGGAGUAGUUCGUCUGGGUGUCGAAAAAGCAGCGGCUGGUGUCGUCGGAAAUUACAAAUUUUGGCGGAAGACAACCUGUCUCUCCAUGUUCCUCAACGAAUCCUCCAACUCUGUGUGGGUAAGAACUCGCGACGGCGAAUUGGAGAGGCAUGAGUGAUUGUUGCGGUGGAAGAUAUCAGUCCACAAAGAGAGUGGUGGAAGAUAAAAGAGAUAAAGAGGAAAGAGAAGCAUUGACGAAGGAGAGAAAGUGAAAAAGCGGUUGAGAAGUAAACAUAGUGGGCAUGUUUGGUUCUAUUUCCAAAAUGAUUUUCCAGUUUUAUACUAUACAUAAAACCGGGAUUAUGUUUGUUUGUGACUUUUCACUUGGAAAUUCCUAUUUUUCUUAAAACAAUUUCCAAUAGAAAUACACUAUUCUUACUUUUCUCAUAUUUCUAAUCUUUAUUAUACUUAUAGAUACUUAUAGAUACUUAUAAUACUAUAUAAUAAUAAUAUUAAUCAUCAUAACAAUAAUAAUAAUAAUAAUAAUAAUAAUAAUAAUAAUAAUCACAAUCAUAAUAAUAAUAAUAAUAAUAAUAAUAAUAAUAAUAAUAAUAAUAAUAAUAAUAAUAAUAAUAAUAAUAAUAAUAAUAAUAAUAAUAAUAAUAAUAAUAAUAAUAAUAAUAAUAAUAAUAAUAAUAAUAAUAAUAAUAAUCAUCAUCAUCACCAUCAUCCCCAAUCAUUAUAUUCUACUUUUGCACGUACUUUCGUAGAGAAAAUUCCCACAACCAAACAUAUUCUCAUUUCUACACCUACAUAAAACUAAAAAUACCACUUCAUCCAAACAUAUUCUCAUUUUCUACACGAAAACCAAUACAUCUACUUUUUCCAUCAUAAAUUUUGAAAACUAGAAAUUCCCAUGGGAAACAUAACCAAACAUCCCCAGUGUUUCUAGGGUUAAACAAAUUAAAAAGGGUAAAAUUGGAUUAUAAUAAAUUAAUGGAGGUAUGUCACAAUUCAUAACAUCAUAUGAUAAGUUUGUCAAAAUGAAAAAAAGAAUUGGGCUAAUAUUGAUAAAUGGGGUUUGAGGGGUUCUCCCUCAUUGUCUUGAAUCAAUAUUGAAUACUAUUAUUCUGGAAAACAAAAUUUAAAAUUUAGAAUUUCCAUAUUUCGCAUUUGGCAAAAGUAAAGCAAGUACAAGGGAGAAAAAUUCUACUAUCUUUGUAAUUUCUGAAAAGUUAGAAGUAUGUUUGAAUAUAUUUUAAAAUAUUUUUAUUAUUUUCCUAAUUAAUUACAUAAUUUAAUGGUCAAUUGCAAAUUGAUAGUUGAUAAUAAUAUUAAUACUAACAUGCAUAGACAAUUGCAUAACAAAAUACAAAUCUAUGAGGCAAUUAUAAUAUAAAAAAGGGGAAAGUACAGUUUGCACCCCUGAACUAUAGGGCUUGUCACAAACACCCCCUUAAACUACAAGUCGUACCAAAAUAGUUAUUAAAAUUCACAAAACCGACAUAGUUAUAUCAUAUAUGGGAGAAAAUUGUAAUUUAGAUCAUCUAUAUUGGCCAAUUCAGUGAUUUAGUCCUUUUGGUUAUGCUAUUUCAAGUUUACAUGCAAUAACUUUGCAAAUUUAGCAAUUUUGGUCCUAUUUUGCCAGAAAUUUUAGUUUUAACAAACUCAUUAAAUUUGUUGAAGAAUUUAUAACUUUUAAAAGUCCAUAAGCAAAAUCCAUCAAGUGCCACAUCAUGAAAUGCAAAAAUCAAGCAACAUAAAACCAAAAAAUCCUAAAUUGCAAUUUUAUUGCAUGUGAAAUUGAAAUAUAAUAACCUAAUUAUAUACAGUAUACACAUUCAAUAAAAAUUACAAAAGUAAAAUAACAUAAUCAAGAAACAAAGUAUAUUACCUCAUUGAACCCGAAAGUCACAUUCCUUAGCUCGGCGCCUUUAGUGUCGGUGAUGCCAAGAUUUCGGAGAGUUUGCACAAAGCCUACGGCCACAUUAGGCACCAUUCUCAGAUCAUCGGAGAUCAAGAAAGAAGUUGUCUUAAUCAUGAAAACUCCAGCGGAUCCAUGAACAGCAGUUUCAGACUCAUCUAAACAAACGCUUUUGUUCUUCGUUUUCCCACAAAGGCAAGUUACGGUAGUAUCUCUUCGCAUUGCUACCUUUGACCAUCGGUGCGUACAAUUCCAGUCCGGGCAAGAAAAGUACUUAUUUAUGUAAAAAAAUACGUAAAAAUAACCUGUUUAUCACCAACUAGCAUUUUUCCUCGUGCGAUGCACAUGGUAUUAUUUAAAUAGUGAAAACAAAAACCAAUUUAAUACAUAAUAAGAAAUUAUAGUACACUAAUAUACUAAAAUUUAAUAAUGUAAUAUUAUUCAUAUUUUAUAUAACAUUAGUUUUUUUUUAAAUUUUACAUAUUAAGAUUUAUAAUCCAAAUAAAUAGACUAAAAUUUAGCAAAUCGAAUUUCUAGCUUUAUCUCUUAAUAUUUUUUGAAAAUUAUAGUUCAAAAAAUUAGUACAGAAAAAAUAUUAAAAAUAAAUAUUUACAUAAGUAGCAAUAAGGUAGUAUUCUUCACGGGUUAGUUUUAAUUUUAAUAAUUGUUAAAAAAUUAAUUAGAAAUUAUUAGAGAAAAAAUAUUAAAAAUAAAUAAUUACAGAAAUACCAUUAGGGUUUUUUAGGGUUGCCUAACGUUUCUUUCUUUUAUAUAUUAGAUAAGAUACCAUUAGAGUUUUUUAGGGUUGACUAGCGUUUCUUUCUUUAUUAUAUAAGAUAUCAAAUAUUGAUAUGAGUUAAGCAUAAAAUUAUAACUCAAACCAUAAAAUAAGAGGGAACAUAAAUCAUAGUCAUCUAAUAAAUCAAAACUCAAAAGUUCACAUUUAAUUUGAACUCAUACAUCUUACUAAUUAAAAAAAAAAAAAAAAAAAGUCUCGCAUCCAAAGCAAAUAUUUAAAAUAAGUCUCACAUCAAAAUUAAAUAUUGAAAGUAAAUAGUAAAUGCAUAAAAGACACUAUCAUCUUCAUAUGUCACUCUUCCUCAUACUCAUCUCCAAUUCCAAUUUCUCUUUUUUUCUUUUUAGAAAAAGGCGUAUGUUGUACUUUUUUUAAAGAAAAAGAUUCUUCUGUUGUCUUUUUUUUUUGGGGCAUUAAAACGACGCCGUUUUGGCCUCCUUAUUUUUCUGAAUUAAUUAAAAACGCGUCUGUGCGGCCAAAAAACCAAUUUUUAGCCGGUUUCCGGGUUUCCGGUCAAAAAACCAGUUUUUGACAUUUUGACCGAUUUUUUGUAAUUUUCGGUUUUAUAGGGCUAACCGGACCGGACAAGGCACCGGUUCGCGGUCGAACCGGCCGGUCCGGUCCGGGUUUCAAACAUUGAUUCUUGUUCCUUUUUUUCCCACUAUUCAUAAACAGAUUCUUAACCUAGGUACCGAUGCUUUCGCGCCUUCCAGAAAAAGUUGCUACUGUUAUUCCAGUCUUGCUCAUUAAUAUUUUCAUUUUUUCCAACUCUUUGCUCCAAACCAGUACAACCAUUUAUGAUCCGUGGGUGACCUGAAAUUAAGAAGCAAAUAUCCAACAGAAAAAUGAAUCGAAACACAAUAAUCAACAUGAGAAAUGCGCUUAAUCAGGGGCGAACCCAAGGUAUGCCUUGGAGGGGCCUCCGCCCCUGCAGAAUAUUUUUUUUUUACCUUUUUUUUAUUAAAUUUUUAAUAUUUUAUGUUAUUUAUCUACUAAUUUAUACCAUUUAGCCCCCCCAAACUUCAAAUUUAGUUUCAUUUUAGUCCAAAAAAAAAUUCUAGCCCCCCACACAAGACUCCCUGGGUCCGCCCCUGCGCUUAAUAUAAUGUAAAAAACUGGCAGACAUAAUAAUGGCUUAUAGGAGUGGACGGAAAAGGGUCUGAAAUGUGAAGUUGAAAGCAAAAAUGGUUGGUGAGCACUUGAAUUGAGGGCCUGAAAAUUCACUUGUCAUUGGUUUCUCAACAUAAGUUACAAUUGUUGAUUGUGUCGACAUCUUAAUAAAUUAUUAUUUGUGUUGACAAACCUGCAAGAAAAACAAAUAUAUUUAAAGAGCUUGAAAUCUCAACAGAAGGAACAAAUUAUUGGUGUGGCGUCUUCGUAUCCAUUGUAACCUUGGUUCGUGAUUUACUGAUCAUUGGGUCAAGGUUCGACAAACUUGUUUCUUUGGGGGAUCUUGGGGUUCCAAAACCAUAUAUUGUUAUUGGAUUUCGUCACAUGUCAGCGUAGUUCAUAUCACUUGGGUGGUUAGCGGCGGCUAGGGUUUUUGGUAGGAGGCGAUUGGGGUGAGAGGUCAUUGGCGGUUUGGUCUAAAAUUCUUAGCAUUUUGAAGCUAUGACCUCCAAAAGAAAGAGCUCGACGAGAGGAAUCCAACGGUAGUUAAACCAUCGAAUUUCGACCACCGGAGAGAGAUAUGACUCCGGGAAGCAACUUUGCCGGUUGGAGAUCUAUGGGGGCCGGAUUUUAAUAUGAGAGUUGAGAGAGGAAGAGAGAGACGACUGUGAGUGGCAGGGUUUAAAAAUGAUUUUAAAAAGGCAUUUUAAGUACAUCAGGGUGGGCUAGGGGGGUCUAUCAAAUUAAUUUCAAAAUGAAGGAGUAGGUACAAGGAUGUAAUUAGUUAGGUGAUUAGUUAUAUAUCAAUGUAAUGUAUAUCUCAGCGCAAAUUUGGGGCCGGUCGGAUCAAUCAAAUGAGCUGAUUGCAUCGACAAACGCGUCGGUCGCGUCUAAUAGUGGCUGAAACUAAGCUAAACGACCUCUUUUCACUGCGAGCGAAGAGUCAAUGGGGCUUUGCCCAACUGACAUGCCGACGGCGCCUGAAAGAGCUUCGCUUUCAUAUGCAGAUCGCCUCGAAACUCAUCCGAGUCAAAAGUUAUCAACGCUUUAAGCCACUACGGCACAAGUUUUUCAACAUAAAACCAAACUACGUGCAUAGACUUAAGGGUGCGAUCAUACCAGCACUAAUGCACCGGAUCCCAUCAGACCUCCGAAGUUAAGCGUACUAAAUAAGGGAGGUCUCUAAAAUAAUCGCUACAAUAUAUAUGGAUAAUUAGCUAGAACCCCCUUAUUUGAAAUUUAUAUAGAUGGGGUCCAUUUUAUUAGUUGAUUAUAGCUAUAAGUCACUUGAUCAAUAAAUAUAAUAUAAAUUAAAUUAAAUUAUUUUUCUAUUGACAUUAAUACCUUUAAUUAUUAUUUAUAUUAAGAUAGUUAGUUAUGGAAAAUAUGAAUAAAAUCUCACAUUUCACUUUCUAUUUAACUCCUCUCUCUUUCCUCUCCCUCACGUCUCUCUCUGAUUUAACUCCUAUCUCUCUCUCCUCUCAAUCACGUCUUUCUCUCUCUCUCUCUCCUUUUUUUUUCUUUUUUUUUCUUUUCUAGUUUAGUAGCCUCACGGCUCUCUCACUCUAAGUUGUGUCAAGUUACAACAACAAAUUGCAAAAUACAAUUACCAAUAUACAAACUGCAAUUUAUAACAACAUAAAUAAAUAGCAAAAUAAAUAUAAUACGGAACCACCUACCAUACGUCAAAAAUAUUAUUUUACAAAUAUCUUUUCACAACAACACAGUAUGAAACUAAUGAUAAUUUGCUCAAACAUCAGAGGUGCAAGUUUAUUCUUCCUUGAACAAUAUAAAAUAUUUUCAAAAUAUAAGAUAUGAAAUAAAAGAUGAUAUAAAAAACCAACAAACCAUUUUUAUUUAGGAAUAAAUCAAUACAUUAAAUACAAAAUAUUGUAAGAUACAAAUCAAUAGAUACAAGCAGUGUUGCAGUAUAGUCGAUGAAAAAACUGCAAUCUAUCAUAACUGAUUAUGGCUGGGGUGAUGUCAUAACGAACAUAGUCUCGACGUCCAACUGAAUUCAUAACUUCCAAACGUCAUCGAGGAUCUUUUAGAACAUGAUCGUGUCAGUAGCAUCAACCUCUAAUGAAUCUCUUGUUUGUUUUCUUCUGACCUAUAGUUGCAACGACGGUAAAAUGCAAGUUCAACCAAAAAAGCUUCCAAUUAUAAUAUGCACACAUUUUCAUCAAUGCAUAUUUACAAUAUCAAAACGCAUCAUAGAAUCCCUAUAGAAAAAUACAAUGUUCGAAGUUGCAAAAACGAGAUGCAAAAAAUACAAUUACUAUUGCAAUAUGCAAUACAUAAUGAAACGGUAAAAUACAAAAGAAAAAAAAAAAAGCUACACACACAUUAAUUUUAAUACGAGUUUACAAAGAGAACCAAAAAAUAUUUCAAACAUUUCUUAGUUAUUCCCAAAGAAGAAGAAAAAACUAAUAUUAAUUUGCAAUAACGAGCUGCAAAUUAAAAUAUGCAGAACUGCCAAAGUGAAAAUGAAAACCGUCUAAAGGGACAACAUCAACAAACUUCACGUUGCAGACAACAACAUAAAAAAUAUAAACUACAACAACAUCAACAAAAUAGUGGCAACAACAACCAAAUAAAAGUAUGCAAAUAACCAUAUCCAAAUGUAAUUGUCAACAGUAAACUGCAAUAUGCAAACGAUACAAUGACAAUAAGUUAUUUUCAACAAGUAUUUUGUUAUGAUAGAUGAAACCAUUUGUUACGACACCAAACUGCAAAUAUUACAGUUAAGUGCAACUUAUACUAUGAUAACAACAAAGUCGAAAUGAAAUAUAAUAUAAAAGCAAAAUAUGCAUCAUAUAAGUAAAAUCCAAAACAAAAAGCAAAGUGCAAAAUAUACUAUGCUAAAAACAAAAAAAAAAAUCCAAACAAAAACCGAUAAAAUGUUGCAAUCGACAUAAAAAAAUUAUGUAAUAAAAAACAACAAAAUCAAAAGCAAGAAACCAAUGAUUUUCACAUAAAACAAAUAUGGUAAUUGGGGUCGAAGAAUCAAUAUCAACAUCUUUGGAUCCAUUGACCAAAAUGUUCAUGACAAUUCGUGCAUAAAUCGCCGUUAAAAACAUAAAAGAACAGACAUAGAAGAGCAAAUCACCUGAACUUUUUCCAUCUUUAAUCAUUGUCUCUGUUUUUUUUUUUUUUUUUUUUUUGAAAUUUACAUCUACGAGAAUAACGAUUAGAAAAAUCAAUUUCACGAUUUUUUCUAGGAUUACAGUAUUUGUUUCGCAUAAAAAGGGAGAAAAUUUUUUGUUUCUAGGAGAGAUUCAACGAUCGAGAUAAUCACGACCCUAUUUUUGCUAGAUGGGUUCAGGGAGAAUAAAUUCGCUAUUUAUUGAUUUAAGAAUAAAAAUUUCCUAUUUUAUUUAAGGGUAUAUUGGCCAUAAUUAAUUGGAGGAGUAAACUGCAAAAACUACCCCUGUGUAAUCUCGAAAUAGCAAAAACCCCCCUGUGAUAAAUAAACUAGCAAAAACCUCCCCUGUGAAAUUAUUUAAAUAGCAAAAACCCCCCUAUGGAACUAUUUGAGAGUUGACUUGAUAUAAAAAGACACAAAUACCCCUGGAGUCUUGCAAUUAAUAAAUUCUUAUAUUUUAUAAAUAUUUUAAUUAUUUUAUUUAAAAAAUAAUCAAUUUCGUUGUUUACUAUUUUUUUUAAUUUCUAAACAAACAAAUUAAAAAGAAUAAAUAUGCAUAUAAUAUGUAUAUAUAUAAAUACAUUUUGAGGGACAAUUUUGUCAUUUCAAGUCUAAAAAAUCAGCUAGGGGGGAUUCUGCCUUUGACUAAAUUCACAGGGGGGUUUUUGCUAGUUUAUUUAUCACGGGGGGGUUUUCGCUAUUUUAAGAUAACACAGGGGUAGUAUUUGCAGUUUACUCUUAAUUGUAGGGAUUCUAAUAAAAUUGGACUUAUAACUUGAGUUAAUACCUGUAGAAUCUAUUAAUGGGAGCCUAUAGAAAAUUACCCCCGAUAUAUAAUACUACAAAAUAAAUGAAGUGGAAAAAACCCCGAAAUGAAUUCAUAACUAUGGUUAAAGGUGAUGCAGAUGGAUUGUAGUAAGUGUUAGAGAAUAUUGAGAAUAUUAUAUUAUAGAACUCUUGUAAUAUUAGGAUUCUAGUAUGAUUCGGUUACCUAGAUUAGUUAGGAUUUAGUUACCUAGUCAAACUCUAUUACCUUGCAAUAUUUCUCUAUAUAUAUUCCAUGUAAUCAACCCAUAACACAAUGGGGGUUUCUAUUCUACGUAUUAUUAUUUCUCUUCUUCUUCUAUUCUAUUCUUCCUAUAUGGUAUCAGAGCACCAGGUUUAGGUUUUUUUAACCUAGCCGCCUUCCUUCUCCAUGGCGGUGAAACCUAGCCGUCUUUCUUCUCCAUGGCGGUGACCACCCAAUUUUCUCCCUCCCCCGGUGGUGGUACUCUAAUAUUUAUCUUUUUCUUUUCUAUCUUCUAUGAACACCACCCAAAUUUUCUCCCUCCCCCGGUGGUUCUCUAUCUUUUUCUUCUUCUUCUCCAUGGUUCUCUAUUUUUUUCUUAUUCCUCUUCUUCUUCUUCUUCUUCUACAUGGCCUAUGGCCUAAAACCUAGCCGAUGCCUCUCUUCUUCUCCAUGGCCGGCGACCACCAAACCAAUUUUCUCCCUCCCCGGUGGUGGUAACUUAUAUUAUUUUCCGACAUCUUCUUCUUCUUAGUCGGUUAAUCUAAUUUCUCUCUCUUUAAUCUCUAUCUUUCUUUUGAUUAUUUUCCCCCAUCUCUCAUAUCUUCUCUCUCUCGAUUCACAAAAAGAAAAAAAAAAAAAAAAUCUCCCCCAUCUCAUAUCUUCUCUCUCUCUCUCUCGAUUAAAAAAAAAAAAAAAAAAAAUUCUCUCCAUAUUAUUAUUAUUAUAUUUUUUUAUCAAUUGGACAGAUAUUUCCACAGAGGAAUUCUGUAGCGAUGUGUUUCGCGGUUUCUGUCCAGUCUUCACGCUUGAAGUUUCCAAGUCUUCACGUUUGAAGUUUCCAGUCUCCACGUUUGAAGUUUAUUCGUUUUGAAGUUUAUUCGUUCCGACUGCGGGAGCGUGCUAGCAAGUUUAUGUCCAGUCUUCACUUUUGGAGUAUAUUCGUUCCGACUGCGGGAGCGUGUUAGCAAGUGAUUGUCCAGUCUUCACGUUCGUCACGUUUCGACUGCGGGGGCGUGUUAGAGAAUAUUGAGAAUAUUAUAUUAUAGAACUCUUGUAAUAUUAGGAUUCUAGUAUGAUUCGGUUACCUAGAUUAGUUAGGAUUUAGUUACCUAGUCAAACUCUAUUACCUUGCAAUAUUUCUCUAUAUAUAUUCCAUGUAAUCAACCCAUAACACAAUGGGGGUUUCUAUUCUACGUAUUAUUAUUUCUCUUCUUCUUCUAUUCUAUUCUUCCUAUAGUAAGAUUGGGCUACAAAAGUUUCUUCAGUUAUGAGCCCAAAAUAUAAAGUUAAGGCCCAAGCAAAGAACAAUUAAGUAUUUUCUAGAACAUGUUCGAAAUCGGUUUGGCUCUUGAAAUUUCAAGAAUUUGCAGGAAUCGUCUGAUCAUCCAUAUAAAUUCGCGUGCUCCUUCAACCAAAUCCCAUCGAAAGUUAGAAACUGAGUUAUCUGCUAUUUCAAACUAUCAAAUUCUUCAUCAACAACCAAAUCAACAAGUUCAUCAUCCAUCCAGCAUUAUUUUUUUAAGAAAUGUCUUUGAUUCCGAGCUUCUUUGGCAAUGGCCGCCGGAGCAACGUCUUCGAUCCAUUUUCAUUGGAUAUUUGGGAUCCAUUUGAGGGCUUCCCAUUCUCCUCCGCCGUUUCCGAUCUCCCUAUCUCCUCCGGAGAAACAACCGCGGUGGCAAACGCUAGGAUCGACUGGAAAGAGACGCCGGAGGCACACUUGUUUAAAGUGGAUGUUCCCGGAUUGAAGAAGGAAGAAGUGAAGGUUGAGGUUGAAGAUGGGAAUAUUCUUCAGAUAAGCGGAGAGAGAAACAAAGAGAAAGAGGAGAAGAACGACAAGUGGCACCGUGUCGAGAGGAGCUCCGGCAAGUUCAUCCGCAGAUUCAGGCUGCCGGAGAAUGCAAAAUUGGAGAGGGUGAAGGCGGCUAUGGAGAAUGGAGUGCUGACUGUCACUGUGCCGAAAGAGGAGGUGAAGAAGCCUGAGGUCAAGUCCAUUCACAUCUCUGGUUAAUUAUGUUUUAAUUUUGUAUUUCAGCAAGUUUUUUGGUUUGUCCGGCUGUGGUAUAUUUUGGGAGUGUAUUUCUUUUUGGUUUUGUGGCAAGUGAAACAUCACUAUGUAGUAUGUACAAUAGAAUAAAGCCGAACUGGUAAAUGAGAAAUUACAUGUUGCUUUUCAGUACAUAACUUUUGAUCAUUUCUAUAUUUUAAACUCUUGUAUCAAUCAGUAUUUCCUUUAGAUCUAAAACAUUGGACAAAUUAUGGCCUGAACUUAAAUUAAAUUAUGAAAAAAAUAAAUUAAAUUAUGAAAAAAAAAAUGGGGCAAAUACUGAUAAAUCCCUAAACCCAAACAUAAAGUGCGGGUCAGUUCCCAACAACAUAUUUUAAGCGUAUUGGACCCUAAAUCAAACAUAAAUAUGCACUUAACACCCUAAUUGGUGUGCAAAGACCGAAAAGCCCUUCACUUUAUUUUGAAAUUACCUGCAAAUUCUGACACAACUUUUCACCUACUUUUCACGCGCCGGUUGAGAAUCACGCUCCAUACCUUUCAACUAUCCGUUGUCAUUCAAUUUUCGAACCAUUUCCUCAACGGUUUCGGACAGUUUUUGUUCGUGCAAGCGAUUCUUCAGAUUCUGCAAAAAACAAACUGUAUGUUCUCAUAUUGAAUGAUUUUGAACAUUUCCAGUAGUGGGUAGUAUCCAACGGCGAGAUUGGGGUUUUCUGAAAUAAAAAAAUCGAACAACCGGUUCCAAUAAAAUGUUGUUUUCUUGUUUAUGCUUGCAAAAAUUGUUCAUUUUCUGUGGAAUUGCAUGAUUUUGAACACUUUCGCUCUUGGGUAUCAUUCGUCUGAAAUAUUAGUAUUUUCCCAAAUCACUUUUUGUCAUAACAAGGGUUUGAUUUUGGGCAUUAGAUGUGUUUAAAUAAUACAAGUCUUACUACACAACGGUAGUGCUAUUGUAGUUAGAAGGUAUAAAAAAAGGUAAUGGCAGUUCUUCUGAUGUAAUUAAAUAGUAUAUGUCGUAUUGCCCAAUAAUAUAAGUACUGUAGGUGUAUGGUAUUGAUACAAUAUAGUGACGGUAUAAUUACAAUACCUACAUAGUACCAUUGUUAUCUUACAAUUGUAUUUUUUCUGAUUAUUGUUUUUCCUUUAUAAUCGUAAUACACUUGCAGAUGAUUACGCCCAACAAGCAUGCAGGUGCUCUCCUAGCGCCUUCAAAGAACAAAUGGACAUAAUUAAACCUAUGAUGACGGCCAGACACUAUGCUGCAUUGGAGGAAAAUCCUUUCGGGCAUUUCUUAAACAUGCCUAAGAUAUACCAUAGUUUCUUAAAGGUGUCUGUUCUGUUGAAGAAGACAUACAACGUGGAGACACGUACGUUCUGGUUUGGAGGUAAAACUAUCCCUGUCGUCUUUGAUCCUAGUGAGUUCUGUAUCAUGAUGGGACUACAGUUUAAGGGGAUACCCAUCGAUAAAAACCUGGAAAUAGAAACUCCUUUCAUUAGACGUGUUUUUCGGGGUAAAUUGACCCAAGUAAAGCGUCAUCAAAUUGCUGAAAAAUUGGAAGAGUAUGCUGUUAGGACCGACCAACAAUCAAUUGAGGAUUUUUGUAGGUUGUACAUUAUUUUCGCUUGCAAUACUUUCUUAUUGCCAAAGGGCAACUUUCAACUGCCGAGGUACGUUUAUCCACAUGUUGACGAAUUGGAGCGCGUAGGAGAUUUUGCGUGGGGAAAGUUGGUGUAUGAUGUGCUCAUUGAAAAUAUUGAGGCACACUUGGCUGGGGCAGGAGGGUAUUUUGAUGGUUGCACCAUUGGGUUGUUGGCAUGGGUGAGUGAAAGGAUCACUUCUUUGGGAUUCGCAAUAAGCGUUUUCGAAUACCCAAGAUUUUUUCGAUGGUCCGACUCUAAAAUACCAGCCGAUGAACGUCAGGCUAAACAUCUUUUUAGAGAACUCACACCAGACAAGGUAACAAUUUUGAUUUAUGCAUUUUCAUUGUGUUAUUUGCUUACGUAAUAAACUAAUGUACAAUUUGUCUAUAUGUUUAUUAGGUGAUAUCAUUCUCCGUGCACAAAGAAGAGAGAAAGUUUUUGGUUUCACCUGUGAAAGAACUAUCUGGUCCUAUUGUUGCAGCUUUGGAGGUCGGUGGAAAAGUCGAAAUCAGGCGUGUAAGUGAAGAGUACUAUUAAUGAGAUGGACAUGUCCCAUUUGUAAACCAACGUGAUGUUGUUUUAUUACAUUAAUCAUUGUUUAUUUUAUGUGAACUGCAGCAGCAUUUUGGAAAUGCACAACAAGUGAAGAGGAAGAAUGUGAGAUUGGAAUAGACAGAGGGGAAGAAGAAGAGAAGAAGAGCUCUUAUUUUUGAAGAGGAAUAGGAGGAAGAGGAAGAGGAAGAGGAGCAAGAUGAAGGGAAAAAGGAAGUGGAUGAGGCAGAUAAAUUUUUUAAUGCUGUUGAAGAACUUGGAGAUGAGGAAAAAAAGAGAAAGAAGGAGAACAACAAGAAGAAGAAGAAGAAGAAGAAGAAGAAGAAGAAGAAGAAGAAGAAGAAGAAACCUUGAUAAAAGUACUGAACAUGGAGAGGGAGAGAAGGUCGAAGGCAAGAGAAGACAAUCGAAGAAGAAAGAGUCGAGGACAAGAAAACAGCGUAGUCUCUGCUAAACUGCCCACAACAGUAAUUAUGCCUUAUAAUUUAAUAAUAAGUAUUAUUAUUAUUAUUAUUAUUGUUAUUACUAUUAUCACUAAUGAUUCCUUUGGAUAUAGGUUGUCGUAGAUAAUUCUACGUACCAGGGGAGAACAGACUAUGUAUGUCGAGAUGAGCUUACUGAUGUAGAGAGGGCAGUACUGGAUGGGUACCUCGUUGAUGUUGAUUUGAGGUAAAAUCACUAACUUACUGAACAUUUGGUAUAUAAUAACUUCUUAUGUAGUAUCGGGGUACUAAACAAAUAGUGCAUGUUUAUUUCUAUUGUAGUGCAAUUGUGAUCGAAAGAGGCCCAAACGUAUUGACUGGAAAGCAUAUGUGCGAUCUUUUGUUUGAUCAGCAUCUGAGUGGGGAGCACAUCGAUAUAUACAUGAGCCUGUUAAAUUCCGAAGCGAUCAUGGAUGAACAUGGGCAUGAGAUUGAUUAUCUCGAGACCCCUGCCCAGGUAUAAACUGGUUUAACAAAUAUGUUGCAUUCUGUGUAUACUGGUUUAACAAAUAUGUUGCAUUCUGUGUAUACUGGUUUAUCUUAUAUUUUUUUUAUUAUGUUUCGUAGUAUGAGAUACUGGCACGAGAUCGAAUGGACUUCAGAAAGAUGGGUGAUACAGAGUUGGAUACCUUUUUAAAGAGCUUAACAUAUUUUAGAUCUACCGUAGUUGAGAAGCUUGGAAUAGCACGUCUCUACAGCAAAAAAUAUGUUCUGAUACCUAUAAAUCCAAAGAUCACUGGUUCUUGCUUGUAUUGGACCCAAACAAAAAAGUUUUUCGGCAUUGGAACUCCCUAGCCCAUUCUCCGACGAGCCCAGGAAUUGCAAAUUAUAUCGUAAGUCCUUAAAUCGAUGAUUACUUCUUUAAUUUAUAUAUUGGGGAAUGUGGUAUAUGUUUUAUUAAUCCAUAGUUUGGGUACUGUGAUUGAACGGUACUGCAAUAUGGUAAUGAAAAUACAUGUAUACUAAUAUAAUAGUAUAUUUUUGUAGGCGAGUUAUUAUAGCAGGGUGAUUGAAAAUAAAACCGUGUUGGAUAUACCUUCACAUGUCGAAUGGGUAGAAGGAUGCAGACAACAAGAAGGGAAUGAUGAAUGCGGGAUUUUUGUCUGCAUGUGGGCAUAUUGCCAUGCUAGAGAUGACGCUGAGACUUGGAAAAAGGCGAAAACUUGCUUGAUCAAAAAACUCCGUCCAAAACUAGCACUUGUCUUCUUAAAGCACCAAGGCGUGGAUAGAGGACAGUAGAUGCUGAUGCUUUGAACAUGUUUUGAACAAUUUUUAAAAUUAUUUUUGAUUAUUUUUUAUUAUUUUUGAACAAUCUGUUUUAUGGGUGUUUUUGGGUUGUGAUUGUCAUGAACAAGUACUUUUAGAUUAGUGUUUGCGUGCGAUGAUGGUUUUAAAACUUGUCCCCUUUUUGUGGUGUUGUGACACCUAUUUUGAAUAGUGUAAGUGUUUUGCAAAUUGGUUUUUAAUACUCUGUUAGUUUCUUGUCGAUGCGUAUAACCUACCCCAUCUAUACCAUUACCUAAAAUGAGGAAUACCAUAAUGUUGAUGACUUGAAUUGCUCAAAUUUGUUUUGCACAUUUGUGAUCCAUAAGUUUGGGAAAGACAUUAAAUAUGUUUUAAAUUAAGGUUGUAAGGUUUUUUCAGGUUAGUUUUAACUUUGGGGUUCAAAAUGGAAAGAAUAUAUCGAAUUCCUUACAAGAUACACUACUAAUGUGCAAUGCUUCUAUGUAUAAGUGAUUGUUUUCAUCACAAGUGACCACAUUCAACAACUAUUAACUCCCAAGUUGUUUCAAUUCUUGUAAAUGAGUCACAAAAUGAAUAAAUGAGGGAUGAGAUGGUUUUCGAUGGUUUUAUUGACCCCAAAUGAUACUAUAACAAGGGUACUAUUAGUAAAGUACAUCAGUACUAUAUCGUUGGCAAACAGAUACAAAACAACGGUUCCGUCCAUCCAUAUACACGCCACCGAUUAUACUAGUCGUUAGACCAAUCAACACCAUAAUAUUGAUGGCUUGAAUUGCUCGAUAUUGUUUUAUACAUUUGUGAUACAUAAGUGUGGGAAAGACAUAUAAUAUGUUUUAAAUUAAGGUUGUAAGGUUUUUUCAGGUUAGUUUUGACUUUGGCGUCCGAAAAGGAACAAAUGUAUCGAAUUCCUUACAAGAUACACUACUAAUGUACAAGGCUUCUAUGUAUAAGUGAUUGUUUUCAUCACAAGUGACCAUAUUCAAUACCUAUCAACUCCCAAGUUGUCUCAAUUCUUGUAAAUGAGUCACAAAAUGAAUAAAUGAGGGAUGAGAUGGUUUUCUAUGGUCGUGUUGACCCCAAAUGGUACUAUAACAAGGGUACCAUUAGUACAGUACAUAAGGACUAUAUCGUGGGAACUAUAAUACGUAGAUAUUGUACGAUCCAUGCGUGAGUUGUGAAUAUGAUAUACAGAACACUAGAAGAACAAUAACUAUCACUAUAUUGUAUGAGUACAUUUCUUACGAACAACAACAAUUGAUUCAUCGAUAGAGUUAAUUUAUUUGUAAGUACCCAAAGUACUUACACAUUGACAUUACAAUACGAUUAACGAGCUACAAUACACGACACUAACUUUUAACUUGUAUUGUUACGGUGAUUAGUUAAGAAACAAUACAUAGGUUUGACAAAUCAUGUAAACUGCAAAUAUUACUAGGUUUAACACUAUCAAACUUUGAAUUACUCCCGCUUCAUCUCUGGAAUUCUUCACUUUACUUUCGCGAUGAACUUGGUUCGUUGAUCCACUCGUAGCUUCACUUUCUUCAUAUCGAGAAUAGUUGUGGGAGAAAGUUUGCCCAAUUUCAAAUGGCUCACACCAAUGAGAAUAGCCAUGGUCUGGGCAACAAUAAAAUAGCCUCCAUGGAUUCAAACUUGUCUCCGAGACCAUGAUUAUUGUUUUUUUCCCACAAUCAUGACGCUUGCAGUUAUCUUUUUUAUAUUUUAAGCUACUCUUUUGAGAGUUGCUACUGGAAGAAGCCAUGAAUGAGAAGCAAAUGAACAUAAUUACGUGCUUUUUAUAAGUUCUGACGACAAAAAUAACGGCUAUAUUAUUGUAACGGUCAUAAAAUUCAAAUCGAUUCACUUAUUAUUUUUCUGUGAACCAUAUUAUGUUGUACGUUAUACUAUAUCAACGUAACAACAAUACCAUUGUAACUAAAACAGUGCGCUCUAUUGUAACUAAAACAGUCAUAUCAUAUUACAUACAAAUGGAUAAAUAGUACGAAGUACAUGUCAACAAAGUACAAACAACAUAAAAAGAAAGUAGAAACAGAGUAGUGCUACGGGACUGGUUGUUUGCACGUACGGCGAUUAUGUCCAGGUUUACCACACCGUGCACACUUCAUAACACGGGUUUCGACUUGCGAUGGAAUUCUUUUCGUCCUUCUACGGCCUGGUUGAGCUUUCGAUGCAGGCGUGGAUUAAUAAAUACAUCUUCCGGGCCAUGAUUUGUUUGUGCAUUGUACAAAUCAAAUUCCUCAUCAAAUGAAGGAAUUGGAUUAAUUGUGUACUUGUAUACUUCUUUGUACAAAUCAACCCGGAAGCAAGGAUCAACAAAUUCAAAUACCGAAUAUCCUUUCGACUCAAUACCUGCACAUGCAUGUUUGCACGAAAGUUUAUCCAACUGCCAAGAUUUGCAAGUACAUGUCCUAGUCUCUAAAUCAACACCAUACAACUUAUCCUCUUCAUACACCUCAUAACGCGUACCACUGGAUCUGGUAUAUUUUAAUAAGCGAGAGGCCGUAUAGUUGAUUAAUAAUCUCUUUUCAACUCUUGGACACACUGUACCAGCCAUGACUAAAGAAUCUUCCCGUCGAUUACCUAUCAUCUUCAUUAUUUUGAUUCGUAUCAUAUCAAUCAUGGAUGGAACUGGCAAGGAUCGUUCAUCUUUAACCCAACCAUUCCAACAUUCAACUUGGUUACUGUUCAUUAUUCCCUAUCUAUCCCCAGAAAAGUAUGCAUUGGCCCAACGAUUGGGAUCAGAGUCUCGGAUAAAUGAUUCCGCACGAGGCAUUGAUUGAACUAUAUGAGAUAUAUGUUCCUCAAACUCUUGCCGAGUAGGAGCAAUUGCAGCCUUAUGUAGAACACUCACCCAAUAUGCUUUGUUGUGCAAUGGAUACGAUCUUAGAACCUUUGUUCUAAAGUUAUCCUCCAAAUGUCGCAAACAAUAAGCAUGGUUGCUACCAGGAAAUACCAGUGGAAUGGCUUUAAUAAGCCCCGAAUGACGAUCAGAGAAAAUUGUGUAAUUUUUCAAUAAACCCCCAUUGUGAUAAACAAGAAUCUCUUUCAGCUUAUUACAAAACCACUCCCAAUUCCUAUCAUUCUCGGCAUCAACAAUUGCAUAGGCCAAUGUGUAUAACUCAUCAUUUGGAUCUUUGGACACAGCAGAAAGUAAGCAACCUUUGUAUUUAUUUUUAAUAUGAGUCCCAUCCAAACAUAUCAUUUGCCUACACCCACGGUGGAAACCCAAAAUAGAAUUUCCAAAACUAAUAAAGAUCCGAAGAAACUUUUGAGUUUGAGGGUCAAUCUCAUAAUCGACACAACUACCAGGGUUAUUCUGUUUCAGUGCACGACAAUAACGUCUCAGUUUAUCAUAACAGCUCGACUCAUCCCCAUGAAUGUCAUACAUUGCUUUCUCCUUACCUCUCCACGCCGUAUAGUACUUAAGCUCCACACCGUACUUUCUUUGGACCUCAUUCAAAAUAGCAAUUGGUUUGUAACCUGGCUCAUCUCUCAAUUUUUGUUUCAUAAGUUGCGAAAUCCACGUAGCAUCGGCUUUGGGAUGACCCCUUGUACGAAGAGUAGCAUCACCACAACUGUGCUCAAGAAUACAUUUGCGAAUGCCAAAUAACUUGUCUAAUUUAUGAACUGAUGCAUAAACCCUCCAUUUGCAAUUUUCAACAAUGCCUACGGCUAUGAUCUUUUGUUGAUCAUUUUUCUUGUACUUAAAGGUUCGAUUGUUAGCAAUGCAGUAAUUUUUUAACAUAAACCUAAAAUCAUUAGCAUCUUUGAAAAUUUGAUUCACCUCGCGUAUGCAAUGUCUCCAUGCAUCAAUUGAAUCUCCAACCGGAUUGUACUCAAUUUGCAACGGACUGUUGGAACUAACAGACUCACUGGAAAAUGCAAAAACAAUGAAACAAAUUGGAUUAUUACAGUGAACUACAAAUAAAUUGUAACAAUUGAAAUAAGUACUUUGAGUGGAAUGCUUGCAUACGAGAACUCAAUUUAUAAGAUACUUGAUAUACAAUCAUUCCAUACUAUUAGUAGCCUUAUAUGAUACUACGAGCUUAGUUAUUCUACACUAUCACUGUAGUAACACGAUACUAUGUAGUAUUAUAUUCUAUGCUAUGAUCACAUAAACAAAUUGAAAAUGCAUACAAAACAGAAUGGCUGCAUACCCGUUGCUGGGGGUCCUCCUUCUACGCCCAUCAAGUUCAUCAGUGCGGCUCACCAUAAUGUCGACUACACUCAUGUGCAUUACCAAAUGCAAUGUAACCAUAUUCACCAUGUCUUCGUCAGAAGUCAGUGUGACAAACAUUCUUUCACGGGGAGCCAAGUAUUGGAGCACCAAUUUGUCGGGAUGUAUAUCGUUCCACUUCACUAAGAUAGAUUCAUAGAUUUCCUUUAAAGUCAAAUCAUUCUUAAUGGAAAUGAUGUGCAGAUAAUCACUGUACCGACAACUUCCAAUAAUACCGGCGAUGGGGUUUGAUUCACCAUUUGCUGCCAUUGUGGGAAAUUACAGUUUUUUUUCGCGGUCGGAAAACAAAAAGUAGUAACAGAGAAUAUGAGGAAAGGAAGAGGAGAGAGAAACAUAAGAGAAAAAAUGGAAGAAAAAGGAGAGAGGAGAGAGAGUGUAGAAGAAAUAGAAGAAAGAUGAGAGAUGAGAGAGAGUGUAGAAGAAAUAGAAGAAAAAGGAGAGAGGAAAGAGGAGAGAGGAGAGAGAGUGUAUAAAGUGAAAAAAAGUGGGGUCAGGGACUGAACUGCAUGUUUAUGUUUGCUGUAGGGACUGACCCGCUAGUAAAACAUUACUGGGGACUGACCCGUAUGUUUGUUUUUGAGUUGGGAAUUUAUCUGUACUUGUCCCAAAAAAAACCUUCUUGUUUAAAUAAUUACAACCUCUCCCAGUUAACUAUUGUCUUACGAAAACUCCCUCAUUUAAUAAGUCAUAAAGAUGGACGUGUAAACAAUAGAUAGUUGAUGAGAGUGAUUGUAAUUACCCAAACAUGAGAAAUUUUUAAAAUUUAAUUUUAUCUUAUGAGUGAUUGUAAUUACCCAAACAUGAGAAAUUUUUAAAAUUUAAUGUUAUCUUAUGGCUGACUGUAAUUUGGCCUUAUUUUAUGAGUGAAUGUGCACAAAAUUGUUGUAUGUAACAACCAAUCAAACACAAGAUUUAACAAAUGAUGAAAUGAGAUUAACCAAACCAUCAAAUACUAAAUAAGAAGAACCACAUUCACACAAACAUCAAUCUUCUCCUCAAGACACAAAACUCUCCGCCGCAUUUCUCCACCUUCUCUUCCCAAACAAUCACUAUCUAAAUUCGAGUCGUUUUGGUAGACGGCGAGGGAAUUGUUAGAGCUGAUGUUCCUUUUAGGAGGGCAGAAUCGAAGUAUAAUGUUGAACAAGUAUGUGUAAUCGUUGAGUUCUAUGGCAGCGAACUCAAUGAAGCCAUUUAUAGUGAUCCUGUUACCGUAAAAAAAUAUGCUAGACGUGCUCAAUUGGGUGAAAUUUUUGAAUUAGAUCGUUCGACUUUGAAAUCCGAUGGUGUUUUUCGUAGCAGUCCAAGGGGAUGGUUUACUGUUGGUGGUAAUACCUACACCCAAGUGCACAUAUCGUACAAGUAAUAAAGUGGAUUUUUAAGUUCAAGUAUCGAUCCCACAGAUAAUAUUUAAUUAUUUAAUCCUAGACGCUAAAUUCUACCAAUUGCUAUCAAGCCCACCCUACACAGUCGAAAGAUGAAUAAUAAACUAAAUUAAAGUAAAGCAAUUAAAACAAAUUAAAAAGGCAAAAACAAGAAAGAAAUUUAGACGAAGAUUUAAUCAAAGUAAACAAGCCUAGGAUUUUAUUCUUCUCCCUAUGUAAUUAUUACUCCCCCAAUUCCUUCAAUUAUGCAAGUAAUUAACUCAGAUUAUUAACAUGAGAUGCUAAAUUAAUCAUAACUCGCUUCCGCGUGUAUUACGAUUCUAAUACUCUAGAUUCAAUUAAUGUAUUCCUACGCAAUUAAUUAUAGAACACAUCAUUAAGCACAAAUCUCAAUAAUGGCUAUUUAAGAGAUUAACUAUAUUCCUAUGUUAAUACCACAAAGGAUCUUCUACCACAGUUCUAAUUAUUAACUCGAUCUUCCGAUUCAUGCGAUUAACAAUAACAUAAAAGCACAUAAGAUGAUCAAAUUCAUGCACUUAAUAAAACAAGUAGAAGAAAUAAUCCGGAAUUAAAACUUACAUAAGAUCAUAGAAUUGCGUUCAUAAAUCCCACAUAGGGUUCGGAUAAAAUUCUAGAAAUAAAGACUUAGCUACUCGUGAUUCUUAUGAUAAAGAAAAAAAAAUUAAAUAAGAAAAAAGUACACUUGAGUCUUCGUUGAUCUUCGUUUCUCGCGUUUUGUGGUGUAUAAAUUCCGUUCCUUAUGGUGUAGAGACUUGUUGCUUUUAUAGGCUUUUCUUGAUAAGGAAGUAGUGGAAACCUAAUAGGAAUCAAUUUUCGCCACUUUUCCCCAUGAGGAUUUGUUCUUCGAUUUCCGCCAUGUUGGAGCCCGAUGUUUGGAAUGUUGCGUGAAUAAAAAUUGUAGCCAAUGCCGCCAAAAUCAGCUGAUUUGGAGUUCGUAUGAGAGAGAUAUGCUCGAAAUGGUGGACACUGCCAAAGCUGUUGCGAGAUUCCUUCUUCCUAUUUGAUUUAUUUCCUUAUUUGCAACUUUUUCCUUUCUUUUUGAUCUUUCUUUCUUCAUGGACACAUAAUUCUCGUUUUAACCUAUAAAACACAAAAUCAAUCAAUUAAAGCACAAAUAUAAUUAAAUCUAAACAAAAGAUCCACUUAAAGUAAACAUAUUGAGAGUAAAAUCUACACUCAACAUUUACUUUUGGGCAUACUUCCUUUGUUUUGCCCUUCUUCUUCAGACAUAUUUGGCAAGGUGCUAGAACCUUGUUCAGAGAUGUUUUUGCUGGUAUUGACCCAGAUUUAGACGCUCAAGUAGAGUUUGGAGCAGCCUCUUCAAUCUCACCUCUCUCCAUCCAACAUUUCUCCAAUUUAAUCCCAGUUUUCCAAACACCAUACACAUACCUCGAAUCCACCAUUUGAUCGCCGAAAAAGGCGACCAAAUUAUCGGUACUCUUUCGCAAAUACUCUUCAGCAUGGGAGGACUGUUCCCAUUGUGUUUCCGCGCGAACCAUGGUCCCAAUAAUUCAUGUUUUAAUAUUAUCAUAUUUAAGUAGAAAAAUUUAGAAAUAUUUAUUUAAAGCGUACUUUUGAUUAAAUUAAAUUAUUAUCUAUCUAUACUAUCUAUAAAAGGAUGAAUAUAAUUGGGGUUUCUUCCAUUUUUUUAUAUACAAAAAUGCCCCUAGGUGAUUAAGUUAGUAAAAACAAUUUAAUUAAAUAAAAAAAUUAACACAUCUAUACGUAGAGGUAAAUCUACAAAUGAAUAGGUACAUGAAUGUUUAAGUAACCGAUUCAAAUAAUGGGUUAAAGAAUUUGAGGAGUUUGGGAGAAUGAAUACUAAAAUCGACCAUUUGACUACCUUUUUGCUACUAUAAAAUGCAUUAUAUUUAGAGUGGAAAGAAGGGCAAUUCUCCACUUUCACAUUUUGGUGUACUAACAGAAACAUGUUUCUCCAUUUUGUUUCUACAAGUUCUUCGGUCAACGGUUGGCAACUAUAUUUGGCAAGUACAAGGAGCUAUGUGUGAUCUCUUUUAUCUGUUUUGUAGAUUUAUCAUUCAUUUUUUAUUUGCUUUUCAAUUUUUUGUUGCAAAUUCGAAAAAAUUGUCGUAAGUCACUACAAAUUUCUUAGCAUUGAAAUAAAAUGGCAACUUCUGUACAAGAGAUUAAACUUAUUUGCUUGAUGUGUAUCGAGAGUUGGAUGUCGGGCUUUUCAGGUUUAGGAAUUGGUUUUGUUCUACGGUGUUUAAUAUCGAAUUUCCUAGAAAUGAUAUUUUGUUUUUUUAGGGUGAGUGGAUUUUCCGGUUUAGGUAGUUGUUUUGUUCAGCAGUGUUUCAUAACAUAGAAUUUUAUAGAAAUGAUAUUUUUUUCUUCUUAUUUAGGUUGAAAUUUUAUUUACAAAUUCGAUGAACUUCAAAGAAACUUUUAUUUAAUAACACUUUAGAGAAUAACGACUAAACGAUAAAAAUAAUGUAUAUUUAGAAUCAUUUAGAAAAUUACUUUGUCUGAGGAUAAAUUUUCACCAUAUUGUUCAAGCAUAAUUCGAUUUCAAAAGAAAAAAUAAGAAUUCAACUUAUGAUUCAAAAAGUUGUAUUCUCAUAAUAAAAUAAAUGAAUAAAGAGAAUAUGGUAUAAUAUAUUAAUAUUAGUCAUCUACUUGAUAAAGGAAGCCUUUGAGAAACAGAAAAUAAAGUAUUAUAUGAAAUUUCGAUGACAUUUAAUAUGUGCAUUUAAUUUAAACUUGAGUAUCAUAAAAUGGCAAUAUCAUCACUUAAUUAUUGAUAAAAAAAUUAGCACAAAGCUAAGAAAAUUACACCACUACGUGAGAUAUUAUGCGUAUUUUUUUAGUUGAAAGUAAAAAAAAUACAUAACAUACAUUAUUAAUAGUAAAACAAGUAGCAGCUACAACUUACAUGAUACAAUUUUUUUUUUAGUAAAAUUAUUGAAACGGUGAGAGUACCUCACUUAUAUGGAGUAUAAUUUAUGCAAAUUAUCUAUCUUUAAGAUUAAAGAAAAGGUAAGGUGUCCAAUUUACAACAACUAGUACUACACCCGUGCGAUGCACGGGGUAAUCAUUUUAAAAACAAAUAUUUAAUAAUAAAGAGUUUAUAAAUAUAGCAAGAUCAAUUGUUGAUAUGUAAUACAAAAAAGUAGUAAAUAUUAAAAAAAAAAAAAAAAAAAAAGUAAUGAUAUAUCUCUGUUCAAACUUUGAAUUCGAUACAAACAAUCAGGUUUUUUAUACCAAUAACUCUAAACGCGUGUAACGACUCCAAUGCAUUGCAGUUGACCUGCAUAUUUUGUGCAAUAAUCAUAUGAAAGAAGUAAAACGUUAACAAAACAAUACCAAUAUAAAUGUUUAAUAAUAUAAAAUAAUUUUAAGAAAUUACUUUUUUGAGCAAGUUUGUAGUACAAAUUCAAUUACGCUACGAAUGAGCAAUAACAAAACAUAUAACUAAUAUAAAAUAAAGGUUGUUAUUUUCUACCGUAUAAAUUUUUAUAUAGGAGUAAUGGUUAUUUCUAUGCUACACCUGGUGAAAACUAACCGGGUGAUUUUUUACCGUUGAUCUACACAUACCAAUGUGGGUGUGGGUGUGUUUGGGUGUAUAUGAAUGGAAAAGAUCUAACCGGUGUAGCAUAGAAUAGACCUAGGAGUACCUUCAUAUACGCUGAAAAACUUCAUUGUAUACAACAUUAUUCAUUGGGAAUCUCAAUUGCCGCAUCACCAUCAUUGACCUCGUCAACAUCGCCAUUACCGAUUCUCAAUAUCCACUCCACAAACACUUUUAUUUCGUCCGCAUUGACGGAAGGGAAUGGCAACUGAAGUCUAUUGUUUUUGUUCAACAUCAUAACCUUAUAUUGUCUCCACAACGGUGAUGAAUUAAUUGUAGGAUGAACAAUGUCUUGUCUCGAUGCUUUCAACAGAACUGGUAGAAUUUGCCGAAAGUCCCCUCCAAGAACUACAACCUUGCCUCCGAAUGGCAUAUCUGAAUCAAGUAUCGAUUUCAUUGUAUUGUCAAGUGCUUCGAAACAGUACUUGUGCAUCAUCGGUGUCUCUUCCCAUAUGAUUAGUUUUGAUCUAGACAAUAAUACCACAUGUGGAUUUUGUUGUUUGAUGCUACACGUGGAGCUCUCAUGUACAAUUAUUGGCAGUCCAAAUCUCGAAUGUGCAAUUCCACCGGAGAGUAAAAGCGAAGCAAUGCCACUGGAAACAACGUUUAUUACUAUUCGCCUCUUGAACGGAUAGCAUCGGAUAAAAUUAAUACUAAUCUAAUAUUACCAUUACCAUUACCGUCCAUUACCUUUACCGUUACCGUUACCAUUACCAUAACAAAUAUUACUACUAAUCUAAUGAUAUUAUUACUAUUAGUAAUACUAAUGCUACUGAUAAUCCUAGUAUGCUAAUGCCAUUGUCAAUGUCAAUGCUAAUACUAAUCAUAAUCCUAAUUCUAAUGCUGAUUUGAAUACGUUAAUGCUAAUGUUAAUCCUAAUAUGCUAAUGUUAAUCUUAAUCCUAGUAUUUCAAUGCUAAUAAACUAAUAAUAAUUCUAAUUCUAAUGCUAAUCAUAACCCUAACACUAAUUCUAAUGCUCAUUCUAACCCAAAUCACAAUCCUAAUAUUAAUCAUAAUCAUAAUCUUAAUCAUAAUCAUAAUAGAAUCCUAAUGAUAAUGUUAAUCUCAAUCUUAAUAAUAAUCCUAAUCCUAAUAAUAAUACUAAUCAUAGUUCUAAUCCUAAUAGAAAUUCACAUAUGCUAAUGCUAACGCUAAUCUUAAUACGAAUUCUAAUAUGGUAAUAUUAACGCUAAUGCUAAUAUUGAUCAUAAUUCUAAUCAAAAUGCUAAUACUAAUAUACUAAUAGUAAUUUUAAUCAUAAUGUUAAUCCUAAUACUAAUAGUAAUCCUAAUAUGCUAAUGUUAAUUCUAAUCCUAAUGCUAAUGAUAAUUCUAAUAUACUAAUGCAAAUGCAAACGCUAAGGUUAAUAUGCUAAUGUUGAUCGUAAUUCUAAUUCUCCUGCUACUGCUAAUGCUUAAUAAACAUAAUCCUAAUGCUGAUGUUAAUGCUAAUCCUAAUGCUAACACUAAUGGUAAUUCUAAUUCUAAUAUACUGAUGCUAAUGCAAACGCUAAGGUUAAUAUGCUAGUGUUAAUCAUAAUUUUAAUUCUCCUGCUACUGCUAAUGCUUAAUAAACAUAAUCCUAAUGCUGAUGUUAAUCCAAAUAUGCUAAUGCUAAUGUUAAUGUUAUACUAAUGUAGAUGAACAAAAUAUGCUAAUUCUAAUGCUAAUUUUAAUUCUAAUACUAAUCUUAAUUCUAAUGCUAAUCUUAAUCUUAAUUAUAAUCCAAAUACUGAUGUUAAUAUUAAAAUCCUAAUCGUAAUUAUAAAGCUAAUACUAAUUCUAAUUCUAAUACUAAUUAUAAUCUUAAUCUUAUAAUCCUAAUCCUAAUCCUAAUCCUAAUAGAAAUACUAAUACUAACACGCAUUCUAAUUUUAAUCGUAAUCAUAAUUCUAAUACUAAUACUAAUCUUAGUCCUAGUACUAAUCCUAAUAUGUUAAUGAUUACUCUAAUAUGCUAAUGUUGAUCCUGUUGGGUUUCGGGCACGCGUACGCAGCGGAAAACAAAAAUUUUAUGCGAAUUAAACAACUUUAAAACACAUAAGCACAUGCCCGAUAAUUAAAUCAAUUAAUUGCGUACCUUUGCGCUUCCAGCGAAAUUAAAAACAACAUACAUUGCGUACCUUUGCGCUUCCAGCGAAAUUAAAACAACAUACAUGCUUAAUUACUUAAUCGAAAUUAAAUCAAUUAGCACGCUCGCGUUUAAAUCAAAUAAUCAUGCUCGCAAUAAUAAAACCAAUUUCAUGUAGUCACAUAAAAUCAUACAAGUUUCUUAUUAAAACGAACAUGCAUAUAUUAAUUUAAACGUAACCGAAUCGAAUGACAAUUGAUUCGAAACAUUACCUCUUGAAGCGUGAGGUAGGCGCACUAAGCAAAGCUAGAUUCCCACGGAAACCAAUCCGUGCAAUCCGGGGCAGCAACGGCGAUGAUCCGAGCUACGGCAGCGCAUGUGAUUCACGCGCAGAGAAGAUGGCUAGCUGCUCUUCCCACUCCUAUUGAUCCAACCUGUUUGCUGAUCUGAAAUUAUAGCCUUGCUCCGACUUCAGUAUCUCCAUGCUUAUUUUCUGGAUGAACAAUUCCUUCUAGAAGAUGGUAGAUUUAUGAGUCGUGAAGCUGCUGUCAAAAUUUCACGUCCAUCGGAUGACCGGUUGAUUUAUGGCGAAUUUUCUCGCUGGGCAGCCCAGAAAAUCCGAGAGCAGUUUUUCGGAAUUGCCUUUUCGCAUCUUCGCAUCUUCGAUCUUCCUCCUCUUGGAUUUCACCUCGUAUACUUCGAUCUACUAAACACGUGGCACUAGACACGUAAUAGUCAGAAUAACGGAAGAAAAGAAAGAAGGAAAGGAAUACCGAAAGAGAUCGGCCAACGGGUGGCUGAUUCCGGCGAAUUUCCGGCGACGACGCGGUGGUGGUGGCCGUGGGAGAGGGUGGCUGAUCGAGAGAGGCAGCGGCUAGGGUUAUGAACGUGUGUUCUCUUAGUUGUGUGUGUGCAAGACCUAUAAAUCAAGUAUUUAUAUGUCUUGCAUAAAACCCUAACGGGCUUAAGUUGGACCGGGCCCAACAGCUUAAGUUCGUUAGUUCUCUUACUUGCUCAUCUCUCUCAAUUCGAUGAUCGGAAAACUGUAACGAUUACAUUUUCGGAAUCAUUAUAAUGUCCUCGUCAUUACGAGUGCCAACUCUCGAUUUCCAACUUUCCAAAAGUGGAAACCCUAAUUCAGUGCACUUUCUAAAUUUGGAAACUUCCCGAUUUAGAAGGUUCACUAAUACGUUCGCCUAUUCUUUUCCUUUUCUUAUUCUCAUUCAUAAUUCCAAAUUACGAAUGUUGGACCCAAUCAUAUUGACUUCCAAUCAUGCAAAGAUAAACAUAUUUUACCUUUGACCGUUUAUUCAAAGAUCUCAUGUGCACGAGCAGUGUGACCCUCGAUGGUUCAGGUGUAAGCUAGCCGUGGGCCCACAACCCUUUGUGGUCAAAACUCGUCCCCUUAGAGUUACGAUUAAGAUGAAACUCAUUUCACCUUAAUCACCCAACGAAUCAAGAUUGGCGUCUAGCAACUACACGUCAUGAUUCCCUAGAUACAAAUGAAGUGCCUGCAAGAACCUUCAGAUAUAGUUAACGUACAGUACGGUCCCUUCGAUUCAUAUGUCCCGAUCGAACUAGAGGCAUUGGUUCAUCGAGACCUCUUUAUAUGUUCGAUGACGGUGCGAUCGUUCCAAGUGUUGUAAUCGUCACGUGCAUGACUUAGAGAAUCGAAUUCUCUAAUCAUCACUUAGUCAGCUCUGGCCAGAGACUUAGAAUGAUUACAAACUAUCAGAACACACAGGACAUCCAAGACUAUUCUAGCGAUCGAAUCCCCGACUACAAUGCACAGACCUCCCACUAGAUUUCGGACUGCACGAACACUGGCCCUUGGGAUGGUCCUCGGUGGAACUCAGGGACAGGUCACGAUACAGCUGGUCCUCUAGUGAAGUCACGGUGAUGUCUAGGUCAUAAGGACUAAUGGUGUACAACUAUACCAUAGAUAUCUCUACUCGAUUAUUGGGAACCACUUAGAGAUUUCUAGGGUGAGGGAGUUCAGUGAACUCGUCAACUUACGAGCACCCACUUAUGCAUGCCGAUAUCACAAUACCGUUUACUGAUGAGAUGCAGUACACAUACACUAAGUGCUAGUCUCUAAUGGGAAAGGCCGAUAUCCUCAUUGGUGGCGUAACCCUUCGACUAGGAACACGUUUAACAGUUAUAAUACUUAAGCAAAUAUCUCACGAUCCUAACGAUCAAUUACUAGUACUUGUAAUAACUGUAAGGACUAUAUCUAUGCUUGUGACAAAGGGACAAAGAUAUAGAAUGCCAAGGUCUUUUAUCAUUAAUACGAAUAAAGGUUCGUUUAUUACCAUAAUAAAUACGAAAGACCACAGCCACAUGUUGGCUUGUUGGUCACCUACUCUAACAAUCUCCCACUUGACCUAAAGCCAACUACCCACGAAUCGCAAUCCCAUCGACUCUCGAUGUUUCUCGUGGAUCGAUUUCGGUAAAGGCUUCGUAAAGGGGUUUGCAACGUACUCUUUCGAGGUGACUCAUUCUACUUUAACUUCACCUCUAUCAAUGAUCUCUCGGAUCACAUGAUACUUUCUCAGAAUAUGCUUCGACUUCUGAUGAGAACGUGUCUCCUUAGCUUGCGCCACGGCUCCGGUGUUAUCACAGUACAACGGUACUGGAUCACUAGCAUCAGGAAUGACACCCAACUCUUGGAUGAAUUUCCUUAUCCAAGUCCCUUCUUUUGCAGCUUCAGAUGCUGCAAUGUAUUCCGCUUCGGUAGUGGAAUCGGCCGUCGUGCUUUGCUUGGAACUCUUCCAACACACGGCACCACCUUAAGCGUGAAUAUAAAUCCAGAAUUCGACUUUGAGUCGUCCACGUCCGAUUGAAAACUAGAGUCGGUAAAACCCUCUAAUUUCAAUUCGGCACCUCCAUAGACCAAAAAUAUAUCCUUAGUCCUUCGCAAGUACUUGAGGAUAUCUUUCACGGCUUUCCAGUGAGCCGGGCCGGGGUUAGACUGAUAUCUGCUUGUGACACUCACAGCAUACGCAAUAUCGGGUCUCGUACAUAGAAUGCCAUACAUUAUGCUUCAUAUGGCAGAAGCAUAGGGCGUCCUUUUCAUCUCCUCGACUUCACUAGGUGUUUGCGGACACAUAGAUUUCGAGAGACGAACCCCAUGGGACAUUGGCAAGAAUCCCUUCUUGGAUUCUUCCAUGCUAAACCGUUUCAUAACGGUGUCUAUGUACAGGCUUUGGGAUAAACCAAGCAUCUUUCUCGCUCUAUCUCUAUGGAUGCGUAUUCCUAAUACAUAAGAUGCUUCUCCCAAAUCCUUCAUUGAGAAACGUGUGGACAACCAUGCUUUCGUUUGUUGCAGCAUUCCUACGUCAUUCCCAAUGAGUAGAAUGUCGUCAACGUAAAGCACUAAAAAUAUCACUGCCCUCCCACUAACCUUCUUGUAUACACAAGGUUCCUCCGGAUUCUUCUCAAAAUCAAACUCUUUGAUAGUUGAGUCGAACCUAAUGUUCCAACUUCGGGAUGCUUGUUUCAAUCCAUAAAUGGAUCGCUGGAGUUUGCAAACUUUUUGCUCACUUCUAGAAGAUAUGAAGCCUUCCGGCUGCGCCAUAUAAAUUUCUUCCUCAAUAUCUCCAUUAAGGAAAGCGGUCUUCACAUCCAUUUGCCAUAUCUCGUAGUCGUACCACGCAGCUAUGGCCAGCAAAAUCCUAAUGGACUUCAGCAUCGCGACUGGCGAAAAGGUUUCCUCAUAGUCAACACCUUGCCUUUGAGUGUAUCCUUUCGCUACCAAUCUAGCUUUAUAGGUCGAUACCUUUCCAUCCACUCCAAUUUUCUUCUUAUAGAUCCACUUGCAGCCUAUAGGAACAAUUCCCUUAGGUGGAUCUACCAAGGUCCAUACCUUGUUGGAGUACAUGGAGUCCAUUUCGGAUUUCAUGGCAGUUAGCCAAUGUCCCAUGUCCGCAUCCGAUACGGCCUCAUUGUAUGUUCUUGGAUCUUGUCCAAGAUCAACAUGAUCUUCAUCAUUCGAGGAGGAAUAACCUAUCCGGCAUUUUCCGAACUCUUUCGGAUCUACGUACCGUAGGUUCAGGAGGUAUAUUAGUGUAUUGUUGUAUUGGUUCGAUUACUUGUUCUUGCGCUUGAACUUCACUUUGUGGUCUUUGAACUACUUCAAGUUCUAUCGUGCUGCUUUUCUAUCCCAUUGAAUCUUCGGGAUACCCCACAAAAUAGCACAAGUCGGAUUUACUAUCCAACUUAUCUCCCACUAAUCGCUUCACAUAAGCGGGAAAACCCCAUAUCCUAAUAUGUUUGUAGUUGGGUUUCCGGGAAUGCCAAAGUUCUUUAUCAUUAAUAUCUCACUACGUUUUGCUGAAUUUCGCCUUAGGGGCCCCCACUACCUUCACCCACUUCGAACUUGUUGUUUUGAAAGGGAACUCUUUCCUUUCUCUUCUUUUGGGGAGAACUAUUCUUUGCAGAAGUAACAGCAAUGAGAACAGACUUCUCUUUCUUAAUGGUGGACUCGAAACUGACCAACAUGUUCAUUAACUAAUCCAAGGGAGGAUCUAGUUUGUUCAUGUUGAAGUUCACUAUGAACGAUUCAUAGGAACUAGGGAGAGAUAACAUGAUCAAAUCCAACGAGAGCUCGGCUGGGAGGGUGACAUCAAGAUUCACUAGCUUUUCAAGGAGAGUGAUCAUUUUGAGACAGUGCUCGUGGACCGAAGUCCCUUCUCGCAGUCUUGCCGUGAUCAACUCCUUUGUAGCAGCGUACCUCGAUGCCCUAAUAUUCUCACUAUACAUGCUAUCGAGAUGAGCCUUUAUAUCGAAAGCAUGCAUGUGAGACUCAUAUUUCCUCGCAAGCGCGGGCUCCAUGGCGGCUAUCAUAUAGCACCUAGCAUGUGUGUCAUCUUUCUUCCAAGCUUCAUAAGUUUCCUUUUCAGCAUCAGUCGCUGUGGCAGGUAUAGUGGCGGGAAGUCUCUCGUUCAAAACAUAGAGACGCCCCUCAACGGUUAGCACAAGCUUAAGACUACGCAACCAAUCUAGGUAAUUAGGGCCAUUGAGUUUAUUGUCGAGGAUUGACAUUAUGGGAUUCAUAGACAUGAUUAUUUGAGACAUAUAGAGAAGAGGAUUAUUAGAGAUUCGCGUUAAAUGAUUGUUACAAUUAAAUGUUUGGACUUGUGUUAUUUAAUUGUUCUCCCACUAAUUUUAUCGAGUUCCACUUCCCUCUAGUAGACAAACGAGAAAACUGAUUUUUCUUAAUGGGCUUUAGGUCCAAUAGACAAAUAUAACCCGUAGUUAAUCUAGCCCGAUUAUAUUUGCCCAAAGGUAGAUCACAAUCAAUCAUAUCCACAAUAUGACCCUAAAUUAAUUUUCCUCACACUUGAUAAUGACCUAAGUUAAUCUCGCGAAUAUCAAAAUCGUCGUGUGUCAAGUCUAACCUACCAAUCAAAGAUGCUCAUAGAACUUGAUUAUGCCAAACUAAUGCAGUCCCUAGUUAAUCUAGCCGACCACGUUAAUUCAACAUAACCCCUUUCUAUGGCUACCUUCAUCGCUAUGUCAAUUGAAUUACAGCUUACUCUACCAUAGCACUCCCCGCUAACACGGCUUACUGCACUAUAGUAAAGGGCUACACAUAAUCCAACCGUUGGCAGAAGGAAAGAAAUAACUCAACAGAUUGGGUUUUUCUUUAUAGCUUGAAAUGAUUCUUAAUUAAAUUAAGAAUGAGGGAUUUUUAUUAAAAUGUUUUAUCUCAUCAGAAGGUUUGGAUUGGUCUAUGUGAUUCCUACAUCUAUGUUCUCUAAAGGUAUAUGGAAGCGCAUAUUGUCCUAAGAGGAACAUACGACCUAAUUUCAUAAUUAAUUACAUUAAUUAAUUAUCGAGUUUUUCAAAAUAAUUAUAGAACCUCAACUAGCAUAAAUCAUUCAAAUAAUGUUGAGGUACUACUAAUUAAGUUGAAUCAUAAUCAAAAUUAUGAAUGUGUUCUAUUAAUUGAAAUCAAUUUAACAAUUUAAAUUAAUUAAUUAAUCUAACACCUAUUUACUAAAAUAGAUGAUUGUCGAUCCAAUUAUCUAAUUGGGAUUAAUUGAAAAUAAUUUUCCGAAAAUUAAAAUCAAUUUGUUUUAAGUUUAAUUUUAGAAAUCUGAAAUAAAUUUUUUUUUUUUUUUUCAGUGAACCGGUUCGGCCGACCGGUCUGACCGGUUCGGACCGAAACGGUCCGGUUCUGCCCGGUCCAAUUGACCCAAAUCAGUGGGCCGGGUCAGUCGGACCGAGAACCGGUCUGACCGACCCGAAUCCACUUGGAUUCGGUCGAUUGGAUCGUGCACAACCAUCGAACCGGCCGGUUCGACCGGUUCGAUCCAAAUAAUUAAAAACCGACGUUUAAAAAAUAAUUUCAGAUCCGUUUUUCCAAUUUCAAACAAUUUUAAAGCUGGAAAAAUUCUAAACAAUAUUUCAAAAAUAUUUUAAACUUACGAAAACUCCCAAUUACAUAAUACAACAAUCACUACUUCAAUAAAUCGAACAUGCAUAAAAUCAUAGCAUAUUAAAACGAACGCAAUUAAUUGCGCAACGAGCUCUGAUACCACUGUUGGGUUUCGGGCACGCGUACGCAGCGGAAAACAAAAAUUUUAUGCGAAUUAAACAACUUUAAAACACAUAAGCACAUGCCCGAUAAUUAAAUCAAUUAAUUGCGUACCUUUGCGCUUCCAGCGAAAUUAAAAACAACAUACAUUGCGUACCUUUGCGCUUCCAGCGAAAUUAAAACAACAUACAUGCUUAAUUACUUAAUCGAAAUUAAAUCAAUUAGCACGCUCGCGUUUAAAUCAAAUAAUCAUGCUCGCAAUAAUAAAACCAAUUUCAUGUAGUCACAUAAAAUCAUACAAGUUUCUUAUUAAAACGAACAUGCAUAUAUUAAUUUAAACGUAACCGAAUCGAAUGACAAUUGAUUCGAAACAUUACCUCUUGAAGCGUGAGGUAGGCGCACUAAGCAAAGCUAGAUUCCCACGGAAACCAAUCCGUGUAAUCCGGGGCAGCAACGGCGAUGAUCCGAGCUACGGCAGCGCAUGUGAUUCACGCGCAGAGAAGAUGGCUAGCUGCUCUUCCCACUCCUAUUGAUCCAACCUGUUUGCUGAUCUGAAAUUACAGCCUUGCUCCGACUUCAGUAUCUCCAUGCGUAUUUCCUGGAUGAACAAUUUCUUCUAGACGAUGGUAGAUUUUUGAGUCGUGAAGAUGCUGUCAAAAUUUCACGUCCAUCGGAUGAUCGGUUGAUUUAUGGUGAAUUUUCUCGCUGGGCAGCGCAGAAAAUCCGAGAGCAGUUUUUCGGAAUUGCCUUCUCGCAUCUUCGAUUCUUCGAUCUCCCUCCUCUUGGAUUUCACCUCGUAUACUUCGAUCUACUAAACACGUGGCACUAGACACGUAAUAGUCAGAAUAACGGAAGAAAAGAAAGAAGGAAAGGAAUACCGAAAGAGAUCGGCCAACGGGUGGCUGAUUCCGACGAAUUUCCGGCGACGACGCGGUGGUGGUGGCCGUGGGAGAGGGUGGCUGAUCGAGAGAGGCAGCGGCUAGGGUUAUGAACGUGUGUUCUCUUAGUUGUGUGUGUGCAAGACCUAUAAAUCAAGUAUUUAUAUGUCUUGCAUAAAACCCUAACGGGCUUAAGUUGGACCGGGCCCAACAGCUUAAGUUCGUUAGUUCUCUUACUUGCUCAUCUCUCUCAAUUCGAUGAUCGGAAAACUGUAACGAUUACAUUUUCCAUUUUCGGAAUCAUUAUAAUGUCCUCGUCAUUACGAGUGCCAACUCUCGAUUUCCAACUUUCCAAAAGUGGAAACCCUAAUUCAGUGCACUUUCUAAAUUUGGAAACUUCCCGAUUUAGAAGGUUCACUAAUACGUUCGCCUAUUCUUUUCCUUUUCUUAUUCUCAUUCAUAAUUCCAAAUUACGAAUGUUGGACCCAAUCAUAUUGACUUCCAAUCAUGCAAAGAUAAACAUAUUUUACCUUUGACCGUUUAUUCAAAGAUCUCAUGUGCACGAGCAGUGUGACCCUCGAUGGUUCAGGUGUAAGCUAGCCGUGGGUCCACAACCCUUUGUGGUCAAAACUCGUCCCCUUAGAGUUACGAUUAAGAUGAAACUCAUUUCACCUUAAUCACCCAACGAAUCAAGAUUGGCGUCUAGCAACUACGCGUCAUGAUUCCCUAGAUACAAAUGAAGUGCCUGCAAGAACCUUCAGAUAUAGUUAACGUACAGUACGGUCCCUUCGAUUCAUAUGUCCCGAUCGAACUAGAGGCAUUGGUUCAUCGAGACCUCUUUAUAUGUUCGAUGACGGUGCGAUCGUUCCAAGUGUUGUAAUCGUCACGUGCAUGACUUAGAGAAUCGAAUUCUCUAAUCAUCACUUAGUCAGCUCUGGCCAGAGACUUAGAAUGAUUACAAACUAUCAGAACACACAGGACAUCCAAGACUAUUCUAGCGAUCGAAUCCCCGACUACAAUGCACAGACCUCCCACUAGAUUUCGGACUGCACGAACACUGGCCCUUGGGAUGGUCCUCGGUGGAACUCAGGGACAGGUCACGAUACAGCUGGUCCUCUAGUGAAGUCACGGUGAUGUCUAGGUCAUAAGGACUAAUGGUGUACAACUAUACCAUAGAUAUCUCUACUCGAUUAUUGGGAACCACUUAGAGAUUUCUAGGGUGAGGGAGUUCAGUGAACUCGUCAACUUACGAGCACCCACUUAUGCAUGCCGAUAUCACAAUACCGUUUACUGAUGAGAUGCAGUACACAUACACUAAGUGCUAGUCUCUAAUGGGAAAGGCCGAUAUCCUCAUUGGUGGCGUAACCCUUCGACUAGGAACACGUUUAACAGUUAUAAUACUUAAGCAAAUAUCUCACGAUCCUAACGAUCAAUUACUAGUACUUGUAAUAACUGUAAGGACUAUAUCUAUGCUUGUGACAAAGGGACAAAGAUAUAGAAUGCCAAGGUCUUUUAUCAUUAAUACGAAUAAAGGUUCGUUUAUUACCAUAAUAAAUACGAAAGACCACAGCCACAUGUUGGCUUGUUGGUCACCUACUCUAACAGAUCCUAAUAUGUUAAUGCUAAUAUUCUGAUGUUAAUUGUAAUACUACUACUAAUCACAAUGAUAAUAAUAAUAAUCCAAAUAUGCUAAUGAAGAUAUUAAUGCUAGUGUUAAUCCUAAUCCUAAUGCUAAUUUUGAUCCUUAUUCUAGUCAUAACCGUAAUCGUAAUCCUAAUGCUAAUGUUAAUUAUAAUACUAAACUUAAUACUAAUCAUAUACUAAUAUUAAUUAUAAUCCUAACACAAAUAGUAACACUAACACCAACUCUAAUACUAACACUAACACUACUAUUACUGACACUAUGACUAACUAAUACUAAUUUUAAUCCUAAUACUAAUACUAAUUUUAAUACUAAUAUUAAUACUAAUAUUAAUACUAAUACUAAUACUAAUACUAAUACUAAUACUAAUACUAAUACUAAUACUAAUACUAAUACUAAUACUAAUACUAAUACUAAUACUAAUACUAAUACUAAUACUAAUACUAAUACUAAUACUAAUACUAAUACUAAUACUAAUACUAAUAUUAAGGCCCCGUUUGGUAGCCAAGAUAAGCCAUGAAACUAAAUAGUUGGACUUAGUUUGAUGUUUGGUAUCCUCAAUAAAUUGUCGGGUCGACCCACCAAAAUUAUAUAAUCAUGGCUUAUCUUGCCUUAUCUUGGGUUAUCUUGUCUUAUAAUGAGUUUUUUUUUUUUUGUUGGACGUUUCAAGCUCCAAUAAAAUAGUUGGGUUUCAUUAGGUUAUUUAAUCUUAUAUUGGCUAAUCUUAUCUUGCCAACCAAACGGUGCCUAAUAGCUUACACUAAUACUAAUACUAAUACUAAUACUAAUAAUAAUACUAAUAAUAAUAAUAAUACUAAUAUUAAUAUUAAGACUAAUUCUAAUACUAAUAUUUAAUGCUAAUACUAAUAGCUAAUACUAAUACUAAUACUAAUACUAAUACUAAUACUAAUACUAAUACUAAUACUAAUAUUAAUACUAAUACUAAGGCCCCGUUUGGUUGGCAAGAUAAGAUUAGCCAAGAUAAGAUAAAAUAAUCUAAUGAGACCUAAUUAUUUUGUUGGAGCUUGAAACGUCCAACAAAAAAAAACUCAUUAGAAGGCAAGAUAAGCCAAGAUAAGGCAAGAUAAACCAUGAUUAUAUAAUUUUGGCGGGUCGACCCGGGAAUUUAUUGAGAAUACCAAACAUCAAAUUAAGUCCAACUAUUUAAUUAAUCAUGGCUUAUCUUAUAUUACUAUUACUAUUACUAUUGCUCAUGCCAUUACCACUACAAGAAAACAGGGCUUCACCGACGAACAUUCAGCGACCAAAUAAGUUGUCGCUAUUUAUUGACAAAUUAUCGACCAAUUUGUGACAGAUUACAAUUUAUUUGCGAGGGAUUCUGAUUUGGUUGGAGACUAGUCGCUGAUUAGCGACGCAUUUACGUUUCAUUGCUAAAUCGUCACUGAUGUUGCAACGCAAUCAAAAGACGUUACUAAUCAGAUGCUAAUUUUGCGACGCAAUCACAUUGAAUCGAUAAAUAGUCACUAUUUUUGUGACGAAUAUCAUUUUCGUCGGACAAUCGUCGCUGUUUCUUCGAUGGAUAUAUUUUUUGUCGGAACUGCGUCACUAAUUGGCGACGAAUUUCAUUUACGUCGGAAAUUUGUCACUACAUUUGGGACGAAUAACCUUUUCGUCGGAACUACGUCACUGAUUUGCGACAACUUUCAAUUCGUCGGUAAUUUAUCACUCUAUUUUGCGACAAAUUUAUUUUUGUUUUUAAUUUGUCACUAAUUGUAUGACGAAUUUGAUUAAAUAAUUCUUAAAGAGCUGAAUGUGUAUACUUUUGUAUUUCUAAUAUUAGGGCUCGGCAAAAAUUAUCAAAUACCGAUUACCACGGUAUACCUACCACAAAUUACCGAAUAAAUACCGAACUAUCGGUUACCACUACAUUUGGUACGGUAUCGGUACCGUACCAUUGUCUUACGGUACGGUAGCGGUAUUGUAUCUUCAAUACCAUAGUAAUACCGUACCGUACCGCAACUUUGUAUUUUUAAAAUUAGUUAAUAUAUUUUUCCUUCUAUAUUGUUAAAUAAAAAAAAUAUAGUCAACAAAUAUUAUAAAAAAAAUAAAAAACAAAAGAAUAACGAUAUGAUACAUCCUAUAUAUAUUAUUUUACAUAAUGAUAAUUUUUUUAUUAUCUUCAUAUAUUCAUGCAAACUCAAUAUUUAGCUCUCGUUAAAGCUUUGUUUAUGUCACGUACUUCUUUAGUUUCAAAGUCCAAUUAAUCUUUUAUUGGUGGAGUACUUUUUGCCAUAAUUUUCUUCUCCCUUUCUUUUCCCCCCGAGUUCCUAGCCUUUUGAUUCAUUUGCAUUAUUGCAAUUUUUUUUAUUUCUCUCACUUAAACCAUGAAACUUUUUUGCUCAUUAUAAGUUUCUACAAUUUUUCUAUAGAUAUCUUAGUAAGCAUUAGUUAAUAAAAACAACAUAUGCUACUACGGUCGUAUAAUGUAUAUUCAUGUAGAUUGCUUGAUUACCACAUUCAUUUGCUUAUUUUUUUGUAUUUAUGCAUUUAUUUAGUAUUCAUCUUAAUUAUGGUAUCAUCCAAGUUCAUCAAAAAAUGAUGUACGGUAGAUUACCACGUACCGAUCAUACCGUACCGAAACUAACGGUAUACCGAAUAACGGUAUACCGCAAUUGUUGGUACGGUAACGGUAUAGAAUUUUUCUAUACCGAAAGAUACGGUAGGUACACGGUAUUGAACAAAAUGUUCGGUAACCGUACCGAAACCACCCCUAUCUAAUAUUAUAAAAGUUAGUAAAUACGCAAUAUAUUUAUUAAAUGUAAAAUAACAAAUUUCAAUAACACCCCCCUAUAAUUCCUUGCAGUUAUUUUCAUUCCCUCUACACUAAUUCUUUUUAGAGUUAACUGCGAAAAAUCCCCUAAACUUUGGACGUUUUUGCGCUUUACCCCCUGAACGGAAAAAAGUUGCACGAGCAUACCUGAACUUGUUAAAUUGUUGCACCGAUGAUUAAAAAAUCCAUUUAUAGCAAAAUUCCUGCCUGAAUUGCACACGUGCAACUCACACGUGAAAAUGAAGGGGCAAUUUCGUCAAUUCACAAGACUUUCAGAUAAAAGAAUAAAAAGAAAAAUUGAAUUUUGUUUUUUGGGGGUAAAGGAAAAAAAAUGAAAGCGGGUCAAAAUAACCCGGAAAAAUUCAUCUGGGAUUCGAUGAGGAGUACAUCGGUGGUGGGGCAGCUUCUUCACAAGGUAAAGCUCUGCCCAAGCUAAUGGUGUGGCUGAUUCUGUUCGUUUCCGCCACGUAUGUUGUGUACGCAUUGAAGCUGGUUUCCACCUCCCACACGGCCGCCGCCGCCUGCGGCGGCGAGGACUUAUUCUCCAAUCGCCACCCACAAACCGUCCGCCUUGCCGAACCGACGGCCGGAAACUUAUUCUCGAGAAAAUGCAUUCAGAGGUACCCUGGUUUGUACGGCUCCGAUGAUAGAAUGCAGGCUUGUAUGGCUGAACUCGGUGUCCCACUCACUAAGGAACUCGGUUUUCACCAGGUCAGACUUCUCGCCUUAAUUUCUUUAUUUUUUUAAUUGAAUUUUUUUCUUUUCUGUAUCCUAUUUAGUGGGGUUUCUGUUUUCAUUUGGGAUUUAGCAUUUAUGCGUGUGUGUGUGUGUGUGUGUGUGUGUUUUUCCCGAAAUCACUACGAAAAAGGGGAAGAAUUUCUACACUUGAAAGCUGUGACCAAAUUAUUAUGAAUUUUCGAUAUGAAUUCAUUGGAGAUUAGGGAUUUUUCAUUUUGAAUUUUUAGUAAUUUUAUAUGAUAAUUUCAGAUGGUGGUGCGGCGGCGGUGGAGAGAGAUGGUGGUGCGGCGGCGAUGGAGAGAGAUGGUGGCGCGGCGGCAGUGGAGAGAGAUGGUGCGGCGGCGGUGGAGAGAGAUGGUGGUGCGGCGGCGCUGGAGAGAGAUGGUGGUGCGGCGGCGGUGAAGAGAGAUGGUGGUGGCGGUGGUGUGAAAAAUCUUCCCCUCUUUUGCAGCAAGAGGGACACGAAGAAGAUGGGUGGGCUUUUUUUCUUUUUCUUUUUUUAUUCUUCCUUUUUCUUUUUUUUUCUUUUUCUGUUCUCCUUUUUUUUUAUUCUUUUAUCUGAAAGUCUUGUGAAUUGACGAAAUUGCCCCUUCAUUUUCACGUGUGAGUUGCACGUGUGCAAUUCAGGCAGGAAUUUUGCUAUAAAUGGAUUUUUUAAUCAUCGGUGCAACAAUUUAACAAGUUCAGGUAUGCUCGUGCAACUUUUUUCCGUUCGUUUAGGGGAUUUUUUGCAGUUAACCCUUCUUUUUAUGUCUUCUCCGUACCCCCCCCUCUUAUUCUCUAUAUCUCGCUCUCACUCCCUCUAUCUCGUGACGGUUCUGGAUCUCGUCAAGUCUCACCGAAAGAGGGGUGGUACCACAUUAUUGCCCGCUCAGUCGCCAUCUACAAGUAGGUAAUUUUUGCAGAGCAUCUUCUUGGGUAAUUUCAUUCUACAGUGCGCAAUUGUCAAAAUUAGGUCUGAGUUACGGGUGUGAAACUAUGAAUAGGUAGUAUUCGCUUAGGUUAUAAUGUGAUUUCUGAGAUUUCUUUCUAGAUAUAUUUUUUUUCUGCGGAUCCAUUUAAACUUUUCUUUUUGUUAAUUGUGUUUUUAAAUUUUCAAAGACGUGCUUGAAUAUUUGGGUUGGGGUUUCAGAAUUUAGUAUAAAUUUAUUUCUUACUUAUAUUUAAAUUGAACAAAGAAAAAAAGGACUUGGUUAUUAGAAGGAAUUCAUUGCCCUAGGUUUCUUUAUAAGGGUUGAAUAUUGUAGCAGACUAUCGGAAUUCAUUGUACUAUAUGCCGGAGAUCCUUAUAUGUGUAUACGUAUGCUUACGAAGGAUAAUAAAUUAAGGCUGAUAGUGUAAUAUUGCUUGAAUUUUUUUGAAAACAAUAUAAUAUAAGUUUCUGAAAACAAUAAUAAUUGAUGCCAUCUACGAGUGUGCUUAUGUGUGUGAAGCAAUAUAAUAAUAGUUUUGAAAGAUGAUGAUAAUGCAAAAAAUGAUUUUGUCCCAACUUUAGUGGUAUCAAAAGUUGGUCAUGGUGAGCAGGAACAGGUGAUUUAAAUAAGUCUAGAGGUAAUUUCUUUGCUCUUCGUUUUUGUGUAUAUUUGCGGUAAGUUCCACGAAAUAUCCGUAACAUAUGCUGCUUGCCUUUCUGACUUCUUAUUAGUUUAGUCUUUUAGUUAUUCAUGGAGUCCCAUUAUUCUCAUCAGAAUGGUCUCUUCAAAUUGAGUUUAAGAAAUGUUUGUUAAAAUAUAGGUUUUCUCGGUAUAUUUUUCGAAGCCUCUGCCUCUAAUAUCAGCAUACAAACUAGUUAUACAUUUAUUUCUUCAAAUCAGGUAAUUUGCUGAUCUUGGUUAUCUAAGUUGUGUGUACUUCUAACUAUAUAUGUAUGUUAUUUUUCCUACUAUUAAACUCUACCUAUUAGAAAUCUUACUUCAUAUGUAUUUUUUCAGUUAUUGGACAUAUUAUUGGCUAAGCUUUUGGCUCGCAAGCACAAAGUACUUGAGUACUUUCGGUUCUUGAUAUGACAUUUGAGUAAUAGUAAGGUACUGAAGAAUUAUUAUUUGGUUCUAUAAGUGCAAGUCAUAAAUUUGUAUUUCUUAAUGAUAACUGUUGUAUGAUUUCAUCUAUUUAUUUUUUUCUAGUGUAGUAUUGAAACAUGCAGGUAGUAUUUUUACCAUGAUAAAGGUUUGUUGCUUUUUAAACAAUGGUUAUUAGGGACUUUGUGAAACUGUAUAGAUUUAGUUCCAUUUUAUGUUAGUAUUUGCAUAAUGUCUUGUUUUCUUGUUUUAACAGAAUUCUUGUUUGAAAUUUCAGAUGAAGUUCAAGGAUUUGGUUCUCUGUUGUUCAAGUGUUCACCAACUAAGAAGGUGAGCAAAAUUCAUUAGAUUGUUGUUGCAUUUGAUUACUCCUUUUGACCGUUUAAAAUCGUAAGAAUAAUGUUACUAUAGUUUUUGUGAUGCAGAUUAUGGGAAUCGACACCGCGCUUGAAAAAUUCCAAACUCUUGGAGAUGAUGACAUUUUGAAGGCAUCGUGUAAAGGUUCUAGAAUAUGAUUUGUUUAGAGAAUGGUGGAUAAAUUAUUGAGAUGGCAUAUGUACAUGGAUAUUGUUUUACAUUUUGAUUUUGAACUUUUUGUGAAUACUGGGAAAUGAUUUAUCAAAUAAUUAGUGAUUUAUAAUAUUUACAUUAUUUAUGCUUGACAAGUCUAUACAUGAAUUCAAAUAGUGUGAAUGGAUAAUAAAUUUCAUUGCUGAAAUUAGUUGGUGGAUCACCGACGAACUGAAUUUUUAUUACCACAUUGGCAGCAAGUGAUUACUGACACAAAACAGUUUGUCAAUAAAAUUACUGAUGGAAUUUGUUAGCGGGAUGUCCGUUGGUAAAUUACUGACCAAAAUACAUAAGUAGUCGGUAAAAAUUACCGAUGAAUAUACUGACAAUAAUAUUCCGUUGCUAAAUUGAACUUUACCGACUGAAAAGAGAUCACGUUUGUAUCCAAUUUUGCGACGGAAAUUUAUCAUAUUACUGACGGGAAUUACGUUGCUAUAUUUCCGACCGAAUAAAUGCGUCAUUAAAAUUUAGCGGCGGGGUUUAUACCGACCGAUUUUUUCUGUUGGUAUAUCCGUCAGUGAGUCAAUUUAGCGACCGAUUUCUUCGAAUCACCGACAUAAUACUAAUCAUAAUACUAAUCCUAAUGUUAACUCUAAUCCUAACUAUUAUAAAUGAUUAAAAAUAUGUACAUAUUCAAAUUAUGCAAACAAUGACAUUACAAUAAACUUUUGAUUAUGAAGAAAUUGUAUCUUAAAAACAAAUCAUAAUAGUGUCAUUAUGCCGUAAAGAGUGAUAAUAUAGUUGCAACUUCAAUGGUAGGUAUUAAAAUGAGACAUCUAAACCCUUAAUUGAUGUUUGAAAUAAUACUUUGGUAUUUCGAAAAAACUUAAAUGCUCCAACCCGUAGGAAUCAAAUAAAUUAUUUUAUUUUUAAAAAUGUAUCAAACAUAAGUUAAUAGAUAUAUUUGGUCCCUAUUCUAUAUGAAUUUGGUAGAAACUUUAUUCUUUCCACGAUGAAAUUGCAGAUCCUAAUUUUCUAGGAAAAUUUGAUACUUGGUUUUUUUGGGUGCAUUUUUGCACCUCUAGGAGAUGAAGUAUAAAAAAAACUACCCCUUUAGUGCUUUCGUUGGAGAAAAAAAAUUAUGUUUUGGGAAUUAAAAUGGAAGUUUUGAUAAAUAUAAGAAUACUGAUAAUAUGUCUAACCGUAGAAAAAGAAAAAGCAAAUGACACCAUUAAUUACAUUUAUCAGGUUGUAUGAUCUAUACUAUUUGUAUAGAAUAUAUAUAUAUAUAUAUAUAUAUAUAUAUAUAUAUAUAUAUAUAUAUAUAUAUAUAUAUAUAUAUAUUUUUUUUUUUUUUUUUUUUUUUUCUCUUCUUUCUAAUUUUUUAUUCUUUUCUUUUUCAUGCUUAAUAUGUUUUCUUUUUUUUUUUUUCCUCUUUUUUUGCUUCUCUUAAUUUUUUCUUUCCUUUAUUACUUUUUUCUAUCCUUUUAUUUUCCUGCCUAUUUNNNNNNNNNNNNNNNNNNNNNNNNNNNNNNNNNNNNNNNNNNNNNNNNNNNNNNNNNNNNNNNNNNNNNNNNNNNNNNNNNNNNNNNNNNNNNNNNNNNNCUCUGUGUGUGUGUGUAUAUAUAUAUAUAUCUCUAUUUUUCUCUCUAUGGGGAUAGAUAUAUAUAUAUAUAUAUAUAUAUAUAUAUAUAUAUAUAUAUAUAUAUAUAUAUAUAUAUAUAUAUAUCUGUAUAUAUAUAUAUAUAUAUAUAUAUAUAUAUAUAUUUAUAUAUAUAUAUAUAUAUAUAUAUAUAUAUAUAUAUAUAUAUAUAUAUAUAUAUAUAUAUAUAUAUAUAUAUAUAUAUAUAUAUAUAUAUAUAUAUAUAUAUAUAUAUAUAUAUAUAUAUUAAAUUAACCAUCGAAACAAUAUGCAAUUAUGCAAGAAAUGAACAAUUGGAAAAAAAUAAGAUUAAACAGUGAUACAUCAAAAAAGUGCAUUAACAUGUUUAUGUAAUACUCACCCCGAGUGUUUCUUUAGUGUAGGUCAAUUUCAUGAUUUACACCUCAAUUUAGCCUAAUUUUAUCAAUUAACUAAUUUUAACCAUAAUUUCAAUUUUGACCUGCCACCAUCGGAGACCGUCGGUCAGCCACCGUUGACCGCCGGAGACCGGCGUUGACUUUUUUUUUUUUUUUUUUUUUAUAAUUUUGUUUUUUCUUAAAAAAAAUAUUUUAAUUAAUAUUACUGUCUUGACACUAAAUAACUGUCUCCAACAGUUAUUUAACUGUUGGAGACAGUAAUUUAACUGUCAAUAAACUUUUUUUUUUCUUCAAAAAUAUUUUAACCAAUAUAACUGUCUUGGCUGCUAAAUUACUGUCUCUAGCAGUUAUUUAACUAUCUGAGACAGUAAUUUAACUGUUAAUUGACUUUUUUUUUUAUAUAUUUUAAUUAAUAUUACUGUAUUCGUUGCUAAAUUACUGUCUCAAGCAGUUAUUUAACUGUCGGACACAGUAAUUUAACUGUUAAUUGACCUUUUUUUUCUUAAAGAAAAUAUUUUUAAUUAAUAUUACUGUCUUGGAUGCUAAAUUACUGUCUCCAGCAGUUAUUUAACUGUCGGAGACAGUAAUUUCACUGUUAAUUGACUUUUUUUAAAAAAAAAAAAAAAUUUCUUAAAAAAAGUUAUUUUAAUUAAUAUUACUGUCUUGGCUGCUAAAUUACUGUCUCCAACAGUAAUUUAACUAUGUGGCACAAGAUUAAUAAUAUUACUGUUCGGGAAAAUAAUAUUCAUAAUAUUACUGUCUCAGACAUUAAUUUAGUAGCAAAGACAGUAAUAUUAAUUAAAAUAUUUUUUUCUAAAAAAAAAAAAAGUCAACACCGGAGACCGGCGGUCAACGGUGGUUGACCGGCCGGAAACAAAUUUCAGAAAAAAAAAAAGUUUUCAAAAACAAAAUAAAUAAAUAAAAUAAAUAAAUAGUCAAUGCCGGUCUCCGGCAGUCAACACCAGAAUCUGGCCGGAAAAAAAAUUUCAGAAAAAAAAAUAUUUUUUCAAAAAAAUUAUUAUUUUGGGAGUUAAUGUGAUAUAUUUGUUUAAAUCCGGGGUCAAUGUGUAAUAUUAAGGAAGUUAGAGCAUAAUGGAUGGAAUUGAUAAGAAUUAUAUUAUGGAGGGUAUUUUAAACUAAAGGCAUGGGAUGAGUUUAUUUGAAAUACUAUUUUUUUUGUGUACCAAUGUUUAAUUCCCAUGUGAUGAGCCUAUUUAUCAUUCGCUCAUGUAAAUAUAUAUGUAUAAAUUACGUAAAUUAAGUUUUGCAUUAUUAAAGAACGAAAGAUAUACCGUAUCUUUUUUUUUGAGUGAAUUCAAGUUCAUUACAAGGGGAAAUAGGGGUGGGGGGACUCGAACCCUAGACCGUUACCCUAUUGGUAAAGGCUAGGUACCAACUCUCCUAAUGAGAGUUGGUAGAUAUACCGUAUCAAUAAAGGACUAUAAUAAUCAACAAAAAAAUAAAAUAAAGGACUAUAAUAGAUUCGGGAAAUAUAUGCAUAUAUAAUAUAAAUACGAUAUUGUUUACCCUACCGUAUAUUAGGUAGAUACCAUAAUUUAAUGAAUACACAUAUAUGAAUCGUACUUGUAUAUUAUAAAUCACAAUUUCAAGAAGGAAAAUAUAUUAAAAUCAAGAUAUAUUAGAUUAAAUAUUAUCAAUCGUGAAUUGAGAGUUGAUUAAUUUAGAUUAUAAUAGAUUGUGGUUGAAAUUGUGAUUAUUUCCAUAUUAGUAUUUCUAUAUAUAUAUAUAUAUAUAUAUAUAUAUAUAUAUAUAUAUAUAUAUAUAUAUAUCAAUUAAUAAAUAGAUAUGAUAUAUAUUAGGAAUUAGUUCCAUAUUUACUGUAAUACGAAUUUUAAAAAAGAGUGGGAAAAUUUAUACAUAUUUACGAAAUAUAUAUAUUUAGGAAAUGUAUUUAAUCUCGUCUAAUAAUUGUAAUUAAUAAUUAGUAUACACUUAUUGAGAUGGGAUUUUUAUGCAAAAGUCCCCAACCAAGCAUGUUUAUUAUUCUAGGUUUAGGGGACAUAUCUCUUUUACCAAUAAGCCCAUCCCUUUAAUAUUUAUUAUAACUAAAGGAAACAUUCAUGUAUAUCCCAAUAUUACCCUCAACCAUUUAUACCCAAUUCUUAAUUGUAAUCCAAAUUAAUCAAUUUUGUCCAUAAAAGUUCAAUUUUGACCACAAAAAUUCAAUUUUGACUUUUUUUUGGAGUAUAAUUUAAUAUGCUCCAAUUUCAUCCUUAACUUAAUUUAAUCUCAAUUUGACCCCAAAUUUCACAAAUUAUUAAAUUUUGACCCAAAAUUUUUUUUUUUUCAAAAAAUAUUUUUUUUUUCAAAAACUUUUUUUUUGCCGCCGGAUUCCGGCGUUGACUUUUUUAUUUUAUUUUUUUAUUUUUUUUUUUCUUUCUUCCGGAUUUUUUCGCCGGUUUCCAGCGUUGACCGGCGGUCAACGCCGGUCUCCGGCGUUGACUUUUUUUUUUUUUUUUUUUUUUUUUUUGCUUUUUUUUUUUUUUUUUUUCUUUUCUUUUCUUCCGGAUUUUUUCGCCGGUUUCCGGCGGUCUCUUUUUUUAGUGUUUUUUUAAGUUUUUUGUUUUGUUUGGUUUGUUUUGUUUUUCCACGUCCGCCGCUAAACGUUGACCGUAAUUGUGCUGUCACUGACAGUAAAUUAACGUAAUUAUACUGUCAAUGAUAGUUAAUUAACGUAAUUGUACUGCCGUUGACAUUACAUUUAUGUAAUUGUGCUGCCGUUGACAGUAAAUUAAUGCAAUAUUAUAUUUUUUUAUUUAUUAUUAUUUUUUUUUAUUUUUUUUUGAUUUGUUGACAAGUCAACGUAAUUAUAUUACUGUCGUUGACAGUAAAAUAACUGUAAACACAAUAAUAUUACUGUCAACAACAUCAAUAUUAUUAUUUUUUUGUGGUGUUUGUAUUAAUAUUACUGUCUAUUAUCGUAAUAUUACUGUAAACACAAUAAUAUUACUGUGGUUGACGGUAAUAUUACUGUUUGUUAUAGUAAUAUUCCUGUCAACCACAUCAAUAUUAUUCUUUUGUUUGGAUAUUUUGUUUGUUUGAGUUAUUCACGGAGUAACGUAAUAAUAUUACUGUCUACUAUUGUAAUAUUACUGUUGCUAUAGUAAUAUUACUGUCACUCACAGUAAUAUUAAUUCUUUUGGUUUUUUUUAUUUUGUUUAAAUUUGUUGAACGGACAACAUAGUAAUAUUACUUUAUUAUACAAUAAUAAUGAAUUUUCUUGUGUUAAUAUUAAUGUGCUAGAGAUUAAUAUAGCAAUAUCACUGUGUUAAACUAUAGUUUAGUUAUUUUUAUUGUGUUUAACAGUAAUAUAGUUAAUAUUACUGUCAUUCAAAGCAAUAUUGUUGUUUAAACGGAAAAAAAAGUUACAGAAAAAAAAAUUAAAAAAAAAAAAAUUAAAAAAAAAAAAAAAGUCAACGCCGGAGACCGGUGUUUACCGCCGGUCAACGCCGGAAUCCGGAAAAAAAAUCCGGAAGAAAAAAAAAAAAAAAAAUUAAAGUCAACGCCGGAAUCCGGAAAAAAAAAUCGNNNNNNNNNNNNNNNNNNNNNNNNNNNNNNNNNNNNNNNNNNNNNNNNNNNNNNNNNNNNNNNNNNNNNNNNNNNNNNNNNNNNNNNNNNNNNNNNNNNNAUAAAAGUUUACGCCGGGAUUCCGUUACCGCCGGAAUCCGGAAAAAAAAACCGGAAGAAAAAAAAAAAAAAAAAAAAAAGUUAAAAGUCAACGGAAUCCGGCGGAAAAAAAAAGUUUUUGAAAAAAAAAAAAUUUGUGAAAAAAAAAGUUUUGGGUCAAAAUUGAAUAAUUUGUGAAAUUUGGGGUCAAAUUGAAGUUAAAUUAAGUUAAGGAUGAAAUUGGAGCAUAUAAAAGUAAGAGGGGUUAUUUUAGUCCUUUACAUAAAUCUGGACCAUGUGUGGACUUAUUGGUAAAGGAGAAUAUUGUCUGGAUCUCUUUAUGAAUAAGUUCCCACUGAUGGGCUUAUUUGUAAUAUGCCCUAUUGAGAUUAAUACCUUACUGUAAUUUAUGCCCUAAUUUAGGUAUUAUAUUUAGAAUAAUAUACACAAUUAAUUACGAUAAAAUUUAAUCUGUAUUAAUUUGAAAAUAUUAAUUCCAUAAUUAACUUUAAUAAUUUAAUCAGUAUUAAAUAGACAUUAUAUAUAUAAUAUAUAGUGACACAUGGCUGAUGAUUAGGAUGCCUACGUGGAUGGUGACAUGGAUGACACAUGUCGUAAUUCUAGACCAUGAGGGUUUCAAUUUAUAUUGAAUCACACAUAUAUUUAAGGGAUUACUUUGAAUUUCUAUGAUCUUAUUGUGUUUUUAAUUGAAAUUGAAUAUCAUUGUUUACGGUAAAAAACUUUUUACUAGCUUGCAAUCCACCCAUCCCAUUUUAAUGUGAUAAAGUAAAUAAUUAACAAAUAGAGAAGAUAAUUAUCCAAUAUAAUGAAAGAUUGAAGAAGGAUUUAUAAACUAUUCGAGAAAAAAAACAAAUGAUCAAAAAUCGAGUAUUUUGAGUUGUUUUCAUUAUUACUAAAUAAAACUUAAUAUGUAAUGGGAUGAUGCCAAGACUUACACGUAAACUCAAAGAAUAAAAUAAGUUUCGAAUAAGCAUAGGAAGUAAUAUUAAAUUAUUUACAAUAAAAUGUAAAACUAAAUAAAAUGAAAUCGGAAACAUAUCACAAUUGGUUUACGAAUGUUCACCAUAAAAAAAAUAUGAUUUAACAAAAUAAAUUUGCCGGUAUCGAAAGACAUAAAAAUACCAUAUUAUAAAGGAUACAAUGUUUGAAUUACAUUGUGUUUGUUACAUUCCUCAAUUCAAUAACAUUAUUUGCUACAUUCAACAUUGUCAAUGUAAAUCAACUCAUCAUCAACUCCUUCAUCGAAAAAGUCUUGUAAUCAUGCACGCGCAUCUUGGUGAUAGUUGAUAUCCAUAUAUCUACAAAUCAAAAUAUUGUAAAGAAAAAUAAGACAAUGCAACAUAAGCAUUACCAAAAUAACAAUUUCAAUUUCUAUAUAACACGAAGAUCAAAUGAUAAUAUAUAACAAUAUCAAUCAAAAAUAGCAACCAAUAAAGGAAAAAAGUACAACAAAUGAAUAAUAUUGAAAAUAUUAUCAAAAAGAUUAAUAUAAUAAUAAUAUAAUGAACACCCAAAUAUUUAAUAGAAUGAGAGGAUAUAUCAAACGAAAAGAACAACGGUGAAUCAAAGAAAUAUCAAGAAGACAACAUAAUAACAAUAGAAGAACAACGAAUAACAUUGUAAACAAUAUCAACAUGAACAACAUAAUAAUAUUAGAAAGAAGAUCAAAUAUUUAAUAGACUGAGAAAAACAAAUGAAAAUAUCAACUACGAAAAAAAUGUGCAAACAAUAGUGUGGUUUGGUGCGCCGGAGAUGUGAAUGAAUGCAAAUGAUGGAGUAUUUAUAGUGUUUGAGAUGAAAUGUAAGAAGAUGUUUGUAGAUUUAGAUAAAUUAAGCAAUUAUAUUCUUAUUGAUAUUACUAUAAUUAGUUAAUUAAUGGAGAUGUUUUUACGGAUUGAUUUAUGAUUGAUUAUGGUUAAAUCAAUAAAAAAAUUGUGGUUUUAUGUAAUAUAUAGUCAAUGAUAGUUGUAGCAUAAUCAUCCAAUUCCUAAAAAAUAGAUAUGUUAAAAAAUCGGAUAGUUAUGUUCCAUAUUUAACGAAUAUGAGAAAAUAUUAAACAAAAAUAGAUUGAAUUGUACCUUAAAAGGUUAAUUAAAUUAUUACCAUAUAUAAAUUGGAACAUUAAUAUAAAGCAAAUAAAAUAAAAUAAUUAUCAAAAUUUUGAAAAAAGAAGUUGGAGUUCAAAAAUAAAAUAGGAUUCGAAUGAAAAAAAUACACAUAAAUGAUAUUUAAACUAAUCCAAAAAGUCUUAAUUAAUAUACAAAUUAACUUCAUAUUAAUAUUCCGUGAAAAUAGUUCUUGGAUUCAAUUAAACAAUUUCCUUAAUUAUAUUAAUUAUUAAAUAAUUAGCUUUUAAUUAGCUUCAUAUUAAAAUAUAUUAAAUAUAUGAGUCAUAUAUUUCCUUAAAUAAUUGAUAUGUAUGGGCGUAAAUAUUGAAAGCAAUAAAUGGUAAAAAUUAGGAUAUAAGUUACAUUAGGAUAUAAAAUAUUUAAUAACUUAUUCAAAUGAAUUAAAUUUAUAUUGAGACAUGGCUGAUGCUUAGAUGCCUACGUGGAUGGCGACAUGGAUGACACAUGUCGUAAUUCUAGACCUUGAGGGUUUCAAUUUAUAUAUUAUAUAGAUAAAGAUUCAUACAAUGUUGAACAUUUAUGAUUUUCAAUUAAUAAUAUUGAGUAAUAUUAGAGCCCGUUUGGCUAAGCUUACUUAAAACAUCUUAUAAGCUCAUACAUCUAAUAAGAUGUUUUAGGAGCUGAUAAGCUGUUAGAUCUUAUUUUAAAAAUUAUUUUUUAAGGUUUUUGGAUAUGUAGCUUAUAAGUUACUUUUAGUUUUUAUAAGUUGUUUAGGUGUUUGGAAAUAAAAUGUUUGUUUAUCGCUUUAAUGAAAGCAAAGAAUAUGACGCUAUUAUAACUGUUAAACUUAUUUGAUUCAAAUACUUUUGUACCUAAAAAAUAUUAUAAUAUUUACAAAUUAAUUUUUCGAAUAAAAUAAUAAUCAUACAUUAAAUAAACCGGAUGAUUUUUUUAUGUAUAUUGAUAUGAUAUUUGACUAUUUUUAAAAUAAAAUGAAGUGUGAUAAAUUGUUUUAAUGAAUUAGGUUUGUGAAAGGUUUGAUUUUUUGUGGUAUUAAUAUAUUAAUAUAAAAUAUAGGUUGUAAAAGAAAUAUUUGUUUUUGAUAGAUAAAAGAAAUAUAAUUUAUUAUUGAGAUAAUAAGAAUAUUCGGGUAUUUUUAUAUACAUAUAAAAUAUAAAUAGAGAUUUUUUUCACAAUUGUUAUGAUAAUUAUGAUAAUUAUAUUUUUACUAAUCUUCAUUAUAAGAAUACGUUGUUUUGUUAAAAUAUAAAUGUUAUUGGCAUUCAUGUAAUAUAACAAAAUAUUUGAGGGUAAUUUUUGUAUUUUGAGUGUUUUAGUAAAGAAGCAAAUAAGAUCUUAAUGAAAAAACGUGGGGUGUAGGUACUUUUGGAAAAAAACAUCUUAUAAUCUUCCUAACAUCUUAUUUUUUUGAAAUAAUAAGAUCUUAUGUAAUUUUUUCACCAAACACCUUUUAACAGCUUAUAAGCUUUUAAGCAUCUUAUAAGAUUUUUACGAGCGUAUAAGCUUAGCCAAACAGGCUCUUAAUUAGAUUAUGUGGAAAUUAAUUAUAUUUAUUUGCUUACUCAAAAUCAUAAACUAAGUUGAGCGAGGACUUGGGAAAUUCGAUUUCUCAAUAGAUUAUUAUGUUUCGGACAAAGCCUUUUUUUAGGCUUUAUUCCACGUUGCACCCUUGAAAUAUAGCUUUUUGGCACCUUGCACCCUUGAAAAAAUAUUAUAGCACUUUGCACCCUCAAAACACAAUAAAUCAUGCAUAAUGCACCUCAAAUGAAUUUUUAAAGUUAAUGAAGGCAACUUAAUAUUUUUAGUGGUAUUUUUUAGGAUGUCAAAUGUCAAAUCAAUUUUUUUUAGUCAUCAAUCAAUUCUAAAUUACGAAGUGCAAAUAUAAAAACACAUUUCAUCAACAUAUUAAAUUAUUAUUAUUUUCACAAAAAAAUUAUAAAAAAACAAAUAUAUCCUUCAGUAUGAAAUUAUUUGAAAAUUAUAUUUUAUUCCAAAGAUUUCUACAAAACAUUUACUAAUUACAAUAUAAAAAUCCAUCAAUCGAAUAAUUUAGUGAUUUUUUUGUUGUUUUAUUUUUAAUAAAAGAAUUUAUAUUUCAGUAAUUUUUUGUCAUUUUUGUUUUUUAGCAUUUCGUACACUCGAAAUUAUGUCCAGGGCGGAAGAAAAUAAUAAUUUAAUUUGUUAUUUGAACCCUAGAAAUAAAAAAAAACCAAUAAAAAAAUAAAUUACCCUCAUUAAGUUUAAAAUAUUCAAUUCAAAGUGCAUUGUGAAUGAUUUAUUGUGUUUCGACGGUGCAACAUGCUAUUAAUUUAUUUCAAGGGUGCGAAGUGUCAAUGUCAUAUUUCAAGGGUGAAAAAUGGGAUUAAGCCCUUUUUAAUCUAUAUUAUAUAUAAAACUAAGAUACACAAUAAAAUUUAUCUACUUGAGGAGAUUGAGUCCACAUUUUUUUAUUCGUUUCAAAAUAACCCCACUUACCAUAAUCACCAUAUUAUUAUGUAAUUAAUUUCACAUAAUUAGUUUUCAAAUUUUAUCUCUCCUACAUGUCAAAAUAGUGUCUUUUUAUUGGUUAUUGAGUUUCCUUUUUUAAUCCAUUUUUCAUAAUAAAUACGUAAAUAUAUAAAUGGAUAUAAUUCUUUUUUUGGUUUAAUUAAUUUUAUACACAAUAUUAUAUUAAUUGCAAAAAAACCCAAUUAUCAUAAUUAUAUAUAUUAUUAAUUAAUUAAUUUCACAUUAUUGAUUUUCAAAUUUUAUCUCUCCUACAUGUCAAAAUAGUGUAUUUUUAUUGGUUCAUGAGUUUCUUUUUUUUUUUUUUUAUAAACAAUAUUUUGAUUUAAAAAACGUAGGACUUAAUUGCAAAUUUUAUAAUUUCACAAUUGAGUAAAUUUUAUGCACAAUAUUAUAUUAAUUGCAAAAAAACCCACUUACAAAAAUCACCCAUAUUAUUGAUGAAAUAAUUAUUAUCGCUACAUAUUAGACGUUAAUACUGUUAUCUUUGUACAAUUAUCGCUACAUAAUUAUAAAUGAAUUUUAUAAUAAAUAGGCUAUUUUGUUAUCACGACAGAUGACGUUUGAGUACUAGCACAAUGGUGCAUCUACAUCAUGUGAAGAUCCAUUCCAAGUUACAAAAUCCUAUUAUGAAUAAAAUAAAAGGUGCGAUCUUAUUUUUUGGUGAGUAAUUUUAUGCCUAAGUUUAAAUGAUUAAGUGUGCAAUACAUGUAGACAAUGUAUUAGUUUUUUCUUUAAUUUCGACAGAAGCUGAAUGCUUACUAUUUUGUUAGUGUUUCGUGCAAAAUGUAAAGGAGAUGUCAAGGAGUCAUAAAACAAUAGACUCUGUAACACGUGUGUUGGAUAUGAAAUCAGUACUUGCUAUGUUGGUAGAUGACGAUUUACAGAUGGUAAGAGAAAUUUCUUCCGACAACGGAGGUAAUUAUCUUUGUCAUUAUCUCAUAACAUAUCUCAUUGUUAUGCGUUAUUGUCAGUAUAUUUUUCUACUGUAAAUGAUAAUUUGUUGUUUUUAAAUGUAGAUUUUGAAUAUGUCUCCGACGAUGUAGUUGACGAUAUUGGUAAAUAUUAUUUUAAUCUAAAAACUUUUAAUCUUUACAUUAUUAAUUAUAUAAAUUCAUUGUAUUAAUUUAUUUAAUAACUAAUAUUAUUUAAUUCAUUUUUGAUAGAUUAUGAAGAUCUUGGAGUCCAAAUGUAUGAAUGUUCGUUUUGCGGUGCAAUGAUGUGGUACGGCGAAAGAAUUGACAAGCACAUACAAACAUGCAGGCCAAAAUUUGGCCUAAGUUGUAUGUCCGGGAAAGUCCAGCUCCCAAAAAUAAGAGAUGCAUCUCCUACACUUAACAAUUUAGUGUUUGGAACUGAUCGAAGGAGCAAACAUUUCCAAUAGCACGUACGAUCGUAUAAUAUGAUGUUUUCUUUCACGUCGCUUGGUGGAAAAGUGCAUACAUCUAUUAAUAACGGAUCUGGUCCAUACACAUUUCUAUUACACGUCCAAAAUUACGAUCUACUGGGCAGUUUAUUGCCGAAAGAAGGCACUAGGCCUAAAUUUGCUCAGCUUUACAUUUUUUACACAAAAAAUGAGAUUCAGAAUAGAAUUGAUGCCGUUUGGAAAAAAAUUGGGAAUUAUAUCCCUGUUUCUAAAGAGUAUAGAUCUUACAAAUUAUAAUUAUAUUUUUUUUUGUUUGGCAGGUCCGGAAAUCAAUCUAAUGAUCUUGGCUCAGCCAUCGCUGCAUCGUUGAAAGAUAUGAUUGAUGGUAAUAAUGUACUUGCACAGUCGUACCGUGUUGUUUGAGAUCGGUUUUCCAAUGAUGGCCAUCAAUGAGUAAAACUUAGAUUGGUAAAGAGUUGCAGUACUGAUGGCAGGACGUACAAUAUUCCUAACACAAGUGAAAAUAGCAGGCUUGAUCAUUGGGAACUUUGACACAGAAGAGGGUGUUAGGGAUAUUGUAGUUGAGACACGCUCAAAUAAGCUUCAACGAAUCAGUGAGCUCCAUCUUCUUUAAUUGCCUAUACAAUAUCCUCUUUUAUUUCCUUACGGUGAAUAUGGUUAUUGAGACAAUAUAAGUUUGAGAGAAUCUUCGCUUGCUGAUAAUAGAAAAUGGAGGAAUGUAAGCAUGCGAGAGUUCUUUGCAUAUCUAACCUAAAAACGACGUGGAUAACAUUUGUUACUGUUGCAUUCCAAGAAGUUAUUUCAACAGUUCUGUGUUGAUGGAUUUUCAAUGGUACAGUCACAGAGGUUGAAUUUCAUAAGGUUCAAUCAGGAUCAACUUAAGGUUGACAUGUACAAAGGUAUCAAAGAAAAGAUUUUUAAAGGAGACACUUAAAUGAUUUUCCAGGGUCGUUCACCGCAGGUCCAAGGUAUAUGUUUAACAACUUCAUUGAUGCUCUUAAAAUAUGUAACUGGAUUGGAUUUCCAACCCUCUUCAUCGCCAUCAUAUGCAAUCCUCAAUGGCCAAAAAUACAAAGGGUGUUGAAAGAUACAAAUCUCAGGCUGGAGGAUCGGCCAGACAUUCUUUGUCGCGUGUUCAAGAUGAAGCUCGAUAGUAUGAUGACAGUAAGCAAGAAGGGCUGUAUAUUCGGACGUAUUAGAGCAUGUAAGUAUUUAAUUAGAUCUCAGUUUAUAAUUAUACAUUUACUACAUUCAUAUAAAUUAAAGAAUUUGGUCAUGUGUGAGUUUAACUACUUAUUGCUUUCUUAACUAAAUUAAUGCAUAUUUUUUUAAUUCCAUAUGUUUAUAUUUUCUAUGCAGAUGUAUGCACAAUUGAAAUUCAGAAACGAAGUCUACCGCAUGCACAUAUUUCAUUGUGGUUCCAUAAUGAAGAUAAGCCCAAGAACUCAGAACAAAUUGACAAAAUCAUAUGUGCUAAAAUCCUGACGAAUAAAACGACCGAAAGAUGUACCAGUUGGUGGAGAAGUAUAUGAUACAUGGACCGUGCGGUCAGGCGAAUUUGAAAUCUCCCUGUAUGAAGGAUCGAGUUUGCACGAAGCGAUUUCCAAAGCCGGUUGUACGGCGCACUGAAUCAGAUGCAUAUGGUUUUACUGUGUACAUGAGAAUGGAAGACGGCAAAACAAUUACGAAGAAGAAGACUACUUUUGACAAUGGGUUUGUAGUCCCGUACAAUCGUAUAUGGUUGAGUAAAUACCGAUCUCACAUUAAUAUUGAGUUAUGCAACCAGAACAAGUCAAUCAAAUACAUGUUCAAAUACGUAAACAAGGGGCAUGACCGAGUUACGGUGGCAUUUUAUGAAAUACGGAAUACAGAUGGCGGUGUUGAGAUUCGUGAUGAGAUAAAGAUGUACUACGACUGCAGAUAUCUUUCGGCAUGUGAAGCAAUGUGAAGGUUGUUUAACUUUGAUAUUCAUUACAGAGACCCGUCCAUAAUUAGGCUAAGCUUUCAACUCCCCGAUCAUCAGCCGCUUGUCUUCAAUGAAAACCAAUCAUUUCAAAGUGUGCUGGAUAGGCAAACUAUGUUCCUAGCGUGGUUUGAGGCCAACAUGAACUAUCCACAUGCUAGGGACUUGAGGUACGAAGAUUUUCCACAACAAUUUGUAUAUAAAGAGGAUUCUUGAACUUGGGCGCCAAGGAAAAAAUGAUUUUCUAUUGGUAGACUUGCGAAUGUUCCCCCUGGAAAAGGGGAAGACUAUUACCUUAGGCUGCUACUUAACAUUCAUAGGGGAUAUACGUGCUACGAGGACAUCAGAAAAGUUUUUGACACCGUCUACCCUACGUUCAGGGAUGCAUGUUAUGUUUUGGGUCUGUUAGAUGACGAUAAAGAAUACAGAGAUGCAAUAAUAGAAGUGAAUACUUGGGCACUGGGGGGUUAUAUAAGAAGGUUAUUUGUAGUUAUGCUUCUUUCCAAUAGCUUAAGUCGGCCCGAACAUGUUUGUCAAAGUUGUUGGUUGGAUUUGGCGGAGGGUAUUGCUUACAAACAACAACGUCUUUAUAAUAAUUCAGGUAUGACAAUUUGUAUAGCACAGUAUUCAAUUAGAUAUUAAAUAUUACUCAUUCUUUUAAUAUUGUCUCUUUACGUUUUGAACUAAAUGCACAUAAUUUAUGCAUUUUUUUUUGAAGAUUUACAUAUAUCGGAUGAAAACUUGAAGAACUAUACUCUCACCGAAAUAGAAAAAAUAUUGCAAAGCAAUGGUAAAAGCCUGCGAAAUUACGCGCCCAUGCCAGUUCCAAUCGAAUUCUCAGCGGAGGAACAAUAAACAUAUUGGUGUUAGAUGAACUGGAUUACGACCGGUUUGAAAUGGGUAGAGAACUUCAAUGGUGUCUUGCUUGAAUUACAGACGAGCAAAGAAAUGUUUAUGAUGUAGUCAUGGAUGUUGUAUCCAAUGACCGUGGUGGAAUGUUCUAUUCUAUAUGGCCAUGGUGGAACAUCAAAGACGAUUCUAUGGUUAACUCUUUCGGCUGCAGUUCGUUCUAAGGGAGAGAUUGUAAUUAACGUUCCAUCGAGUGGUAUAGCAUCGUUAUUGCUCUCCAGUGGAAGAACAACUCAUUCCCGAUUCGGACUACCCAUAAAUGUACACGAGAGUUUCACCUGCAGCAUAUCGCAACAAAGUCCACAUGCGGAGUUGCUCAUAAGGGCAAAGCUUAUUAUAUGGGACGAGGCUCCUAUGAUGCGUAGAGACUGUUUUGAAGUGCUUGACAAGACAAUGAAGUCAAUAUUACAGGUUGACAAACUCUUUGGUGGUAAGGGGGUUGUUCUUGGAGGAGAUUUUAGGUAGAUUUUACCAGUUGUGCUCAAAGCAUCAAGGCAGGACAUAGUAUAUGCUACGAUAAACUCCUCUCUGCUAUGGAAUUUCUGUCGUAUCAUGAAAUUGACUAAGAACAUGAGAUUGCAGUCAUGCUCUUCUCCAUCUAACGUGGAUGAGGUAAAAUAAUUUGGAGACUGGAUACUAAAGGUUGGUAAUGAGGAUGAUGGGGAACAAAACGAUGGUGAAGCUUCGAUAGAGAUUUCCGAUGACAUGUUGAUUGGUGAUUCAGACGAUCCAUUCAGAGACCUACUGGAAUUCAUUUACCCGGAUUUGUUGAGUAACAUGUAUGAUCCAAAUUAUUUUCAUGGGAGAGCAAUUCUUGCACCAACUAAUGAAUUCGUCGAGUCUGUGAACGAUCACUUAAUGUCUCUCCUUCCAGGAGGAGAGAAGGUGUACCUGAGCUCAGAUAGUAUGUGUAGGGACGAGCAAACAAUGAAGGAUAAUGCAGAAAUUUAUUCGACUGAAUUUCUUAACACAAUAAGAUGCUCCGGACUUUGUUCUCAUGCGUUGAAGUUCAAGGUUGGUGCACCCGUUAUGCUAAUAAGAAACAUCGAUCAAGCUAGAGGAUUGUGUAAUGGGACUAGACUUCAAAUUAUUAAAACUGGUAUUCACGUUCUGAGUUGCCAAAUUCUUUUUGGAAAAAAAAUAUCGGUGACAUGGUGUUCAUUCCUCGGAUGACUUUAAUACCAUCUAACUCCGGACUGCCAAUUAAAUUUAAGAGAAGACAGUUUCCAUUAAUUGUUUCUUUUGCAAUGACAAUCAAUAAAAGUCAAGGUCAAACUCUUUCGCAUGUUGGUUUGUAUCUUCCUAGGCAUGUCUUCAGCCAUGAUCAACUAUAUGUUGCACUGUCCAAAGUUAUGAGCAGAGGUGGCAUUAAGAUAUUCAUCAAGUCGGAUUCGGGCGAACUCACCAAUGUCACUAGAAAUGUCGUGUACAAUGAAGUAUUUCAUCGAAUUUGAAGGUAGAAAAUAUUUUCAUAUUUACCAAUUAUUUAUGUAACAUGUUUUUUUUAACAACUUAUUCUUUGGCAGGUGUUUCUUCUCUAUAUAAUUUCCCCCGUGCGAUGUUAUUUUCAGCCAUGUCCCUAGGAUGCUCAGUGCAAAUCUUAUUAUCCUUAAGAUUUAUUUUUGACGAUAUACUAAUAUUUAUAUUAUUCUUAUGAUGUAACUAUGAAGAACAUGAUACUUAAAGCAUAUUUUUAAUAUUGUUGGUCGCGCUUUGUAUUUAAAUUCAAUGAGCGUAAUAAAAUAUGUAUUUCAGACAUGUAUUUCCAGUUGAAAAUAUGCCGCCCCGUGCAUCGCACGGGUGAAUACUAGUAAUUAUAAUUAGUUAAUUAGGCCCAACCAAAUAGUGAGUUAUUUGGCCCAAUCCCAAACUAAUUUCACUAGCCACCUUUGAAUCGGUUGGAAUGAGUUAACAGACAUUGGCUAUUUAAUAUUUAGGUGGUGUUUGCAAAAGCUUUUAGAAAUAGAUUAUGAGCUUUUUUUCUCACACACUUUGUUUUUAGAUGUUUGCAAAGUUGACUUUUGCUUUUGCUUCUCUUAAAAUAAGCUGAUUUAAGCUAUAAUUUUAAAAGCACCCAUGUACUUGUUUUUUUUAUUUAUAUUAAUUUUUCAGAUUUUUUCAAACACCCCAAACUUUUAGAAUUACCCAUUUUGAUAAUCCCGUUGGAGUAGAAAUUGUUAGUUUUGGGAUAUCAAAAAGGUAGUUUAUGGGGUUGAUAAUCCAUUUGAUACUCCCAUUGGAGUUGCUCUUAGAGGGAUAAGUGUUACAAAUGAUACUUUACGGGAUAAGUGUUACAGAUGAUAUACAUUAGGGGUGUAAAUUGUAUUUAAACCUUUAGGUUUUAAUAGAGUGUUGAUUUACACAAGGUUUUAUAUUUAAAAAUUUUAUUGUUUUUUCUUAGAGGGAGAAUCAAAGAACCGGUACAAGCAUACACUUUUACUAUGUAAGUAUGGAAAUAAUGUAUUUUUGGUGUUUUAAUAUUUAACAUUUCCAGCUUUCUAGGUAGUAUUUUUCCGAGAAUGAGCAAAUGCAACCAUGAUAUCGAAGAAGUAGCAAUCAUUAAUAUAAGGGCAAAUUACGGCGACCCCUGAGGUAUGGCUAAAUCACGAAAAAAGUCCCACUUGUUGGAUAAUUACAGCCGCCCACUCCUUUUAAAUAUUUUUACAUUAAAUUUAUGUAAUUCGGUUAUUUAACGAACCAAAUCGUAUAUCCAGUUCCGUAAACGGUAUGAAAUGUUGGCGUACCGAAAUUUCGGUUCGGUUUUACCAAUUUAACAUCCCUAAAUUUACCUCAGCAGGGGUUUUUUCAUAAAAUAAUACAUAGUUGAGAGGGGUGGCUAUAAUUACCCACAACAGGAGUGGGUUUUCGUAAUUUAACCAUAACUCAGGAGGUGGCCGUAAUUUUCCCUUAGUAUAAUUUUAUCAAAUAUAUAUUUCCGCUUAACAUUACAAAUGACAAUAGAUGGAGACAAUCUGAAUUUGGAGAGACUCUGAGUGCAUAAAUUGUUGUUCUCACUUUUUUCUUAUUUUAUUUAAUUACUUACUUUUUUGGAAAAAGUUGUUCUUUCUAAUAUAUUGAUAAUGUAGUUAGAAAUCAACAUUAAUUUUUUUUUUUGAGAAAAGAAUUCAAAAAUUAAUUGAUGUAUUUAGAUAUGAAGUUACAUUAAUCCGUGUACAACAUAUUAUGAUUAAUAUUCUUGCUACGUGUAAGUUAUGGCGCAAUUUAUUUGUGCUACGUACUUUAAUAUUUAACACGUAGCUCCCGGAAAUUUUAGGGCCUUAUGAAUGAAACAACAAAGUGGCUAUAGAUAAGUCAUGGUAUCAGAAAUGCAGUUAGGUGGUGUUGUAAAAGCUUUUGUAAAGUCAAUCUCAGCAUUUUUUGGCUCAAAAUCACUUAGAGAGUGUUUGUAGUACCAACUUCUGCUUCUAAUCUUGUAAAAAUACAUUGUUUUAAGCUAAAUAUAAAAAGAUGCAUGGACCAACUCCCCCUAAAAUAAGUUGCUAAAAUAAGUUCCUAAAGUUGAUUUUUCAUGGACUUUGCAAACACCUCCAAUUAGAAAUAAACAAUUAUCGUUAACUUAACUUUUAAUUACCAACUUCUGUUUUUUUUUUUUAAUGUUUUUACGAGCACCACCUUACUAUGACAAGGUUUGCUUUGUAAUAUAAUUUGCGACAAAGACAACUAUACUACUUUAUAUAUUUCUAUUUGAUUUCCAAUGUUGACGUUGUUGUUUUCUAUUUGAUUUCUAUUGUUGACAUUAUCACGACGCGUACACCGCACGUGCACCUGCCUAGUAAUAUAAAAAGUACAUUACAAAAGUAUAAAAAUAGAAUGUUUCAAUUAAAGUGACAAAAAAUUCUAAAAAAAUACACCAUUAGGAAAAUUCAUAAAAUAUAAAAUAUAUAAGUACCAGAAUUCUUUUUUUUUAUAAGAAUAUGAAUUCGAUUAUUGAUUUAAAAAGCUGAUAGAAAAUCAGUUACAAUAGAUACAUUUUGCUUUUUCAAUAUACAUUUUUUUUUGUUUUACCAAAAUCAAUUCUCUCACCUUCUUCCCCAACAUGCAAAUUGUCUUAUGGAUUGAUCCAACCAAUCAUCCCAGUUGCAAUCGAUGUUGCUGAAUCUGUCUCCACAUUCAUCUCUUCUUCUCUUCGUCGACUUCCGACCUACUACCUCACGUAUUUCACCAAUAACAAAACUCGUAAAUUAUAAAAAUUCCCACCUCAUAAUUGAAUGUGUUUAUUCUUCAUUAUCCGGCUAUUCAGGCUUUUGGAUUGCCGUCGGCCGUCCACCACCAGCAUCUGGACUCGUCGCUCACCGUGAGAGGGCUACGCAGGGGCGUAACAAGGUAGGCCCAGGGGCCAGCCGUCCCCCUCCCCCAAAAAAAAGGGCAAAUGACAAAUAUGCUCAUGACAAGAGCACUUAAUUAAAAAAUAGACAUCCAACACUUUUGUCGUCCAAAUAAGGGUUUUUUGCAAAAACCACCUCUGUGUAAUCUCGAAUUUCUGAAAAAGACUUCGUGUUCAAAUAAUUAGCAAAUACCCCCAAUAAAAAUUAGUCAAAGUUAAUAAGGCCCUUGAGAGCUGACCGUGCACUUCACUCAAAAUGUGACUGGGGGUUUGUUUUUUGACGAAAAUACCAAAAUGCAACCAGAAAUUUCAUAAGUACCAAAAUGAACUUUUUAAAAUUUUCAAUUAAGUCCUUAAUAUUUCAAUUAAGCCCUCUUCUUCAACCUCAGGAGCAGCCCUCCACUUUUUCAUCGUGAUUUUUUCCAGCAAACACCAUCAACCAAACCCAGAUCUGAGCUUGAAGUUCAUUUCUAUUUCAAAUCCAAGAAAACAAAUGGGAAGAAAAACGGCGCCUCAAACUUUUUCGGCACAUCCAUGUCCAAAGAAAAAAAAACCCUUCAAAGCACUUUUUUCCAAUUUGUAAAACUUAAUUCGUAUCCUGAGGAAGAAGAAGAAUGUCAAACUCGAAGAAUCAUUUGUCGUCACUGUGCAGUUACUCCGCCAAACUCGACGCCGACUAUCCGAUUCCACCAUGCCGCCGCCACCGCUUUUGAAUGCCACCGCCGCUACUAUAGCUUCUGAAUCCACAAUUUCCGUCCAUCAAAAAUUGUUGUCGAGGCAUUCUUUUCUUCCGAUCUGAAAAAAAAAUCCAAAAAAUCCACCCCCUCCCCCGCCCCAACAUGCUUUGGGGGGGUUGGGGCCCCCCGGCCCUCCCAAUCUCUCUCUUUAUACGAAGAAUCGAAAAAACGGGGGGUAUGCCCCCUUUUUUCGAGAAAAUUUUGAAAGACUCGGUGGCGGGUGGGAUAAGCUUAAAGAGGAAUAUUUUCAGGGGGGGAAUUAUUUUGAAAGGUUACUACCAUACCCCAGAGCUUGGGGGGGUUUGGUUGCUCCCAAAAAAAAUUCUAACGAGGGUUCUAGGCCUUUUUUUUUAAGCCGCGGGUCUUUCGGGGGGGCAAACACCCCAAAAGAGGGGGGGGCCCCCCCCCAAUGGGGAAUUUUUUUCCCCCGGAAAGAAUAAUAUUUAAUAAAGAAGGGUCGCCCAUAUGUUGUGGUGAAUAUAUGGAGGCCGGUUUUUUUAGAGCCUCCAGGGGGGGAAAUUUUUCGGUAAAAUUCCUCCAAUUUUUCCCGCAUUGCACAAAAAACCCCCCGAAAAUUUUUGGCCCGGUUUUUUGGCUUAAAAAAUUCAAAACCAAAGGAUCCCCCCAGGUUUCCCCGGGGGGGGGGCCCGUUUUUUUGGUUUUUUGCCGAUAAAAACCCGGGGCAUAAGAGGAGUUGAAAAAAUUUUUUUCGCUUUUUGUUUGGAAAAGAGGUUUUUCUUUUUANNNNNNNNNNNNNNNNNNNNNNNNNNNNNNNNNNNNNNNNNNNNNNNNNNNNNNNNNNNNNNNNNNNNNNNNNNNNNNNNNNNNNNNNNNNNNNNNNNNNAAUUUUUUUUUUCACUUUUUAUGUCAAAUUGAAAAUUACUAAAAACUUAUCAGGGGUAGUUUAGUCAUUGCAUACAAGUCAACCAUCAAUUUUGAAGUAAGGACGGUUGCUUCGUAAAACACAACAUAGGGGGGUCCUUGCUAAUAUUUUUAACACGAGGACUUUUUCGGCAAUUCAAAAUUACAUAGGGGGUUAUGUGCAAUUAGCUCUCCAAAUAAAUCCAACUCAUUCAAACUUAUUUGUAAAUAAGGAAAGCCCUUUUAUAUAUACCAAAAUUACCCCAAAUUCCUUGACACCCUAAUUCAACUUCAAUUUCAUGAUUUACACCACAAUUUCACCAAUUAACCAAUUUGGACCCUUAUUCCAGUUUGACCGCUUUUUUUUUUUUUUGUUUUCUAUGAAAAUUAUUUUCCCGCAGGUCAACCUCCGGUCUCCGGCAUUGACUUUUUUUUGUUGUAAACUUGUUUUUUCAUAAAAAAAUUAUUUUAAUUAAUAUUACUUUCUUGGCCUGCUAUAUUACUGUGUCCGACGGUAAUUUAGCUGUCGGAGACAGUAAUUUAACUAUCUAAGACAGUAAUAUUACUGUCAGAAGCAGUAAUUUUACUGUGUAUUGAUUAAUUUUAUCGUCUGGGCCUGCAAUUUUGCUGUCUUCGACCGUAUUAUUACUGUCUCAUGCAAUAAUAUUACUUUUUGGGACAAUAAUAUUAGUAAUAUUGCUGUUCGGGAAAGUAAUAUUCAUAAUAUUAUUGUUCGGGACAGUAAUAUUAGUAUUUGGGACAGUAAUAUUACUAUUUAUGACGGUAAUAUUAGUAAUAUUACUGUUUUGGUACUCAAUAUUACUAUCUCAUACAGUAAUUUUGUUCUUAACACAGUAAUUUAGAGAGAAAAAAAGUUUCAAAAAAUGAUAAUAAUAAAUAAAGUCAACGCCGGAAAUCGGCAGGAAAAAAAAAAUUCAGGAAAAAAAGUCAAUGCCGGAGAACCGUCCGGCCAAUGUCGGAAUCCGGCCGGGAAAAAAAGUUCAGAAAAAAUAUUAUUUUCUGAAAAAAAAUUCAGAAAAAAAUAUUAUUUUCUAGAAAUUAAAGUUCCAAUUCAAAGUAUAAAAAUUCAACUAGGAGGGGUGGAUGCUGUUCUAAUUUUCAGGCCUUGACCAAACAAUAUUAAGAUCAAAAGUUUGAAAACUAACAACGAGGGGCAAAUUGGAAAAACGUACAAAUGCAAGUGAGGAAAUCGAUGUUUUUUUAAAAUAGAAGAGGUAAAUUGAUCUCGACCCAGAUUAUAAGGGAAGAAAGUGGAAUUUGUCCUUUAUUUUUUUUUCUUCACAAUUUGAAAAGUAACACAUAAAACUAUUUUAAUGGUCAAUUAUUUCUUACAAAAUCCAAGUGUGGCCUGUGUCGGCUAAAGACAUUGAAGAUGAUAUAGGAAGUUCCAAGGACUUCUAUAUUUUGUUUUGUUUUCGGCAUUUUAAACCCUCAAAUUACAUGUUUUUAACAUUUUAACCCUUUUAUUGCAAAAUUUGCAAAUAGCCCUUUUCAAAUAUAAAGUGAUUGGCACUUGGCACCCAAAAAUCAAUAUUUUUAGAAUUGUUUCUUGGGUUUAAUAUUUUUCAGUAAAAUCACUUAUGAAGAUGUUUAUAUCAUAAGGAGAACAAAAAAACUAAUUAGAACAAAAAGAUUUUAAUUGUUGAUUUCAUAUAGAAACAAGAAGAACAAUACUUCUUGGAGAAACUAAUUUUACAAAACUGUGGUCCUCCUAAACAUAUGUACAUUCCUCUAUAUAUGUAUAUAUUAUGUUCUGCUCAAGCGAUAUGUAAGAUGAACGAAUAAAUCCUGACUGCAAGGAAUAGUAAGGCCGCCCAUUGGAUGAUGGAAUCCAAAUUCUUCUUCGGCUUGGCAUAGCAAAUCUUGAAAUGAAGGAUGGCUUAAAUAUGACAAUGGAAUAACAAAUCUCUUCUUUUCAUUUUCUCCAACGUAAACAGCUAAAUGCCCCUUUGGGACUUCAGUUGAUCUUCUUUCGUUGGAUAAAGAUCUUUUCAGUAUUUGGCGGAUGGCCAUUUUUGUAUGAAGUGUGAAUCUUUCUUAGCUGAAGUAUUUGAAAUAAGUGAGAGCUGAGAAAGGAGUUGUUGAUGAUGGUUGUAAUCAAGAAAUGAUGUUUGUAUAUAUAGGCUAUAAACAAAUGAUGUAUCCUCUAUGAAAUUGAAAAAAACAUAAGCAUAUGAAAUCACAUGGAUUUGUCUUAAAAAAAAGUAAAUUGGUAAUGAAUUAAUUAGGCCAAUAAGAUGAAUUUAUGUGAUCGAAAAUGUUGUAUCCCACCAGCUAUAGCAACAUGGCCCUUAAACAUAUAUGUGAUUUUCCAUUUGCUAGUGUAGUUGGCAAUGUUAUCCUAAAUGCUAGCUAAGUUAUGUUUUGUAAUCUAACUUAUGCCACAUUUAAUUCGGUGGGUCUUAUCACAUUUUCUUGCUCAAAUUUUGUGAAGUUUUAGAGACAAAACCAUGUGAUUCUUUAUAAAUUAAUAUACCCUUUGGCCACUUCGCAACCACUCAAUCCAGCUAAGAGGAUUAUGGCAUUUAGAUGUUCAUCUAUAUAUAUGUUUACACUACACAUUUCUAAACUGACAACCAGCCUUCAAAACUCGAUUUUCAAGAUUUUCAUCUGCUUCACUAAAGUACUCUCAUAUAUUUCUUUAUUUUCAUCUUCAGCCUCGAUCACCAAGAUUUCAGUUCCAACAAAAAUCGAUGGCUAUUCACAAAAUUCUUAGACGGUCUUUGUCGGCUGAAAAGAGGACAACUGAAGUUCCAAAUGAGCAUUUGGCUGUUUAUGUCGGGGAGAGUGAAAAUAAGCGAUUUGUUAUUCCAUUAUCGUAUUUGAAUGAUCCUUUGUUUCAAGAAUUGCUAUACCAAACUGAAGAAGAAUUGGGAUUUCAUCUUCCGAUGGGCGGCCUCACUAUUCCUUGCAGUGAGGACUUAUUCAUUGAUCUCACCUCUCAAUUGAGCAAAACAUUAUAUAUAGACUAGGUUCUAGAGCAAUAGAAUUUUUGUUAGCUAGUCUCUUUACAUAUUUUUCAUAUCUGUACACACAAUAUACUUUGUCGGAUACAAAAUGUCUUCCCGGACAAAUUUUAAUGGUAGUUACAAGUUUUAUCAUAAGCGUUUUUUCGCAUUUUUGCUUUCAAAAAUUCAUCUCUAACUUUUUGUACUUGUCAGAAUAUAAAUAAGGCAACUCGGUCAUUGAAAUUUCAUGAAACCCCAACAAUUGAAUCGGCUGAAGAGGUUGUACGUAACUAGCUAGUGCGGAUGCUUCUAUUUUUUGAUCCGGACAAAGAAUCCCAAAUAACAAUUUAUAGCCAGGGAUAUAAAUACAAGAGCACAUAGCAAACUAUUCUUUCGGCUUCUUUUUGCAAACAUGGUGUGCUUGCUGCAAUUCAAACAACAUACGCCUCAUUUUGGAGGGUUAAUUUCCAUUUGGGAAUUUGCCCUAAUAAAUUAAUCUAGUUCAAUGUUUACUUAUGUUAAUUUGGUCACUGAUAAGUAACAACAUUCAAAAAUAUUUUUUGAAAGAGUGCCUAUAAUCAAAUUAUAUUAUUAUGUUUCUAACGUCUGAAAAAACAGAUAUAGGACUUGGUUAAACUUGAGAAAUGAUAUGGAACAUUUGAUUUGUGCUCAACGAGAGGUUAACUAUAUAUGGAUAUAAAAUAUAGGAAAAAUUAUAGAAAAGACCCCAUCUAAGAAAUAUAGUUAAAGAAACACCCCAUCACAAAAAUAAUUAGAGAAAAUCACCUUAGCUAAUAUUCCACUCAAAUGCUAUUUUAAUAAUUCCCAAACCACCCUUAUUGAUGUUAAAUCUCAUUUUCACGUUUCACAACCUAAACCCAUUUCAUUUACCGUUUCUUUCUUCUCCUUUUCUCAUCUUCUCAUCUUCUCUCUUCUCUUUUCUCUUCUCGACUGAAAUUCGGAGGAAAAGCAGGACGUCGUCGGAGAAAAUGUUUGACGGCGACCGACGACGGUGGUGAUGGAAGAGUGUUUGCCGCUGCCUCCCGUCGCCGCGUGAUGUGUGGUGACGACGGUUCUGUAGUUGGCGGCGGUGGUUUCCACCGACUACGCUAAAGCAGAUGACUGACGCUUGUCGUCGAGGACGCAGUGGAUUGACUGCUACAAGUGAGGCAUGAUAUAAUCACUGUUGCUAUUGAUGUUGCUAAGGUAUUUUUUUUUUGUUUUUUUUUUGGUUUUUUUUUUAAUUAUUUUUUUAGUUUUAGUUUUGUCAUGUGUUCAGAAAUUAUUUAUGAAGUGCCCAAGAAUGGUUGACAAAUACCUUGAAUCGUUUAUGUUGUUUUUUUGGAUAUUGAAAUGCAAAUUUGUGUUUUUUUUUAUAAGUUAUUUAUUUUAUUCUUGUUAGGGAUUGGUUUUUUUUUUUUUUUUUUUUUGUUGGCCAAAAUAUUUUUAUUCCAUUAUAUACUUGUGAAAGUACAAGAGGGCCUUCCUUAAAAAUCUUAUGGGCCUACACAAGGAAAAGAGUACCCCUACAAUCGGAACGGAAUAAAAACGGGACAAUCGAAGUCCUAUACAAUCGAUUACUAAAAAACCCAAAAAAUGGGUUAAAAAGGAAAUAAACAAAAAUUACUAUGUCUAAUAAAGAAAAUCUUCGAAAAUUGCUCAAGGACCUCAUGUGUGGAUGAAAGUGCAAAUACGCACAAGAACCACGUGUAAGUUGAUAUUCCUGCUCACCAAUACAAAAAUUGCAAUUCGACCCCUUAUUAAAUUGAGAAACCCACAUGUCAUCAUAGGUCCAAAUCAACUUAGGGGCGGAAAUUAGCAAUCCCCAACCUAUCACUGAUCAAAGUAGCCCGAACCUCCACUGAAAGACUAAUUUCGGUAAAAUAUUCUUGACUUGAUUGGUGAUUAUACGCCCAAUUAGCUAAUCGAUCCGUCACCGUAUUCUUUUGACGAACUACGUGCUUGAAAGAAGAAUCCACUUCCUGCAAACAAAGCCGAAGAAUAUAUUCUAACUCCCAUGUAACGACCUUGGUUUUAAUUGCAUUAAUAGCCAACAACGAGUCACUCUCCACCGUAACAUGAAGGAUCCCCAUGUGCCUACACAUUCUUAGGCCAUAAACUAUAGCCAAAAAUUCCGCAGAGUUGUUCGUGCCAUGCCCGAAAAAUGAAGAAUAUCUAGCAACAAUAUCCCACCUCGAAUCUCUAAUAAUACCGCCUCCUGAACUCAUCCCACCUUUUGCCGAACCAUCUGUAUUAAUCGUAUACUUUCCUGUCGGAGAAAAUUCCCAUUUAUGCCAUGCCCCCCGUUUAUGAGGCGGCUGCACCACCGGAAGACCAGCGGCUUGAAUACGAAGGCUUUGAAUCUUGGUAGAAGAUUGCUUGGGACGAUGCAAAGCCACCAAGCUCUGCGUAUGGUAGUAAACCUUACGAAUAAUUUCCGCACUUGACAUAUCCCCAUCAGCAUAUACCACCCAGCACCGAGCAUUCCAAAUUUCACGAAAAAUGUGACAUACCACCGAAUUCCGAAUCAUCGCAUAAAGAGAGAGAUCGGAUGGCCGCGGGACCCAAACGCACAAAGCAUGUUUGGGCGACUCAAACCGAUCUUGGACUUGGAAAAGGGAGCCGAAGUGCUUCCAAACCCGUACCGCAAGCUCUGAGUGCAAAAAUAGGCGAGCAAUAUCUUCCGAGCAAGGCGAUUAGGAGCAAACACAUCUUGAAGCCAAUGGAAUACCCCGAGAAAUUAUUCGUUGAUCAACCGGCAAUGCAUGAUGAAUUACCUUCCAUAAAAAUCCACUAGUUCGAUGAGGUAAGUAAGGCUGCCAAAUACGAGUUGUCCACGAGACGCGCAAACGUGGCAUAUUAAUAUGACGCCAAUAUUCCUUACUCGAAAAUUCACCAGAUUGAGUGAGGGUAAAAAUGAAACGAUCCGGUUUAUUCAUCUCUAAAGUAAUUUUCUUCAUCUUUUUAUGCCAUUCUUGUGGUAUAAUUUGCAGCAGGUCCGCAAAUUGGGGCCAGGCUUCCGCAAUUGUCAAGUUAUUAUCGCUUGGUAAAGGUCCGACUAACACCUCUCCUAGCCAAUUAUGUGUCCAAAAUUUAAUAGCACCACGGCCCACCAACCAUUCAGUACAGUCCGCUAAGCUCUCCGCAUGGCUACAAAUUGACAUCCAUAAUGGAGAGGCGGAUCUCCUUGUAAUAUGAACUCAUUUAUCACAAUACUUCGCCCGAGCAAAUUUGGACCAUAAUGAGGAAUUUUGCAGCACCUUCCAGAAUAGUUUAGCAUGUAAGCACCGCAUGACUUGUUUGAGAUCUCGAAUACCCAAACCCCAUUCGUCAAUAGGGGUACAAACCGUUUUCCAUCUCACCCACUGGGUCCGCGAUUCUCCACCAGAGCUCCACAAGAAAGAAGACAUAAGUUGUUCUAGACGAACAAGAACAGAGGCCGAGACUUUGGAGCAUGCUAGCUAAUAAAUCGGGAUGCUUGCCAUAACUGAUUUAAUCAACGUUAGUUUGCCCGCAAAUGAGAGAAUUUUACCGUGCCACCCUUGAAGUUUACCACGAACUUUUUGUAUUAAAUAUUCGAAGUAUUCAGCCUUGGUACGACCAGAAUAAAUCGGUAUGCCAAGAUAUCGGAAGGGCAGAGAUUUACGACGAAAGCCUGUCAAUUGUUCAAUAGACUGACCCACAAAUUUAACCCACUUACCCACAAACAUGUUGCUUUUAGACACAUUCACCAAUUGCCCUGAAGAGUGUUCGUAAGAUUUUAAAACCUCCAUAAGAGCUUGCAUAGAUUGUGGGAUAAUUAUACUUUUCGUCCCUAUACUUUACCACUUAUUCGUUUUUCGUCCCUAAACAAGUUGGAGUGACAUUAUCCAUCCCUAAACAAGCCAUUUUUCUGCUAUUUUCGUCCCUCCGUCAAUUUGGCUGGUUAGUUUGGACAGAAAAUAGCAUGUGCUUCGCACAUGAUACGUAAGAGCCAACCCCUCUUUAAUUUCAGAUUGCAUCUUCUUUAGAGCAUAAUUCUUCUUUUCCAAAUUGCUAAUUUCUUUAAUAUCACACCUCUUUGGACUAAUAAAUAGCCUCGAUAAUUCCCAAAAGACAAUUUUUUUCCAUCAUACAAAAAUCUGAUGCAAUGCAAUUUCUACUUUGAAUUAAUAUAUUUGGAUUUGUUGAAUGAAAUUUAUAAUAUGUUAAGCUACUCAAAAAGAAUUCUUUGUUUUGUUACCUAUUGAGGAUUUGCACGAUUUGCAAUUCUAUAAACUUUAAUUUAGAUUGCCUACCCUAAUUGGUCAUUAUAUCACCAACUGACUUUGACUACUCAUUUAAACAAAAAAAAUUGUCAUGGCCGGUGUAGGGGAUAUUAAAAAAAAACUGAUGUAGUUGCAUGUCUUGUAUAUUCAUUAAUUCAUGCGCACAUAUUGCAAAAAUUUAUUUCACUGUAUGUUUUGAGUUCAAAUAUGAAAAUUUCAUGCAAAUUCGAAAUAAAUAUUAUUCACCCGACAAUUGUAUCGUUUACAGUCAAUUCUGGUCAGAAUUUCCUUUUAAUUGGGUGGGAAUGGGUCUCUUGCAUGGUGGUGGUUCGUUUCCAAAGUUGAAAUGGGUAUUUUGGGAAUGUGCAUGAUGGCUCGUUUUCUCUAGCAAAGUUUAGAGAUGAGUUUUGGUGGGUGCCAAUGCAUGGGUAAUUUGAGUUAAUAUAUAUGAGUUGGUUUCACUAAGCAUAUCACCAACAACAUACACGUGAGCGGCCACGUGGAUUAAUAAUCAUCCAUGUCAGCAGCAUAUAUUGAGAUUUUCAGGUCCACGUCAGAUUUCCAUCCAAAGUAACAGCAAGAGUUAACGGCAGGACGAAAACUGCUAAAAAAUGGCAUGUUUAGGGACGAAUAAUGUCACUCCAACUUGUUUAGGGACGAAAAACGAAUAAGUGGUAAAAUAUAAGGACAAAAAAUGUAAUUAUCCCCAUAGAUUGUUGCCCUCCAUUCGAGAAAAUAAGUAUGUCAUCCGCAUACAAAAGAUGAGAAACCACCACUUCAUUUCGACCAACCUUGAAUGGAAUAAUCUGUUUCGUCACCAUUUUCCGAUUAAGAUUGAUGGUCAAAAUUUGUUGUGCCAAGAUGAAUAAAAGAGGAGAGAGGGGAUCGCCUUGCCUAACCCCGCGGGAAAAUUUGAUGUUUCCGGUCAGGAUUCCGUUGAUGUUAAAAGAAUAAGAGAUGUUGCAAGUAUUUUGAUAAAUCAAAUCACAUGAUUUAUGGGAGAAACCAAACGAGCACAUGGCCUUCAAGAGAAACCUCCACUCUNNNNNNNNNNNNNNNNNNNNNNNNNNNNNNNNNNNNNNNNNNNNNNNNNNNNNNNNNNNNNNNNNNNNNNNNNNNNNNNNNNNNNNNNNNNNNNNNNNNNUCCGAAAACUCUAGUCAAUAUCUCUCGUCAACUCUUGUGCCAUAACAAUGUGAGUAGUCAUAUUCCUUCCCUGUACAAAUCCAGCUUGCUCCUCAGAGAUAAUAAAAGGAAGAAUCUUGCCUAAUCGGUUCGCUAGAAUUUUAGAAACAAUCUUUCCCGAGAAAUUACCCAAACUAAUGGGUCUGAAAUCGCUCAUACUCCUUGCAUUCUCGACUUUUGGCAACAAAAAAAAUUGUGGAUAGACACAUUUCCUUCAAUAAAUAACCCCCGCGAACGAAAUCAACAAUAAAAUUUGCCAGCUCAUCUUUAAUAAUUUCCCAACAUGUAUAAAAGUGCCCUGUGAAUCCGUCAUUGCCGGGAGAACUAGACGCCUUCAGUCCCUUAAUAGCUUCGAGAAUUUCUUCUAGAUCCGGAACUCUGCAAAAAUUUUCAUUUAAUGAGUUACUCACCACAGUAGUAACCUCAUGGAAUAAAGUCUCGUCGAGUUACUCACCACAGUAGUAAUCUCAUGGAAUAAAGUCUCGUCCAUAUGAUACUCCGACGCCUAAGCACCAAUUUCGUUAGGAAUGGAUCCAUCCUCUCUCUUAAUUUGAAUGGUCGAACGCUUGCACCGAUCUUUGAUGCACGCAUGGUAAAGAGCGGUGUUGCGAUCCCCAUCCUUCUCCCAUGCAAGUCGAGCCUUGGCACUUACCAUCUUCGCUUCCCAGUCUUCGAGACGAUUAAGAUAUUUCGUAGUCUCCACAAGUUGCCCCGAAAUCUCCUCAUUCUAGCCAUGUUGAAGCUCAUUUUCAAGCGCUUGAAUUGUUUGUUGAGAAGCUUUGAUAUUACUUUGUAGGUCACCAAACACUUCCCAAUUCCACCGCUUAAGAACACGCCUGACAUUAUGCAAUUUAGCUGAAAAAUAUACGACGGAGACCCAAAUAUGGGAAUAGUCCACGCCUUCUUGACUGUCUCUGGAAAAGAGCUAUGAUCUACCUACAUACGCUGGAAAAUAAAUCUGGUUCGAACCGAAUCCAGGGGCUGCUCAUAACUCACACAUAAAGGCGCAUGAUCGGACAAAGUGCGCUCCAAAUGAACGACCUUCAAAUUUGGAAAAGAAAGGUGAAACGAGGGAUUGACCAUGAUCCGAUCAAGACGCUUCCAAAUCCUCGCAGGUCUCGUCCUAUUAUUGCUCCAAGUGAAUGGAUUCCCAAUAAAUCCCGCGUCCAUUAAACCACUUUGCAACACCAAAUUCUGAAAAUCAUGUAGACGGGAGAUAUCAACCAACCCUCAUUUCUUCUCCGUAACGUCUAAAAUGGCAUUAAAGUCUCCACCUACUAACCAUGGAGUGGAUAUAACAGCAUGCAUGGCCGUAAUGUGAUCCCCAAAGAUUUUUCCGUUCAGUAUGCGAACAACUUGCAUAAAUGAAGGAAGCAGUGAACAACGGCUGGCUAGGACUGGAUAUAGUAUCAAUGAUUGCUUGGGCGAAAAUAUUUAAGCAUUGUAUAUCAACAAAAGGUUUCCAUAAAAUCCAAAUAUAUUGAUUAGUGUAUGCCCCAUCCAUGAACGAAGGAAACCCUAGUUUCCAGGCGAAAUUUUACAGAUGGUAAUUUAGGCUCCAAAAUAACCAAUACUGUAAUUUUAUGUUGGCGAAUAAGCUUCUUAAGGUGAUUUACUGUAGCUUUUUGAUUUACCCCCCGAGCAUUCCAAAUCGAGCACGACAUAUUAAACUUGGGGAUUAUUGAAGAACUUUGCCGGAGACCUGGUAACUCGAUCUGUAGGUGGAACGUAAUACCUACUUGAAGGAGGAAUUAUUUUUCUCUCCUUAUUGCCAGCUUUCCCAUUUGCUGGGACUUCACUAUCUGAUUUAGGGGACAUAAAAAUCCCUGCUUCGGCAUCAUGUUCACCCUCUGAAUGGUACAUAGCAAGCGCAUAAUUCUCCUCACCAAGGAGUUGAGCUUCAAAAUGGUUAUCCACUUCAACAUUAUCAGUCCUCACUGCAUGAGUAAUUUCUAGAGCCUGGAAAUUGUCAACGUUCUCCGGCAUAGUGUUUUCAGUCUCCUUGAAUUCUUCAUGGUUUGACAACUGAUCUGCUACUGCACCCAUAUGUAGGUUGGAGGCGGCAUCUACACCAGGUUUGUGGCUUUCAGCCAAAGGUGUAAGGUUUGUGCGUUCCUCUUGGGGUUGUUUAGACAUGUUCCCCUUCUCAGAAACGUUUAACGUUACAGCCGUAUGUUUAUGACCAACGAAAAAAAUUGUUCGUCAAAAAACUUUUGCGGCUCAGAAUGUAUACCAUCGGUACCAACGACUGUAUCAUCUUCUACUACAACGGGAACGGUCUCAGCUACACCCCGACGGAGCAUAUGUCGAGGUUGUCCCACCGGGUUUGUCUUCGCUACAGGGGGUUUUGUCACUCCUUGUUUCUUUCGACACGCUCCUACUAAGUGCCCCAAUAAUCCACAAUGAGCGCAAUAUGUGUGAUUGCACUCAUAGUCUACCUUCUGCCACCACCCAUCAUCCUUCGAUACGCCGAUAAAAAUCGACUCCGGCAAAUGUUGAGCCACAUUAACCUCAAUACACACCCCGGCGUAAUGAGUGUGCGUGAAUGCGAGAGUUCGGUCAUCCACUCGUAAAACAUUACCGAGCGCCGCUCCAAUUCUUUCCAACGACGAAACAUUGAAAUAUGGGAGCGGCAGUUUCGGUAAACGAACCCAAACCGCUACUUUGCUACUGUCUUUACCAAUAGUAAAUUCCGGCGUCCAACGAAACAAACAGAACAUACAAUUCUUGAUGUUGUUAGAGUUGCAGGAGAGUUCUAACUUCGCAUCGUGGAUAGAACCCGUAUGAAUGGUGAUAUGUCGGGGAUCCAAGAACCCAAUUGCAGGCUCGGACGUCAAGUUCCACCCCGAGUUGAUGUGGGAUUUGAUAUCUUGUAAACUUGGACGACCAGCAGAGAAUUUCAUGAUCAACGUGUUAUUGACUUGACGAUUUAAUUGAUCUAUUUCAAUCGGCGAGAAAAACACCGCAGGGGCGUGUUCGACGGAGGCUGUGGGACGAGGCGCUAGGGCCACGGGGACGAGGCGAGGAGGAGAUGUCGUGCGUUUGGCCGCGAGCAUCGCUGCGAAUGAAGGACGGCGUGCCGGUGACGAUGAAUAGUAUGGUUAGACGGCGUGCCAAUGACGAUGGGAGGCAGAUUAAGGAUUUUUUGAUAGAUCGGGCGGAGAACGGCGCAUGUAGAGAAAUUCGCGCAGACAGUAACCUUAAUCGACUAUGUACAUGUUCAAUAGUCGAUUAAGAUAAUCGACUAUCGUCGAUUAAGGUUGAUCGACUCCAAUUUUUUUUUUUUUUUUUUUUUUUGUAUUUUUUGUUUAUUGAUUCUUACUGUAUAAAUCAAUUAUAAUGUUUGUACAUUUUUUGUUUUUGUAAAAUAUAGUUGAUUUUGCAUUUUUUUUGCAGUUGUGAUUUAUUAUUUUUAGUAGCAGAUUCUUAAUCUAGUAUGCUUCAUCAUAGUCGAUUAAUAUACCAGAUAUAGAAAAAAAAUAAAACAAAAAAAUUAAAGAAUUUCCUUAAUCGACUAUGCUUCAUAGUCAUUUAAUAAAACUGAUACAGAAAAGAAAAAAAAAUCGCUAAUGACUAGCGCGUGGCGCCGUGAUGAUGUGGCGGGCGGGGGCAAAAUUGGAAAAUAUAAUGGCUGAAAAUGGGUGUGGACUUUUCUCGAAUGGAGCAAAAUAUUUGGGCAUUUCCCCGCUAAAAGAAGUAAUGGGGGUUUUCUCAAAGAGCCCCUAAAAUAUAAAAGAAAAAAACAUCUCCCGCUAAAAGAAAUAAUGGGGGUUUUCUCAAAGAGCCCCUAAAAUAUAAAAGAAAAAAAAAAAGAAACGCGUAAAUCUUAUUUCAUCCAUAAUAUAACUAAUAAAUUAUAUUAUAAUAGUGCAAUAUAUUUUGUUAUUAUAAAUUUAUAAUUGCAUAUUUAAGUAGUUAUUUUCUCAGUUUUAAAAUGUUAUCAUGCGCAUUACACAAGGAUAAUUACUAUUUUUAAUAAUAUUUUAAAAUGUUAUCAUGCGCAAUACUAUUUUAUUAACAAAUUUUAAUAAUUUUUCAAUUUACUUAUUUACUAUUUUUAACAAUAUUUUAAUUUUUAAACAAUCAAAUUACAAAAAGAAAUAUAUACAUAUAAAUACAUUUUAAGGGUCAAUUUCGUCAUUUCACAUCCAAAAACCAACUCCCAGUCGCGCAACUCGCGAGUGAGCCACACACUAGUCAACCAGGGGGGUUUUUGCCUUUAACUAAAUUUCACAUGGGAGUUUUUGCUAGUUUAUUUAUCACAGGGAGGUUUUUGCUAUUUAGAGAUUAUACAUGGGUACAUUUUGCAGUUUACUCAUAGAAUAUGAUAGGAAAUUCUAUUAUUUAUAUCUAAAUAACAUAAUUACACAGGGAAAAUAAGAAUCCUAGUAAAAUAAAAGUUAAUUCCAAGUCAAUACAAAUAUAAUUUAGAAUCCGAACCAAAAGGAACUCUCUCAGCAAGUCUGUUACAAACAAAGCCGAUUUGUUUUCUUCAAAGAAAUCCACCACACGGAUCUAUUGCAAUUCCGUUCCACUCACCUUUUUAAAUCAAUACUCAAUCUGUGUGAUUUAUUCCAUUUCGUACAACAACAGCAUUAUGUUUCUUGAUAAUGGAGUUGAGUUCUCUCUAAAAGUUCUGAUAAACAAAGAGAAGAACAAAGUACUAUUUGCAGAAGUCGACAGCGAUUUCGCAGAAGUUCUGCUGAGUUUUUUAACUUUGCCACUGGGAACAAUUGCGAGAGUUCUGAAGAAGCACUACGGAGACAAAGACGCAACGACACCUGUCAAUAUCGGAAGCCUAACCACUUUGUACGAUGGAUUAUCGAAUCUUGAAAGCAUCAAUGUACAGAGUCCAUUCCGUAAGUCCAUGCUUCUCUACCCCGUAAGUUCGUUUGAAGGUGAAUGCCGAAAGCUUAAACUCGAUAUCAGUGAUCCUUUGACCGUUACCUACUUUUCUUGCCCGGACUGGAAUUGUACGCACCGAUGGUCAAAGAUGGCAAUGCGAGGAGAUACUACCGGAACUUGCGUUUGUGGGAAAAUGAAGAACAAAAGCGUUUGUUUAGACGAGUCUGAAACUGCUGUUCAUGGAUCCGGUGGAGUUUUCACGAUUAAGACGACUUCUUUCUUGAUCUCUGAUGAUCUGAGAAUGGUGCCUAAUGUGGCGGUAGGCUUUGUGCAAACUCUCCGAAAUCUUGGCAUCACCGAUACUAAAGGCGCCGAGCUAAGGAAUGUGACUUUUGGGUUCAAUGAGGUAAUAUAAUUUGUUUGUAAUAUAAUUUGUUUCUUGAUUAUGUUUGUAUACUGUAUAUAAUUAGGAUUUAUUUUUUGUAAUUUUGAUUCUCUAUGUUGUCUAUUUAGUGAUUUAGUCAUCUAAGUUAUUAUAUUUCAAUUUCACAUGCAAUAAAAUUGCAAUUUAGCAGUUGUUGGUUCACUACAAAAAAAAUCUUUAGAGUGACAACACCUAUUUUUCAAUUGCAUAGCCAAUAAAAUUGUCACUAUGCUUGUCACUGAUGGGGUGUCGCUAAUGCUCUAUAGUGACAAUAAAUAAGGAUUAAGUGACAACAAAAAGAGCUAUAAGUGACAAGAAAAAAAUAUUGUCACUUAAUGUAUAGAUUAAGUGACAACUUUUGCAUUUGUCACAAUUGUGGUGUCGCUAAUGCAACUUUUUCUUGUAGUGGUUUUAUGUUGCUUGAUUUUUGCAUUUCAUGAUGUGGCAUUUGUUGGAUUUUGCUUGUACGGACUUUUAGAAGUUAUGAAUUCUUCAUCAAACUUACUGUUCAUAGAAUUCUUAAUCUGUGAGUUACAAAUCAAAUUAAAGGACCAUUUAUAAUAUUUAAAAUAUUCGUAUAAGUGCAUUCAAAUGAGUUUGUUAAAACUAAAAUUUCUGGCAAAACAGGACCAAAAUUGCUAAAUUUGCAAAGUUAUUGCACGCAAACUUGAAAUAGCAUAACCAAAAGGACUAAAUCACUGAAUUGGUUAAUAUAGAUGAUCUAAAUUACAAUUUUCUCCCAUAUAACUAUGUCGGUUUUGUGAAUUUUAAUAAUCAUUGUCUGCCUUAGGUUAUGGAUUUGCUCAAGGCCUCGUUAAUGUCGCGUACUCCGCUAACCGACCUUAUACUCAAUAAAACAAAGGUUUAUGAUGACUUUGUCAGGCUAAAAUACGACGCGGGAAUUUCCUUCCAAGAGAAGGAAAAAUCAGAAGCGACCAAGAAGAUGAAUAUAAGGUUGGUGGUAAAAAAAUCGAACAAUAAGUUAUUGUUUGCUCAAGCGGAUGAUGAUUUCGUAGAUUUCCUUUUUUCUUUUCUUACCAUCCCACUAGGAGGAGUUGAGUGCCUUUUGGGCAGUAACACUUGUCUUAAGAGUAUAGACAAUUUGUAUAAGAGCAUAGCGGAUUUUAUCGAUGACAAGUAUUGGGUGAGUCCAAGUAUCAAAAAUAGGGUGAUGAAACCCAAUCUACCUAAAGGUUAUGUUUCCGAAGGUACGAUUCUUCCUCUUAGUGAACAAGUUACUCUAUAUUACCAUCGGGAUAUGAACCAGAAAAAAGAAUGGUUGUCAUAUUCAAUUGGAAAAAAAUCGGGAUGGGUUGGUGAAAUGGUGUUCAGUCGAGGCCAAGAGAAUUUUGUUAGAGGAACAAAAAUGUACAUGGUGAUCGAUGAUUUAACCGUGACUCCUAUGUGUAUGACCUCAACCCUUUCUAUACUGAAGAAAAUGGAAAUCCCUUUAUCUGAUGUCAAAGAAGUGGAGGUGCACGUUGGAUUGCAAGAGGUAAUUAAUAUAAUUUGAUUUUAUAAUAUCUCGUGUUUAAUUUAUUUAUAUUUUCCCAUGCAUGCAUGUCGAGAUUCGUUUUGGGUGCAGGCUUUAAGCAUACUGAAGGCAUCUCUGACAUCGACGUCUGCUUUGACCGAUGGCCUGAAGAUCAAUAGCAUGUUAAAGAAAAAGCCUAACCAUGCAAGUGCAUUUAUAAGGCGGUUCGCACAAUUGUUUAAUUAGUAAUUUUAAUUGCACCAUGCAUGGAUUAUUUUGUUUCCCAAUAAUGGUAUUAGGCCAGUACUAUACAAGUUGUAGUUACUUCAUUGUUCAGGCCUUCAGGGGUAACUGAUAAUUUAGCUAAUAUUUACUGAAAUUGUGUUUUCUGAUCGGAAUUGUUUUAUGGUCGUAAUAAUAAGGAUUGAUUAAAAGAUUGAGCUUUGGUCCCUUUACUUUUUUAUAUUAUUAUUGCCUCAUAGAUUUGUAUUUUGUUAUGCAAUUGUCUAUGCAUGUUAGUAUUAAUAUUAUUAUCAACUAUCCGGUUGCAAUUGACCAUUAAAUUAUGUAAUUAAUUAGGAAAAUAAUAAAAAUAUUUUGAAAUUUGCUAUUCAAACACAAUUCUAACUUUUCAGAAAUUACGAAGAUAGUAAAAUUUUUCUCCCUCGUACUUGCUUUACUUUUGCCAAAUGCGAAAUAUGGAAAUUCUAGAUUUUAAAUUUUGUUUUCCAGAAUAAUAGUAUUCAAUAUUGAAUCAAGACAAUGAGGGAGAACCCCUUAAAAAACCCAUUUAUCAAUAUUAGACCAAUUCUUUUUUUUUUUUCUUUUUUACAUACUUCUCAUAUGAUGUUAUGGAUUGACAUACCUCCAUUAAUUUAUUAUAACCUAAUUUUAUCCUUUUUAAUUCGUUUAACCCUAGAAACACUAUGUUUACUGCUCAAUCACUUUUUCACUUUCUCUCCUUCGUCAAUGCUUCUCUCUCCCCUUUCUCUCUUUUAUCUUCCACCACCGCCACCACUCUCUUUGUGGACUGCUAUCUUCCACCGCAACUGUCGCGAGUUCUUACCCACACAGAAUUGGAGGAUUCAUUGAGGAACAUGGAGAGACGACAGAGGUCGUCUUCCGCCAAAAUUUGUAAUUUCCGACGACACCAGCCGCUGCUUCUUCGAGACCCAGACGAAUUACUCCUCAUCUUCAACCAACAAUAACAAGAUCCAAAGCAAUCUCUCCCUAUCAAUCCUCCCCUAAGUCCAUUCUCUCCACAUUCUCCCUUCAAAACGCCCCCGCAAAUUUCGUCGCCGCAGCCUGUCGCGCCCACGUCAAUUUCAUCGCCCUCUAUAACAACCGGAGAGCGGCCGCACGGCGAGGAGAUUUCAAAGACGGAGUUUGAGGCAUGGCAUUAGUGAUUGGAGCAGGGGGAGGUUGUUGAAUUGGGGAGUGAUGGUGGAGGAGCAUCUGCGGCGGCUCAUCAUUGUACGAAACGCCGUGGGAUUUUGCUGAUUUUACAGAUAUUUCAUUUAGUUGUUUCGGACAGUGGAAAAUGGACGGUCUUGUUCUGACGCCUGGCAAAUUAGAGUAGUUUUUUUUUUGUUGGUUUCGGUGAUUUAUAGUUGAUUUCAAUAUUUUUCAUAGUAGGUUUUGAUAAUAUUUUAGUUGAUUUCAAUAUAUUGUAGUUGGUUUCGAUGAUUUUGUAGUUGGUCUUGAUGAUUUUGUAGUUGAUUUUGAUGAUUUUGUAGUUGUUUUCGAUAAAUUGUAGGGCAUUACUAUAAAUUGUAGCUUGUUGGUUGCUAAAAUUUGUUGUUGGAUUGAGGUGUUUUAUAGUUAUUUUUGUUAUAAAUUGUAGUUGUAUUGAAAUUUUGUAGUUGAUUAUUGUAAUUUAUAGUUGUUUACGAUGUGGUAAAUCUCCCAAAAAAAAAACACGAAUUUAUUAAAAAAAUAAUAAUUUAUUAAAAAAACAAAUUUAUUAAAAAGAAAAAAAAAAUGUAGAAAAUAAAACGAUAAUAUAUAGGUAUUGGGAAAGAGGGGUGGGCAUUGGAAUAAUAUAAGGAUAAAAUAGGGAUAUGAAAAGUUAGGGGUGUCUCUCAAAUGCAAAUAAUAAAGUGGGUCUAGCUUUAUUAAAACACGGGGUAAUUUUUUAUAAAUCCUCCACUCUAAGAUUAUAUAGGUCCUAGUCCAAGUCAUAAGACCUAUUUUUCUAAAACCCCUACUAAUAUUUUUGGCUGAUUUGCCCUUUGCAGCAAAAUAGUAAAAUUCCCUUUUAAAUAUAAUUAUCCACCAAAUCAGUUUUUUAGCUAAAAAAGAGGGAAAAAAAUCUCAAGUCGUGAGAUUGAAACUGCAAAACCUUACCUCUCAUUUCUUUCAAUGCACCACCCUAUAGCCCUAAUUCUCAAAUCGACAAAAAGGGUUGUAUAUCUGCAAACCGCCACCGAAGAAACAAACUGCAAAAACUCACUUCUCGUUUCUUUCAACGCACACUAUAGCCCCAAUUCUCAGAUCGACGAAAAAGUUGUAAAUCUACAAACCGCCAUCGAAGGGAAAAAUCUGCAAAUCUCGUCAAAUCGAAACAUGCAAAAACUCUCUCCCCUUUCGUUCAACACAAACUCUGUAAUCUUAGCCCCUUAUUGCUGAGAUCGAUGGAGAGUCUGUAGGUCUGGAAACCGAGAAGAUGGCGCAAAAUCGAAAACGUACAGGUAAUUUGCUAUAUAUUGCAUUUUUUUGUAUUUUUUUUAAGUCGCGAUUCAUUGACGAAAUACAAUGGGUUUUUUUAUGAAUGAAGUGAAAGACAGAGAUUUGGAGCCUAUGACCCAGGUAAUAACUUUGUUUUCUACAAAGAAUUUUUUUUGUUUGUUUUUCAUUUUGUUGUUUUUAUGUGUAUUUUGCACUUUGAUGUUUAUUGUGUAUUUUGCACUUGUUGUUGUAUUGUAUAUUGUAUAUUGUAUUUUUCAUUACACUUUGGUGGCAUGUCGAUUUUUGCAAACCUGCUAUUGUAUUGUUGUUAGUUGUGUUGUGAUUUUGAAACUGUGUAUUGCUGUUUGGAAUUAUAAUUGGCACUUGCUAUUACAAAUUGCGGUUACUGUUUCAAGAUACGCGUUAUUAUGUGCAAUUGAUGUACAUGGUUUUUAUUGGUUGACCUGUUGUGCAAAUUUUUGUAUUAAUUCAACAGUUGAUUUAUUAAAGGGGAAGAGAAAAGUAAAUGAAUCAGCGGAGUCAUCAAAAGGAGGAAAACAAAGAUCGAAUUAAGUUGAAUAUGUUCGCACGGGAGAACAAAUCAAUGCGGAAGAGCCAACAUAUGGAGAUAAUAAAUCACCCCUUCUAUAUAGAUCAAAUCUAGUUUCAGUUGUUCGCUCUUUCCGGCAAUAUAAAUAUACAGAAAAACAUAUUGACUGCAUUGGGCGGACUGCGUUGGCUGCUUUUAUAAUUCCAUUAAUGCCAAGGAAGAUCUCUACACACCAUGUUCGGAAGUCGACAGAAGAGGUGCACAAGAUCCUACUUACUUACAACAAGGACAGACACAGAUUUAUUAUUGGCGGAAAGGAACUUCAAAUAUUUCCUAUUAAGUGCCAAUUAAUUUUCGGCAUAAAAUGUAGUGAAGUUGGGAUGCAUAUAGCCAAUCCUAAAGGUUGUCGUAAACCGACCGGUGGCCUAGUCCCUGGGCAAUUUCGCAAUGUAAAGCGACUGAACAAUGCAAAACUAAAAAAAACCAUGAUUAGGUUGAUUAGUGGAGACAGAGAUUCAGAUAUAAAAAAUGUGGCGAGGAUCAUCAUACUAAAUCUCACUGUUCUAAAAAUCGGCCGAGGCGGCUGAUUAAUCGGUCUCCGAGGUGGAGGCGGUCAAAAACCUUUACGAUUUUAGUGUAAAAGUUUGAAAAAUAGGUUUUUUGCCUGUGAGGCGGUUUGAGGCGGUCUGAGGCGGUCAAACCUUUAUGGCGGGUCAAACUUCGAUUCCAAAAAUCGGGGUUUUUUUUAAUAUAUAAUUCGAAUUAAAAGUUAGGAUUUUAAUAAACAAAAUAUGAUUUUAUACUUUAUUUUGUUUAUGUUAACUGUUAUUGUUAAAAAACUAAUGAUGUAUGUUAGGAAUGUUCAAGAAUAAAUGUAAAUUCAAAAAAAAUGCCUUUUUAUUUAUAUUUUAUAAGGAUAUUUAUGAGUUAUAAUCUUAUUAUUAUUAAACUUUUAUUAUUUUAUCAGGAUUUAUACAUGAUGGAGAUAUAACUAUGUUUAAAUAUCUUUUUAUAUAUAUAUUUUUAAUAUUUAUAAAUAAAAUCUAGAAAUAUAUAAUAUUAAAUUUUUAAAAUCGAUUUAUUUCCGAUUUAUCGCCGAUUAAUCACCGCCGCACCGAUGAAUCGUGAGUCGGUCCCUGGCCGCCUCCGACCCAAUUACCGCUUUUUACAACCUUGCUAAAUCUUAUGUUCAAUUUCUUCUUCACUACCAGUGGGGAUUUUGUUCCAUGGUCCUGCGUUAAAUAUGUGGAAGAUCUGGAUGGUACAAAAAGAUACAAUUGGGCGAGAGAGAUAACAAUGCCAUAGAAAAAGGUACCCCUGAGUUGGUUCCAGGAUGCAAUAUGCUGUUAAUGGUGAGUAUUUUUCAAUGGUUAUUACUGUCAUAUGUUGUAAUAAUAAUCAUGUCCAUAUUCUUAAAAAAGAUUGUUGUCAAAUCAUAGUAUUGGCUGGCCGAGAAGACAACGGUAACACUGCCUAUGACAGUCAACGCUUUUCAAAGGUUUAGAAAGUGGAACAUCCAAACUAUUGCUGAAUGGUUGAAUCAAAUACACUGGAAUCAAUCAACGUAUUUGUGGUGGUAUUUGUUUGCAUUUUAUACACGCAUAUAUAUGUAUAUAUGUUAUGUUUUGCAUUUUGCUAUAUAUAUAUAUAUAUAUAUAUAUAUAUAUAUAUAUAUAUAUAUAUAUAUAUAUAUAUAUAUAUAUAUAUAUAUGUUAUGUUUUGCACUUUGCUGUUGGUUUUAACUUUUGCAUCUAAAAUGCUAAUUUUACUAUUACAUGUUUCGUAGGCAAAAUUGAAUUCUUAGCCAAAAAGAAAAAAAAAAUCUACUGUUAUUUGAGUUAUCUUGUGAUUUAUAUUAUUACAAUUUUGCAUUUGCUAUUAUGUAUUUUGAAUUAGCAAAAUGAUACUGUUAUAAUUCGUUGUUGCUAUUAAAUUUAUGGCUUUUGCAGUUAUCUUGUGAUUUAACAAAAUUGUAUUAUUCCAAUUUGCAUUUGCUAUUAUAUCAAUGGCUUUUGCUGUUAUGAAAUGCAAUAAUAAUUAGCUCACAUAUUUUGAUGUUUUUAUGUCUGUUUUGGUUGCUAUAUUAUUUUACAUAUAGAUUGUUGGCCCCCCUUGUUUUUAGGUGAUUAUAAUUUUCCACUGUUUGAAUAUACCCUCAUCGUUAGGGCUCUAUGGCAUCAUAAAAGUUCUUUUCCUGAAAAGAAAAAAAACAACAAUAACAGAACCACGAAAUAACAAACAAAAUACAUCAUAUUGACAAAAAGUGGAAAUAAUAGCAUGAAAUAGACUAGUGUAUAAAAUAGUCUGACAGAAAAAAAAAAAAAAAAAAAAAAAAGUGCAAUCGACAUAAAAAAAUGAAAACAAACCAAAAAAGGAAAGAAAAAAAAACAAAUCCAAAUCGUUGUAGACAGAAAUUCGCUUGAGUAUAAAGAAGCCAAAUAAAUACACGAAUUACAUUUGUUUCAUGCACGACUUCCUAUUAUGGUUUCCGAGUUCAUUACAUUGUCCACAUCUAAUUUUCCUCUUUAUCUUCUGUUAAGUAUAUAUUUUUAUACUUUAUCGUACCUUUUUAUUUGAGCUUUUGGUGUGAUUUAACGAUAAUUGGUGCUUAAAAAGUUGAUUUAUUGUAUUUUAGGUAUAAAUUGAAGAAUUGGAAAAGUUUGGGGUCAAAACUGCAAAUUUGGAGAAAAUAUGGGCCAAAAGUGAAAUAAUCAAAAAUAUGUUGAAAUUGGCUGAAAAUAGGCCCGCACGGCCGUGCCAAAAUUAGCCUAUUUUUGGCACGGCCGUGCCAAAUGCUGAAAUUGGGCAGAAGGUUCGGCGAUUCUCGCGCGGCCGUGCGAGAAUUGCACUGAUUUUCGCGCGGCCGUGCGAACACACGCUGGACACAAUUUUGGACUUUUAAUCACACAAGGAAACCUAAAAUCAUCUACCAAGUUGGGACAUCUAUAUAAGGGCAAACCAAGCACGAAUUAGAGGACUUUGGACACAACCUUGGAGCAAGAGGAGCGAGAGAACGAAGAAUUGAAGACGGAGAAUUGACAACUCUUCAUCACAAUUCUUCUUUUAUCUAUCUUUUCUUAAUCUUUUCUUUUUAUGUUUUUAUUUUGUUUAUCAUAAGAAUUACGCGUAGCUAAGUUUUUAAUCUAGGAUUUUGUCGGAACCCUAUGUGGGGAUGGUGAACCCGUUUUCUUGAGAUUAUGCAAUUAUGAUUUUAUGAUUAUUUCUUCUACUUGAUAUGAUUGUUAGUGCAUGAACUUGAUCAAUUUAUGUGCUUUAUCUGUGAUUAUUGGGAUUGACUCGACAGAGCUAUUUUGAUAAUUAGACGGUAAGUAUAAGAACCUUCGAGUAGUUUUCACCGGAUGAGUGUGUCAAUUGCAUGUGGUGUCGUAGACAUACAGAUAUCACAUUAGGUAGCCAAUUACGAGACUUGUUAGUUAAUGCUUUAUUCAUAAUUUGUUUGCAUAGACAUAUAGUGAACCGUUUAUGAAUAAUAGACUCAUAAUACACGCGACAGCGGGUUAUGAGUAAAUUAGUGUCUCGGGUUAAUAAUCAUGAAUCAUAUAUUUCAUAAUUGAGGGGUUUUGGGUGAGCAAUUCUUGCAUAGGGGGAAGAUAAAAUCCUAGGUCCGUUUUUAUAUUGAUAUUCUCUCUUCUUUAUUUGCUUUCCUAAUUAGUUUAAUUUAUUUAGUUGAUUAAAUUUGACAACCUUGCGUAGGCUGGAUAAAAAUCAUAAUUGUUAGAAUUUGGUACUUAGGAUUAGAUAAUUUGAGUAUUCCCUGUGGGAUCGACAUCCGACUCUCACGAGUCCACUUUUACUACUUGUUUGCGAUACGUGCACUUGCGUGUUAGGUAUUUAGCACCCAACAAGUUUUUGGCGCCGUUGCCGGGGAAUACAGCUAAAUUAUCUAUUUAUUCUGAUAUCAAAUUUGAGCAAUUUUUCUUACUUCAGCCAUUUAAUUUUUUUUAUUUUAUUAUUUUUUUUUAUUUUUUUUUUUGUUGUUUUUGUUUCAUGUCUGGUUAUAAUGUUAGGGAACCUCAAACGGGAUAUGAAUGGCUUCCAUCUGACGAAUACCUCCAAAACACCUAUGAUAUGCCUCCGUUUUGUUCAGCAUGUGGUGGAAAUCAUUAUUCCGAUGAAUGUUGGGGAUCACCAAAAGCGACAAAUUUCGUCGAAAUUACCAACGGAAGUUAUUGGAACACUUACACCAACACAUACGAGCAAAGUUUUCAGGACCAAGAUUUGAACGAGUUUCAACAUAGAGAGCCACAAUUCGAUGAUCUUCAAAAUUAUUAUCCAUUGCAGCAACAAACCACUAAUGACCAACCUGAUUUGGUAUCCAUCAUUGGCGAAUUCAUGAAGUCCACUCAAGCAUCAUUUCGAAACAUGGAGAUACAACUGGAAGAGAUGACGCUCAAAUUAAAAUCUGAGUCUCUUGAAAAUAUUCCAGACGAAAUCGGCAAUGAUUACAUCAAAGAAAAUUCGGGUGAAGCCUGCGGUGAGAAAAAUCUUCCAUGUCCAGAAAAUAGUGUCGAUAUGAGAGAAAUUGAAAUUACGAAGACACUUGAGCAUGAUGAAUCUGAGAAGGCAAUCGAGCUAAACCACGAAGAUACCUCAGAACAAGAGAAGAAGGAGAUGGAUGUAAUGAUUGAAGAUAUUCUAGUUGUGGACCAUGUCGUUGAUCUAAAUGUGGAUUUGAAGACAUCAAUAGUGGUCGAUGAGAAAGCUAAUGUGUUUGAGGUGGAGGUUAUACGUAGACUGGAGAUUUUUGUAUACCGAUUUGAGGGAGCGGUCGAUGAACAUCCUAUCUUGGCUUCGUACCGAUUGAUUACCACAAAAAAAGACUACAAGCUAAGGUGUAUCGUAACAUAUUGCAAUGCUAUCCAUGCCUUGGUGGAAAUUGAAGUGAUAAAGCUCAUGGGUGGAUGCGCAAUCUACAAGGCUUUGGAUUGGACAUAACAAUUUCAAGAAGAAAAGUCUGGCUGAAGACUUAAAACUUAGCGCUUCUCGGGAGGCAACCCGAGCAUUUAUCGAUUUUCGUAUUUUUCUUUGUUUUUAUUUUUCUUAGUAUUUGUGCAUGCGCAAACCAAUAAUUUAAUCUUGUUUUAAUUUUGAGGUCGAAAAUCAAACACUAAGGGAUCGGACGAUAAAGGUCGAGCAAACGAACAUCAAAGAGCGCAUCCCUUGGAAGGACCUUCGACUAAUCAGGUGUAUUCUAUCCUUGAACUUCGUGUUAAUUACAUUGAGGGCAAUGUAAAUUUUAAGUUUGGGGGUGGUAAAUUACUUGUUUUUAUGUGCUUUAAUUUUUUAGUUUGCACGCCUUAGGAUUUUUCAUUUUAUUUUAGUUGUUUUAGUUUAUUUAUUGCUUUCGAAAAAAAAAAAAUUAAAAAAAAAAAAUUGCUUGAGAUAAAUGCUUUGAUGAAUCAUGAUGACGAAAGAUGGUCGAUGUUUAAUGAUGGAAUUGCUUGCUUUAUCUUGAUUUUGAUCGAAUUUUGGUGAGCUUUUGAUUCAAAGUGUCGUAAGAAGGAGUCAUUGUUAGGAAUCUCGAAUUAUGUCUUGCUUUGGUUGAAAGUUUUGUGUUUUAAAACAUGGAAUUAAUUUAUGCUAUAUCAUAUGCUAUUCAGUUUUAGAACUUGCCUUAGGAAUUUACAAAGUGAAAUAUUAAAUUGUUGAGCAAUUUGGGAAGUGAUUUGGGCCAUCUUUGAACCGUUUGAGCCUUUCAAGCCUACCUUUAAAUUUUUAUCAUUCGAACCUUGAUUGAGCCUUGGAGAAACGGUGUUCUUUCUUUUAGCGAAUGUGUAUAAGGUAGAAUAAGUGGAGAUUUUUGAAAAAUUAACCCUUGGAGUUCGGUCGAAUUUUUUUUUAUAAGGUCCUUCUUCUUCUAAAAAAAAAAAAAAAAAGAAAAGAAAAGAAAAAAAAAGAGAUAUAUAUAUAUAAAAAAAAAAAAAAAAAAAAAAAAGAGAAAGAAGAAGAAGAGACUAGAAGGGGAAGUAAGGACUAGUUGUUGAAUUGUUUUGAAAGCUCGAUCCAUUGUUUUAAGAGCAAAAGUGGAGACUUUUGAACUCUUAAGAAUCGAGUUUAUUAAAGUCCUUAGAGGUGAAUUCAUUGUUUCAAACGCCUAUCUUUCAAAAUUUGGCGUAAUCACCUCAAUUCAAGAAGCAUAGCCACAUAUACCCAUAUUUCCUACCUCGAACAAAAAAGCCCAACAUUUGAAAGCCAAAAAGUCCCAAUGAUCCCAAUAGCUCAAUUAUUUGAUACUAGCCGAGUAGAGAAAUUUGGGGAGUCUUUGGAGUUGAAUAUUAUUAUGUAAGUAUAAAUUUUCUCCAUUUUUAAUUUGCAAAUAUGGGAUACUUUAAGCGAUAGCAUGGUUUGUGGGUUUUAGCAAUGGUGAGUGAAUACGUAUCUUUGAAUUACGAGCUUGUAAAUAUUUGAGAAUUGUCAUGAUAAUUGCAAGUUCUGAAAAAAUGAAAAUUGACCAUUAAUCUAUGUGAUGAGAGGCAUUUGUUGAGAGUGUUGCUGUGAAAGUUGCUAGUUUUUGCUUGAGGACAAACAAAAGAUCAAGUUUGGGGGUGUGUUAAGUAUAUAUUUUUAUACUUUAUCGUACCUUUUUAUUUGAGCUUUUGGUGUGAUUUAACGAUAAUUGGUGCUUAAAAAGUUGAUUUAUUGUAUUUUAGGUAUAAAUUGAAGAAUUGGAAAAGUUUGGGGUCAAAACUGCAAAUUUGGAGAAAAUAUGGGCCAAAAGUGAAAUAAUCAAAAAUAUGCUGAAAUUGGCUGAAAAUAGGCCCGCACGGCCGUGCCAAAAUUAGCCUAUUUUUGGCACGGCCGUGCCAAAUGCUGAAAUUGGGCAGAAGGUUCGGCGAUUCUCGCGCGGCCGUGUGAGAAUUGCACUGAUUUUCGCGCGGCCGUGCCAACACACGCUGGACACAAUUUUGGACUUUUAAUCACACAAGGAAACCUAAAAUCAUCUACCAAGUUGGGACAUCUAUAUAAGGGCAAACCAAGCACGAAUUAGAGGACUUUGGACACAACCUUGGAGCAAGAGGAGCGAGAGAACGAAGAAUUGAAGACGGAGAAUUGACAACUCUUCAUCACAAUUCUUCUUUUAUCUAUCUUUUCUUAAUCUUUUCUUUUUAUGUUUUUAUUUUGUUUAUCAUAAGAAUUACGCGUAGCUAAGUUUUUAAUCUAGGAUUUUGUCGGAACCCUAUGUGGGGAUGGUGAACCCGUUUUCUUGAGAUUAUGCAAUUAUGAUUUUAUGAUUAUUUCUUCUACUUGAUAUGAUUGUUAGUGCAUGAACUUGAUCAAUUUAUGUGCUUUAUCUGUGAUUAUUGGGAUUGACUCGACAGAGCUAUUUUGAUAAUUAGACGGUAAGUAUAAGAACCUUCGAGUAGUUUUCACCGGAUGAGUGUGUCAAUUGCAUGUGGUGUCGUAGACAUACAGAUAUCACCUUAGGUAGCCAAUUACGAGACUUGUUAGUUAAUGCUUUAUUCAUAAUUUGUUUGCAUAGACAUAUAGUGAACCGUUUAUGAAUAAUAGACUCAUAAUACACGCGACAGCGGGUUAUGAGUAAAUUAGUGUCUCGGGUUAAUAAUCAUGAAUCAUAUAUUUCAUAAUUGAGGGGUUUUGGGUGAGCAAUUCUUGCAUAGGGGGAAGAUAAAAUCCUAGGUCCGUUUUUAUAUUGAUAUUCUCUCUUGUUUAUUUGCUUUCCUAAUUAGUUUAAUUUAUUUAGUUGAUUAAAUUUGACAACCUUGCGUAGGCUGGAUAAAAAUCAUAAUUGUUAGAAUUUGGUACUUAGGAUUAGAUAAUUUGAGUAUUCCGUGUGGGAUCGACAUCCGACUCUCACGAGUCCACUUUUACUACUUGUUUGCGAUACGUGCACUUGCGUGUUAGGUAUUUAGCACUCCAAUAGAUGGUAUCCUCUUCUUUUUUGGUCUUCCACGUCGAGAUUUAAAUUCAGGUGGGCCAACACAAAUUUCCUCUUCGUUUGUAGUGUAUCUAACAUACGGUAAAUAGGGAUCAUAUAGUCAUAUGGUUCUGUCCUCUCGUUCCCUAAUACACACACCGCAUGAACACAAGAAAAUCCAAGAAUCUGCCAUUCUCGACAUGUGCAAGAUUUUUGCGCCAAGUCAACAACAAUAGACGGAUUACUGGGAACUUCAAAAAUAUUGUCAGCGGCCUUCUCAGGCUUCCACGACCUGCCUUCAACUUCAAUAUCUUGCGAAAUUUUCUCCUUCUUAGGGUAGCACAUAGAUGACCAAUUAGCUGCUUUAUCUCUUCUCUUAGUCAUCUGCUUCAUUAAUUUGCUUCUAAUUGCGUCUAUCAUAGUCAUAACUGGUAGGUCGCGCAACAGAAGAAUUUGCGAAUUCCAAGAUUCCACGCCGUUCGAAUACAUGAUUUCACCGUAUCUAUGCCCAUCAAAAUACGCAUUCGCCCAUUUAUUAUAAGGCAAGUCAUUCAAGAAUUUCACAACUUUGCUAGAACCAGUGACCUUGAGCUUCUCGAUCUUCUUAUCAAAAGACGUCUUUGAGAAUUCAAAUACGCAUGAUACAAAUUGGCCAACAAUUGCCUCCCUAUAACUUGUUGGAACCCCUUUAAAUUUGUUGUUCAAAUUACCUAUCAAAUGUCUGAGGCAAAAUGAGUGAAAACAAUAUGGAAACAUGUUCUUAACCCCUUCUAGAAUGUCAUGUUGCCAAUCAGAAAUAAACGUAAAGAUACGAUCCUGGUUAAUUGGCUCCUUUAGCAAUGUUAAGAACCAAAACCAGUUAUCGUCAUUCUCCUCAUGAACAAUAGCAAAUGCGAUAGGGAAAAGUCCUGCAAAAAAACUUAUCCAAAAAAAAUGCAAAAAUUUUAAGAACUAAUCAUAAUUUUGCUAUUAUAAUUUGCAUUUUGCUCUCAACAAAAUUAAUGGUUUGCAUUUUUCAUUUUUUCGUUUCAUGUUCUGCAUACUAACCAUUAGCAAACGACAACAUCAUUAACAGCCAUAAAAAAUACUAGAUUAUGAUAAAUUAAAAUAUUGCUAUUGUAAUUUGGAUUUUGGUGCCGCCAAAAUUAUUGAUUUGCAUUUUGCAUUAUACAUGUUUUCAAUUUUUCCUUUCGUCUUCUGCAUCCUAAAAACUUAAAUAAACAUUGACAUCUAAAAAAAUUUAAAUUAUUUUUUGUAAGUAACAUCGAUCCGAACUUGUCUUUCACUUGGUUUACAACAUCUGUAGGUGUCAUUUGUGGCAUGAUUCGUAAAUCACCAACCGUCAAUUCACCAACAAUUUGUGUACUCAUCCUAAUUUUUUUCGACCGACGAAGUGCAACACCACAAGUAUGCAAUUGAUUAAAUGUCCUUACGUAGAAAAAACCAUUAAUUUUGUUGGCAGAUGCAUGGGUUCUAUAGGGAAGUUCUUAGAUUCUUUGAGUUUGCAAACAACAGUCACCCUAUUACUUUCGUUCUUCACAUAAUCAAAUUGAAAUCCAUUGUGAUAAGCAAAUUUGACUAAACAUUUCCUAAAAUUCUCUACCCCCUCUUUAAAUAUUUGCCCCACAUCUGUAAUUAAGUUACUCCAAUUUGAACUCAACAUCACCAUUGGAUUACGUGAUCCUUCUGAUGCAAGACUACCCAUCUUUGGAUUUGCAUCAAGCAUCGACAUUUGGGUUCCAGUUGGAUAUUCAAGGAAAUCUGUUGUUUUAAUUUAACAUUACACCAUCUUUCAACUUCACAUUAACACAAAUUUCAUCAAUCAAAAAUUUCUCAACAUACUCCAUCAUCACGCCGGCCAACAUCGUCGUCAUCCGCCAACAUACAUUACCCGUGAUUUAAAAAAUUGUAUGUUAAUGUAAAAUUACCAGGAUAUAAAGUACUCCACUUCAAGCAAACAAAAUUUACUAAACACUUAUAUCUCGAAGCACCCGACACUUUUUUACUGCUACGAAACCAUCGAACUUAAAUACCAAUUUAAUUGAGCGGGGCAAACUGCAUAACGAAAUUAACAAAUAAAAAACCUCAAUUAUGCUAUGGAUCGACCAACAAAGAAAAACGAUAGUAACGAACAACAAAACAAACCUGUUGACGUAGCUCCUCUUCAUGUUCAUAGCAAUACGAAAAACAAAAAUAUACCUAAUUGCAUUUGAUUUCACAAAACUAAAGCCAUACAAUUCUAAGAUCUUAUAAUGACGAAUGAGUUCUUUAAUUCUACCACGUUUGAUAAACGCCCGAUAUUUUUUUCCAUACCACGUCUCAUAACUCCCUUCCAAAUUGGGCCGGUCCGACCCGGUUCGAUCUGGUCUGACCCGACCUGAUUUUCUUUCUUUUAAUUAAUUUUUUUUACAGCGGUGGUCUGGCUCAUUGGAGCUUCGGUUAGCUGACUCAACAUUAGUAAACUUCAACAUUAGUUGACUAUUGACAUUUUUUUUCGGCAGCGUGUCGUCGCAUCUCUAGUUAAUUAGCACACUCAACAUUAGUUAACUUAAACAUUCGUUGACAUUCGUCGGAGCUACGAUUAGCUGAUUUCAACACUAAAACAAUCGGGUGUCUGCUAAUGCUUAGUCAGCUAAUCAGAGCCCUAAGUACCCGCCGCCGACAAAAAGAGUUAAAAUAAAAAAUAAAAAAUAAAUGGUCGGAUGUCAGCUAGUGCGAACUCACCUAAUGCAUAGUCAGCUAGUGUCAACUCAACUAAUCAGAGUUACGACGUCCCGUUGCCGGAAAAAAAAUAAUAAAAAAAAAAGAGUUGGACGUCAGCUAAUGUUGAAGUCAGCUAAUGCAAGUAAACUAAUCCGAGUUCUGACGAUCCGCCGCUCGGAAAAAAAAAUUAAAUAAAAAAUAGUAUGUUAACUAAUGUUGAAGUUAACUAAUGAUGAGUCAAAUAAUCGGAGCUUCCAAGACAAGCCGCCGGAAAAAAAAAACGAUGUCAACUAAUGUAGAGUCAGCUAAAUCGAAGCUCAGACGACCCACCACCAAAAAAAAGAAUUAAAAGAAAAAAAAAUGUGAUAUCAAAUGUUAACUAAUGUUGAAGUUAACUACUAUUAAGUCAGCUAACCGGAGGUCCGACGACCCGCCGCCGAAAAAAAAAAAAAAAAAAGGGAUGUCAUAUGUUACUAAUCUCGAGUCAGCUAAACGGAGCUACGACGACCCAGGCCACCACUGUAAAAAAAGAAAUUUAAUAAAAUAAAAAACUUAAAUUAUUUGUUUAAUAAAAUGAAUAGAUAAAAAUAAUAACAAACCUUAAUUACGGUUUGAAUGGGUAAAAAACUCGAAAAUGGUAUAAACUAAUUAUUUGAGUUUAUAUCAAAUGAAACUUACAAGAAAUGAAUUUUCUAUACUAUAUUAUCUAUAAAAGGAUGAAUAUGCUUGGAGUUUCUUCCAUUUUUUGAAUGUCCAAAAAUGCCCCUAGGUAAUUAAGUUAGUAAAUUUAUUUAGUAACAUAAAAUUAAUAAAUUGAUACAUCUACACGUAGUGCAUCCACAAUGAAUGGGUACAUGAUGAAUGUAGUGAGUAACCGAUUCUACUUAUACUUGGGAAUGAGCAAAAGAAUUUGAAGAGUUGGGAGAAUGAAUGGUAAAAUAUACUCUUUAAAUACUGGUGUGCUACUAUAAAACAUAUCAUAUGUGGAGUGGAAAGAAGUGAAAUUCCCCACUUUCACAUUUCGGUGAACUAAUAUUCAUAUUUUAUUUCUAUAAGUACCUUUUUCAACAGUUAGUAAUUAAAUUUGCAAUUCAUUUGUUGUUCAAUUUUUUGUUGCAUAUUAAAAUAAAAUGGCGUCCAUCACAAAGAAAAGUUUAGCAUUGAAAUAAACAGGCAACUUCUCCUAAGAGACAGCUUAUUUACUUGACGUGCAUCGAGAGUGGCAUGUCGGAAUUUUCAGGUUUAAGAAAUAUUUUAUUCAUAUUUUACGGUGUUUCAUAAUAUCGAAUUUCCUAGAAAUUUAGAUUCUACUACAAAUAUUUCUUAUUUUCUACUACAAAUAUUUUAUUAUUUUAAUAAUAUUUUAAUUUUAAACAAACCAGUGAAGGAGAACUUGUACAAGCAUCUCGAAUAAUUCUCCAGUUUUGAAAAUUGUCAUUCUCAAAGGUUGGCGGCGCUAUUCGCCAAAGGAGAUGUAAGGCUUGUGCGCGAUGGACUCUACCUGCGAGGGGAGUGUGUCGGUCGCAUUCUUUGAUGAUGGUUCUGUGUAUGGAUAGUUUGGUGGCUAAAGAGCAAAAUAUGGAAAAGUGGUGGUGACGGCGGUUUUAAAGCUUAAAUAAAGAAAUAGAAUUAAGCCUCUUUCUUUGGGUGAAUUGCAUUUUGCACCCCAAAAAUGGUAAGAAUUGGCGUUUUGCACCCUUCGAUUUUGGAAUUGGCAAAAUACACCCUCAAAUUAAAUAUCUAAUGACAAAAUGCAUCCUACAACUGUUUCGUAUGAGAUUUUAACCAAAAUUUGAAUAUAUCAUGAUAUUUAAUAUUUAGGAGUUUCAGUAUUUUUAACAAAAAUGAUGAGAAUUCAAUUUAGGACAAACAUAAGCUUAUUUCAUACAAACAAUUUUAAAACAACAUAAAAUGUGAGGUUAGAAUAUAACUAGAAAAAUAAUCGAUCAUUGAGAUUUAAAAAGACAGAAUAAAUCUCAUAAAAUAUGUAAUGAAAAUUGUUAAUAAUGUAGAUGUUUUUUGAGCAUAAAUUAUAACCUUUUAAAUUACAUUAAAAAAAUAUCAUUGUAUAAACAAAAUUAUUAUUUUUUAGCUUAUAUAUAAUUUCAAUUUUGAUACGAAAAACUAACAAAAACAAAUCAUUAUUUUUUCCUUUGUGAUUCAUUUAUAAUAUAACGAAAUAAUAAUUUAAAAAUAUAAAGUACAAAAAAAAAAAAAAAAUCACCAAGCAAGAAUAUAUUUGUAUGGAGUUUGCAAACACCACAAACUUUAAGGAAAAAAAGUUAACUAUAUCACCAACUUCGAAUUUUCCAGAUGUUUCUGCAAACUACCUUGAUAUGAGAAAGUUUGCAUUGUAAAAUAGUUAGCUACAAAGACUACUAUUACUACCCUGUGUAUUUUUAUUUGAUUUUCAGUGUUGAUGUUGGUGUUUUUAUUUUAUUUCAACUAUUGAUAUUGUCACGACACGUGCAACGCACGUGCACAUGCCUAGUACUCAAAAACAUAAAAAUGCUUGGGCUUAUCUACAUUAUGUAAGUUAGUGAGGCUAUCUCAAUUAAACUCAAUUUGAUUUUGUAUUCACAAGAAAUUCAACAAGUGAAGGCCGCGGCCCCGCAUAUCUUGUGAAGAUUUUGGAGACAAAAUCAUGUGAUUGUUCAUGUGCUUUUGUUUCUCCGAGUUUGUCAUAAACCACAUACCAUUUGGCUUCUUCGCAAGGACUAUGGUAUUUACAUGUUCAUCUAUAUAUACACAUUCACACGACACAUUUCUAUAGUUACAACCCAACUUUCAAUUCACAACUUCAGAGCUUAAACCGAACGGUGUUAAGGUCAAAUGUCUGACAACUAACAUCGAGGGCCACAUUAAAACAAGUUUUCAAGUGCAGGGGUCAAAUCGAUACAAUUGAGAGUAGAAAGGGGUAAAGUGAUGCCAAGUCAAAGUACAAGAGGGAAAGUGGACAUAAAAUGCACAUGUCAAAAUGGCUCGGAGUAAACAAAAGAUCAUUCAUAAGUAAUACCGUUAAUCUAUCUGUCCAUGAGUACAUCUUCUACCUGCUGACAAAGUAUCUUCUUUUUGUACAAAAACAAAAAAAUGAACAAAAUCAUCCACGAACUAGCUAACAAACAUUCUAUUGCCCUAAGACCUAGCUUAUGUAUAACUGUAUAUAUAUCAUUUUCUGCUCAAGCGAGAUGUAAGAUCAAGGAAUAAAUCCUCACUGCAAGGAAUAGUGAGGCCGCCCAUUGGAUGAUGGUAUCGAAAUUCUUCUUCGGCUUGGCAUAGCAAAUCUUGAAACGAAGGAUGGUUUAAAUAUGACAAUGGAAUAACAAAUCUCUUCUUUUCAUUUUCUCCGACGUAAACAGCUAAAUGCCCUUUUGGAACUUCAUUUGAUCUUCUUUCGUUGGAUAAAGAUCGUUUCAGUAUUUGGCGGAUGGCCAUUUUUGUAUGAAGUGUGAAUCUUGGGGAAGUAUUUGAAAUAAGUGAGAGCUGAGUAAGGAGGAGUUGUUGAUGAUGGUUGUAAUCAAGAAAUGGUGUUUGUAUAUAGAGUAAAAAGCAGUUUGCCCCCUAAACUAAUGUCCGUUUUGCACUUUGCCCCCCAAACAAAAAAAAUUUGCACGUUCUUACCUGAACUCCGUUUUUUGUUGCACGGUGCCUCAAAAUUGGAAUUUUCAGGUCAUUUUGAUCGGAAUCUUGCACAUGUGCUUUUCACGUGAGUUUUAAGGGGGCAAAAGAGUCUAUUCCUUACAUUCUUCAUAGUAAAUAAAAAAAAACCAAAAAAAAAAAAAAAAAAAAAGAAUGAAAGAAAAUAAGGGGCUGCUGAUCUGCCAUUUCGGAACCAGCUUCGUCUUCAUCUGUAUCAACCACGGCGGCGCCAACGAGACCCCCUCUCCCCUCGUAAUCGAUUCCGUCUCCCGUUCGCCGAUUCUCUCUCUUCAGGACACCGUCGGAGUUGGGUGGCGUCGCAUCGAUGCUUCCGCUGUACUUCUCCAGAUCUCUAAGUUGGGUCUCUGUUCCGAGGUAACAUUCUUAGCAAAUUUGCAGAGUUAUAUCUCUCUUCAUGUGAGUGGGAAAAUUGGCAGCGUUUCUGGUGGAGGAUGAAGUUGAGGGUUUCCACAUAUAGAUGGAAAAGCCGCCGGAUGUAGCGUCGAAUUUGCAGGCAGAGCAGUGUGAGUUUCCAUCGUUGGGUCUGCAGAGGAGCAGUGUAGAUGGUCAAAAGAAUCCAAAAUUUUCAUUCCAAAAAAAUCCCAAAUUCAAUUCAAUCAAAAUGUAUUAGAUGAUUCUAUCUUGGCUUCGGAUCUUGGAUUUGUUGGAAGAGGAAAUAAUGAUAUCUCCCCCACAAGCUGAAACCUACACUCAAAUCCCCCACACACAUUUUCUUCUUCUCUAAUUCUUCUUUGCACAAAAUUUGCCACCCAUCAAUUUCUUUUUGCUUUCACACAUUUUAUAGUUUACAGUUUGAAAAUUUUUCUGAGGAGCAGGUUCUCUCCAGUGGCAGAUUUCCCCACCUUGUUUUUCACUUUUUUUUUUUUUUUUUAAUUUACUAUGAAGAAUGUAAGGAAUAGACUCUUUUGCCCCCUUAAAACUCACGUGAAAAGCACAUGUGCAAGAUUCCGAUCAAAAUGACCUGAAAAUUCCAAUUUUGAGGCACCGUGCAACAAAAAACGGAGUUCAGGUAAGAACGUGCAAAUUUUUUUUGUUUGGGGGGCAAAGUGCAAAACGGACAUUAGUUUAGGGGGCAAACUGCUUUUUACUCUUUGUAUAUAUAGGCUAUAAACAAAUGAUGUAUCCUCUAUGAAAUUGAAAAAAACAUAAGCAUAUGAAAUCACAUGGAUUUGUCUUAAAAAAAACAAAUUCAUAAUGAAUUAAUUAGGCCAAUAACAUGAACUUAUGAGAUCGAAAAUAUUGUAUCCGACCAACUAUGGCAACAUGGCCCUAAUUAAACCACCCUAUAAGUUUUCUCUUGUAACUAAUGCAUGUAAGCCUUACAAAUUACAGUCCCUACACAUAUAUCACAUCAUCUAACUUAUACUGCAUUUAAUUCGGUGGGUCUUAUGAAAUUUUCUUGCUGAAAUGUUUUGAAGAUUUUAGAGACAAAAGCAUGUGAUUCUUCAUGUGAUUUUGUUUGUCAUAAAUCAUAUACCAUUUGUCCACUUCGUAACCACUCUAUCCAGCUAUGAGGAAUAUGGCAUUUACAUGUUCAUGUAUAUAUAUGUUUACACGACACAUUUCUAAACUCACAACCAGCUUUCAAAACUCGAUUUUCAAGAUUUUCAAGAUUUUCAUCUGCUUCACUAAACUCUCGUAUAUUUCUUUGCUUUCAUCUUCAGCCUCACCAAGAUUUUCAUCACUUCCAACAAAAAUCGAUGGCUAUUCACAAAAUUCUUAGACGGUCUUUAUCGGCUGAAAAGAGGACAAUUGAAGUUCCAAAGGGGCAUUUGGCUGUUUAUGUCGGGGAGAGUGAAAAGAAGCGAUUUGUUAUACCAUUAACGUAUUUGAAUGAUCCUUUGUUUCAAGAAUUGCUAUGCCAAACUGAAGAAGAAUUCGGAUUUCAUCAUCCAAUGGGCGGCCUCACUAUUUCUUGUAGUGAGGACUUAUUUAUUGAUCUCACCUCUCGCUUGAGCAGAGCUUGAUAUAUAAGACUAGGUUCUAGAGCAAUAUAAUUUUUGUUAGCUAGUUUCUUUACAUAUUUUCCUAUUUGUAUACACAAAAGAUACUUUGUCGGAUACAAAAUGUAUUCCCGGACAAAUUGAUAGUAAUUACAACUUUUAUCAUAAGCUCGUUUUUGAAUUUCUUUUUUCAAAAAUUUUAUACCCAUAACUUUUUUGUUUGAUGUUGGUCACACGCAGAAAAGUAUGUUCAAAACGUAGAUCAUUUUGUACUUGUAAAUAAGGCAACUCGAUCAUUGGAAUUUCAUGAACCCCAAAAAAUGAAUCGGCUGAAGAGUUUGUAACUAGUGCCUAUGCUUGUAAUUUUAUCCAGGCAAAUAAUCUCAGAUAAUAAUUUAUAGCCAGAGAUAUAUAUACAAAGGCAUAAUUCCAUAGCAAAAUACGUACCGGUGAGCACAUAGCAAACUAUUCUUAAGGGUUUUUUUUUAUUUAUUUUUUAUAUUUUUUUAUUUUUUUAUUUACUUUUUUUUUUAUAUUUUUUUUAUAUAUUUUUUUUAUGCAAACAUGGUGUGCUCGCUGCAAUUUUUUUAUUUUUUAUUUUACUUUCUUUUUUAUAUUUUCUUUAUAUAUAUAUAUAUUUUUUAUGCAAACAUGUGCUCGCUGCAAUUCAAGUAGCAUACGCCUUAUUUUGGAGGUUAAUUAAUUUCCUUUUGAUCAACUAUCAAACUUAGCACUUACAGGCCCGCCGCUUGAUCAAUUAUCAAACGUAACGCUCACCCUUAUUAAAUAAUUUAAAGGGCAAAUGGCAAAAAGGCCCAUCACAUGGGACUUAAAUGCAUUUUAGUCCAUAAAAAAAACAGUCACUCAAUUAAGCCCAUCCCUAUGCCUUUAGUCUAAAAUACCCUCAAUAAUAUAAUUCUUAACAAUUCCACCCAUUAUGCUCUAACUUCCUUAAUAUUACACAUUGACCCCGAAUUUAAACAAAUAUAUCACAUAAACCCCCAAAACUUUUUUUUUUCAGAAAAUAAUUUUUUUUCUGAAAUAUUAUUUUUCCGGCCAGAUUCCGGCGUUGACUGCCGGAGACCGCCGGUCUCCGACGUUGACUUUUUUUUUUUUUUUUUUUUUUUUGAAAAUUUUUUUUCCUGAAUUUUUUUCCGGCCGGUCAACCACCGUUGACCACCGGUCUCCGGCGUUGACUUUUUUUUUUUUUUUUUUUUUUGAAUUGUUUUUUCUUAGAAAAAAAAUAUUUUAAUUAAUAUUACUGUCUCCGGCAGCUAUUUAACUGUCGGAGACAGUAAUUUAACUGUUAAUUGACUGUUUUUUUUUUUUUUUCUUCAAACGAACAGUAAUAUUAUUAAUAUUAUUUUCUAAAUUACUGUCUCCAGCAGUUAUUUAACUGUCGGAAACAGUAAUUUAACUGUUAAUUGACUUUUUUAUUCUUAAAAAAAUAUUUUUAAUUAAUAUUACUGUAUUCGUUGCUAAAUUACUGUCUCCAGCAGUUAUUUAACUGUCGGAGACAGUAAUUUAACUGUUAAUUGACUUUUUUAUUCUUAAAAAAAAUAUUUUUAAUUAAUAUUACUGUAUUCGUUGCUAAAUUACUGUCUCCAGCAGUUAUUUAACUGUCGGAGACAGUAACUUAACUGUUAAUUGACUUUUUUUUUUUUUUUAAAUUUUUUCCCUUAAAAAAAAUUUAUUUAAAUUAAUAUCUUGGAUGUUAAAUUACUGUCUCCAACAGUAAUUUAACUGUCUUAGACAAUAAUAUUAAUAAUAUUACUGUUCGGAAAAAUAAUAUUCAUAAUAUUACUGUCUCAAACAGUAAUAUUACUGUCUGAGACAGUAAUUUAGUAGUCAAUACAGUAAUAUUAAUUAAAAUAUUUUUUUUCUAAGAAAAAACAAUUGAUCAAAAAAAAAAAAAAAAAAAAAAGUCAACGCCGGAGACCGGCGGUCAACGGUGGUUGACCGGCCGGAAAAAAAAAAGCAGGAAAAAAAAAUUUCAAAAAAAUAAAAAAUAAAAAAAAGUCAACGCCGGAGACCGGCGGUCUCCGGCGGUCAACGCCGGAAUCUGGCCGGAAAAAAAACAGUUCAGAAAAAAAAUUAUUUUCUGAAAAAAAAAAGUUUUGGGGGUUAAUGUGAUAUAUUUGUUUAAAUCCGGGGUCAAUGUGUAAUAUUAAGGAAGUUAGAGCAUAAUAGGUGGAAUUGUUAAGAAUUAUAUUAUUGAGGGUAUUUUAGACUAAAGACAUGGGGAUGGGCUUAAUUGAGAGACUGUUUUUUUUGUGGACUAAAAUGCAUUUAAGUCCCAUGUGAUGGGCCUUUUUGCCAUUUGCCCAUAUCUUUUUCAUAUAUAUCUUAAAUAACAGUUUCUUAAAUAAUUCCACAAUUCCCGCUUAUUGAUUGCAGAAUUCUAAUCAUCAUAAUUUUAAUAUAUCUCUCCCCCCUCUUUCUCUCGCAGGAAUUAAUCUGCAAAUAUAGGAAUAUUUUUUGGGUUUAAAAAACAGUGUGUGAAUCUUUGUUUGAUGAUUGUGUUAAAAGAAGUGUAUAAAUAGUUGAAUUAAUCAAUCUCUGCGAAAUUAUUAUAAUUAUUAAUUAAUGACGAGUGAUGAGAUUAAGGUAGUUUAAUAUGGAUCAUAGUUAUCUUAAACAAUUAAUUUAUAUUAUUUGGUGGGUGAAAAGGUGUGUUCAUAUAUAUAUGUAAACAAAGAGAUGUUGUGUUCCUGGUGUGUAGUGUCGAGUGAAAAAGGAAUUUUGUAGCAGUGUUGAUUCCCUCUCUUUCUUUCUCUCUCUCUCACUUUAUAGUGAGUGAAAAAGUGUGUGAGAGAAAGAGAGAGAGAGUGCGUGUGUUUUGAGUACAUAUGUUGAUUGUAACCACUCUGUAUUUGUCUCUCUCUCUCUAUAUACAAAAUACAGAGUGGUUUUCACAUAAUGUCGGUUUUCAUAAUAUAGAGUGGUUUUCACACAAUGUCGGUUUUCAAAGUUACUUUUAAGUCAUGGGUAUAAUUGUGCAUUAACGUAACAAAAUACAGUGGUUUCGAACAAAAUACAGAGUGGUUUUCGUCUCAACAAAAUAUAGAGUCUAAUUAAGCAGGAAGUUUGUCUCAAUAAAAUACAGAGUGGUUUUCGUACUUUUCCGCAAACUAUGUAAGUGCUUAAUAGUCAUGGUUUUAGCACUGUUCGAAAUAAUGUUAAUAUGAAUGCACAUACUUUUUCUUCCCCAUUGUUAUGUGGUUUUAGCAUAUAGUCGAUUGAUCCUUUAAAAUUACAAAGUGGUUUUGAUAUAUUGCCGGAUUUCAAAGUUACAUGUCCGUUUUUAUUAUUAUUAUUAUACAUGUCAGAUUUAUAUGUAUUUUCUCAAUCGUGGUAACAACUCUUUUUUUUCCCUUGUUAAAUUAAAGACAACUUCUACCGUAAUUUGGGGGAAUUCUGAAAACAAUGGAGAAUGGGCUAUGCCGGAGUGGUUUUUCUACAGUGAUUUGGGGGAGAAAUAUUUGGGAGAAUUAUACGUAAUAUGAUUUUUGGGAGGGAUUUGGAAUUGACUUACUGUAUUUUCAAUUUUAAUAAUUAUACUAAUUAGUGGGGGCAUAUAUGGUUUUUCAGGCCCAUUGAAUUUAUCUCAAAUAUCAUUUAUAAAUAAUGGAUUUAUUAAAAAUUAAAAUCCUAACGAAGGGUGUUUGGCAUAUAGCCCCAAUAAUAAAAAAAGGAAUCAAGUAAUGAGUAUUAGAUAGUGGAAAUUGACUAGUGAAGAAGGACAUAUUUAGAAUAAGGAAAAUGCUAGACCUACUACUAAUAGUGAAAAUAAGGGUGAAUCCACUCUUAUUAAAAAAGGGGCUCUUUGAGGAAACCCCCUCAUUACUUUUUUUAAUGGAGAGAGGUCCAAAAUAUUUCAGUCCAUUGGGAAAAGCCCACACCCAUUUUGAGCCAUUAUGUUUUCCAGCUUUGCCCCCACCCGCCACAUCAUCACAGCUGGGUCACGCGCACAACGUUUUUUUUUUCCCGUUAUUUCCCCUUCUUUUCUGUAUCAGUUUCCUUAAUCGACUAUGAAGCAUAGUCGAUUAAGGAAAUUUAAUUUUUUUAAUGUUUUUAAUUUUUUUAAUUUUCUUAAAUUUUUUUAUUUUUUUAUAUUUUCUAAUUUUGUUUUUAAAUUUUCUUUUUUUUGUUUUUUUUUAAUUUUUUUUCUCUAUCAGGUUUAUUAAUGCAUAGUCGAUUAAAAAUUUAACUAUUAAAAAUAACAAAUCACAAUUACAAAUAAAAUGCAAAAUCAACUAUAUUUAAAUAAAAUAUAUACAAACACUGUAAUUGAUUUAUACAUUGGAAUCAAUAAACAAAAAAUCAAAAAAAAAAAUUAACAACUGGAGUCGGUUAACCUUAAUCGACUACUGAACAUAGUCGAUUAAGCCUUAAUCGACUAUUGAACAUAGUCGAUUAAACCACACGUAGUCGAUUAAGGGCCCUGCUUGUGCGAAUUUCUUUUUAUGCGCCGUCUUCCGCCACAAUCUACCAAAACUAGAUCUGCUCUUCAUCGUCACCACGUCGUCGCCACACCACACCAUCACCACCCCACUUCCAUAUUCUAACGGUUUUUUAUACAAACAAUCAAAACAGAACCAUGUACUACGGUCAAAAUCACCAAAACAAAGCCACCUAUAUAAAAAAAUAUGCAGCAAAAUUAGAAUAAAAAUCCAUAACAAAUAAGUAAAAUGAAACAAAACUACAUUGAGUGCGUGUUUUGCAGCCCCCGUACAACUCUGAGAUUUCUAUCUGCAAUUAGAUUCCCGAUCUCCAAUUUUCAAAUCUCAAACCAGAAACAACAGAAACAAACAUUACUCCAGAAAAUCAAAACCAUAAAUAAAGAGUAAAUCUUAGAAAUAGACGAACGUACGCAUCUCCUCCGGUGUGGAGACUCCCCUCGAAGCUCCAAUCGCCAAACCUCCGCCAGCGCCGCCUCGGCGCCGCCUUCUACCAUCGCCCCAUAGUCGGACCGCCACCAAACACUCAGAUCAGAUCAUGUAGAGAAGGAAAAAAAAGAGAGAAAGAGAUGAGAGUGUGAAGAGAUGAAAAGAGAAAAAGAAAGAAAAAAAAACGGCGUAAAACAUAAUUAGGGUUUUGAAAGAGUAUAUUGGACAAUUAAGGGUAUAUUUGAAAUUGUGAAAUAAUAUGAUGGAAUAUUAGGUAAGGGGGUUUUAUCUAAUUAUUUUUUGGAGGAGGUAUUUCCUUAACUCAUUUUCCUAGAUAGGGGUUCUUGUUAAUAUCCUAUUAAAAAAAGCUAGAGGGCGGGGUUAUCACUAAUGGUCCAAAUUACAAAAUAUAAAUAAUACUACAAAUAAAAUAGGGUUAAUAGCAUUUUGCCACCUGUACUUUGCCCAUUUUUGCGCUUUGGCACCUUAACUAAAAAAAAUUGCACGGGCACACCCAAACUCGUUUUUUUUACGCACACAACCACCUAGGGGGAAUAUUACGGCGAAUCUUGAAAGAUUCCGGCACACGUGCGAUGCACAUGACUAAAUACAUGGGUUUUGUCUUUAAUCUGAAGAUAUCAUGUGUGGUAAAACUGGAAGUUUUAAGGACUCAAUUGAACUUAAUUUGAAACUUUCCUAAAUUCUAAAUUAAUUGAAAUAGAGUUGUGGUUCUUCUUCUUCCAUGGGAGUGGGUCUUCUUCUUCUAUGGGAGUUUCUCCCCAUUAAUAUUUUUCAAAGAAACCCUUUCCAAUGCUUCAAAUACUCCACUAUGCAGGCAAUUCUCUCUCUUUCUUUCUAAUUCUCAGUAUGUUUCUGUGGUUUACAGUAAAUGUUAAAAUUAAUUACGCUUUAGAUAUGUGUAUGUGUGAGAAAAUUCAACUAUGAUAACAAAUGUGAGAUGCAAUGCAUAUGAAGCAGUAGAAGAAGAGCAGCAACAGGUGGAGUCGCGUGGUGUGCAACCAGGUGGAAUUUGUGAGGAAGAUUUUUGCCCAAUCAUCCAUGGCCAGAGAUGCACGUACGCAAAUUCGUCCAGACUUUUGAACAUGCCUCGCUAAUUCUCUAAUCAAAAUCACUUCCAUCUCCCCCAUGAACACAACCGUACCUCCAAUCGUUCUCCAAUCCAAGAACUAACGAACAAGACUAAGAGAAACGAUUGGACUUAAUAUGUUAAUGAUGAUGAGGAGGAACAUCGAGGAAAAAUCCAAGUUGAGGACCAAGAUCGUCUCACAAGGUUUUUGAUUAAAUUGAUGAGAGAAGAUAACCCAUUAUUUUCUGUAAAGCUUGGAUUUUUUUCAAAAGUUGUUGUUAGUUCAAAGAACAAAUUAAUGGGGGCGAAACUUCCAUUGAAGAAGAAGAAUGAGAGUUUUAUAUCUUUCAAUUUCACCCCUUGGAAUUUUCAAUCUUUCAAUUUCAUCCUUUGGAACUUUCAAUUUUAACCCACGUGAUAUCUUCAGAUUAAAAGACCAAAAAAUUCUCACAUUAAGUAUGUGCAUCGCACGUGCGCCGGAAAAAUGAGAAGAUUCGCCAGAAUAUUCCCCUUAAGUGGUUAUGUGCGUAAAAAAAUGAGUUUGGGUGUGCCCGUGCAACUUUUUUUAGUUAAGGUGGCAAAGUGCAAAAACGGACAAAGUACAGGUUGCAAAAUGCUAUUAACCCAAUAAAAUAUAUGAAAAAAAUGAAAUGGUGAUACAAAUGGAUUGUUGUAAGAUUGGGCUUCAAAAGUUUUUAUUCCGUAAUGAGCCCAAAAUAUAAAGUCACGGCCCAAGGAAAGAACAGUUAAGUAUUUUCUAGAACAUGUUCGAAAUUCUAAUUGUACUGAAAUCCGUAUCGCUCUCGAUAUUUCAAGAAUUUGCAAGAUCAUUCUGAUCACCCAUAUAAAUACGCGUGCUUCUUCAACCAAAUCCCGUCAAAAAUUAGAAACCGAGUUAUCAAAUCAACAAGUUCAUCAUCCACCCAGUAUUAUUUUUUGCAGAGAUGUCUCUGAUUCCAAGCUUCUUUGGCAACGGCCGCCGGAGCAACGUCUUCGAUCCAUUUUCAUUGGAUGUUUGGGACCCAUUUGAGGGCUUCCCAUUCUCCUCAGCCGUCACCAAUCUCCCUUCCUCCGCCAGAGAAACAACCGCGGUGGCCAAUGCUAGGAUCGACUGGAAAGAGACGCCGGAGGCACACUUGUUCAAGGUGGAUGUUCCCGGGUUGAAGAAGGAAGAAGUGAAGGUUGAGGUUGAAGAUGGCAGUAUUCUUCAGAUCAGCGGAGAGAGAAGCAAAGAGAAAGAGGAGAAGAACGACAAGUGGCACCGUGUGGAGAGGAGCUCCGGCAAAUUCAUCCGCAGAUUCAGGCUGCCGGAGAAUGCUAAAUUGGAGGAGGUGAAGGCGGCGAUGGAGAAUGGGGUGCUGACUGUGACUGUGCCCAAAGAGGAGGUGAAGAAGCCUGAGGUCAAGGCGAUUGACAUCUCUGGUUAAUGUUUGAAUUUUAUAUUUCAGCAAGUUUUGGUUUGUCUCGUUGUAAUGAAUAAUGAAUAAUGUUGGCGUAUAUUUGGGAGCGUAUUUCUAUCCGGUUUUGUGCAAAGUGAAAUAUCACUAUGUAUAAUAGAAAUUCCGGAAUAAAGCCCAACUAGUAAAUAACAAAUUACAUUUUGCUUUUCACAUUAAUUCAUUUCUAUAUGUUAAUUUGUUAAACUCUUGUAUCAGUAUUCAGUACCAUUUUUAGAUUUAAAACAUUGGGAACUAGUUAUGGCAAUUGUAAAUAAUGGCUAACUCUAUGAGGUAAGAUUAAAUUAUGAAAAAAAUCUAUCUUCUUUGGAUAACUACAACCACCUUCCUUCACUACGUAUUGUUUUACAAAAAAAAAUUUUGUUAAUAGUUAAACUUAUAAGACAAUAUAUAGUUCAUGGGAUGUUGUAAUUAACUCUGCCUUGUAAUUUGAUUUUGCUUUAGGAGUGACGGUUUGCCCCUUUUUAUUAGUGAAUAAACACUAACUGUCUCGACUCUCAUGUAAUAACCAUCAAGUUCACACAAACAUCAAUCUUCUCAUCAAGACACAAAACUCUCUCCCGCAUUUCUUCUCACCUUCUCCUCCCACAAUCACUCUCAUAAUAACCUCUUCAAUCUCACCUCUCUCCAUCCAACAUUUCUCCAUUUUGAUCCCUAUUUUCCAAACACCAUACACAUACCUCGAAUUCACCAUUUGUUCGCCGAAAAAAGGCAAACAAAUCAUCGGUACUCCUUUGCAAAUACUCCCUAGCGUCGAAUUCCAUCCACUUUGCGUCCAAAAUCCACCAACUGCAAAAUGAGACAGAACCUCAAAAUAGAACUCCUCCCCCUAAUCGAAUCCGAAACUGGAGGUCCGUCCGUUGCGUUCCGGGCGUUCUAGCGAACCAUGGUCCCAUAAUUCAUGUUUAAUUUUGUCAUUGUUAAGUAGAAAUAUCAGAAAUAUUUAUUUACAGCAUGCUUAUAAUUAAAUUUAAUUAUUAUUUUUUAACAUGUGGAUAAAAUAUAGGGCAAAUUCCAUUUUCCACACCUUUUGUACCACUUUAUCCCAUUUUACGUACGAUCGUAUCGAUUUAUCCCAAUGUACUUGUAAAAUUGUCCCAAUGUAGUCCGCGGCGUUAGUUUAUAGAUUUCUGACCUUGACAAUGUUUGAUCAAUUUGACCAUGGCUUCUCCCCUUUCCAUUGUGUUGUCCCUUUGGUUUAAGAAUUGUCGCUCGACCAACUGUUUCAGCUCGCUCAGUUAAACCAGACUUUGUUAAACAUCAUUCACGGUGUCGUCGGUCGGGCUGAGAGAUUAUGGGAGGAGCUGGCAGCACCUGAAGGAUAAAGAGAUAAAUAUGUGCGAAAUGAAAAGUCUCUAACUAGAGUUCCUUGCAAAUUGAUGCGAUUGAGAUCUACAGCUACCACAACUGUACGUCUGGGAUGUUUAAUGAAAUCUCGAUAAAUCGAACAAAAGACCCAUGAUUUGGUGACUCCUAUUGGGUCGUCUGUAGUGGCUGAUUCCUUGCCUCGAGAAUAUUGUAUGCUCUGUUCGGGAUGGUUGUCAAAUUUUCCCUACUUCAUAAGAUAAAAAAAUGCAAGUAAAUCUAGAUUGAUUUGAACGUACUGUUUAGUUCAUAUGGAAUUAUUAUUUCCAACUCAAACCACACAAUACUUUUGCAUCUUAAAAUGGUUCAAUGAUUUUCGUAUAUAUAUACUCUAAUUUUGUGCUUCUAUACAUUUUUUUUCUCUUGAUAAACUAUCAUAUUUGUCUACAAAAUGAAAACAAACAAGAAGAACUAAUUUUACAAAAUUGUGAUCCUCCUACACAUGUAUAUCGAUCAUGUUCUGCUCAAACGGGAGGUUAAAUCAAUGAAUAGAUCUUCACUGCAAGGAAUAGUGAUCCCACCCAUCGGAUGAUGGAACCCGAAUUCUUCUUCGGCCUGAAAUAGCAAUUCUUGAAACAAAUGAUGGUUUAAGUACGACAAUGGAAUAACAAAUCGCUUCUUCUCGCCCUCUCCAACAUAAACAGCCAAAUGCCCUUUUGGAACUUCAGCUAAUCUUCUUUCGUUGGAUAAUGACCGUCUCAAAAUUUGACGGAUUGCCAUCUUAGUUUGUGUGAAGUGAAUUUCGCUUUGGUCAACUAAAAACGAAGAGGUAUUUGAAAUAAGUGAAAGCUGAGAAAGAUAAGAGUAUUUUGAUCAGGAGUUGUCGUUUGUAAUUAAGAAACGGUGUUGUAUAUAUAUAUAUAGGCUAGAAAGAAAUGAUGAAUUCUUCAGAUAUCUACAUAACACGGUCAACAUAAAUGUGGUUGCUCUAUGAAACUCGAAAAAACAUACGCAUAUGAAAGCACAUGGAUUUGUCUUUAAAAAAAUGAAAUGAAGUCAAGGCAACAAGAAUUUGUGUGAUAGAAAAUGUUGUAUCCUACCAACUCUGGCAACACGGCCCCUUAAACCAUCAUCUCAACAUCUCUAUUUAUUUCGAUAUAUCUACUAAUUAGGCCAUCUUAUCCUAAAUGCCACAUUCAAUUCAAUGUGACGUUUUCUUGCUGGUGGUGUUAGGGAUGAUAUAUAAUUCAUUAUGUUGCUCUAAUUAAAGGACAAAACCAUGUGAUUUUUCAUGUGCUUUUGUUUCUCUAACUUCUCCAGCCACCACAUAUCCUUUGGUCUUUUCAUCACCAUUCAAUCCAGCUAAUUUGGAUAUACCAUUUACAUCUUCAUCAAUAUAUAUAUAUAUAUAUAUAUAUAUAUAUAUAUAUAUAUAUAUAUAUAUAUAUAUAUAUAUAUAUAUAUAUACUUAUACGACACAUAUCUAAACUCACAACCAGCCUUCAACUUCUCAUAUUUCACUUGCUUCAUAAAACUCUCCUAUAAUUCCUUCAUAUUCUUUCAUCUUCGGCUUCAUAAAGAUUUAUUUUAACCAAAAUCAAUGGCUAUUCACAAAAUUCUUAGACGGUCUUUAUCGGCUGAAAAGAGAACAACUGAAGUUCGAAAGGGACAUUUGGCAGUUUACAUCGGAGAAAGUGAAAAGAAGCGAUUUGUAAUUCCAUUAUCGUAUUUGAAUCAUCCUUCAUUUCAAGAAUUACUAUGUCAAGCUCAAGAAGAAUUCGGAUUCCACCAUCCAAUGGGCGGCCUUACUAUUCCUUGCAGUGAGAAUUUAUUCGUUGAUCUAACAUCUCGCUUGAGCAUAGCGUAAUAUAUAUACUAGGUUUUAGAGCAUAUAAUUUUUGUUAGCUAGAUUCUUUACAUAUUUUGUAAACACAGAAGAUACUUGUCGGAUACAAAAUGUAUUCCCGCACAAAUUAAUCGUAAUACAUAUGGAAGAUUUUAAUGUAUACUAGUUUUGAGCCACUUUGAUACAUGAAUAUAUUGCCUAUUAUUUUUAACCACAACCAAGAAAAAAAAAUAACUUGUCAUAUGCUACUAAACUGUACUUAUCAGAAUACAAAAAAGGCAACUCAUUAGGAAUUUCAUUCAAUCACCAACAUUUGAAUUUGUAGAAGAGUAUUUAAGUGCCAAUACUUCUAUUUUGGCUCGGAAAACGAAUCCCAUAGGAAUUAAUAGUUUAUAGCCAGAGAAUAAAUGAAAUGGCAGUAAUAUGUUCGAGUUCACUCAGCGAGUAAAGAGAGCAUAGUGAAUUAAUUGUUCACCUUUUGCUAAAGAAUAUCGUGUUGUCGUUUUAAUUCAAGCAGCAUACGUCUCUUUUUGGAGGGCCAAUUUCUUUUGGGAAUUUUUCGUAAUAAAUCCAGUUCAAUUUUGAAGUAUAAUUAUAGAGAAAUUCGUGUUAUAAGUAUGUUUUGGAGUCGACCUCACUCAUGUACGAAUCAAGGUUCACAGAAUUUAGAAUUGAGUUUUGGGAGGUAGCUGCCAACCCUCGAACCCGAGAACGAAUUGGAGCUGGUUUAGAUCUAUUUUGUGCUGCCGACUUCCAAACGACGCCGUUUCGGAGUUCGAGUGCUGGUCGGAGGUGAGCCCGACGAUGCCAUUUCGGGGUAGAAAUCGAGAUUGAUGUUUUCUGAUGAGGAAGACGUCGGAGAUGGUGUGCAGCUGGUUGAGUGAAUUUUUUUGUUUAUUUUGGAGAAGAUGGUUUUUUUUAAAAGGUUAAGGAUUGAAUUGAAUUUUUUUCAAAACUUGAUUUUGGGGCAUAUUGAAUUUCGGGGUGAAUCUGUAAUUUUUGAAAUUUAUAAUUAAAGUGAAUUUUGGUCCUUUCGGGUCAAAAAUAAACUUACAGUCGCACAAUCGGCGUGUGGAGCACGCGAUAAGCUGGCAGGGCCCUUGUUGCCUCUGACUAAUUUUCAUAGGGAGUUAUUGCUAAUGUUUUUAACAUGUGGGUUUUUUCAGCAAUUUUAGAUUAUAUAGUGGUGGUUUUUGCAAAAAACCCAAAAAUAUAAAGUGAAGGCCCAAAGAAAGAACAAGUAUGUUCUAGAAGAUGUUCGAAUUGUACCGGGAAUCCGUUUCGCUCUUGAAAUUUCAGGAAUUUGCAAGAAUCGUCUGAUCACCCAUAUAAAUACGCGUUCUCCUUCAACCAAAUCCCAUCGAAAAUUAGAAACUAUCAAAUUCAUCAUCAAAAACCAAAUCAACAAGUUCAUCACCAUCAAGUAUUAUUUUUUGCAGAGAUGUCUUUGAUUCCAAGCUUCUUUGGCAAUGGCCGCCGAAGCAACGUGUUUGAUCCAUUUUCAUUGGAUGUUUGGGAUCCAUUUCAGGGAUUCCCAUUCUCCUCCGCCGUGGGUAAUCUACCCUCCUACGCCGGAGAAACUGCCGCUGUGGCAAACGCUAGGAUCGACUGGAAAGAGACGCCGGAGGCACACUUGUUUAAAGUGGAUGUACCUGGACUGAAGAAAGAGGAAGUGAAGGUUGAGGUUGAGGAUGGUAGUAUUCUUCAGAUAAGCGGAGAGAGAAGCAAAGAGCAAGAGGAGAAGAACGACAAGUGGCACCGUGUCGAGAGGAGCUCCGGCAAGUUCAUCCGCAGAUUCAGGCUGCCGGAGAAUGCUAAAUUGGAACAGGUGAAGGCGGCGAUGGAGAAUGGGGUGCUGACUGUGACUGUGCCCAAGGAGGAGGUGAAGAAACCUGAGGUCAAGGCGAUUGACAUUUCUGGCUAAUGUUUGAAUUUUGUAUUUCAGUAUGUUUUGGUUUGUCCGGUUGUCGUAUAUUUUGGAGUGUAUUUCUUUUUGGUUUUGUGGCAAGUGAAGUAUCACUAUAUAGUAUGUACAAUAGAAAUUCCAGAAUAAAGCCGAACUGGUAAAUAAGAAAUUACAUGUUGCUUUUCAGUACUUUACUUUUAAUCAUUUCUAUAUGUUAAACUCUUGUAUCAGUAUUUCCUUUAGAUCUAAAACGUUGACAAAUUAUGGCCUUCUCUCUCAAGUUAAAUUAAAUUAUGAAAUGAUAAUUACAACCACCUCUCUCAGUUAACUAUUAUCUCUCUCAGUUACCUAUUAUCUUACGAAAACUUCCUCCUUUAAUAAGUAAAUUUGACACCGUAAAUAUGGACAAUAUAUAGUUGAUGAGAGUGAUUGUAAUUACCCAAAAAUGAGAAAUUUUCAUAAUUUAAUCUUAUCGAGAAAAUUACAGUUUAUGUCCCUAAACUUUACCACUAAAACGAUGUAUGUCCUUAAACAUUUCAAUCCACAAAAUAUGUCCUCAAACUUGCCACUUUUGAUCACUUUAUGUUCUGCCGUUAACGUCGGCAGCUAACUUCGACGGAAAUUGCACGCGUGGCUCACGUGACGUCUAUGUGGCCGUUAAAUGUGACGUGGAAUAAUAUAUUGAAUAUUAAAUGUUGACGUGGCACAAGAAUAUACUAAUUUCCUCCAACUCACUCUCCCAAAUCACGUUCAUUCCCAUUCCCAAAUUUUCAAUCCAAUCUGCAUUCUUGCUCGAACCCAUACUAAAAUCGAAGUCAUAAACCCAUAAAAAAUCCAAACAUUCUCACAUUUGAAGAGUUUUUCCCUUCUCAGAGAACAGCAGAUUCACGUGCAAACACAUGUCUGCAAUCGAGAGGAAGAAGGUAAUUCUUCUCCCAACUCCGUCUCUAGAACAUUGGGGUCGUGUGAUUCUUCGCCUGCUGAUGCUUGUGCCCCUUGUGGUCUCGAUGAAGCGAGCACAAGGAUGGUGAAGAUGGCACAAAUUCUACCCAACUCCGCAGUUUCAGAACCUGCCCAGAAGGUGUUCGACAAAAUGUCUGAACCAAUUCCGGAAAAAAAAAACAUGCAGCACCUGUCAAAGCUGCAUAUAAUUCUUUUUUGGCCAAGAAUAAAGUGGCCAAGAACGGAUUCCAGCUCCCCGACUUCCCCAACGAAGUGGAAGAAGACAUGAUAUUUCAGCCCGAAGAUGAAAAUGAAAUCGAGGAAACAUUCGGCAUUUGUUUAUUGGGCUAUUUUGCAGGUAAAACACCACGAAAAAUGGCCAUGGAUUCACAGACGAUUCUGCUAUUUUCGAAUUUCACCUUAAUAGAAGGAUUCGAAAUGGGGUUUUAGGGAUUGGAUUUACGGGUUCAUUGGGGAUAUGGAGAAUUAGGGAUUUUAAAAUAGAAAUAGGGGAGGAGAAUGACGUGUCGCUCCACAUCACGUUUCGUCAACCAAGUAGGCACUGGGUGUUGUACAACUCGACAUUUAACGGCCACAUAGACGUCAUGUGAGCCACGCGUGCAAUUUCCGUCGAAGUUAGCUGCCGACGUUAACGGCAUAACAUAAAGUGAUCAAAAGUGGCAAGUUUGAGGACGUAUUUCGUGGAUUGAAAUGUUUGAGGACAUAAAUCGUUUUAGUGGUAAAUUUUAGGGACAUAAACUGUAAUUUUCCCUAAUCUUAUCUUAUGGCUGAGCGUAAUUUGGCCUUAUUUUAUGAGUGAAUAUGCACAAAAUUGUUGUAUGUAACAACCAAUAAAACACAAGAUUUAACAAAUGAUGAAAUGAGAUUAACCAAACCAUCAAAUGCUACAUAAGAAGAACCACCCGAUUUCACACAAACAUCAAUCUUCUCCUCAAGACACAAAACUCUCUGCCUCAUUUCUCCACUUUCUCUUCCCAAACAAUCACUAUCUAAAUAGCCUCUUCAAUCUCACCUCUCUUCAUCCAACAUUUCUCCAAUUUAAUCCCGGUUUUCCAAACACCAUACACAUACCUCGAAUCCACCAUUCGAUCGCCGAAAAAAGGCGACCAAUUUAUUGGUACUUCUUCGCAAAUACUCUUCAGCACGGGAGGACUGUUCCCAUUGCGUUUCCGCGCAAACCAUGGUCCCAAUAAUUCAUGUUUCAUUUUAUCAUAUUUAAGUAGAAAAACUCAGAAAUAUUUAUUUAAAGCGUGCUUAUAAUUAAAUUAAAUUAUUAUUUCUUAACAUGUGGAUAAAAUAUAGGGCAGAUUCUAUUUUCCACCCCAGUUGUACUUACGAUUGCAUCGAUUUACCCCAUGUACUUGUAAAAUUGUCCCAAUAUAGUUCUCGUCGUUAGUUUUCAGAUUUCUGACCUUGACACUGUUUGAUCAAGGCUGGAAAAUUACAGAAAUGACCAUGGCUUCUCCCCUUUCCAUUGUGUUGUCCCCUUUGGUUUAAUAAUUGUCGCUCGACCAACUGUCUCGCUCCAUCAAACCAGACUUUGUUAAACAUCAUCCACGAUGGCCAAACCUUUAUGGCGUCGUCGGGCCGAGAGAUUAUGGGAGGACCUGGCAGCAAAUGAUUAUGGGAAUGAUAAAGAGAUAAAUAUGUGAGAAAUGAGAGGUCUCUAGCUAGAGUUCCUUGGAAAUUGAUGCGAUUGAGAUCUACGGCUACCACAACUGUACGUAUGGUAUUUUCCAUGAAAUCUUGAUAAAUCGAACAAAAGAUGACUUUGUAAGAACAAACACUUUUGGGCCAACCCAUGAUUUGGUGACUCCGAUGGGGUCAUCUGUAGUGGCUGAUUCCAUGCCCGGAGAAUAUUGUAUGCUCUAUUAGGGGUGGUUGUCAAAUUUUCCCAUAUGAUAAAAAAAUGCAACUAAAUAUAUCAAGAUUGAUUUGAACGUACUGUUCAGUUCAUAUGGAAUUAGUAUUUCCAACUCAAAACCCGCAAUACUUUUGCAUCUUAAGAUUUUUGUAUAUACUCUAAUUCAGUGCUUCUAUACAUUUCUUGAUAAACUAUUAUGUCUGCCUAGUAAAGGAGAACAAACAAGAAGAACUAAUUUUACAAAAUUGUGAUCCUCCUAAAUAUGUAUAUCAAUCAUGCUCUGAUCAAACGAGAGGUUAAAUCAAUAAAUAGAUCUUCACUGCAAGGAAUUGUGAUCCCACCCAUCGGAUGAUGGAAUCCAAAUUCUUCUUCGGCCUGGAAUAGCAAUUCUUGAAACAAAUGAUGGUUUAAGUAUGAUAAUGGAAUAACAAAUCGCUUUUUCUCGCCCUCCCCAACAUAAACAGCCAAAUGCCCUUUUGGAACUUCAACUGAUCUUCUUUCGUUGGAUAAUGACCGUCUCAAAAUUUGACGGAUUGCCAUCUUAGUUUGUGUGAAGUGAAUCUUGCUUAGCUCAAGUAAAAACGAAGAGGUAUUUGAAAUAAGUGAAAGCUGAGAAGGAUAAGAGUAUUUUGAUCAGGAGUUGUUGUUUGUAAUCAAGAAACGGUGUUGUAUAUAUAGGCUAGAAAGAAAUGAUGAAUUCUUCAGAUAUCGACAUAACAUGGUCAACAUAAAUUAAUGUGGUUGCUCUAUGAAACUCGAAAAAACACACGCAUAUGAAAGCACAUGGAUUUGUCUUUAAAAAAAUGAAAUGAAGUCAAGGCAACAAAAAUUUGUGUGAUAGAAAAUGUUGUAUCCUACCAACUAUGGCAACACGGCCCCUUAAACCAUCAUCUCUAUUUAUUUCCAUAUAUCUACUAAUUAGGCCAUGUUAUCCUAAAUGCCAAGUUUUGUUUUGCAAUUGAAUUUAUGCCACAUUCUAUUCAGCGGGUCAAUAUGACGUUUUCUUGCUGGUGGUGUUAGGAAUGAUAUAAGGGUCCCUCACAAUUGACAAAUAAUUCAUUCUUCAUGUUCUUUUGUUUCUCUAACUUGUCCAGUAGCCACCACAUAUCCUUUGGCCUUUUCAUCACCACUCAAUCCAACUAAUUUGGAUAUAGUAUUUACAACUUCAUCUAUAUAUAUGUUUAUACGUCACAUAUCUAAACUCACAAACCUGCAGCCUUCAACUUCUCAUAUUUCACUUCAUAAAAUUCUCAUACAUUCCUUAAUUUUAUUUAAGAUUUAGUUUCACAAAGAACCGAUGGCUAUUCACAAAAUUCUAAGGCGGUCUUUAUCGGCUGAAAAAAGAUCAGCUGAAGUUCCAAAGGGUCAUUUGGCUGUUUACAUAGGAGAAAGUGAAAAGAAGCGAUUUGUAAUUCCAUUGUCGUAUUUGAAUCAUCCUUCAUUUCAAGAAUUACUAUGCCAAGCUGAAGAAGAAUUCGGAUUCCACCAUCCAAUGGGUGGCCUUACUAUUCCUUGCAGUGAAGAGUUAUUCGUUGAGCUAACAUAUCGCUUGAGCAGAGAGUAAUAUAUAUACUAAUUUUUAGAGGAUAUAAAUUGUAUUAGCUAGAUUCUAUUACAUAUUUUGUGAACACAGAAGAUACUUUGUCGGAAACAAAAUGUAUUCACGAACAAAUGAAUCGUAAUACUUUAAUACACGGAUGCCUUAUCUUCUUACAAAUUGUUAUCAAUAUUUCUAGUUCUGCCAUCAUGAAUACAUGGUUGUCAAGAAAAAAAAACAUGUCGUAUGCUACUAAAUUGGGAAUUUCAUGCAACCCCAAAAGAAUCCCAUAGGAAAACAACCAAAUAAUAGGUUAUAGUCGAGUUCACUCAAAGAGCAGUGAGAACAUAGUGAACUAUUUGUUCGCCUUUUGCUAAAGAAUACUAUGUUUUCGCUGUAAUUCGAGCAUCAUAAGUAUGUUUGAAACCAAAUUCAGCCAUUCUGGUUAUUAAUAACGUUUACUGACCCAUUAAUUGUACAUUAUUAGUAAACCUAGUGAAAUGGGAAUCUAAUAGAUUUACUCAUUACUAAAGAGGCUACUAGAACUGGAAAAAAUAAAGAAAAUAAUGAAUCUUCGGCCUAAGAGAUUGAAUCUUCAAUAAAGGUGAAAGCCAACGAAAAUAUUAAAUUGAAUUUGUCUUCGUAAAACAACAUUGGUAGGUCGACGAGAAAACACAAGAGAGAGAGAGAGAGAGAGAGAGAGAGAGAGAGAGAGAGAGAGAGAGAGAGUUCAUAAAGUCUGUUCCUAAUGGUAUUGAUCCUGCAAUCAUGAUGCGAGAAAAAAAUUAACUAGUCAAUGUUCCUUGGAGUGCAUUUUGGAUGGGAAAAUUAAUUGAGGAGGUAUUGCAAAUCCGUAACAGCAACCUCAUUGUACUUGUUUGGACAAAGAGAUUCAUUGUGGAUUUCAAAUCCACAGUUCUCAUUUUUAGUUUUUCUUUUUUUAGCAAUUGUGGUGAAUUUCAAACCCCUUCCUAAAUUAUAAUUGUUUCAAAUCCUCCCCAAUUGAAUUGAUUAAAAACCAUUCAUUUCAAAUAACUCAAUCUAAACACAACCUUAAUGAAAUUUGGUCUACCCUUAUAAGCACGAGUAUAGUUCAAAGAUGCUUGUCUAUUUCAAUUCAUUCAUCAUUCGACAACAAACUAAAAAGAGAACGGGGUUCAUAAAAUCCCAUUCAUAAUUAACUUCUCUUAAGUUGUUAAAAACAAGGAAAAUAGUACAAAGAACCAUAGUGCGUCAAAAACUAGUUAUGUUGGAUUCAUAAAUAUUGUUUACCGUUGUUGUGUUGAGUAUUAGAACAUUGUUAACGAUGCUUCCGCUUCCUCCACCCUCGAGUAACACUUCUUUGGUUGGUCAACAACAAAAGAAAAAUGAGAGAAAAUUCAUAAACUUUGUUGAUCAUGAAACCUAUGAUUUCACAAACAUAGUGCAAGAAAAAAGUUUACAUUGUUAGAAAACUGGUUUAACCACUAUGUCGCUGACGAAUAAGAAUAUUGUUCGAGAUACUUCUCUAGUGCAUCUACAUAUGUGUUCCAUCUUCUGUCUUUGGGGAGGCAACCGACUCAAUAGUAUCCCUUCCCAAGGUGAAAAUGAGGUUCCGAGGGAAAAUCUCAAAGAAAAGAAAGACCUCUUAUGCGGUAACUGUCAACAAAAAAUAAAUAAUAAUAAAUCAAUAAAUAAAGAGAGAGAGAGAGAGAGAGAGAGAGAGAGAGAGAGAGAGAGAGAGAGAGAGAGAGAGAGAGGCAAAAUGAACUACGCUCAUAAUUAACUUUAAUAAUUAUUAAAAUAAGAAAAUUAGUGAUAGAAACAAUGAAUGUGCCAAAGGCUUCAAAUUUGUGGCCGUAAAGGUUUAUAAAUAACAAUACUUCGUUCUACAUUUAAAGAUUAAAGACCUAUUCGUUUGGCAGUUUGCUUACAAACUCUCUACCUCUACCAACUUUAAAAGUAUGAAUCUUUUUUGUUUCUUAACAUUUUUUGUGCUUUCUUUUAUGCCGCUUAUAACAAAGUUAUACCAUCAACUAGUUGGUGUACUCAAUUCUGUGAUAAAAAAGAAUGAAAAUAAUAAAUUAACAUAGCUUAAUAAUGUAGUUUAAAUAUCAAAUGUCUUUUCAUGUGCUAUAUUUAUAUGAAGGUGAGAGUUUAUUUUCUUCUUAUUAUAAUUUUUCUACAUAUAGAUAUUUUCGAUGUAAUUUAAUUUUGUAUAACACUACAUUUGGACAACUUUCAUUGAUAUAUUAUAAGCAUAUAUGUAAAAAAUUAUUUUAAAAUAAAUCAUGUUAUUUUAGGGACAAUAAAAAAUAGGGUCUUUCUAGGGUGAGAUCCUAUGUUCUAAACUUUUAUGAGAUACCCCCUUUAUAUUGCGCCACGUGUCCCUGCCAAAAAAUCCAUUUUUUCCUCAUUUACGUAUUGUCGUAAAUACCCUUCGUAUAAUUAAUAUUUUCAAAAAAUCGGCCAUUAUAUAAUAUUAAUGUAAUGUCAAUUUUACCCUCUAUAUUUUUAAUGCAAUUUUAAAUAUAUAUUUAUUGUUGAAUUAAAAUUUAUAAUGUCAAUUAUAUCAUUAUUCGUAAAAAUCAUUAAACCACCCAUCGAAAAUUGCAUCAACCUGAAUUCGAACUCGUGACCAUCUGAAAACACACAAGAAUACUUACCAUUAAGACACAACACAUAAUUGACAAUAAACUAACAAUACGGAUAUAUAUCACAAAGCUACAAUUUAUAAUGGUUAUAAAACUUAUAUAAAUAAUGUUAAAUAAAUUAUUAAUUCUCAUAUAAUUAUUAUUAUUAUAUAUUAAAAAUAUCCCAUACUAACAAAUCUUUAUAUAAUAUAAUUUAAAAAUCUAAGGAAAUGUUGUUCAACUCGUGUAAUUUAAAAAUGAGUUUCGAAAGAAUUUGAAGUUUGAAUUGAAUCGUAAAUUGGAAGAUUUUAUUAAAUCGUAAUAUUUGAAUCAAUUAAACUCAUGUGUUUUCAAUUCAAAGACAAUAUUCAAAGAUUUGAUCGAUUAAGCUCAACUCAUUUCAAUUCGUAUACAAUAUUCAAAUAUUUGAAUCGGUUAAACUCAAUAAUUUACAAUAGCGUAUUAAUCAAUCUGUGUAUAGUUAAAGUUUAGUAACCUUUUUUUUAUUGAAUUUUAUCAUAAAAAAUAAUAAAAUUUAAUUCGUAAAAAUCGUAAGAUUUAAUCGGUUCAUGGUUAGAUUAAAUCUUACGAUUUACGAUAUGAUUUUUACGAUUUUACGAAUUAAAUUAUUAUUUUGUUGUUAAAAUUGAAUUAAAAGGAUAGUAGACUUUAAUUAUAAAUAGUUAACUCGAUUAAUACGUUCUUGUCAGUGGUUGAAUUUAAUCGAUUCAAAUUUUUGAAUAAUAUUUACAAAUUAAAAGGAUUUGCGCUUAAUUGAUUCAAAUCAUACGCUUUAAUUAAUCUUAUGAUUUGAUUCUUGCGUAAUUUAGGAAUUAUUUUUUUAUGAUAAAAUUGAAUUAAAAAUGUAUUACACUUUAAUUAAUAAUAGUUAAUUUGAUUAAGACGUUCUUGUCAAUAGUUGAGCGCGCUAAUGAAUCGAUUCAAAUAUUUGAAUAAUUUUUACGAAUUGAAAGCACUUGAGCUUAAUUGGUUCAAAUAUUACGCUUUGAUAAAAUAUUAUGAUUUACGAUUAGGUUCUUACAUGUGUUAGGAAUUAAAUUUACUAUUUUUUAUGACAAAAUUGAAUUAAAAAGAUAUUAGACAUUACUUAUAAAUAGUUAAAUCAAUUAUGUAACAUGUUAUGUCAAUAGUUAAGCAACCGAUUAAAAUAUUUGAAUAAUGUUUACUAAUUGAAAGGAUUUGUACUUCAUCGAUACAAAUCUUACUAGUUGAUUAAAUUAAAUAUUAAAAGAAAUUCACAAUAUAGUAUUUGUAGUAUAUAAUUUUAUUUUAAAGUAAGAAAACUACUAAUUGGAAUGAGUUAUAAUUUUUUCUUCUUCUAAACAAACAUAUUAUUUUAUUUUUUAUUUGGAUUUGUCACACUAUCGAUUAAAUAACAUAAGUGAGUUUGAAUUAAGUUAUGCAUUUUUUUAUAUUUAAUUGAGCAUUCUUUACAUUAAAUGGUGGAGUUUAUUAAUACUUCUAAUAUUAUAUAAUUAAUGAUAGAUGUUUGGCGUAUUGAACUGCAAUUCUUUAUAUUUUUAAAACUUUAUUUUAUUAAAUUUGUUAAUAAUUUAUUUAAUAUCAUUAUUAAUUUAAUAAUAAUGAAUGUUGCAAUUAAUAUUUGAAUUCACAGUAUGUAUACAAUUAUUGUUAAAUAUAUCAUAAUAAGUUAAUGUGCUUGGAUGGUUAGGAGUGAUAAAUGUAUUAAGAGGUCACAAGUUCUAUUCCUAAUGAAUGCAUUUUUUUCGAUUAUUUAUCAAAUAAAUCUCGGUCACAAUGAAUUUAAAUUAAUUAUUUAAUUAAAAUAUAGUAGGGGGUAAAUUAGACAAUUCAAUGUUAAUCAAUUUUAUAUUAAUUUAAUAAAAAAAAUAAUCGAAGGAUAAUUUGGUAAAAUACUUCAUUUUUUAGAACAUAAGCCAUGUUAUUUUCCUAGGGUCCAGAUUUAAUCUUAGAAAAUUAAUGGUGAUUAAUGCAUAUCUCAUAAAAGUUUAGAACAUGGGGUAUCUCACCCUAGACAAACCCUAAAAAAUAAACCCAUCAUGAGCUACUUAUCCAUAAAGGGGCCAAGACAAAAAAAUAUUUUACAAAAAAAAUCUAGACAAUGUCCAAAGGUGCGUAAAAGACUAAAAUACCCCCUCACAUUUUAAUAUGCUCCAAUUUUAUCAUUUAAUUCAAUUUAACCUCAAAUUUCAUCUAUUAUUCAAUUUUUUCUCCUAACCCAAUUUUGACUACAAUUUCGUCAGUCGUCGCCGUUGAGCGGGGUUGUUUUUUAUUUUUUUUUACCUGUCUGCUUUUUCCGCUGGUUUUCAGCGUUGAGUUUUUUGAUUUUUUUUCCUUUCUGCCGCGUCUGACAAGCGUGGCCUUGACUUUUUUUUUCUUUUCAUUUUUUGGUCUGUUUAAACAGUGAUACUGCUGUGGUUGACAGCCAUAUUAACUAUAUUACUAUUUAACACAAUAAUAUUAACUGUAUUACAGUUCAACACAAUAAUAUUAACACAACAAAAAUCACUAUAAUUGUGUAAUAGAGUAAUAUUAAUAUGUUGACCGUUCAACAAAUGCAAACAUAAUACAAAGUCAAAAGAAUUAAUAUUCAUGUGGUUGACAGUAAUAUUACUGUCAACCACAAUAAUAUUACUGUAACGAAAGUAAUAUUAUUGUCAACUAAAAGUAAUACUAUUGUGUUUGUAAAAAGCGGUAAUCGGAUCCGAGUCGGUCAGGCACCGAUUCACGAUUAAUCGGUGCGGCGGUGAUUAAUCGGUGAUAAAUCGGAAAUAAAAUUUAAUAUAAUAUAUCUCUAGAUAUUAUUUAUAAAUACUCGAAACAUAUAUAAAAAGAUAUUUACACAUAGUUAUAUCUCCAUCAUGUACAUAUUCUUAAUAACAUAAUAAAAGUUUAAUAAUUAUAAGAUCAUAAUACAAUAUCCUUAUAAAAUAUAAAUAAAAAAGCAAUUUUUUUGAAUUUACAUUUAUUCUUGAACAUUUCUGGCAUACAUCAUUAGUUCUUUAACAACAAUAAUUAGCAUAAACAAAAUAAGGCAUAAACUCAUAUUUUCUUUUAUUAAAAUCCCAACUUUUAUUUUGAAUUAUAAAAAACAAAAAAAAAAAAAAAAAAAAAACCGAUUUUUUACCGAUUUUUGGCCGAUUUUUGCAACCGAGUUUGAUCCGCCUUAAAGGUUUGACCGCCUCAGACCGCCUCAGACCGCCUCAGACCGCCUAAAACCGCCUCACAGACAAAAAACCGAUUUUUCAAACCUUUACACUAAAAUCGUAAAGGUUUUGGACCACCUCCGCCUCGGAGACCGAUUAAUCGGCCGCCUCGGCCGAUUUUUAGAAUACUGUUUACAGUAAUAUUACAAUCAAACAAAAUAAAAGGCCAAAAAAAUUAAUAUUGAUGUGGUUGACAGUAAUAUUAUUGUAUUUACAACAAUUUUACCGGCAACGACAGUAAUAUUAUUACGUUGACUGGUCAACAAAUCAAACAAGAUACAAAAGCCAAAAGAACAAUAAUAUUGAUGUGGUUGACAGUAAUAUUAUUGUGUUUACAGUAAUUGUCCUGUCAACGGCAAUAUAAUUACUAUCAGCGACAAUUCAAUCAUCAUCAAUGAAAGUAUAAUUACAGUCAACGUUCAGUUGCGGGCGUUACAAGCAAAAACUUCGGCAAAGCCUAUGAAAACACCUCAAUCCAACAACAAAUUUUAACAACCAACUACAAGUUACAAUUUAUAGUAAUCCCCUACAAUUUCUCGAAAACAACUACAAAAUCAUCAAAACCAACACAAAAUCAUCGAGACCAACUACGAAAUCAUCGAAACCAACUACAAUAUAUAGAAAUCAACUAAAAUAUUAUCGAAACCUACUAUGAAAAAUAUCAAAAUCAACUAUGAAUCACCGAAACCAACAAAAAAAAAAAAAAAACAACUCUAAUUUGCAAGGCGUCGGAAGACCGCCCAUUUUCCACUGUCGGAAACAACUAAAUGAAAUAUCUGUAAAAUAACCAAAAUCCCACGGCGUUUCAAGUACAAUGAUGAGCCGCCGCAGAUGCUCCUCCACCGUCACUCCCCAAUUCGACAACCUCCUCCUGCUCCAAUUACUAGUGCCAUGCCUCGAACUCCGCCUCUGAAAUCUCCUCGCCGUGCGGCCGCUCUCUGGUUGUUAUGGAGGGCGAUGAAAUUGACGUGGGUGCGGCAGCUACUGUUGAGGUUGGAGAGCGGAUUGGCUGCGGCGACGAAAUUUGCGGGGGCGUUUUGACCGAGGGAGAAUGCUAGCUAUGGAGAGAAUGGACUUAGGGGAGGAUUAAUAGGGAAAGAUUGCUUUGGAUCUUGUUAUUGUUGGUUGAAGAUGAGGAGUAGUUCGUCUGGGUGUCGAAAAAGCAGCGGCUGGUGUCGUCGGAAAUUACAAAUUUUGGCGGAAGACAACCUCUGUCUCUCCAUGUUCCUCAACGAAUCCUCCAACUCUGUGUGGGUAAGAACUCGCGACCAGCGGCGGAUCUACUAUAUGUCUAGGGUGUGCAGCUGCACACCCUUGAAAUUAAAAAAAAAAUAUUCCCUAUAUAUAUAUUGUUAUAUUAUAUUAUAUGUGAUUAUUUAACAAACGUAAUUGGUAGUUCACCUGGUAAGUAGCUUUAAUCUUUUGUGAAAUGUCAUAGGUUCGAGUCCCAAAAUCAUCAAAUUUUUUAUAGCUUUUCCAAAACUCUACAAAUCCAUUUAUACUCACAUUUUCUCUCUACAGAUCCAUUUAUACUUAACAUUUUCUCUCAUUUUUCCAAAAUUUACUCACAUUUUCUCUCUACAAAUCCAUUUAUACUCUAACAUUUUCUCUCAUUUUUCCAAAAUUCUACAAAAAAUUGCAAUUGGUCUUAAAAUUUCGAUUUUCCUACAUAUUAAUAUUAUUUUAUGCUGGUAUUAUUAUUAUUAAAAAAAAUCGGGGGCGCUGCCCCCGAACCCCGUAAACUUUCGCACCCCCUUGGCUAAAUUCCUGGAUUCGCCACUGCUCGCGACGGCGAAUUGGAGAGGCAUGAGUGAUAUUUGCGGUGGAAGAUAUCAGUCCACAAAGAGAGUGGUGGCGGUGGUGGAAGAUAAAAGAAAUAAAGGGGAAAGAGAAGCAUUGGCGAAGGAGAGAAAGUGAAAAAGCCGUUGAGAAGUAAACAUAGUGUUUCUAGGGUUAAACAAAUUAAAAAGGAUAAAAUUGAAUUAUAAUAAAUUAAUGGAGGUAUGUCACAAUUCAUAACAUCACAUGAUAAGUAUGUCAAAAUGAAAAAAAAAAUUUGGGCUAAUAUUGAUAAAUGGGGUUUGAGGGGUUCCCCCUCACUGUCUUGAAUCAAUAUUGAAUACUAUAUUCUGGAGAACAAAAUUUAAAAUUUGCAAUUUCCAUAUUUCGCAUUUGGCAAAAGUAAAGCAAGUACGAGGGAGAAAAAUUCUACUAUCUUUGUAAUUUCUGAAAAAUUAUAAGUAUGUUUGAAUAGCAAAUUUUAAAAUAUUUUUAUUGUUUUCCUAAUUAAUUACAUAAUUUAAUGGUCAACUGUAAAUUGAUGGUUGAUAAUAAUACUAAUACUAACAUACAUAGACAAUUGCAUAACAAAAUACAAAUCUAUGAGGCAAUUAUAAUAUAAAACAUUAAAGGGACCAAAGCUCAAUCUUUUAAUCUAUCCUUAUUAUUAUGACCAUAAAACAAUUCGGGUCAGAAAACACAAUUUCAGUAAAUAUUAACUAAAUUAUCAGUUACCUGAACAAUGAAGUAAAUUACAACUUGCAUACUGCUGAAACGUGAAUAAGGAUUAAGGCCUAAUACCAUUACUGGGAAACUGAAACGUGAAUAAGGAUUAAGGCCUAAUACCAUUACUGGGAAACAAAACAAUCCGUGCACGUUAAAAUGACUAAUUAAACAAUUGUGCGAACCGCCUUAUAAAUGCACUUGCGUGGUUAGGCUUUUUCUUUACCAUGCUAUUGAUCUUCAACCCAUCGGUUAAAGCAGACGUCGAUGUAAGAGAUGCCUUCAGUAUGCUUAAAGCCUGCACCCAAAACGAUUCUCGCGUACAUGCAUGCAUGGGAAAAUAUAAAUAAAUUAAACACGAGAUAUUAUAAAAUCAAAUUAUAUUAAUUACCUCUUGCAAUCCAACGUGCACCUCCACUUCUUUGACAUCAGAUAAAGGGAUUUCCAUUUAAUUUUCUUCAGUAUAGAAAGGGUGGAGGUCAUACACAUAGGAGUCACGGUUAAAUCAUCGGUCACCAUGUACAUUUUUGUUCCUUUAACGAAAUUCUCUUGGCCUCGACUGAACACCAUUUCACGAAACCAUCCGGAAUCUUUUCCAAUUGAAUAUGACAACCAUUCUUUUCUCUGGUUCAUAUCCCGAUGGUAAUAUAGAGUAGCUUGUUCACUAAGAGGAAGAAUCGUACCUCCGGAAACAUAACCUUUAGGAAGAUUGGGUUUCAUCACCCUAUUUUUUAAGCGUGGACUCACCCAAUACUUGUCAUCGAUAAAAUCCGCUAUGCUUUUAUACAAAUUGUCUAUACUAUUAAGACAAGUGUUACCACCCAUAAGGCACUCAACUCCUCCUAGUGGGAUGGUAAGAAAAGAAAAAAGGAAAUCUACGAAAUCAUCAUCGCCUUGAGCAAACAAUAACUUAUUGCUCGAUUUUUUUACCACCAACCUUAAAUUCAUCUUCUUGGUCGCUUCUAAUUUCUCCUUCUUUUGGAAGGAAAUUCCCGCUUCGUAUUUUAGACUGGCAAAGUCAUCAUAAACCUUUGUUUUAUUGAGUAUAAGGUCGGUUAGCGGAGUACGCGACAUUAACGAGGCCUUGAGCAAAUCCAUAACCUAAGGCAGACAAUGAUUAUUAAAAUUCACAAAACCGACAUAGUUAUAUGGGAGAAAAUUGUAAUUUAGAUCAUCUAUAUUGGCCAAUUCAGUGAUUUAGUCCUUUUGGUUAUGCUAUUUCAAGUUUACAUGCAAUAACUUUGCAAAUUUAGCAAUUUUGGUCCUAUUUUGCCAGAAAUUUUAGUUUUAACAAACUCAUUAAAUUUGUUGAAGAAUUUAUAACUUUUAAAAGUCCAUAAGCAAAAUCCAUCAAGUGCCACAUCAUGAAAUGCAAAAAUCAAGCAACAUAAAACCAAAAAAUGCUAAAUUGCAAUUUUAUUGCAUGUGAAAUUGAAAUAUAAUAACUUAGACGACUAAAUCCCUAAAUAGACAACAUAGAGAACCAAAAUUACAAAAAAAAAAAAAUUCCUAAUUAUUAACAGUAUACACAUUCAAUAAAAAUUACAAAAGUAAAAUAACAUAAUCAAGAAACAAAUUAUAUUAAUUACCUCAUUGAACCCAAAAGUCACAUUCCUUAGCUCGGCGCCUUUAGUGUCGGUGAUGCCAAGAUUUCGGAGAGUUUGCACAAAGCCUACGGCCACAUUAGGCACCAUUCUCAGAUCAUCGGAGAUCAAGAAAGAAGUUGUCUUAAUCAUGAACACUCCAGCGGAUCCAUGAACAGCAGUUUCAGACUCAUCUAAACAAACGCUUUUGUUCUUCGUUUUCCCACAAAGGCAAGUUACGGUAGCAUCUCUUCGCAUUGCUACCUUUGACCAUCGGUGCGUACAAUUCCAGUCCGGGCAAGAAAAGUACUUAAAGGUCAAAGGAUCACUGAUAUCGAGUUUCAGCUUUCGGCAUUCACCUUCAAAGGAACUUACGGGAUUGAGAAGCAUGUGCUUAUGGAAUUGACUCCGUAAAUUGAUGCUGUCAAGAUUCGAUAAUCCAUCGUACAAAGUGGUUAAGCUUCCAAUGUUGACAGGCGUCGUCGCGUCUUUAUUAUCUCCGUAGUGCUUCUUCAAAACUCUCGCAAUCGUUCCCAAUGGCAAAGUUAAGAAACUCAGCAGAACUUCUGCGAAAUCGCUGUCGACUUCUGCAAAUAGUACUUUGUUCUUCUCUUUGUUUAUCAAAACCUUUAGAGAGAACUCAACUCCAUUAUCAAGAAACAUAAUGCUGUUGUUGUACGAAACGGAAUAAAUCACAGGUUGAGUAUUGAUUUAAAAGGUGAGUGCAUUGGAACGGAAUUGCAAAAGAUCCCUGUGAUUGGAUUUCUUUGAAGAAAACAAAUCGGCUUUGUUUGUAACGGUUUUCCCCAUGUAAUUAGUUUAUUUAGAUAAAAUUGGAUUUCCUGUCAUAUUCUAUAUACUAAUAUUUCCCGGUGCAAUGCAAUGCAAAUGAUAACAUUUUAAAACUAACUAGUACUACACCCUUGGGAUGCACGGUGAGUACAUAUUUUUAAUCGUCAAAUAAAUAUAUAUAUAUAUAUAUAUAUAUAUAUAUAUAUAUAUAACAUGAUCUGAAAAAAUCUGUACAACAUAGAACACAUUGGGGAUACGAUGCUACACCCAGUGAUUUUCACCGAAUAGCUCUCUUCUUGACAUAUAUCCUUUUUAAUUUAUUUUAUAAUUAUAUUUCUAAAACUCCAUGGGAUAUAACUGUAUUCGUAGUGGUAAUCUUAUUAACUAGGGUGCCUGGUUAUAUUAACUAGGUGUAACAUCGAUAUUGCCGAACACAUUGGCCACCAAAUGUGAUUGAGUAACCUAUACCUAUUUCAUCUCACAAUCGUCAGGAAAAACUCCAAACAUCUUACUAUACAAAAUUGAAUGUAUUUUUUCUAAUAUUCAGCAAUUAGUUAAAACAUUCAAACUUUUUUCAUAAUAAGGAGAGUUCUGUAUAAAUUUUGUUGAUUAAUCACAUUCAUAUUAGUUAUUAAAUGCUAGGAAUUACAUAUUCUAUCAUUCUUGUCAAUGUUCUGAAAACCGAACCGGACAUUGACCUGGCCAAGAUAUCGGGGUCACGCUUGGACCUGUUCAACCGGGGUCCAACCGGGGUUUUGAAUAAUUUAUUUUUAAUUAUUUAUAUUUAAUUUAUAUAGUAUUAUUUAUGCAAAAAAAAUACGUAAAAAUAACCUGUUUAUCACCAACUAGCAUUUUUUCUCGUGCGAUGCACGGGGUAUUAUUUAAAUAGUGAAAAAAAAUCAAUUUAAUGCAUAAUAAGAAAUUAUAGUACACUAAUAUACUAAAAUUUAAUAAUAUAGUAUUAUUCAUAUUUUAUAUAACAUUAGUUUUUUUAAAUCUUACAUAUUAAGAUUUAUAAUCCAAAUAAAUAGACUAAAAUUUAACAAAUCGAAUUUCUAGUUUUAUCUCUUAAUAAUUUUUGAAAAUUAUAGUUCAAAAAAUUAGUAUAGAAAAAAUAUUAAAAAUAAAUAAUUACAUAAGUAGCAAUAAGGUAGGAUUCUUCACGGGCUAGUUUUAAUUUUGAUAAUUGUUAAAAAAUUAAUUAGAAAUUAGUAGAGAAAAAAUAUUAAAAAUAAAUAAUUACAGAAAUACCAUUGAGGUUUUUUUGGGUUGCCCAACGUUUCUUUCUUUUAUAUAUUAGAUAAGAUACCAUUAGAGUUUUUUAGGAUUUCUUUCUUUAUUAUAUAAGAUAUCAAAUAUUCAUAUGAGUUAAGCAUAAAAUUAUAGUCAUCUUAUAAAUCAAAACUCAAAAGUUAACAUUUAAUUUGAAGUCAUACAUCUUACUAAAAAAAUAAAAAAAUAAAAAUAAAAAAGGUCUUGCAUCCAAUGCAAACAUUUAAAAUAAGUCUCACAUCAAAAUUAAAUAUUUAAAGUAAAUAGUAAAUGCAUAAAAGACACUAUCAUCUUCAUAUAUCACUCUUCCUCAUACUCAUCUCCAAUUCCAAUUUCUCUUUUUCUCUUUUUAGAAAAAAGGUGUAUGUUGUACUUUUUUUACAGAAAAAGACUUCUGUUGUUGUCUUCUAUUUUUUUUUUCUUUUUUCUGGGCAUUAAAAUGAUGCCGUUUUGACUUCCUUUUUUUUUUGAAUUAAUUAAAAACGCGUCUAUGCAGCCAAAAAACCAGUUUUUAGCCGGUUUCCGGGUUUCCGGUCAAAAGACCUGGUUUUGACAUUUUGACCGGUUUUUUGUAAUUUUUGGUUUUAUGGGGCUAACCGGACUGGACAAGGCACCGGUUUGCGGUCGAACCGGCCAGUCCGGUCCGAGUUUCAAACAUUGAUUCUUGUUCCUUUUUUUCCCACUAUUCAUAAACAGAUUGUUAACCUAGGUACCGAUGCUUCCGCGCCUUCCAGAAAAAGUUGCUACUGUUAUUCCAGUCUUGCUCAUUAAUAUUUUCAUUUUUUCCAACUCUUUGCUCCAAACCAGUACAACCAUUUAUGAUCCGUGGGUGACCUGAAAUUAACAAGCAAAUAUCCAACAGAAAAAUGAAUCGAAACACAAUAAUCAACAUGAGAAAUGCGCUUAAUAUAAUGUAAAAAACUGGCAGACAUAAUAAUGGCUUAUAGGAGUGGACGGAAAAGGGUCUGAAAUGUGAAGUUGAAAGCAAAAAUGGUCGGUGAGCACUUGAAUUGAGGGCCUGAAAAUUCACUUGUCAUUUGUUUCUCAAUGUUGGGUGCUAAAUACCAACACGAAAGUGUACGUAUCGCAAACAAGUAGUAAAGUAGACUCGUGAGAGUCGGAUGUCGAUCCCACAGGGAAUACGCAAAUUAUUUAAUCCUAAGUACCAAAUCCUAACAAUUGUGAUUUUUAUCCAGCCUACGCAGGGUUGUCAAAUUAAUUAACUAAAUAAAUUAAACUAAUUAAGAAAGCAAUUAAACACGAGAAAAAUAUCAAUAUAAAACGGAUCUAGGAUUUUAUCUUUCCCCUAUGCGAUAAUUCUUCACCCAAUUAAUCUCCUAUCAUGCAAGUUACGAUUCCCGAUUAUUAACCCAAGACACGAAAUUACUCAUAACCAGCUGUCGCUGCGUUAUAAGCCUAUUAUUCAUAAAAGAUUCACUAUAUGUCUAUGCAAACCUAGUAUAAAUAAAGCAUUCAAUAACAAGUCUCGUAAACGGCUACCUAAGGUAUUAUCUGUAUGUCUACGAUAAUACAUGCAAUCAACACACACAUUCGGUGAAAAACUACUCGAAGGCUCUUCUAUCCCUGUUCUAAUUAUUAAAACGAUCUGUCAAUCAAUUCUAACAAUAACACAUAGCAACAUAAAUUAGCUACGUUCAUGCGCUAAAUAAGAUCAAGAUAGAAGAAAUAAUCGAAGAAUUAAACUUGCAUAAAAGUCGAAAAAGAGGUUCGAAUUACCACAUAGGGUUCCAAUAAAAUCCUAGAAUAAAAACUUAGCUACUCAUGUUCGUUACGAAAAACAUAAUAAAAAUACGAAAAAUCAUAAAAGCUAAUAAAAGAGGAGAACUUUGAUGAAGAGUCGUCAAGUCUUCGUCUUCGUUCUUGUGCUCCUUGAUUGCGUGUAGAAAGAUGAAAAAUAAAAACCUAAAGAUUAAAGAUAAAAAGUAAAAGAUAAUCCUAAUUGUGUGCUUGUGGCCUUUAAAUAGGGUGCAAAAAUAUAAUAGGGCGGGUUUCCUUGUGUAAUUAAACUUCCUUCACUGCGCCCCUACGUCCAUCCAGACGGCCGUGCGAGAAUAGGCUUUAAAAUCCGGACGGCCGUCCGGUCCUUGAUUCUCCAGAAUUCUGAUUUUUUUACUUUUGGCCCACUUCUUCUCCGAACUUGCAGUUUUCACCCCAAAAGUUGUCAAUUCUUCAAUUUGCACCUAAAAUACAAAUAAUAACCAUAUUAAGCACCAAUUAUCGUAAAAACACAUCAAAAGCUCCAAUUAAAAGGUACAAUUAAGUGUAUAAAUAUACACUUAACACUCAACAUAAGUUACAAUUGUUGAUUGUGUCGACAUCUUAAUAAAUUAUUAUUUGUGUUGACAAACCUGCAAGAAAAACAAAUAUAUUUAAAUACUCACCAAAUUAAUUUACUCAACUAAUAUUGAACAAUAAGCUAUUGGGAUCAUUGGGACUUUGUGGCUUUCAAUUGUUAGGCACUUUGGUUCGAGGUAGGUAAUAUGGGAAUGUGUGGCUAAUUUUCUUGAAUUGAGGUGAUUACGCCAAAAAUUGAAAGAUAGGCGUUGGACACAAUGAAUUCACCUCUAGGGACUUUAAUAAAUUUGAUUCUCCAAAAUUCACACGUCAACGCUUUUGCCUUUGAGGCAAUGGAUCGAGUUUUCAACACAAUUCAACAACUAGUCCUUAUUUCUCCCUUCGAAUCUAUUCUUCUUCUUCUUUUUCUCUUUUUUUUUUUUUUUUUUUUUUUUGAAUCGAAGAAUUUAGAUAUAUAUAUAUAUAUAUAUAUAUAUAUAUAUAUAUAUAUAUAUAUAUAUAUAUAUAUAUAUAUAUAUAUAUAUGAAGAUGCACAUAUAUAUCUAUUUUUUUUUUUAUUUUUUUUUUUAAUUUUUUAAUUUUUUAUUUUUUUUUUCGGACGAAGAAGAAGAAGAAAGAUCUUAUAAGAAUUUUUCGACCAACCUCAAGGGGAUAAUUAUUAAAAAAUCUCCACUUUUCUACCUUCUACAUAUUGGCUAAAAGAAAGAACACCUUUUCUCCGAGGCUCAAAUCAAGGUUCUAAGGAUAAAUUGACAAAAAGGGUAGGCUUGAAAGGCUCAAACGGUUCAAAAAGAAGGCCCAAAUCAUAUCCCAAAUUACUUACUACCAACACUUCGUAUCAUAAAUGUCCUAAGGUGAGAUUUAAAACCGAACAAAGCAUGAUUGAGCACAAAUAAAUUCCAAAUUUAAAAUGCAAAACAUUCAACCAAAGCAAUGCACAAGGUGUGAUUCCUAGCAAUAAUUCACUUCUACGUUCCGUUGAAUCGAAAGCUAAACGAAUACAUACUCCUUAUCAACAUAAAACAAGUAAUCACAUCAUCAAACAUUGACCAUCUCCCAUCAUCAUAGUUCAUCGAUGCAUCGAAUUUUUUUUUUUUUUCAAAGCAAAUAAUAAAACGGAAAUAAUAAGACGCAAAUAAAGCAUGCAAACUAAAAAUAAAAAUUAACUAAAACACAAAUAAAGCGCACAUAAACGAAAACAAGUAGUUAACCACCCCCAAACUUAAAAUUCACAUUGCCCUCAAUGUGAUUCGCCCGGAGUUUAAGGAUAGAAAACACCUGUUUUUAAGCGUCGGGACCAUCGUCGGGUUGCUCACCAACUCCAACUUGCGCAUGAGCAUCACCAUCUCCUUCAUCAUCCGAAAGCUCGGGUACCGGCUCAAUAAUCGGUGCGGGAAAAUCGUCGAACACCUUGUGGGCGUUCUUGGUGGAAUGGGUUUUUCGAGAACAUUGCACCGUUCUUGAAUCUCCCUGCACAAAUCAAUAACAAACCAUCUUGAUUACGUAUUAUGUGUGUGUAGUUGGUAAAUUUUCGGUGAAAUUUGUCAAAGAAAAGAGAAAAUUUCGAAAAAAGAAGGCGAAGGUUCGAAGUGGGGGAGAGAGGGGAUUUGAAAUUAUGGAAAUUGUUUUUUUUUUUUUUUUUUUUUUUUCUGCACGGCCGUGCGAGAUUUAGGUGAAAAAUCCGCACGGCCGUGCCCUUUCUCAGAAUUAGGCAGUAGCCUCUUCAAAUUUCACACGGCCGUGUGAAAUUCCUGCCUUUUUCUUGCACGGCCGUGUGGAUAAUUGCAAAAUUUGCAAUUAAGCCCCUGAAAAAUAAAAACUUCUUAUUAGUACCCCUGAAACUUUUUUUUUUUUUUUCUUAAGUAAAAAUAAAAUAAGAACUAACACUAACAAGAUAAAAACAAAGAUUAAAAGAAAAUAAAAUAAAAGAAAGAAAAACGAAAUCUCGGGUUGCCUCCCGAGAAGCGCUAAGUUUACAGUCUUCAGCCGGACUUUGUCUGCUUCUUUGUUCAAGCUAACGUGACCGAAGUCACUUGGCAAUUGAAUUCCUCUCCCCGAUGACUCUCGUUUGAUUUUUUAGGUGGCCACAUCCUCCUUGCACGUUCAUCACCGUUAGCACCCCAACUCUUUUAACUAUCUCUCGGAGGUGUUGAAAUUGAGUUCGCACAACAAACGUGCUCCUUCCGAUUCCCUUUUCCGUUAUCAUCUCCUGCACUCAACGAUGCUUUCCCAUGGUCCAAAAUUGAAACAUCAAAUUUUUCAUGAUUUGUAAAAUCCAUAAGAUCAAUAGUAAAACACUCAUUAUUCUCACAUGGAUUUUUAUUAGCACAAAAAACAUUAAAUUUGAUCGUUUCAUCAUGCACUGUCAUUGUAAGAUCACCAUUCGCACAAUCAAUUAAAGUUUUUGAAGUGGCUAAAAACGGUCUCCCUAAAAUCAGAGGUAUCUCCCUAUCUUCAUCUAUAUCGAGUACAACAAAAUCAACCGGGAAGAUAAAUUUGUUCACCUUUACUAGCACAUUCUCUAAAAUACCUUUUGGGUAAACCAAAGACCUAUCGGCUAAUUGCAGAGUUAUAGCCGUAGGUUCAAUUUCACCUAACCCAAGAUUUUUAAAAGUGGAAUAAGGCAUAAGAUUAAUGCUAGCACCUAAAUCAAUAAGCGAUCUAAAUUUUUUACCUCCUAUAGUACAAGGGAUAGUGAACUUACCUGGAUUGCCGAGUUUUUGUGGAAGGGGCCGUGUAAGAAUUGCACUACAUUGUUCCGUGAGUUGGAUCAUCUCGUUCCCUUGCAAUUUCUUCCUCUUUGUCACGAGAUCCUUGAGGAACUUCACCCACUUUGGCAUCUUUUGAAGGGCUUCAAUAAACGGAAUAUUUAUUUGGAUUUCCUUCAGCUUGUCCAAAAAUCUUUGAUAAUCGGCAUCGAGCUUCUUCUUUAUAAGCUUCUGAGGAUAUGGAAUUGGAGGGGCUCGUGAUUUCACUGGAGAUGAUAGUGGUUCUUUGUGAGUUGCUUCUUUUUCCCCAAUCACUCUCGGCUUCUCGAUUACCGUGUUUUGCUUCUCCUUUGGUGGGGCUUCCUCCAAUUGUCUCCCAUUCCUUAAACUCACAGCGUUGCACUGCUCGACGUUGUUUUUCCGAGGAUCUUCUGUAUUUGACGGCGGUGCUCCCGAUGGCCUCGUGGUUAGCUGGGUUGCAAGUUGACCCAUUUGUGUUUCCAAAUUCCGGAUGGAGGCUUGGGUGGUUGUCAUGAAUUGCGCCAAGAUAUUUGCGAGAUCUACACCUUGAGGUUGAGCUUGAGGCGGAUUUUGGAAUCCGGGAGCUGGUCGUGAAUGAUUUGGUGGUUGACCUUGAGGUGUUGCUUGCCUUUGUCCUUGCUGAUUUCCUCCCCACCCAAAGUUAGGGUGAUCCUUCCAUCCGGGAUUGUAAGUAUUGGAGUACGGGUUCCUCUGUUGUCGGUUGGUGUCAUGCACAUAAUUCAGAGACUCCGUUUCUUCUACGCGCUGAUCGGGAACUUGGACUGCGUGGACUUGCUGAGUCUGCAAAGCCGUUACUUGCUUCGAUAGCUUCUCCAAUUGGGCCGUGAUUGCAGUGACUCCGUCUGACUCCAAAAUUCCUCCCGUCUUGACUGCUCCGCUAUUCGACCGGUCCGAUGCUCGCAUGUAUUUAUUCCUAGCGAUUCGUUCCAAGAGCUCGUAUGCUUCGUCGUAGGUCAAACUCAUGAACAUACCUCCAGCUGCAGAAUCGAGCACUGUCCUCGAGUUGUCUUGCAGUCCAUCGUAAAAUAUUUGCAGUUGGCGCCACUCUUGUAGUCCGUGAUUCGGGCACCUCCUUACUAACUGUUUGAACCGCUCCCACGUCUCGAAUAAUGCUUCACCGGCUUCUUGUAUGAAGUUUUGAAUUUCUCGCCGGAUUCUCUCAGUUUUUGUUGGGGAGUUGUAUGUGUUCAUGAAAAGUUGAGCUAGCUGGGCCCACGACGAGAUGGAGUGCGGUGCACGAGUUUGCAACCAUUCUCGGGCUGCUCCUUGUAAGGAGUGUUUGAUCAGGCGGAGUUGCAAUGCUUCGGGUGAUACUCCGUUCAUCUUGUGCGAGUCACACGUUUCGAGGAAAUUGACUAAGUGGAGAUGUGGGUCUUCAUGAGCCAAUCCGCUGAAUAACCCAUUGUUUUGGAACAUCGUGAGGAGUCCCGCUCGAAUCUCGAAAUUGUUGGCUUCAAUGGGGGGCUGCUGGAUACUUGAUUGAAACCCAUUAAGCGUUGGAACGGUGUACUCAUGCAGUGCUCGUUGACGCGGUGGUGGAUUAAUUAGCUGGCGUUGCUCUUGCUCAUUGACGACUUCCCCAACCGCAAUCGGUAUGCGCCCUUGGUCAUCUUCCCUACGAUUGAUCUCUUCUUCCAUCGUUGCGGGAGCGUUUUGAGCUAACCGUUGAUUUCCCCUGGCUUGCCUAAACGUUCGCUCAAUUUCGGGGUCGAGAGGUAGCAAGCUCGUGUCGUGUCCUCUUCGCAUAAAAAGUACCUAAAACAAAAUAAUAAAAUGAUUAAAUAAAAUAAAUAAAAUGGCUGAAGUAAGAAAAAUUGUUUAAAUUUAAUAUUAGGAUAAAUAAACAAUUUAGCCGUAGUCCCCGGCAACGGCGCCAAAAACUUGUUGGGUGCUAAAUACCAACACGCAAGUGUACGUAUCGCAAACAAGUAGUAAAGUAGACUCGUGAGAGUCGGAUGUCGAUCCCACAGGGAAUACGCAAAUUAUUUAAUCCUAAGUACCAAAUCCUAACAAUUGUGAUUUUUAUCCAGCCUACGGAGGGUUGUCAAAUUAAUUAACUAAAUAAAUUAAACUAAUUAAGAAAGCAAUUAAACACGAGAAAAAUAUCAAUAUAAAACGGAUCUAGGAUUUUAUCUUUCCCCUAUGCGAUAAUUCUUCACCCAAUUAAUCUCCUAUCAUGCAAGUUACGAUUCCCGAUUAUUAACCCAAGACACGAAAUUACUCAUAACCAGCUGUCGCUGCGUUAUAAGCCUAUUAUUCAUAAAAGAUUCACUAUAUGUCUAUGCAAACCUAGUAUAAAUAAAGCAUUCAAUAACAAGUCUCGUAAACGGCUACCUAAGGUAUUAUCUGUAUGUCUACGAUAAUACAUGCAAUCAACACACACAUUCGGUGAAAAACUACUCGAAGGCUCUUCUAUCCCUGUUCUAAUUAUUAAAACGAUCUGUCAAUCAAUUCUAACAAUAACACAUAGCAACAUAAAUUAGCUACGUUCAUGCGCUAAAUAAGAUCAAGAUAGAAGAAAUAAUCGAAGAAUUAAACUUGCAUAAAAGUCGAAAAAGAGGUUCGAAUUACCACAUAGGGUUCCAAUAAAAUCCUAGAAUAAAAACUUAGCUACUCAUGUUCGGUACGAAAAACAUAAUAAAAAUACGAAAAAUCAUAAAAGCUAAUAAAAGAGGAGAACUAUGAUGAAGAGUCGUCAAGUCUUCGUCUUCGUUCUUGUGCUCCUUGAUUGCGUGUAGAAAGAUGAAAAAUAAAAACCUAAAGAUUAAAGAUAAAAAGUAAAAGAUAAUCCUAAUUGUGUGCUUGUGGCCUUUAAAUAGGGUGCAAAAAUAUAAUAGGGCGGGUUUCCUUGUGUAAUUAAACUUCCUUCACUGCGCCCCUACAUCCAUCCGGACGGCCGUGCGAGAAUAGGCUUUAAAAUCCGGACGGCCGUCCGGUCCUUGAUUCUCCAGAAUUCUGAUUUUUUUACUUUUGGCCCACUUUUUCUCCGAACUUGCAGUUUUAACCCCAAAAGUUGCCAAUUCUUCAAUUUGCACCUAAAAUACAAAUAAUAACCAUAUUAAGCACCAAUUAUCGUAAAAACACAUCAAAAGCUCCAAUUAAAAGGUACAAUUAAGUGUAUAAAUAUACACUUAACACUCAACAUAAGUUACAAUUGUUGAUUGUGUCGACAUCUUAAUAAAUUAUUAUUUGUGUUGACAAACCUGCAAGAAAAACAAAUAUAUUUAAAGAGCUUGAAAUCUCAACAGAAGGAACAAAUUAUUGGUGUGGCGUCUUUGUAUCCAUUGUAAUCUUGGUUCGUGAUUUACUAAUCAUUGGGUCAGGGUUCGAUAAACUUGUUUCUUUAGGGGAUCUUGGGGUUUCAAAACCAUAUAUUCUUAUUGGGUUUCGUCACAUGUCGGCGUAGUUCAUAUCACUUGGGUGGUUAGCGGUGGCUAGGGUUUUUGGUAGGAGGCGAUUGGGGUGAGGAGUAAUUGGCGGUUUGGUCUAAAAUUCUUAGCAUUUUGAAGCUAUGACCUCCAAAAGAAAGAGCUCGACGAGAGGAAACCAACGGUAGUUAAACCAUCGAAUUUCGACCACCGGAGAGAGAUAUGACUCCGGGAAGCAACUUCGCCGGUUGGAGAUCUAUGGGGGCCGGAUUUUAAUAUUGGAGUUGAGAGAGGAAGAGAGAGACGACUGUGAGUGACUAGGGUUUAAAAAUGAUUAUAAAAGGGCAUUUUAAGUACAUCAGGGUGGGCUAGGGGGGUCUAUCAAAUUAAUUUCGAAAUGAAGGAGUACGUACAAGGAUGUAAUUAGUUAGGUGAUUAGUUAUAUAUCAAUUAAAUGUAUAUCUCAGCGCAAAUUUGGGGCCGGUCGGAUCAAUCAAAUGAGCUGAUUGCAUCGACAAACGCGUCGGUCACGUUUAAUAGUGGCCGAAACUGAGCUAAACGGUCUCUUUUCACUGCGAGCGCAUGGACAAUGGGGCUUUGCCCAACUAACAUGCCGACGGCGCCUGAAAGAGCUUCGCGUUCAUAUGCAGAUCGCCUCGAAACUCAUCCGAGUCAAAAGUUAUCAACGCUUUAAGCCGCUACGGUACAAGUUUUUCAACAUAAAACCAAAUUGUGUGCAUAGAUUUCAGGUGCGAUCAUACCAGCACUAAUGCACCGGAUCCCAUCAGACCUCCGAAGUUAAGCGUACUAAAUAAGGGAGGUCUCUAAAAUAAUCGCUACAAUAUAUAUAUGGAUAAUUAGCUAGAACCCCCGUAUUUGGAAUUUAUAUAGAUGGGGUCCAUUUUAUUAGUUGAUUAUAGCUAUAAGUCACUUCAUCAAUAAAUGUAAUAUAAAUUAAAUUAAAUUAUUUUUCUAUUGACAUUAAUACCCUUAGUUAUUAUUUAUAUUAAGAUAAUUAGUUAUGGAAAAUAUGAAUAAAAUAUCACAUUUCACUCUCCAUUUAACUCCUCUCUCUCUCCUCUCCCUCACGUCUCUCUCUAAUUUAACUCCUAUCUCUCUCUCUCCUUUUUUUUUUCUUUUUUUUUCUUUUCUAGUUUAGUAGCCUCACGGCUCUCUCACUCUAAUGAAUCUCUUGUUUGUUUUCUUAUGACCUAUAGUUGCAACGACGGUAAAAUGCAAGUUCAACCAAAAAAGCUUCCAAUUAUAAUAUGCACACAUUUUCAUCAAUGCAUAUUUACAAUAUCAAAACGCAUCAUAGAAUCCCUAUAGAAAAAUACAAUGUUCGAAGUUGCAACAACGAGAUACAAAAAAUACAAUUACUAUUGCAAUAUGCAAUACAUAAUGAAACAGUAAAAUACAAAAGAAAAAAGCUACACACACAUUAACUUUAAUACGAGUUUACAAAGAGAACCAAAAAAUAUUUCAAACAUUUCAUAGUUAUUCCCAAAGAAGAAGAAAAAACUAAUAUUAAUUUGCAAUAACGAGCUGCAAAUUAAAAUAUGCAGAACUGCCAAAGUGAAAUUGAAAACCGUCUAAAGGGACAACAUCAACAAACUUCACGUUGCAAACAACAACAUAAAAAAUAUAAACUACAACAACAUCAACAAAAUAGUGGCAACAACAACCAAAUAAAAGUAUGCAAAUAACCAUAUCCAAAUGUAAUUGUCAACAAUAAACUGCAAAAUGCAAACGAUACAAUGACAAUAAGUUAUUUUCAACAAGUAUUUUGUUAUGAUAGAUGAAACCACUUGUUACGACACCAAACUGCAAAUAUUACAGUAAAGUGCAACUUAUACUAUGAUAACAACAAAGUCGAAAUGAAAUAUAAUAUAAAAGCAAAAUAUGCAUCAUAUAAGUAAAAUCCAAAAUAAAAAGCAAAGUGCAAAAAAUACUAUGCUAAAAACAAAAAAAAUCCAAACAAAAACCGAUAAAAUGUUGCAAUUGACAUAAAAAAAUUAUAUAAUAAAAAACAGCAAAAUCAAAAGCAAGAAACCAAUGAUUUUCACAUAAAACAAAUAUGGUAAUUGGGGUCGAAGAAUCAAUAUAUCAACAUCUUUGAAUCCAUUGAUGAAAAUGUUCAUGACAAUUCGUGCAUAAAUUGCCGUUAAAAACAUAAAAGAACAGACAUAAAAGAGCAAAUCACCUGAACUUUUUCCAUCUUUAAUCAUUAUCUCUGUUUUUUUUUUUUUUUGUUUUUUUUUUUUUUUUGAAAUUUACAUCUACGAGAAUAACGAUUAGAAAAAUCAAUUUUACGAUUGUUUCUAGGAUUACAGUAUUUGUUUCGCAUAAAAAGGGAGAGAAUUUUUUUUUCUUUCAGAGAUUCAACGAUCGAGAUAAUCGCGGCCCUAUUUUUGCUAGAUGGGUUCACGGGGAAUAAAUUUGCUAUUUAUUGAUUUAAGAAUAAAAAUUUCCUAUGUUAUUUAAGGGUAUAUCAGCCAUAAUUAAUUAUAGGGGGUUCUAAUAAAAUUGGACUUAUAUACCUACAGAAUCUAGUAACGGGACCUAUAAAAAAUUACCUCAAUAUAUAAUACUACAAAAUAAAUGAAGUGGAAAAAAACCCCGAAAUGAAUUCAUAAUUAUGGAUAAAGGUGAUGCAGAUGGAUUGUAGUAAGAUUGGGCUACAAAAGUUUAUCCAGUUAUGAGCCCAAAAUAUAAAGUCAAGGCCCAAGCAAAAGAACAAUGAAGUAUUUUCUAGAACAUGUUCGAAAUUCGUUUGGCUCUCGAAAUUUCAAGAAUUUGCAAGAAUCGUCUGAUCACCCAUCUAAAUUAUAAAUACUCAUUCUCCAACCAAAUCCCCAUCGAAAACUAGAAACUCAGUUAUCUGCAAACUAUCAAAUUCUUCAUCAACAACCAAAUCAUCCAUCCAGUAUUAUUUUUUGAAGAAAUGUCUUUGAUACCAAGCUUCUUUGGCAACGGCCGCCGUAGCAACAUUUUCGAUCCAUUUUCAUUGGAUGUUUGGGACCCAUUUGAGGGCUUCCCAUUCUCCUCCGCCGUUGCCAAUCUCCCUUCCUCCGCCAGAGAAACAACCGCGGUGGCAAAUGCUCGGAUCGACUGGAAAGAGACGCCGGAGGCCCACUUGUUUAAAGUGGAUGUUCCCGGGCUGAAAAAGGAAGAAGUGAAGGUUGAGGUUGAAGAUGGCAGUAUUCUUCAGAUAAGCGGAGAGAGAAGCAAAGAGCAGGAGGAGAAGAACGACAAGUGGCAUCGCAUCGAGAGGAGCUCCGGCAAGUUCAUCCGACGAUUCAGGCUGCCGGAGAAUGCAAAAUUGGAACAGGUGAAGGCGGCGAUGGAGAAUGGGGUGCUGACUGUGACGGUGCCGAAAGAGGAGGUGAAGAAACCUGAGGUCAAGUCCAUUGAUAUCUCUGGUUAAUGUUUUAAUUUUGUAUUCCAGUAACUUUUGGUUUGGUUUGUGUGGUUGGUUGUAAUGAAUGAUGAAUAAUUGUUUUUAUGUUGGCGUAUAUUUGGUAGUACUGUAUUUCUUUUGAAUUUUGUAUUUGAGCAAGUUUUUGAAAUUGUUUUAGUACUGUAUCACUCACUAUGUAUAACAGAAAUUCCAGAACUGGUAAGUAACAAAUUACAUUUUAAACUCUUUUCACAUUAAUUCAUUUCUAUAUGUUAAAACUCUUUUUAUCAGUACCUUUUUCAGACCUAGAACAUUGUGAACAUAUUAUGGCAUGGGUAAAUAACAAAAAUCUAUCUUGUUUGAAUAACUACAACCACCUUCCUUCACUACGAAUUAUUUUAUGCAAAAACUUCCUCUUAAAUUAUUGAACUUGUAAGACAAUAUAUAAUUGAUGGUGAUUGUAAACUCUCCCUUGUAAUUUGAUUUUCCAUUAGGAGUGACGGUUUGCCCCUUUUUAUUAGUGAAUAAACACUAACUGUCUCGUGUAAUAACCAAUCGAGCAGAAGAUUUAACAAAAGAUGAAAUGAGAUUAACCAAACCGUCAAGUGCCACACACUAAGAACCACCCAAAUCAUUAAGACACCAAACUCUCUCCCUCAUUUCUUCUCACCUUCUCUUCCCACAAUCACUCUCAUAAUAGCCUCUUCAAUCUCACCUCUCUCCAUCCAACAUUUCUCCAUUUUGAUCCCUAUUUUCCAAACACCAUCCACAUACGUCGAAUUCACCAUUUGAUCGCCGAAAAAAGGCGAACAAAUCAUCGGUACUCCUUCGCAAAUACUCCCCAGCGUCGAAUUCCAUCCACUGUGCGUCCAAAAUCCACCAACUGCAAAAUGAGACAGAACUUCACAAUACAACUCCUCUCCGUAAUCGAAUCCGAAACUGGAGGUUCAUUCCCGUUGCGUUCCGGGUGUUCCAGCGAACCAUGGUCCCAAUAAUUCAUGUUUAAUUUUGUCAUUGUUAAGUAGAAAAAUUCAGAAAUAUUUAUUUAAAGCGUGCUUAUAAUUAAAUUAUAUUAUUAUUUUUUAACAUGUGGAUAAAAUAUAGGGCAAAUCCCAAUUUCCACCCCUCUUGUACCACUUUAUCCCAUUUUACUUACGAUUGCAUUGAUUUACCCCUAUGUACUGCUUAAAUUGUCCCAAUGUAGUCCGCGGCAUUAGUUUUUAGAUUUCUGACCUUGACAAUGUUUGAUCAAGGCUGGAAAAUUACAAAAAUGACCAUGGCUUCUCCCCUUUCCAUUGUGUUGUCCCUUUGCCAAACCUUCGGACCUCAGGCGUCAUCGGCCUUAGAGAUUAUGGGAUGAGCUAAAGAGAUAAAUAGGUGAGAAAUGAGAGGUCUCUAACUAGAGUUCCUUGCAAAUUGAUGCGAUUGAGAUCUACGGCUGCCACAACUGUACGUAUGGGAUUUUGUAUGAAAUCUCGAUAAAUCAAACAAAAGACACCUUUGUAAGAACAAACGCAUGAUUUGGUGACUCCGAUUGGGUCGUCUGUAGUGGCUAAUUCCAUGCCUGGAGAAUAUUUUAUGCUCUGGUCGGGAUGCAGAAUAUUUUAUGCUCUGUAGUGGCUGAUCAAGAUUGAUUUGAACGUACUGUUUAGUUCAUAUGAAAUUAGUAUUUCCAACUCAAACAACACAGUACUUUUGCAUCUUAAAAUGGUUCAAAGAUUUUCGUAUAUAUAUACUCUAAUUCUGUGCUUCUAUACAUUUUUCUUCUAUUGAUAAACCCUCAUAUUUGUCUACAAAAUGAGAACAUACAAGAAUAACUAAUUUUACAAAAUCGUGAUACUCCUAAACAUGUAUAUCGAUCAUGUUCUGCUCAAACGAGAGGUUAAAUCAAUAAAUAGAUCUUCAGUGCAAGGAAUAGUGAUCCCACCCAUCGGAUGAUGGAAUCCAAAUUCUUUUUCGGCCUGGAAUAGCAAUUCUUGAAACAAAUGAUGGUUUAAGUACGAUAAUGGAAUAACAAAUCGCUUUUUCUCGCCCUCCCCAACAUAAACAGCCAAAUGCCCUUUUGGAACUUCAACUGAUCUUCUUUCGUUGGAUAAUGACCGUCUCAAAAUUUGACGGAUUGCCAUCUUAGUUUGUGUGAAGUGAAUCUUGCUUAGCUCAAGUAAAAACGAAGAGGUAUUUGAAAUAAGUGAAAGCUGAGAAGGAUAAGAGUAUUUUGAUCAGGAGUUGUUGUUUGUAAUCAAGAAACGGUGUUGUAUAUAUAGGCUAGAAAGAAAUGAUGAAUUGUUGAGAUAUCGACAUAACACGGUCAACAUAAAUGUGGUUGCUCUAUGAAACUCGAAAAAACACACGCAUAUGAAAGCACAUGGAUUUGUCUUUAAAAAAAUGAAAUGAAUUCAAGCCAACAAGAAUUUGUGUGAUAGAAAAUGUUGUAUCCUACCAACUCUGGCAACAUGGCCCCUUAAACCAUCAUCUCAACAUCUCUAUUUAUUUCGAUAUAUCUACUAAUUAGGCCAUCUUAUCCUAAAUACCACAUUCAAUUCAAUGUGACGUUUUCUUGCUGGUGGUGUAAGUGUUAGGGAUGAUAUAUAAUUCAUUAUGUUGCUCUAAUUUAUGGACAAAACCAUGUGAUUUUUCAUGUGCUUUUGUUUCUCUAACAUCUCCAGCCACCACAUAUUCUUUGGUUUUUUCAUCACCAUUCAAUCCAGCUAAUUUGGAUAUACCAUUUACAAGUUCAUCUAUAUAUAUGUUUAUACGUCACAUAUCUAAACUCACAGCCUGCAGCCUUCAACUUCUCAUAUUUCACUUGCUUCAUAAAACUCUCAUAUACUACUUCAUUGUCUUUCAUUUUUGGCUUCACAAAAGAUUAAUUUUAACAAAGAAUCGAUGGCUAUUCACAAAAUUCUAAGGCGGUCUUUAUCGGGUGAAAAAAGAUCAACUGAAGUUCCAAAGGGACAUUUGGCUGUUUACAUCGGAGAAAGUGAAAAGAAGCGAUUUGUAAUUCCAUUAUCGUAUUUGAAUCAUCCUUCCUUUCAAGAAUUACUAUGUCAAGCUGAAGAAGAAUUCGGAUUCCACCAUCCAAUGGGUGGACUUACUAUUCCCUGCAGUGAGGAUUUAUUCGUCGAUCUAACAUCUCGCUUGAGGAGAGCAUAAUAUAUAUGCUAGGUUUUAGAGCAUAUAAAUUUUGUUAGCUAGAUUCUUUACAUAUUUUGUACACAGAGAAGAUACUUUGUCGGAUACAAAAUGUAUUCCCGCACAAAUUAAUCGUAAUACUUUAAUACAUGGAUGCCUUAUCUUCUUACAAAUUUUUAUCAGUAUUUCUAGUCCUGCCACCAUGGAUAGUUUGUACUUGUUAGAAUAUAAAGAAGACAAGUCACAGGGAAUUUCAUGCAACCACAAAAGAAUCCCAUAGGAAAGCAGCCAAAUAAUAGUUUAUAGCCGAGUUCACUCCGCGAGCAGUAAGAACAUAGUGAACUAUUUGUUCGCCGUUUGCUAAAGAAUACUGUGUUGUCGCUGUAAUUCAAGCAUCGUAAGUAUGUUUGAAACCAAAUUCAGUCAUUCUGUUUUUAACCACUGAAAAAGAAAAACAUAUUGAACUUGAAUACUCGAACUUGAGUAUUAUCUUUAAAGAUUUUAGUUAUUAUAUUGGUAAAUUUGUAGUCUUUUAUUUACUCUAAGAUUUACCUAUUGGAUAUGCUAUUGUAGCUGUAGGAAUUUUUUCAGCUAAUGAGCUAUAUUUAUCUCAGCCAUUGGAGACGGGUUUUUUUUUUUUCUCUCUGUCGACAAAUACCAUAUUUACUAAACUUGAACUUAGACCUUGCAAUUUUGUCUUGGAGAUAGUACAAAUUGAAAUUUGUGAAACCACCAUGACAAACAGCAAUAAAUCAAAUAGUUUCAUAACUUUUCACCAGUGAGGAUACUGGAAUAAUCACAUCUUCAGAAGGAAUCUGUUGGGGCUAAAUACCUAACACGCAAGUGCACGUAUCGCAAACAAGUAGUAAAAGUGGACUCGUGAGUGUCGGAUGUCGAUCCCACAGGGAAUACUCAAAUUAUCUAAUCCUAAGUACCAAAUUCUAACAAUUAUGAUUUUUAUCCAGCCUACUUAAGGUUGUGAAAUUUAAUCAACUAAAUAAUUAAACUAAUUAUAAAAACAAAUAAACACGCGAGAAUAUCAAUAAAAACGGAUCUAGGAUUUUAUCUUCCCCCUAUGCGAUAGUUCAUCACCCAAUUAAACCUCUAUCAUGUAAGUCACGAUUCCCGAUUAUUAACCCAAGACACUCAAUUACUCAUAACCCGCUGUCGCGUGUAUUAUGAGUCUAUUAUUCAUACCCGAUUCACUAUAUGUCUAUGCAAACCAAUUAUGAAUAAAACAUUAAAUAACAAGUCUCGUAAAUGGCUACCUAAGGUAUUAUCUGUAUGUCUACGAUAAUACAUGCAAUUAACACACUCAUCCGGUGAAACUACUCGAAGGUUCUUCUAUCGCUGUUCUAAUUAUUAAAACGAUCUGUCGAUUCAAUUCUAACAAUAACACAUAGCAACAAAAAUUAGCUAGAUUCAUGCACUAAAUAAGAUCAGAUAGAAGAAAUAAUCAUGGAAUUUAAACUUGCAUAAUAUUAGAAAAAUAGGUUCGAAUUACCACAUAGGGUUCAAACAAAAUCCUAGAUUAAAAACUUAGCUACUUAUGUUCUCUACGAAAAGCAUAAAAAUACGAAAAUUCAUAAAAAUCGAGAAAUAAAAAUAAAAAGGGAGAACUAUGAUGAAGAUUCGUCAAGUCUUCGUCUUCGUUGCUCCGUUCUCUUGCUCCUAGAUUGUGUGUAAAAAGAUAGAUUCCUAAUUGUGUGCUUUUUUGGCCUUUAAAUAGGGUGCAAAAAUAUAAGAGGGCGGUUUCCUUGUGUAAUUAAACUUCCUUCACUGCGCCACUUCCUGAACCCGGACGCCCGUGCGAGAAAUAGCUCUGAAACCCGGACGGCCGUCCGGUCUUUAAUUCUUCAAAGUUUUGAUUUUUUUACUUUUGGCCCAUUUUUUCUCUGAAUUUGCAGUUUUUACCCCAUAAGUUGCCAAUUCUUCAAUUUGUACCUAAAAUACAAAUAAUAACCAUUUUAAGCACCAAUUAUCGUUGAAACACACCAAAAGCUCCGAUUAAAAGGUACAAUUAAGUGUAAAAAUAUACACUUAACACACCCCAAAACUUGAACUUUUGCUUGUCCUCAAGUAAAAUCAAUUUAUGAGCACAAACCUCGACUAUACAUCUCAUUACAUAGGUCGAUUUGAUCAACUUCGCGUUUUUAGAACUUGCAAUUAUGAUGACAAUUCCUAGGUAUUCGUAAGCUUAACAUUCAACGGCACUUAGUCACUUACUAUCACCAAAAACCACAAAUCAUACAAUUGCUUCAAGUAUCCAAUAUUUGCAAAUUAAAGAUAGAAAGAAUUUAUACUUACAUGCAUAUAUUUGACUCCAAAUACUCACACAUUUAUUCUACUCAACUAAUAUUGAACAUUAAGCUAUUGGGAUCAUUGGGACUUUGUGGCUUUCAAUUGCAAGGCUCUUUAGUUCGAGGUAGGAAAUAUGGGUAUAUGUGGCUAUUGUUCUUGAAUUGAGGUGAUUACGCCGAAAUUUGAAAUAUAAGCGUUGAAAUAAUGAAAUCACCUCUAAGGACUUUAAGUCAACUCGAUUCUCAAAAGUUCAAAAGUCUCCACUUUUGCUUUUGAGGCAAUGGAUCGAGCUUUCAAAACAAUUCAACAACUAGUCCUUACUUCUCCCUUCUAUUUUCUUCUUCUUCUUUCUCUCUAUUUUUUUUUUUUUUUUCGUGGAAGAAGAAGAAGGACCUUAUAAAAAUUUUCAACCGAACUCCAAGGGGUAAUUUUUCAAGAAUCUCCAUCUAUUCUACCUUAUACACAUUGGCUAAAAGAAAGAACACCUUUUCUCCGAGGCUCAAAUCAAGGUUCUAAAGAUAAUUUCGAUAAAAAGGUCGGCUUGAAAGGCUCAAACGAUUCAAAGAAGGCCCAAAUCAUAUCCCAAAUUACUCACUACUCAAUACUUCGAAUCAUAAAUUUCCUAAGGUGAGUUUUAAAACCGAACAAAGCAUGAUUUAGCACAAAUAAAUUCCAAAUUUAAAAUACAAAACAUUCAACCAAAGCAAUCCACAAGGUGUGAUUCCUAGCAAUAAUUCACUUCUACGUUCCGUUGAAUCGAAAGCUAAAUGAAUAUCUACUCCUUAUCAACAUAAAACAAGUAAUCUCAUCAUCAAACAUUGACCAUCUCCCAUCAUCAUAAUUCAUCGAUGUGUCGAUCCAAGCAAAAAAAAAAUUUAAACUUUUUUUUUUUUUCUCAUGCCAUUUUUUUUUAAAUAAUAAAACGACAACUAAAACAAAAACUAAAACAUGCAAACUAAUAAACAAGUAAAACACAAAUUAAGCGCACAUAAAAGAAAACAAAUAGUUAACCAGCCCCAAACUUAAAAUUCACAUUGCCCUCAAUGUGAUUCGCCCGGAGUUUAAGGAUAGAAAACACCUGUUUAAGCGUCUGGACCAUCAUCGGGUUGCUCACCAACUCCACCGUGCUCAUGAGCAUCACCAUCUCCCUCAUCCUCCAAUAGCUCGGGUACCGGCUCAAGAAUCAGUGCGGACAAUGGUUCCGGUUCGGCGCACUCGGGCGUACCGCACGCCAAAUGGCGCACAAUGGCUUGGAGCAUCUUCCCCGACCACCGUUGAAGAGAUUCGAUUGUGCUCACCUUGUGCUCCACCGUGGCAAGCCGAUUUCUAGUAAUGACCAACUCUCGCUCCAUUCUUCUUUGAAAACGGCGGUCCGAACUUGUGCUUGGACCCUCGGGUGGAGCUAAUGGUUGGCUAUCGACGGGUUGCUCGCCACCGUGGAUGGGUGCCUUGAAUUGUCGGGCCGCAAGGUUACUCAUCGGCUUCCGAAUUUGUGUGAUAAUAUCCGUCGUUUUGGUUGGGACCUUCGCCUUCUUGCAUAGGCCGGUAACGAGGCAAGGGAAAUAGAACCCUUUGGAGUUGUUGAUCAUGGAGAUCCAAAAACGGUCGGAUAUGAUUUCGCCAUUAUUGAUCGGUGUGCCCUUUAAAAUGUAAUAUGCAAGAGCACACCGUUCAUGGUCCACGUGAGUCCAUGAGCGGGUGGGGAUGAGGUCGGCGCAUAUGAAAGUAAGGCAUGCCUUGCCUAUUUGGUGGAUGCAUUUCCACUCCAACUCGUAUUCCUCCUCGGUGGAGAAUUCGGACCAAAUUGGGGGCCCAUCACACAACACCUCGCCGAGUUGAUCUUUUGUUACCGCGAGUUGCAUUUGUUCCCAGUUGAAUGGCUCAUGUCGGACGUUGUAGAAGGAGUUGAUGGCCUUGGCACUCCAAUCGACCCGCUUCCCUCGAACCGUGCUCGUCUUCCUAUCCGAAGUUAGGAGAAUACGGGUGUUGGCGUAGAACUCGCGGACCAAAGAUAAGUUUAUCGACUCCGCCGGUUCCAACAAUGAUUGCCACCCUCGUCGUAGGAAUUCUUGAUGCAACGAUGCACAUUGCGGUAGGGUGACCUCAUAUGCGCGCUCCGUCACAAGUUUCUUCACUUUUUGUUUUUCAAAACGAACCUUGGCGCCUUCGACACAAAAUGCAUCGUCAUCGGGGGUUGGAAUUUGAUAGGCUUUCUUGCCCUUCCCCUUGCCUUUUGAAGUGCCUUCGCCUUGUGAGGUGCCCUCCCCGUCAUGUCCUCGUUUCCCCAUGAUGUGAGAAUGCCUUGUGGAAGGGAUUUGAAGUGAAUUGGUGUGCAAAAUUUCCCCCAAACUUGACUCGGGCAAAUCGUCGAACACCUUGUGGGCGGUCCUUGUUGAAUGGGUUUUUAGAGAAAUUUGCACCUUUCUUGAAUCCUCCCUGCACAAAUCAACAACAAUCCACCGUGUUUGAGUAUUAUAUGUGUGUAAUUGUGAAUUUUCGGUGAAAUUUGUCAAAGAAAAGGGAAAAUUUUGAAAGAAGAAGGUUAGGGUUCGAAGUGGGGAAGAGAGAGGAAUGGGAAUUGUGAAAAUUGUUGUGUAGAAAACCCUUCUUUAAUACGCACUGUUUUUAUUUCGCACGGCCGUGUGACCUCUUGCACUGUUUUUUCGGACGGCCGUGCAAAAUUCAAAAGUUGGGCAGUAGGUUGCUGUUUCUCGGACGGCCGUGCGAGAAUUCAGUGUAAAUUCCGCACGUCCGCGCCCCUUCUCGAUUUUAUACAGUAGCGUCUCCAAAUCUCGGACGGCCGUGCGAGAAUUCAGUUAUUUGUUCGCACGGCCGCGCCCCUCGCCGAUUUUAUACAGUAGCACCUCGAUAAUCUCACACGGCCGUGUGAGAUUUCUGCCUUUUUUCUUGCACGGCCGUGUGAAUAAUUGCAGAAUUUGCAAUUCAACCCCUGAAAAAUAAAAUUUUCUUAUUAGUGUGCAUGCUUUUUUUUUUUUUUUUUUUUUUUUUAUAAAUAAAAUAAAAACUAAAACUAACAAAAUAAUAAUAAGAAAAAAAUUAAAAUAAAAUAAAAUAAAAUAAAGAAAAACAAAAUCUCGGGUUCCCUCCCGAGAAGCGCUAAGUUUACAGUCUUCAGCCGGACUUUGUCUGCUUCUUUGUUCAAGCUAACGUGACCGAAGUCACUAGGCGAUUGAAUUCCCCUCCCCGGUAAUGCUUGAGGCGUUGCCCAUUGACUUUGAACGAUUUUUCGGUUUCGGGAUCCAAUAACUCGACUGCGCCGUGCGGAAAUACUUCGAGUAUAGUAAACGGUCCGGACCAUCUUGACUUGAGUUUUCCUGGAAACAACUUUAGACGGGAGUUGUGAAGGAGAACCAAUUGCCCCUUUUGAAAUUCUCGAUGCAAUAUCUUGUUAUCGUGCCAACGCUUGGUUUUUGAUUUCACGAUUCGUGACCUCGGCUUGCCCGUUCGUCUGAGGGUGGUAGGCCAAUGCGACCUUGUGCUUUACACCAUACUUGGCCAAGAGUGUUUCGAAUUGUUUAUUGCAAAAGUGAGUGCCUCCAUCACUAAUAAUUGCUCGUGGUGUUCUAAAGCGGGUGAAAAUCUGUCUUUUCAAGAAAGCACAAACCACUGCAAAAUCAUUAGUAGGAAAGGCGGCCGCCUCAACCCAUUUAGAUACAUAAUCAACAGCCACUAAGAUGUAUAGGUUAUUGAAUGAUGGGACAAAAGGCCCCAUAAAAUCUAUUCCCCAUACAUCGAAGGGCUCUACUUCGAUCAUUGUAUUUAAUGGGAGUUCGUGCCUCCUUGAAAUAUUACCAACUCGCUGGCAUCUAUCACAACUUGAAACAAAAUUAUAGCAAUCUUUAAACAAAGUUGGCCAAAAGAAACCUGAUUGAAGCACCUUUCUCGCCGUGCGCUCACCUCCAUAAUGUCCCGCAUAAUGCGAGCCAUGGCAGUGAAAAAGUAUAUCUCCUUUCUCGCUUUCCGGUACACAUCUUCGAAUGACUAAAUCGCUGCAUUGUCUAAACAAAAAGGGUUCUUCCCAGAAGUAGAAAUUCACAUCGUGUAAAAACGUUUUUCGUUGAUGAAAAGUGAGCUCAGGUGGAAGUACAUGGCUAACUAAAUAAUUCACAAAAUCCGCAUACCAUGGUACUUCUUGAUUAUCAAUAACAAGCAAUUGUUCAUUCGGAAAGUUUUCAUUAAUGCAAAUUGGAUCUUCUAAUUUCGUUUCUAGCCUAGAUAAAUGAUCGGCUACUUGGUUUUCGCUACCCUUACGAUCACGAAUUGCCAAAUCGAAUUCUUGCAACAAUAAGACCCACCUAAUAAGUCUAGGUUUUGCUUCUUUCUUUUCUAUCAAAUAUUUCAAAGCCGAGUGAUCCGUGAAGACAAUGACUUUUAUGCCUAUAAGAUAUGAUCUAAAUUUUUCGAAUGCAAAAACAACUGCUAGCAACUCUUUUUCAGUGGUGGUAUAAUAUAAUUGUGCCUCGUUUAGAGUUUUAUUAGCAUAGUAAAUUGAAUGAAAUUUUUUAUUCUUUCUUUGACCCAACACGUCACCUACCGCAAAAUCAUUAGCAUCACACAUAAGCUCAAAAGGUUCAUUCCAAUCGGGCACAACAAUAAUAGGAGCAGUUACUAACCUUGUUUUCAAGUCGUCGAAGGCUUUGAGGCAUUCGUCAUUGAAAUCAAAUUUGACGUCCUUCUCCAACAAAUUGCACAAUGGCUUGGCAACCUUGGAAAAAUCCUUGAUGAACCGCCUAUAGAAUCCCGCAUGUCCCAAAAAACUUUGAAUCCCCUUUACGGAAAUUGGUGGCGGUAAUUUCUCGAUUGUCUCGAUUUUUGCUCGAUCGACUUCUAACCCUUUCCUUGACACCUUGUGUCCUAGCAAAAUUCCUUCUUGCACCAUAAAGUGGCACUUUUCCCAGUUGUGCACCAAAUUUGUCUCUUCACACCUGCGAAGAACCUUAGCCAGUAUUUGGAGACAGGUAUCAUACGUAUCACCGAAAACAGAAAAAUCAUCCAUAAAAAUUUCAAGACCACAUUCAACCAUGUCCGUAAAAAUUGCCAUCAUACAACGUUGAAAAGUAGCAGGAGCAUUGCAUAAACCAAAAGGCAUACGUCUAAAGGCAAAAGUACCAAAAGGGCAAGUAAAAGUGGUUUUGUCUUGAUCCUCGGGAGCUAUGGCGAUUUGGUUAUAACUGGAAUACCCAUCUAAAAAGCAAUAAAAUUCUUGACAAGCUAGCCUAUCAAGCAUUUGAUCAAUAAAGGGCAAAGGGAAGUGGUCUUUUCGAGUGGCUUUAUUCAAUUUUCUACAAUCCAUGCAAAUUCGCCAACCCGUUACUGUCCUAGAAGGGAUUAAUUCAUUUUUUUCGUUUUUUAUAACAAUCAUUCCCCCCUUCUUGGGUACACAUUGUAUCGGACUAACCCACGCACUAUCGGAAAUAGAAAAAAUAAUACCUGCGUCUAACCACUUGAUGAUUUCUUUCUUCACAACUUCCUUCAUGAUGGGGUUCAAUCGCCUCUGUUGUUCCACUGAAGAUUUAUGGCUCUCCUCCAAUAUGAUCUUGUGCAUGCAAAAAGUUGGACUUAUGCCUUUGAUGUCGGCAAUUGUCCAUCCAAGUGCUAGCUUGUGCUCUCGCAAGACCUCCAAAAGUCUCUUUUCCUGUAGACCUGUCAAAGAUGAAGAAAUAAUAACAGGUAAGGUCUCAUGAGCUCCAAGAUAUAUAUAUUUUAAAUGAGAUUGUAAAACUUUAAGCUCAAGUUUCGGAGGUUCGAUCACUGAAGGCUUAAAAGUGACAGAUAACGGGAGCUCCGUUUCCAAACUUUCAAAGCGUGGUCUUGACAGCGGCUUUCCCACAUAAUUGUUCCGUCACUGCUUCUUCCUCAACUGAUGUUCCUACACUCAAAGAUGCUUCCAACGGAUCCGCAAUUAAAGGUUCAACAAAAUCAAAAUUCAAUUGAUCUAACACAUCAAAAGCAAAACAUUCAUCACCCUCUUGAGGGUGCUUCAUUGUACGGAAAACAUCAAAUUUAAUCGUUUCAUCCCCCAAAGACAUAGAUAAAAUUCCAUUAUACACAUCAAUUAUAUUUCUACCCGUUCUCAAAAAAGGUCUUCCCAAAAUCAUAUGAAUUUCUUUAUCUUCUUCCAUAUCAAGAACUACAAAAUCUGCAGGAAAGAUGAAUUUAUCUACUUUACCUAACACAUCCUCUACUAUUCCUUUUGGGUAUAUGAGUGAUCUAUCGGCUAACUGUAAAGUCACAGAUACCAAUUUUAUAUCUCCUAAUCCCAAACUUUGAAAAACUGAGAAAGGCAUGAGAUUAAUGCUCGCACCUAAAUCUAUGAGAGAUUUUGCAAAGAACUUACCUCCGAUAGCGACUGAAAUCGUAAACUUACCCGGGUCUCCAAGCUUUGGUGGAAUUGGGCGAGUAAGAAUGGCACUGCAUUGUUCGGUUAAGGCUAUCAUCUCAUGUUCACCGAAUUUCCGUUUCUUUGAUACCAUGUCUUUCAAAAAUUUCACCGAAUGAGGCAUUAGUUCAAGUGCUCGAGUAAAAGGAAUAUUAAUAUGUAAUUCACUCAAUUGCUCAAGAAAACUUUUGUAAUACGACUCAUUCUUCGCCUUUAUCUGGCGUUGAGGAUAAGGUACCUGAGGGGUCGGCUUAGGUGCAACGACCCUUUUCUCACCUGGUGGAUCUGUCAGAGUCAUAACUUCUUUUUCUCGUUGCUCUCUGUUAACCACAAAUUUUUCGAGUCUGCAAAAUAUAAUAAAAAUACAAGACAGGAAAAUAGGGAACAAAUAAUUUAUUAAUCAAAACGAUGUGGAUUACAAUCUUCGUAAUUCCCCUGAUUCUUCUCUCCUAUUCUAAUUUUGAUUCAAGGGCUUAAAAGCUUGUUCUUGAAUCGAACAUAUGAUUUCCUAUCACGAACAUCUCGAAUUUAAAUAUGUUAUGAAUUCGAGGAAUCGAAUACAUGAUUUCCUAUCACGAACACCUCGAAUUCAAAUAUGUUGUGAAUUCGAGGCGGAGGCUCGAGACGUGAGCUUGAGAGCUCGAUAUGUGUCUGUGUGAGUCUAAUUUUUAGAUGCACCAAAGAUCUUCUUUUAUAGACACAAUCUAGGGUUAGGGUUUCUCGACUUGUAGAGUGGGCCAGACAUUUAAAAGCCCAAAUAUAUUAUGGACUUUAAUCUGAGACCUAAAUUAAUAACCGAUUUAUUUUGGUUAUUAAUUAGUAAUUUAUCUCAAAAUUUCGAUGUCUACAAAUGCCCCCACUUCUAGUCUCGUCGAAGAACAUGUUGAAUAUUUGUAAGACGAGACUUGAAGUAAUCGAAUUUUCUUUCAUUUAUUGGCUUCCACACCUCUUUCCUCAACUUUGGGGUUUAAUUUGAUAAGUCCUUCACCUUGAGGGACUUAAAUGAUAAGUCCUAUUCUUUGAUAAGGGCUCAAACGCAAUUUAUUGCUUCUUGAUUUGGGGAUCUAACUAAUCCAUCCGCAGCACUUCACAAUUACUCCGACGGCCGCUCACACUUUGGUCUCAACAUCUCUCUUUGUAACUUUGAAAAUUUCUCCAUAUGCAUAUGUUUUUCACAUAUUCACGACCACACCAUGGGCGGUGGUAAUGAAGAGCGGCGCAGUAGCAUCUUUGGAUUCGCCGGAAGAGUUCAGCGCAACACCUAGACGAUGGCGAGCUUGGACUAUAGGCAGCAUCUUUGUUGUCAUCGGAGGAAUAGGUGGCGCGGCUCUUCAGUCUACGGUGAGUUUGACUGGUGGAUUUGAGCGGCCAGCGGUUUGCGGCGGCGAAAGAGGAUAUAACACCGUCGAGGGCUUCCGGCGGCAAAAAUUGAAACGGAAUUCUCCAGGCGCCGAUGUUUGUCGGCGGGCAUAUUCCGGCGGCCUCCCGGAUUUGACAUAACGGGGAGAAUUGUUGGCAAAGUCAAAUGAUCGCCAUGGCUGGCCCCUUUUUUUUUUAAUUUUUUUUUUAAAUUCAUUUAGGGACCAAGAUUGUGGAUCUGUAUUUUUUUUUCUGCUGCCAAAGAGGGGAUUUGCUGGAGAUUUUCUUCCUUCGUCAAUACUCCAAAUCUUUUGGCAACUCAAUCGGUCGAAGCAUAGUAGAUUGGAGAAGAAAUCGUGCCACGCGUCUUUGCCCCCAAGCGAAUAAAUAAAGAGUUUUACCCCUUUUUUUUCUUUUUUUUUUUUUAUUCCCGUCCGUAUUCACGAGUAGCAAUGGUUUCUUAGCCGCCAUUGGACAGUUGAAUGGACUUAAUUUUGACAUCGGAGGAAGAGAUGAGGGGCGAAGAUAGUCCCACUGGGCGUGCCAAAAUUUGUUAACCACAAAUUUUUCGAGUCUGCAAAAUAUAAUAAAAAUACAAGACAGGAAAAUAGGGAACAAAUAAUUUAUUAAUCAAAACGAUGUGGAUUACAAUCUUCGUAAUUCCCCUGAUUCUUCUCUCCUAUUCUAAUUUUGAUUCAAGGGCUUAAAAGCGUGUUCUUGAAUCGAACAUAUGAUUUCCUAUCACGAACAUCUCGAAUUUAAAUAUGUUAUGAAUUCGAGGAAUCGAAUACAUGAUUUCCUAUCACGAACACCUCGAAUUCAAAUAUGUUGUGAAUUCGAGGCGGAGGCUCGAGACGUGAGCUUGAGAGCUCGAUAUGUGUCUGUGUGAGUCUAAUUUUUAGAUGCACCAAAGAUCUUCUUUUAUAGACACAAUCUAGGGUUAGGGUUUCUCGACUUGUAGAGUGGGCCAGACAUUUAAAAGCCCAAAUAUAUUAUGGACUUUAAUCUGAGACCUAAAUUAAUAACCGAUUUAUUUUGGUUAUUAAUUAGUAAUUUAUCUCAAAAUUUCGAUGUCUACACUCUCAUCCAUCCUUGUUUGUCGCCUUCUUCGUCACUUCUUCCAGUUGUCUUCCAUUCCUCAAACUGACGACUUUGCAUUGCUCGUUGGUGCCCUUUCGAGGGUCUUCCGUAUUUGACGGUAAUGUACCGGCUGGCCUCGCGUUCAAUUGGGUUGCAAAUAUGCCCAUCUGUGUUUCCAAAUUUCGAAUGGAUGCUUGGGUGGUCGUCAUAAAUUGGGCCAAGAUAUUCGCGAGGUCUCCACCUUGAGGUGGAGCUUGAGGCGGAUUUUGGAAUCCGGGAGCUAGUCGUGAAUAAUUAGGAGGUUGGCCUUGAGGUGGUCCUUGCAUUUGCCCUUGCUGAUUUCCUCCCCACCCAAAGUUAGGGUGAUCUUUCCAUCCCGGAUUAUACGUGUUGGAGUACGGGUUCCUCUGUUGUCGGUUGGUGUCGUGCACAUAAUUUAGAGAUUCCGUUUCGUGUAUGCAUUGGUCGGGAGCUUGGACUGCAUGAACUUGCUGAGUCUGCAAAGCUGCAACUUGUUUUGAUAGCUUCUCCAAUUGGGCAGUGAUUGCGGUGACCCCGUCCAAUUCCAAAAUUCCUCCCGUCUUGACUGCUCCGCUAUUCGACCGGUCUGAUGCCCGCAUGUAUUUAUUUCUAGCGAUUCGUUCCAAGAUUUCGUAUGCUUCGUCGUAGGUCAAACUCAUGAACAUACCUCCAGCUGCAGAGUCGAGCACGGUUCUCGAGUUGUCUUGCAGUCCAUCGUAAAAUAUUUGCAGUUGGCGCCACUCUUGAAGUUCGUGAUUCGGGCACCUCCUUAUUAGCUGCUUGAACCGCUCCCACGUCUCGAAUAAUGCUUCAACGGCUUCUUGUAUGAAGUUUUGAAUUUCCCUCCGGAUUCUCUCAGUUUUUGUUGGGGAGUUGUAUGUGUUUAUGAAAAGUUGUGCUAGCUGGGACCAAGACGAGAUGGAGUGCGGCGCUCGAGUUUGGAGCCAUUCCCGGGCUGCUCCUUGUAAAGAGUGCUUGAACAGGCGGAGUUGCAGUGCUUCGGGUGAUACUCCGUUCAUCUUGUGCGAAUCACACGUUUCGAGAAAGUUGACCAAGUGGAGAUGGGGAUCUCCAUGAGCCAAUCCGCUGAAUAACCCAUUGUUUUGGAGCAUAGUGAGGAGUCCCGCUCGAAUUUCGAAAUUGUUGGCUUCAAUGGGGGGCUGCUGGAUGCUUGAUUGAAACCCAUUGAGUGUUGGAACGGUGUACUCAUGUAAUGCUCGUUGACGAGGUGGUGGAUUAAUUAGUUGGCGUUGCUCUUGCUCAUUGACGAUUUUCCCCACCGCAUUCGGUAGGCGCCCUUGGUCAUCUCCCCUACGAUUAAUCUCUUCUUCCAUCGUUGCGGGAGCGUUUUGAGCUAACCGUUGAUUUCUCCUAGCUUGCCUAAACGUUCGCUCAAUUUCGGGAUCAAGAGGUAGCAAGUUCGUGUCGUGUCCUCUUCGCAUAAAAAGUACCUAAAUCAAAAUAAUAAUAAUAAAAUAAUUAAAUAAAAUAAAUAAAACGGCUGAAGUAAGAAAAAUUGCUCGAAUUUAAUAUUAGGAUAAAUAAAUAAUUUAGCCGUACUCCCCGGCAACGGCGCCAAAAACUUGUUGGGGCUAAAUACCUAACACGCAAGUUCACGUAUCGCAAACAAGUAGUAAAAGUGGACUCGUGAGAGUCGGAUGUCCAUCCCACAGGGAAUACUCAAAUUAUCUAAUCCUAAGUACCAAAUUCUAACAAUUAUGAUUUUUAUCCAGCCUACGCAAGGUUGUGAAAUUUAAUCAACUAAAUAAUUAAACUAAUUAUUAAAUCAAAUAAACACGCGAGAAUAUCAAUAAAAACGGAUCUAGGAUUUUAUCUUCCCCCUAUGCGAUAGUUCAUCACCCAAUUAAACCUCUAUCAUGUAAGUCACGAUUCCCGAUUAUUAACCCAAGACACUCAAUUACUCAUAACCCGCUGUCGCGUGUAUUAUGAGUCUAUUAUUCAUACCCGAUUCACUAUAUGUCUAUGAAAACCAAUUAUGAAUAAAACAUUAAAUAACAAGUCUCGUAAAUGGCUACCUAAGGUAUUAUCUGUAUGUCUACGAUAAUACAUGCAAUUAACACACUCAUCCGGUGAAACUACUCGAAGGUUCUUCUAUCCCUAUUCUAAUUAUUAAAACGAUCUGUCGAUUCAAUUCUAACAAUAACACAUAGCAAAAUAAAUUAGCUAGAUUCAUGCACUAAAUAAAAUUAGAUAGAAGAAAUAAUCAUGGAAUUUAAACUUGCAUAAUAUUAGAAAAAUAGGUUCGAAUUACCACAUAGGGUUCAAACAAAAUCCUAGAUUAAAAACUUAGCUACUUAUGUUCUCUACGAAAAGCAUAAAAAUACGAAAAUUCAUAAAAAUCGAGAAAUAAAAGUAAAAAGGGAGAACUAUGAUGAAGAUUCGUCAAGUCUUCGUCUUCAUUGCUCCGUUCUCUUGCUCCUAGAUUGCGUGUAAAAAGAUAGAUUCCUAAUUGUGUGCUUUUUUUGCCUUUAAAUAGGGUGCAAAAAUAUAAGAGGGCGGUUUCCUUGUGUAAUUAAACUUCCUUCACUGCGCCACUUCGUGAACCCGGACGCCCGUGCGAGAAAUAGCUCUGAAACCCGGACGGCCGUCCGGUCUGUAAUUCUUCAAAGUUUUGAUUUUUUUACUUUUGGCCCACUUUUUCUCCGAAUUUGCAGUUUUUACCCCAUAAGUUGUCAAUUCUUCAAUUUGUACCUAAAAUACAAAUAAUAACCAUUUUAAGCACCAAUUAUCGUUGAAACACACCAAAAGCUCCAUUAAAAGGUACAAUUAAGUGUAAAAAUAUACACUUAACAGAAUCCAAGAUGAACAGUUUCCACCAAUCGCAAUGCAUGGAUCGACUUCACUAGGAGUGCUGACGUCAGCAUUACUCAGAACUUAAUUGGGGUUAGUUAUAGCUUGAAUGAGCUUGUAACAAGUCAUGUAACCGAAUCAGAGAUUCUUCAAUGUAUUCGUUUUGUAUUUAAAUAGAUAGAUUAUAAAGCUUGGUAGAAUAUUUUUCGUUUUCUCUUCCAAAGCCUUUAGCCAUUGUUGUUCGAUGGAUAAAUCUCGAAGCUUUAUUUAUUCUUCCAAUGUCUUUGAUCUGUAGAUUCUAAUAUGGUGUCAAUUGAUUAGUUUCUUUUCUUUGGAUUCAAUUUCUUUUCCGUUAGCAUCUAGUUUCUAGAAAACUUAGUACAUGAUAGCCAAGCCUUCAUUUUGAAUUCUGAGGAAAAAAAAAAAAAAAACUAGUGUUGCAAAAACAUGCCCGUACUCUCAUUGAUGGGAGGCAAUGGCUUUUUGCUUGGCGAAGUGAAAACGCGCCACAGAUACGACAAGAGAGAGAGAGAGAGAGAGAGAGAGAGAGAGAGAGAGAGAGAGAGAGAGAGAGAGAGAGAGAGAGAGAGAGAGAGAGAGAGAGAGAGAGAGAGAGAGAGAGAGAGAGAGAGAGAGAGAGAGAGAGAGAGAGAGAGUUCAUAAACUCUGUUGCAAAUGGUAUUGAUCCUGCAAUCAUGAUGCGAGAAAAAAAUUAACUAGUCUAUGUUCCUUAGGGUGCAUUUGGAUGUGACGAUUAAUUGAGGAGGUAUUUCAAAUCCAUAACAACAAACUCAUUGUACUUGUUUGGACAUAGAGAUUCAUUGUGGAUUUCAAAUCCACAGUUCUCAUUUUUAUUUUUUUAUUUUUAGCAAUUGUGGUGAAUUUCAAACCCCUUCCUAAUUAUAAUCGUUUCAAAUCUUCCCCAAUUGAAUUGAUUUAAAACCAUUCAUUUCAAAUACCUCAAUCUAAACACAGCCUUAAUGAAAUUUGGUCUACCCUUAUAAGCAUGAAUAUAGUUCAAAGAUGCUUGUCUACUUCAACUCAUUCAUCAUUCAACAACAAACUAAAAAGAGAAUGGAGUUCAUAAAAUCCCAUUCAUAAUUAACUUCUUAAGUUGUUAAAAACAAGGAAAAUAGUACAAAGGACCAUAAUGCGCCAAAAACUAGUUAUGUUGGAUUCAUAAAUAUGUUUUACCGUUGUUGUGUUGAGCAUUAGAACAUUGUUAAUGAUGCUUCCGCUUCCUCCACCCUCCAGUAAAACUUCUUUGGUUGGUCAACAACAAAAGAAAAAUGAGAGAAAAUUCAUAAACUUUAUUGAUCAUGAAACCUAUGAUUUCACAAACAUGGUGCAAGAAAAAAGUUUACUUUGUUAGAAAACUGGUUUAACCACUAUGCCGCUGACGAAUAAGAAUAUUGUUCGAGAUGCUUCUCUAGUGCAUCUAGAUAUGAGGUUCCGAGGAAAAACCUCAAAAAAAAAAAAAGACUUCUUACGCGACAACUGUCAACAAAAAAUAAAUAAUAAUAAAUAAAAAAGAAGAAAAAUAAAAAAGAAAGAGGCAAAAUGAACUACGCUCAUAAUUAACUUUAAUAGUUAUUAAAAUAAGAAAGUUAGUGAAUUUAGAAACAAUAAAUGUGCAAAAUGCUACAAAUUUGUGGCCGUAAAGGUUUAUAAAUAACAAUAUUAUGUUCUACAUUUAAAGAUCAAAGACAUAUUCGUUUCGUAGUUUGCUUACAAACUCUCUAUCUCUACCAUCUCUACGUACCAACUUUAAAAGCAUGAAUGUUUUUUGUUUCUUAACAUUUUUUGUACUUCCUAUUAUGCCCCUUCUAACAAAGUUAUACCAUCAACUAGUUGGGGUACUCAAUUGUGUAAACAAAAAAAUGAACAUAGCUUAAUAAUGUAGUUUAAAUAUCAAAUGUCUUUUCACGUGCUAUAUUUAUAUGAAGGUGAGAGUUUAUUUUCUUCUUAUUGUAAGUUUUUCUACAUAUAGAUAUUUUCGAUGUAAUUUAAUUUUGUAUAAAAUUACAUUUGGACAACUUUCCAUUGAUAUAUUAUAAGCAUACAUUUACAUAUGUAAAAAUUUAUUUUAAAAUAAAUCAUUUUAUUUUAGGGACAAUUACAAAUAGGCCUAUUAUGAGCUACUUAUUCAUAAAUGGGCCAAGACAAAAAUAUAUUUUACAAAAAAAUCCAGACAAUGUCCAAAGGUGCAUAAAAUACUAAAAUACCCCCUUAAAUUUUAAUAUGCUCCAAUUUCAUCAUUUAAUUCAAUUUAAACUCAAUUUAACCCCAAAUUUCAUCAAUUAUUCAAACUAACCCAAUUUUGACUACAGUUUCGCCAGUCGUCGCCGUUGACCGGCGUUGGUUAUUUAUUUUUUUUUUCACCUUUUCCACUGGUUUUCAGCGUUGCUUUUUUUGAUUUUUUUCUUCUUUCUGCCGCGUCUGACAGGCGUGGCCUUAACUUUUUUUUUAAACUUUUUUUUCUUUAACAUUUUUUGAUCUGUUUAAACAGUGAUACUGCUAUGGUUGAGAGACAUAUUAACUAUAUUACUACUUAACAUAAUAAUAUUAACUAUAUUACAAUUUAACACAGUAAUAUUGUUAUAUUACUCUGUAGCACAGUAAUAUUAACACAACAAAAAUCAUUAUUAUUGUGUAAUAGAGUAAUAUUAAUUUGUUGACCUUCAACAAAUGCAAACAUAAUAGAAGGUCAAAAGAAUUAAUAUUGAUGUGGUUGACAGUAAUAUUACUGUCAACUACAGUAAUAUUACUGUAACGAAAGUAAUAUUAUUAUCAACCACAGUAAUAUUAUUGUGUUUACAGUAAUAUUACAAUUGAAGACAACAAUAGUAUUACGUUAAUCGGUCAACAAAUCAAACAAAAUAAAAAGGCCAAAAAAAUUAAUAUUGAUGUGGUUGACAGUAAUAUUAUUACGUUGACUGGUCAACAAAUCAAACAAGAUACAAAAGCCAAAAGAACAAUAAUAUUUAUGUGGUUGACAGUAAUAUUAUUGUGUUACCAGUAAUUGUCCUAUCAACGACAAUACAAUUACUAUCAACAACAGUUCAAUUACUGUCAAUGAAAGUAUAAUUACGGUCAAAACAAAUAAAAACUUUAGGAAAAAAAUAAAAAAAAAGUCAACACAGGAAAUCGGCAGCAGAAAAAGCAGGCAUGAGAAAAAAAAACUCAACGCCAGGAAUCGGUGGCAAAAAAAAAAAUCAGAAAGAAAAAAAUUUAAAAAAGAAAAGGUCAAAAUUGAAUUUUUGUGGUCAAAAUUAAUGAAAAUGAAGUUAAACUGGGGUUACACUUAUGAAUUGAGUUUAAAGGGUUGGGGGUAAUGUUGUUAUAUAUUAAAUUUUACCUUUAUUUAUAAUACAUGUUAUAUGAACACAGAGAUGGUUGGUGAGGGACUUAUGCAUAAAAUGUAAUGAACACAGAGAUGGUUGGGAAGGGACUUAUGCAUAAAAGUAGACACGACCACGGACCGAGUUUGACCCGGAUCCGAUGACCGCCCAGCCCCUCCAAUGUAUGGUAUGCAUAAAAGUAGACACGGCCACGGACCGGGUUUGACCCGGACCUGAUGACCGCCCAGCCCCUCCAAUGUAUGGGUCGGUUUCGGGUCCCGAGACCCGACGAGUCCACGCAUGAGACCCGGCCCGAGGACCCGACCCGGGACCUGGGUAUUAACUGUAGCAUUUUUGUCCAAAAACCGCUCGGCAAGGGGUUCGAACUCGGGGAAGAUUGGUAAGAAUCUUACCUAUCGGCCAACCAACAUGUUUGAUUAAAAGCAAACAAUAUAAUAUAAAAAGCCGGUGUAAAAUGAUAAAAUGACUUAUAAAUAUGUUUAAUAAAUUAUUAAUUUUUAUAUUUAUUAGGGCAAAGUUGCACCCCUAGACUAUGACGGUUGUACCACUUUGCCCCUCUAUACUAUAAAACGUCUCAAAUACCCCUCUCCGUUUAACUUCUCUUUGUGAAAGCUAAUGUGGCACUUUGACUUUAUUGCUUAUAGCCCUUUUUUGUACCAUUGGAUAUUUUCUGAUGAUUUUACCCCUUCAUUCAAGUAUAUAUAGGUGUGUGUGUGUGUGUGUGUGUGUUGAAGUCCUUUUCACGAGCUCAAGUUUUCCUAUUUUUUUGAUAAAUUGCUGCAUUUUUUGGUCAAGUCUUUUUGCUCCAUCUUUUGUGAAGUCUGAAUCAUAUAAUGUGCCUCCAUGAUGAAAUCUUAUGGUCUAAAAUUGAUCAAACAUGUGUUUUCUGCACAAAAAUCAACAAAACUGAAAUUGUAAAAAACAAUACCAAAAUAAAAUACCUACAAUUACAAAAUCAAUCCUAAAAAUGAAAAUUUUCCCAAAAAAUAAACACAGUUGUAAAAAUCAAGUAAACCCUAAGUUCACUUCACUCACAAUUUCUUAUCAAAAUCGACAAAUACAUCAACUAUUAUACAAUUACUAAGUUUCACACAGCAAACCCUCAAUCAAAAUUCAACCCCUAAACCCUUAAACAAAAUUACAAACAAAGACGAGAAAAACCCUAGAAAUACGACUAACCUUUGCCACGGUCUUCAAAUGUCUUCUAUCAGAAUUUUCGUCGGUUAAUUAGCUACCAAAUGUUCGAUGAUGAUUGAUUUUUAGACGAUGGCGAGAUUCUAAGAAGAACAAAUCACUUUUUUUUUCCAAAGUUGUUUUCUGCAUUGUUUUGGUGUUCUCGUGAGUGAAGUUGUGAGAUAGUGGAGAAGAAAAGGUGAGUCAACAUACUAUUUUACACUGAUAAAGGUAGAUAAGUAAUUGCACCUUCAAACUAGCGUUGUUAAUAAUUUAACGUUUGACCACAAAUAAGAGGGAGGUAUUUGAGACGUUUUAUAGUAUGGGGGGCAAAGUGGUAUAACCCUCAUAGUUUAGGGGUGUAAACAGUACUUUGUCCUAUUAAUUACUAUUAUUUUUUUUAAUUAAAUUAUUAACAAAAUGCAAUACCUUUCAUAUUUAUCAUAAAAUAAUUAUUUAAAAAUAUAGAUGAUGUUUAUUUUAACAAAAAUAGAUUAUAUCUCAUUCCAAUUAAUUUUCUUACUUUAAAAAUAAAACUAUAUAUGACGAGUAUAAUCAAAAUAUUAUGAUGUCAUUUCUCUUUUUAAUAAGUGGUUUAAUUUGUAAAAAUUGUAAGAAUUAAAUCGUAGAUCAUAUGAUGUAAUCAAUUUUUUUUUUACAUUUUAUUCAAAUAUUAGAAUGGAAUUGUAAGAUUUAAAUGGAUUAAGCUCAAGUCCUUUCAAUUUAUUUUAAAUUUUUAUUAUAUUAUAUUUGUUAAUAAUUUAAUUAAAAUUGUAUAAUAAUAAUGAAUGUGAUAAUUAAUAAUCUAUUUAACAUUAUUUAUUAUAAUUAUUUUACACUUUUUGUUUAUAUAAUAUAUAUUUCUUGCCUGGAUUGCCAUUUAUGUUUGAGGAACCCAAGUUCGAAUCCUAUCCUAAGCAUUUUGAACAAAAUUUAAAAAUCCGCUUUGGACCCGGACCCGACUCACCACGGGUCGGUUUCGGGUCUCCAAAAUGUUGGACCCGGACCUGGACCCGACCCGUGGUCGUGUCUACAUAAAAGGCCAUUUAUUGUAAAUUAAGUAUUAGAUACCUACCUAAAAUAGCUCCAAAUUUUAAGUAUGAAAAUAUAAUAAUGUAAACUCAAACUAAUUAUUAUUUAUAAUAUGCUAUAUUAAAAGUAUGAUAAUCUUUUCAUAUAUUAUAAUUUAUUUCGAAAGUUGAAGUUUAUUUACUUACAAAUUCCACAAAUAUGAAAAUUUAAACUCAAACUAAUUAUUAUUUAUAUUAUGCUAUAUUAAAAGUACGAUAAUCUUUUCAUAUAUUAUAAUUUAUUUCGAAACUUGAAGUUUAUUUUCUUAUAUUCUUAAAUAAAAUGUAUUUCAUGUAAAACUCAUAAUAUUGUUUUUCAGUGACAUAUCAUAAACAUGUAAGUGAACGUUAUCAGGUUAAUUUGGAUUAUUUAGAAAUAACAAAUUAAAAUUAAAAAUAAACAUUGAUAACCAAAAUAUAAGAAAUAUGUCCAGAAAUAAGAUAAAAUAGUUGUGAAUAACUAAGAUUGAUUUUAAAAUAUUGAGAUAAAAUAAAUUCUUAAAUUUUAUUUACUAUCGUUAUUUAUGCAUUUUAUUAGUGAAAGUAAUAAUAUGAUUUAACCAUAGUCAAUUAUAUAAAAAAAACCAUAAAAACAUAAUAAGUAAAUACAUGAUAGUGUAUGUUACUUAUUUUUUAGUAAUAUAAUUUUUAUGUCAAGGACCUGUUAGUAUACUAUAAAUUAUGUUAAACGUUGUUUAACAAUAGUAAAUUAUGUUAAAAGUUGUUUUUUUUUUUUCAUGGUUAUCGUAAUUAUGUUUAUACAAUAAAUUUCAACAUUCUUUUUCUUUAGAGUUACAUUUCAAGAGCUUUCCAAUGAUCUUAAUAUUAUAAGCAUAUAUAUGUAAAAAUUUAUUUAAAAUAAAUCAUCUUGUUUUAAGUUAACCACUAGAUACCUAAAGUAGUUUCAAAUUUUAAAUUAAUUCUAAUUUAAUUUGUAUUACUCAAACUAAUUACUAUUUCCUAAUACCAGUAAUAAUAGUUAUAUUUUGUUAUAUGAAAAGUAUGAUCAUCCUUUAAUAUAUUAUAAUUUUUUUGAGAAGUCAAAGUUUAUUGUCUUAAAUUUAUAAAGAAAAUUUAUUACAUAUAAAACUCAAAAUAGAGUUUUUCAAUGAUAUAUUAUAAAGAUGCAAGUGAAGGUUCAUGUAAAAAAAAGGUUUAGCUGGCUAUUAGAAACUUAAUGUACUUUUGAUUUUCAAAUUGGUGAACUUUUCAUUGUAGAUGUCAAGUUAAUUAAGGAAUAUUUAAAAAUAAUAAAAUAAAAUUAAAAAAAUACUCAUAUGUAAGAAAUAUGUCUAAAAAAAAUAGUGGUGAAUGAUUAAGAUUGAUUUUAAAUAUCGAGGUUAAAUAAAUUCUUAAAUUUUAUUUACUAUUUUUAUUUAUGCAUUUUAUUAGUGUAAGUGAUAACAUGGUUUUUGUUUUUCAUGAUUUAACUAUAGUCAAUUAUGUAAAAAAAUAAAAAAAAAAUUAAAAUAUAAUCCGUAAAUAACUAAUAAUGUAUAUUACCUAUAUUUUUAGUAACAUAAUUUUUAAAUUGAGGGCUACACGUUUAAUGUACUUUUAAUCUUUAGAUGUAAUAAUUAGCCUUAUUAUAUAAUUCUCUGUCAUGUAUUCGAUAUCGUUUUGGAUCGCUGCACGCAUAUUCAGAAACUCAAUAUAUAUGCAUAGAUCAUACCAAAAAUAACAUAAUAAAUACUAAAAUAGCCUUGUCAUUAAUUAUUUUUAAAUUAACUAAUUAAGAGUGGUAAGGGGCAAAAUUGAUAAAAAAAAUGUAAUUAAUACUUUAUUGGAACUCUAAAAUGACAAAAUAAUUUGAGACAUAAAAACACCCCAAAAAGACAAAUUAUAUGAGAGAGCGGGAGUACUUCAUAAUUAGUCUUAUUGUUUACUUAAGUAUAUUUUAUAAAUGAGUUUAUUAGGGAUAACCCCCUUGUUCAUAUUUUCUAAUGAGGUAGAUCCAAUUUUUUUUCCCCUUUUUGAGAUAGACCCAAUUUUGCCAACUUGGCAAAAUAUAUUAUAUAAUUUGCCUUUAAUACCCUUGUUUUAUUUUUAAAAGGCAUUUAUUUCCUUUACUACGUGAUUUGAGAUUUGCUGAUACGUUGCCUAAAAUCACGGAAUAAAAUUACGUGAGAUCAUUGGCCGUUAUAUCAAAUCGUGUACAAUAUUUUUCGAAGGUUCUCUUCAGCGUUCCAGAGGUUUUUUAUCGUCUUUGACGAUUUCUGCACCGUCGUUGAAAUAGGAUCGAAUUUGAGUGUUCGUUGUUGGACGUUGUUAACCGGGUAUGAAUGCGUUAUUCGUUUUUAUUUUUCGCUCAAUGUCUAGGAUUGUCGAUUACGGUGGUUAGAAAUUGUUAAGAGUUGUGUUGAUACUUGAUUCUAUUAAGUAGAACGUUUUUUUAACAAAAUUAUUCCGUCAUAUAUACAUCGUUAUUUUUUGGCGGAUGAUUUUUGUUUGGAAGAGGAUUGACAGAGUUAGAUGAGGAUGGUUCACGUAUAUCGGACCAGAGUUGUUUUAUAUGAACAUCGUAGUUGGUUUACGCAUUAAUUGAAAUAAUUGUCCGCCGUCGUGGAGUUCAUGAGUCUGAUCCCGGUCGAUAGUUGGUUUAUUUGUUUAUAACAGCCGAUUUAAGUGUGCUGGGUAGUACAUUAAAAUAUAGUUCGUAGUCUUUUUUAAAUUAGCGUAUGGAUUUUGCAUUUAAAGUUUAUUUUUGAUGAUAUUAAUGUAUUGUCAUUCAUAUGUAUUUGCAGUCUAUUUAAUCAUUUUUUAGUAUUCUGCAUUUUUAAUUUUGUUUCAUGAUUAUAGGUUUUUUCGAUGGCGAAUUUCGUACGGAUGUUGUUGAGGUUUGGUGGGUUGGUUGCUAUAAAGAGGUGUUUACGAUGUAAUGGCUCGGUAACUUCGGUUAAGUUUUAAACCGUUGUAAUACAGUAGUAUACUAUUAUGAAUACCGUAUGAUACUACCAUUAUCAUUUUAUUAUACUAUUAUGAGAUUAUUAAUGUACUAGAGUUUUUUAAGUCGACAUAUUGGUUUGAUUGUGUUAUGAUGUGUUUUAUGUAUUUUAUCAAAACCCUAGAUUGAAAUUAUGAGAUUAUUAAUGUACUAUUUUAUUGGUUAUGUUGGAAUACUUUACGUUGGUGUUGUUCUCAAUGUUCUUGUCAUUUCAGUGGUAUAUUGUUUGUAACACAAUUCAUAUCACUAUUAUAACCGUAAUAUACUAUCAUAGCAGAUCAAUGUACUAUAUGAAAUUAUUAAUAUACUAUGUGGUUGAAUAAUACGNNNNNNNNNNNNNNNNNNNNNNNNNNNNNNNNNNNNNNNNNNNNNNNNNNNNNNNNNNNNNNNNNNNNNNNNNNNNNNNNNNNNNNNNNNNNNNNNNNNNUAUACUAUGUGGUUGAAUAAUACGGGAUCCAUAGUCGAUUAACGAGAUCCAUAGUCGAAUUAGAUCAAUAAGAUAGUCUAUUACAUGAUAUAAGGAAAAUUACCCUAAUUGAUUAGUAUUCCAAACAAACAUAUUAUUCAGUUUCCAUAUGUAUUAUUAUUUUUUCAUAUAUAUUAUUAUUUACCUUAAUCGUUUUCAUAUAAUAAGGAAAAUUACCCUAAUUGAUUAGUAUUUCAAACAAACAUAUUAUUCAGUUUCCAUAUAUAUUAUUAUUUUUCCAAUAGUCAAUUAACUAAACCCAUAGUCGAAUUAGGUACAUGGGAUAGUCUAUUAAAAGAUAUGAGAUAGUCUAUUAAUUUUAAAACACAAAUCCGCCGCCGUCACUUCUCAAAUCUAGGGUUUUGAUGAUUCUUCGGCACAUAGUCGAUUAACGAGAUCCAUAGUAAAAUUAUACCAGUGGGAUAGUCUUUUAAAUGAUAUGGGAUAGUAUAUUAAUACAGAUGUAAUUCGACUAUGCAUCUCGUUAAUCAACUAUGGGCCGAAAAAUUAUCAAAACCCUAGAUUUGAGUAAUCCUAGAUUUGAGUAACCCUAGACUGGAGCAGUGACGGCGACGGCGACGGCGGCGGCCAAAGACGAUAUCACUUCUGGUGGAUGUUCUGCCCAUCAAUUGUUGCAAUAUCACUGAUUAAGUGCUCGAAUUCGGUAUGCGAUUAUAACAGCUCUGCAAUUACACAAACGUAAUAGUCGAUUUAGCCAAAACAUAUCAACAAAUCGAUGGAUGAUAGCGAUUCAGCGAGUGGCGAUGACGUACCUACGACAGCUUGCUCGGAGUGCACGAAAAUCGUCGUUUCACGGCAGUGCAGACGUCUUCCCCUUUCAAUCGGCCGUACCGGAAAGUUGUUCUGGGAGGUUUUGCAGUUUAUUCGAUAGUGGAUUUGGGAUGAUAGUGAUUUAACGGAAAAAUAGGAAGGGAUUUGAUUUUAUUUCAAAAGGUAAAGUAACGGGUUUUGUGGGAUUUGAUUGAGGGUAAUUAUGUAAUUAGGAAAAAUUUGGGCUGUUAUAAAAAUGGCAAAUAUAAAUUUGGGUCUACCCCUAUUAUUUGAAUGUUUAAGGGGGUUAUAUCUAAUAGACCCUUUAUAAAUAUUAUAAUGUAACUCAAAUAUCAAUAUUAAUAAAAGAAUUUAUGAAAAUAAAAAUAAAAAUGAAAUAAUAGACGUGGAUGAUUAAAACUAUUUCAAAAUUUGAGGUCAAAUAAAAAAAAUACAAGGGUGUAUACGUAGAAUUAACCGAAGGAAGGUCAACAUAGUUUACUCAACAUUUGGUCAGAGGUAAAAAUAUAAUCUAAGAAAAGUAACUGAUCAAAUGAGUUAAAUCUUUGCUACUAUUCAAAUUCAAGGGAGAUAUGCAUUUCUCAAAUUAGAUGCAGUCUAAUUGUAAUUACACCAAAUAUCAGGGCCUUGAUGUAGUAAAUUGCACUUUCUUUAAGGAAAUUAUUGGUAAAUUUAACCACAGUGAUCAUAACAUACGAGUAACACGAAAAAAUACUUAAUUGUUUCAAACAAUAAUUAUGCAGAGAAAUUUAAGAUAAUAAAAUUAGCAUCUAUCACAACAAAAUAAGAGAAAUUUUAGUGUGAGAAUGAAUUAAUAUAUAACAAUUUAUUUUAGCUAUUUUAUUGUGGUUUUAAAUUCUUAUUAAUAUCAAAUUGCACUUUCUUUAAGGAAAUUAUUGGUAAAUUUAACCACAGUGAUCAUAACAUACGAGUAACAUGAAAAAAUACUUAAUUGUUUCAAACAAUAAUUAUGCAGAGAAAUUUAAGAUAAUAAAAUUAGCAUCUAUCACAACAAAAUAAGAGAAAUUUUAGUGUGAGCAUGAAUUAGUAUAUAACAAUUUAUUUUAGCUAUUUUAUUGUGGUUUUAAAUUCUUAUUAAUAUCAAAUUUGGACUAAUUUUAUUUCAUCAUACGUAUUGAUACAUAAGGAGAACAUGAAGUUUUGUACUUAUUUAAUUUUAUUUAAAAAUAUCUUUUGUUGUUAAAUAUAGUAUGAAACUUUUAUUUAUUAAUAAUAAGUCAUAUAUGUUAAGUAAAAUUAUAUAUAAUCACGUGCAACACACAUGGUGCUUGCUAGUUCCUAUAAAAACUCUAAAUAAGUAUAUUCAAACAUGGUCAUAGUGUUAAGGCUCCCAAAUUCAAUCAAAUCAAAAGUAAAAUGACCCUCUAUAUACACUUAAAUCUUAAUCCUUCAAUGACAUAUAUGACUAAACAUUCAGUAAAAAGAAAACCAAAAAUACUUGAUUCAAUGCAAAUUAUUCAUCAUUCAAAAACAAACUUGUACAUAUCAAUCACCAUUCAACAACAAACUGAAAAGAGAAGAGAAAAUUCAUAAAAUCACAUUCAUAAUUAACUUCUGAAGUUGUUACCAACAAGAAAAAUAGUGCAUUAAAAACAAAGGACAAUACUGCAUCAAAAACUAGUUAUGUUUUGAUCAUAGAUAACUGGUACCAAAGAGGGCUAUAAACUUGCCAAAGAAAGGUGCUCAAUAUAAUUCAUUUUACCGUUGUUGUGUCGCUCCCAAUAACAUUGUUGAAGAUUGAAGCUUCUGCUCCCUCCACCCUCCAGUAAAACUUCUUUAGUUGGUCAACUACAAAAGAAAAAUGAGAGUAAAUUCAUAAACUUUGUUCAUCACGAAACCUAUGAUAUGACAAACAUGGUGCAAGAAAAAAAUUUACUUUGUUAGAAAAUUGGUUUAACCUGUAUGUCUCUGACGAAUAAGAAUAUUGUUCGAGAUGCUUUUGUAGUGAAUUUACAUAUGUCUCCCAUCUUCUAUUCUUCGGGAGACAACCAACUCAAUACUAGCCCUUCCCAAGGUGAAAAUGGGGUUCCGGGGGCAAAACUCAAAGAAAAGAUAGACCUCUUACUCGACAAUUGCCGACAAAAAAUAAAUAAUAAUGAAUAAAAAAAGAAAAAUAAAAGAGAGAGACAAAAUGAACUACACUCAUAAUUAACUCUAAUAGUUGUUUAAAUACAAAAAUAAGUGAAUUUAGAAACAAUGUACGUGCAAAAGGCUACACAUUUAUGGCUGCCAAUGUUUAUAAAUAACAAAAUUUUGUUCGACAUAUAAAGAUCAAACAAAUACUAGUUUGGCAGUUUGCUUACAUACUUCCUAGAAAAACUCCAAAUAAAUAUAUUCAAACCUGAUCAUAGGGUUAAAAAAAAUGAUAUUCCUCGCUAUCACUCUUUGCCCCACAAAUUGACUCCCAACUUCAAUCAAAUCAAAAGUAAAAUGACCUUCUAUAUGCACUUAAAUAUUAUUCCUUCAGUGACAUAUAGGACUAAACAUUAAACAAAAAAAAAAAAAAACCAAACAAAUACUAGAUUCAGUGCAAAUUGUUCAUCAUUCAAGAACAAACUAGUGCAAAUAAUUCAUCAUUCAAUAACAAACUUAAAAGAGAAGAGAGAAAGAGAGUUCAUAAACUCCCAUUCAUAAUUAACUUCUAAAGUUGUUAACGACAACAAAAAUAUUGCAUUAAAAACAAAGGGCAAUAGUGCAACAAAAACUAUUUAUUAUUCCAACCCUAGAUAACUUGUACCAAAGAGGGCUUUAAACUUGUCAAAAAAAAAAAAAAAGGUGCUCAAGAAAAUUUAUUUUACCGUUGUUGUGUCGCUCACAAAAACAUUGUUCAAGAUCGAUGCUCCUGCUCCCUUCACCCCUUCACCCUCCAGUAAAACAUCUUUGGUUGGUCAAGUACCAAAGAAAAAUAAGAGGAAAUUCAUAAACCUUGUUCAUCACGAAACCCAUGAUUAUACAAACAUGGUGCAAGAAAAAAAGUGCACUUGGUUAGACAACUUGUUUAACCAAUAUGCAUUUGACGAAUAAGAAUAUUGUUCGAGUUGCUUAUCUAGUGCAUCUACAUGUCUCCCAUCUUCUGUCCUAGGGGAGACAACCAACUCAAUAGUUGCCAUUCCCGGAGUGAAAAUGAGGUUUCGAGGGCAAAUCUCAAAGAAAAGAAAGACCUCUUACUCGACAACCAUCAACAAAAAAAUAAUAAUAAUAAAUAGAAAAGGAAAAACAAAAAAAGAGAGAGACAAAAUGAACUACGCUCAUAUUUAACUUUAAUAGUUGUUAACAUAAGAAAAAUUAGUGAAUUUAAUAACAACGUAGGUGCAAAAGGCUUCAAAUUUGUGGCCAUAAAUGUUUAUAAAUAACAAAAUUAUGUUCUACAUUUAAAGAUCAAAGAAUUACGGCAAAUUGCUUACAAACUUCCUAUAAAAUCUCAAAAUAAAUAUAUUCAAACAUGAUCAUAGGGUUAAAAAAAUGAUAUUUCUCGCUAUGUCUCUUUGCCCCACAAAUUGGCUACCAAAUCUAAUCAAUUCAAAAGUAAAAUGACCCUCUAUCUGCACUUAAAUCGUAAUCGUUCAAUGACAUAUAGGUCUAACCAUUGAAUAUAAAGAAAACAAAAAAUACCUGAUUCAGUGCGAAUUGUUCAUCAUUCAACAGCAAACUAGUGCAAAUCAUUCAUCAUUCAACAACAAACUGAAAAUAGAAGAGAGAGUUUAUAAACUCCCAUUCAUAAUUAACUUCUGAAGUUGUUAACAACAAGGAAAAUAGUGCAUUAGAAACAAAGGAGAAUAGUGCAUAAAAAACUAGUUAUGUUCCCAUCAUAGAUAACUUGUACCAAAGAGGGCUUUAACUUGCCAAAGAAAGGUGCUUACGGAAAUUUAUUUUACCACUGUUGUGUCGCUCAGAAGAACAUUGUUAAAGAUCAAUGCUCCUACUCCCUCCACGCGCCAAUAAAACUGGUUUGGUUGGUCAACGAGAAAAAAAUGAGAGGAAAUUCAUAAACUUUGUUCAUCAUGAAACCCAUGAUUUUACAAACAUGGUGCAAGAAAACAGUUUACUUUGUUAGAAAAGUGGUUUAACCAGUAUGUCUUUGACGAAUAAGAAUAUUUUUCGAGAUGCUUAUCUAGUGCAUCUACAUAUGUCUCCCAUCUUCUGUUCUUGGGGAGACAACCAACUCAACAGAAGCCCUCCUAGGGUGAUAAUAGAGUUCCGAGGCCAAACCUCAAAGAAAAGAAAGACCUCUUACUCUACAAUCGUCAACAAAAAAAUAAUAAAAAAAUAAAAAAAGAAAAAGAAAAAGGAUAAAAAGAGAUACAAAAUAAAGUACUCUCAUAAAUAACUUUAAUGGUUGUUUAAAUAAGAAAAUUAGUGAAUUUAGAAACAAUGUAAGUGCAAAAGGCUAUAAAUUUGUAGGCGUAAUGUUUAUAUAUAACAAAAUUAUGUUCUACAUCAAAGAUCAAGAAAUACUCCGAUUGGGAGUUUUUUUCUUACACACUUCCUAUAAAAACUCCAAAUAAGUAUAUUCAAAAAUGAUCAUAGUGUUAAAAAAAAUUGAUAUUCCUCUCUCUCUCUCUCUCUCUCUCUCUCUCUCUCUCUCUCUCUCUCUCUCUCUCUCUCUCUCUCUCUCUCUCUCUCUCUCUCUCUCUCUCUCUCUCUCUCUCUCUCUCUCUCUCUCUCUCUCUCUCUCUCUCUAUCUGCCCCGUAAAUUGGCUACCAAAUUCAAUCAAAUCAAACGUAAAAUGACCCUCUAUAUGCACUUAAAUCAUAAUCGUUGAACGACAUAUAGGUCCAACCAUUUAACAAAAAGAAAACAAAAAAUACGAGUUUUAGUGCGAAUUGUUCAUCAUUCAACAACAAACUAGUGCAAAUCAUUCAUCAUUCAACAACAAACUGAAAAGAGAAGAGAUAGUUCAUAAACUCGCAUUCACAAUUAACUUCUGAAGUUGUUAACAACAAGGAAAAUAGUGCAUUAGAAACAAAGGGCAAUAGUGCAUCAAAAACUAGUUAUGUCCCAUAGAUAACUUGUACCGAAGAGGGCUUUAAACUUGCCAAAGAAAGAUGCUGACGAAAAUUCGUUUUACCACUGUUGUGUCGCUCAGAAGAACAUUGUUAAAGAUCAAUGCAACUACUCCGUCCACCCGCCAAUAAAACUGGUUUGGUUGGUCAACUAGGAAAAAAUGAGAGGAAAUUCAUAAACUUUAUUCAUCAUAAAACCCAUGAUUUUACAAACAUGGUGCAAGAAAAAUGUUUACAUUGUUAGAAAACUGGUUUAACUAGUAUGUCGCCGACGAAUAAGAAUAUUGUUCGAGAGAUGCUUCUCUAGUGCAUCUACAUAUGUCUCCCUUUGUGAAUAAAACCUCACAGUAGCCCUUCCCAAGGUUAAAAUGGGUUCACACGGGCAAACCUUGAAGAAAAGAAAGACCGCUUACUCAACCACUGUAAAAAAUAGAAAAAAUAUUAAAUAACAAAAUGAGAGAGACAGAGUGUUUAUGACUUACGCUCAUAAUUAACUUUAACUAUUAUUAAAAAUAAGAAAAUUAGUGAUUUUAGAAACAAUGUAGCUGCAAAAGGCUACAUAUUUGUGGCCGUAAAUGUUAAUAAAUAACAAAAUCAAUUCUACAUUUAAAGAUCACAUAAAUACUUAUGUGGCAAUUUGCUUACAUGCUUCCUCUAAAAACAUCCGAAUAAGUAUAUUCAAACAUGAUCAUAGAAUUAAAAAAAUGAUAUUCCUCGCUCUCAAAAUGUAUCAAUCAUAAGUAAAAUAACCAUCUACAUGCAUUUAAACUUUAACCCUUGAAUGACAUAUAGGAUUGAACAUUUAGUAAAUAGAAAACUAAAAAUACCAAAUUCAGAUACCGAGGUCUUAAAUUCUAGCACUACCAAAAUUUGCUACAUGAUUAUUUAAAUAGUUUCAAAGAAUAAAAAACAACAGAUUUAAGGCAACAUGCAGAACAAAACAUCAUAGAUCCGUUUCUCCAAAUCAUAUCUAUCAGCACUUGAACAAUCAAUCUAAACAAAAUUGGAAAAAAAAACUUUGGAAAGUAUGGCAAACACCUCGGCGGCGGAGGUUCACGAGGAGGUCUUAGGCGGCAGAGAUCUUCAGCCGAUGAUCGAUAAGCCCACACAAACAAUGGCAUUGAUGUCGGAAUUCAGAAACGGCUGCGCACAGACAUGUAUAUUUCUUUUGAUCAUUUUCUAUCAUGUAUAUAAAGUGACAGUGACCCAGUAACCUAGGAAUCAAAAGGCUCACUUAAAGACAAGGCCCAUUGGGCUUAGAUUUAUGUAUCACUGUGUCUUAAAAUGAUUUAUACAAUUUGUAUUAUUUUCUUAAUUUCUUUUUAAUACUUUUAUUUUUUAUAUAUGAAAUUGCACAUACUGUAACAUCUUAAUUUAAUGUGAAAUAAUGAUUAAGUCGUAAAAUGUGAAAGCAAGAUUACGGAGCGAAAGGUGAAAAUGUGUGGUGGCUAGAAAACAUGAAAUAUGGAUUUCUUUUAGUUUUCCUAUUUCAAAUUAUUUAUCGAUUUACAGAGAUUAAAAAAAAAAGUCAUGUUAGAUAUUUUUUUUAGAUAUAUAAAUGUUGCACGUAGGGGUGUGAACGAGCCGAUCUCGCCUAUUUUGGCAGGCUCGAGCUCGAGCAUAAGCUCAUUUGGUUUUUUUUUAAUUAUUAAAUUUUGUUAUUAAAAAAUAUUUAGAUUAUUGUAAAAUAAAUUCAAAAUAAACAAUAAACUGUAAUAAUAUAUAAUUUUUAAUAUUUAUAUGUUCUUUCCAUAUUAUUUAUAUACUAUUUUAUAUUAUUAUACAUUAUGUAAGUAAAAAUAAUAAAUACAAAAAUCAUUGUGUAAUAGGUUAAUAUGAAUAUGUUGACCGUUUAACAAAGGUAAACAUGAUAAAAUGCUAAAAGAAUUAAUAUUGUUGUGGUUGACAAUAAUAUUACUGUCAACCACAUUAAUAUUACUGUAACGACAAUAAUUUUAUCGUCCACCACCAAAAUAUUAUUGUGUUUACUGUAAUAUUACUAUAGUAUAUAAUAAAUAAAAUUACGUUAAUCGGUCAAUAAAUCAAACAAAAUAAAGAGGCGAAAAAAAAUAUUGAUGUGGUUGACAUUAAUAUUAUUGUGUUUACAGUAAUUUUAUAGUCAACGACAAUAGUAGUAUUACGUUGGUGGUCAACAAAUCAAACAAAAUAAAAAAAACAAAAAAAAUAUUAAUAUUGGUGUGGUUGACAGUAAUAUUAUUGUGUUUACAGUAAUUGUACUGUCACAAUCCGUGAAAGUACAAUUACUGUCAAUGACAGUACAAUUACGGACAAUGUUUAGCGGCGGGCAUAAAAAAAUGGACAAAAUUUUGAGGGAAAAAAAAAAGGACAACGCCGGAGACCGGCGCUGACUGCCGAUCAACUCCGGAAACCGACGGUGUAAACAACAUAAGAAAAAAAUUCAAAAAAGUCAACGAGCCGGAAAAUGGCGGCGGAAAAAAAAUGUCAACGCCGAAGACCGGCGGUGAGGAAAACAAAAGCCAAGAUUUUUAUGGUCAAAAUUGAUGAAAUUGAAGUUAAAUUGGGGUUAAAAUUAGGAAUUGAGUUUAAAGGGUUGGGGGUAAUUUUGUCACAUACAUUAUUUUAUAUCUCUCUUUUCACUCUCUCUUAGCCUCCAUUUUCUCUCUCUCUUUACGAAGAUCACCAUCCUCCAUAGAUGCAGCCGCAAUCGCCACCGCCGCUACAAUAUCGGAACCGUGCAAGAAAUCUGGUUGUAGAUCCCUUUCUACCUCCACCGCUUGUCUCUGAUGCAAGAUCUGUGAUCUCGCUGCCGCCGUUACAUUUCUCGAUUCUCGAUAAUUUGGAGAGGGUAUACGACUUCAUCGACAGUAGCUCAAUUAUCUCCAGUGAGUUAGUUGCCGUUUUAAUUACAUUUUAUUUUAUUUUGUUCGUCUAAGGUUGGUGAUUUUUAUGCCGUAUGUGUACAUGAUUGUAAAUGGAGUUUUAUUGUUGUUUCAGUAUACUGAUAGAUUUUAGUGUGUAGUUUAAUUAUGGAGUUUUAUUGUUGCUUUAGUACAUUGAUGAAGUUUUGUUAUGUAAUUGAAUUAGUGAAGUUUAUUGAUGCUUUAGUAUUUUUUCAUGGAUUUUUCUGUUUCAUAGUUGAUUAGCACGAGAGAGUAUAUUGAUGUAUUGUUAUGCUCUAUAGUCGAUUUGCAUAGUUAUAAUCGAUUUUAUUUAAUUUUCAUAGUCCGGUAAAUUUGCUACCUUACUCAUAUCAUAACUUUAUGCUAAUUUAUUUUUCAGAUGAUGUGGCUACAACUGCAAAAUCGAGGGGAGGACAUUCGAACAUUUCAUAAAGAGAAGUUGGAUUCGGGUCGGAAGCUUUUGCCAUAGUUUAUUCAUUUUGUGAUGGCUCAAUUGAUAUUUUUUCUUAGUUGAAGGAUUUCCGCCUGUGGAUUGGGGGAAGAUCGUGUUUUUGUAGAUGUAUUUGCUCAAUUACAUAGUAGUUUUCGUUGCAAUUGGGGUGUUCUCUUUUCUAGUUGAUUUCGAUAAAUUGUAGUUGUUUUCGACUUAUUGUAAUUGACUUCGACAAGUUAUAGUUGAUUUCGAUAUUUUGUAGUUGAUUUCGACAUUUUAUAUUAGAUUUUGAUUUUUUUAUAGUUGAUUCAGGAAAGAAUGAAAAAAAAAAUAGUUUUUAGUAAUUUUGUAGUUCAUUUCAAUUUUUGGUAAACUUAUUGAAAACCACAAUUUUGAAGUUGUUUACGAUAAUUUUAUAGUUGAUUAUGGAAAAAUAUGAAAUAAUAAAAAUUAAAUUAUAGUUGCUUUAGGAAAUAUUAUAGUUGAUUUCGAAAAUAUAAUAGUUGUUUUCGGAAAUACUGUACUUGAUUUCAGAAUUUUUUUAGUUAAUUCUGAAAAGGAAAAAAAAACUGAUUUUUGAUUUAAGUUUUAUUUUUUUAAGUCAGUUUUAAAUAAAGGGCUAAAUACACUUUGCACCCCUGAAGUAUAGCCUAUGUAACACUUACCCCUUUAAAGUAUCAUUUGUGACACUUACUCCUCAACAUCAAAUAUUUUAUAGUUUAAAAUUAAAACAUAAUAAACAUAACAAUCUAAUAAUUAUUGGAUCAUAAAAAUUGAAAAGCAACUAAAACUAAAUUAUUGGAAAAAAAAAAAAAGUAAUAUAUAUUGUAUAAUAAUUAAUGAAAAUAUAUUUUAAGAAAUUAAUGAACUAAAAUAAAUAUAAAUACUUAAGAUUACUAUUAUUUAUGUAUUGAUUUCUUAAAACUUAUCGAUAUGAUUAUAUUCGAUUAGUUGGUCCAAUAGCAAUUAGAUGUUAUUAUUAAUAUGUAUCCAACAGUACAACAUAAUAUUUUUAAAUGUUCAAAUAUUGCAUUUUUCAACAGAUAUUUUUAUUUGUAUAAUUUAAUUAUUCUUUUAGUUAUUAUUUUAAAUAAAAAAAAGAAAAUUUUUAAGGUAUUAGGAUUUAAAAUACAAAUUGAAUUGAGUUUGAGGGGUAAGUAUAACGAAUGAUACUUUAGGGGUAAGUGUUACAGAUGAUAUACAUUAGGGGUGUAAACUGUAUUUCGCGCUUAAAUAAAUACACGAAAAAAUUAUUAAAAAAAAAGGAAAAAGAAAAAGACACUAAAAUGGUGGGUAAUGGGUAGUGAAUAGAGGGAGGAUAAAUUUGAGAAUAAAAGAAAGGAUGAGUCUAUCACUAAUAAGUAAAAAGGCGUUGGACCCAUCCUUAUUAAAAAUAAAAAUAAAAACGAUAGAGGUGUUUUUUUACUAAUAGUCCCUAAAAAGUAAUGCAUAAUUAAUAAAUAUAUUGGAAAACUAAUAAGAAAGGUGCAAUGCACAUUCAACUAGUAAAAAUAAAAAGAUGUCUUAAUCCCAGAAGCAAGAAAACACACUUCUUCACGGCAUUUUGCUUCCAAAAAAUACUAAAUUUCAAUAAUUUGGUUGUUUGCCAAUAUUAUUACUAUUCUUUUUUUUACUCCAUCCGUCCCAUAUUAUAUGUUAUUUUGGGGUGUUUAUGCGUGUAUUAAAAUAUCAAUAAAUUUUACCAAAUAUAACAUAGUAAAUACUAAAAUAUACUUGUCAUUAGUUAUUUUUUAAUGGGGUGCAUAAGUCCCUAACCAAUCAUCUCUAUUAUUCUAGGUCUAGCGGGCUAUAUCUCUUUCGCCAAUAACCUCAUCCCUUUAAUAUUUAUUAUAAAUAAACGAAAAAUUCAUGUAUGUGACAAAAUUAGCCCCAACCCUUUACACCCAAUUCUUAAUUGUAAUCCCAAUUUAAUCAAAUUUGAGCUGAAAAAUCCAAUUUUGACUUCUUUUUUUCAAAAACUUUUUUUUUCAAAAAUUAUUUUUUAACCGCCGGUUUCCGGCGUUGACCGGCGGUUAACGUCGGUCUCCGGUAUUGACUUUUCGAUUUUUUUUCCCCGCCGCUAAAUGUUGAUCGUAAGUGUGCUGUCAUUAACGGUAAUUAUAUUGUCACUGACAGUAAAUUUUUUUUUUUUUUUUUCAAGAGAACGACACCCGAUGAGGGUGGGGUUAGGCUUGACCCCCUACCUGUUUAUAAAACAAAAUUUAAGAAGUACAUAAUGAGUUUCGCUCAAAUUGCUACUGCCCAACAUAUGGCUAAUAAUAGCAAUUGACAAACAAAAGACAAUAGGUAACUAACAAAACGUUAAGAAAACGGGCAAAACAGGUGGCCCAAAUAAUAAAAAGGACGGGGUGGGAAUGAUCAUAGAAGGUCGGGGAAGACCAAGGUAGACCGUUCGCCUCACCACAACAGCCGAGGCCACUUACACUUUCGCCAAAAAUGGGCGAAACAGGUAUAACGGCUGCGAAAUGUGUGGCACCAUUCGGCAAACAGUCUAGUCUUGAUAGACCCAAACAAUCCAUAAUCACCCCAACCCUUCCUAACAUGUAAAGUUCACGAAAAUUCCUAAAUUGCCAAUAAUAUAAAAACGUGGAAUGCAUGGCACCUAUGUGCAAGACUGUCGUCGAAAGGAUGGAUAUCCAAGCUGGUCCAUCCGAAUCAUCUGCUGAAUAGGUCGGGGAAGUUCCGCUGUUGUGAAGGUACGAGCCAACUCGGUCUGACACCCCAAGUUAGCUAAUGCAUCAGCUACUUUAUUGCCCUCCCGGUAGAUAUGUGUAAUCCUGUACUCCAAAGUAGAAAGAGAGUUCCGGAUCGCCGUGAGAGAACUCUGAAGACUCCAAUGACCUUGGUCCGUGUGCGAAAGAAGUCGAACAACGACUUCUGCGUCAAGCUCGAUCCAAACUCUAGUGAAUUGCCUCUGAAUAACAAAUCGCAGCCCCGAGGCAAGGGCAGCAAGCUCGGCCGCAAUACUGCUCGGGGCAGAGAUCCUCUCGUGAAAUGCAACUAUGGCCUCAGCGUCCGAACCUCUGAUAAUCCCGCCAAUAGCUGCAAUCUGGGUGGAUGCUCUACGUGCUCCGUCUGUGUUUAGCUUCACCCAACCCGGAUCCGGUGGAAGCCAAACAACUCGAUGAGGUGUGAGAGUUGGUGUUCUGACUCGGUAAUAUAGGCCAAGAGACUCAGCCACGUGGGGAAUGCCAGUCCAGCUGUCCGCCGAAAGUAAGUUGGUUUGGUGAAGAAUCCUGAUGUGCUGGAUGACCCUGUAAAUGAUGGAAGAAGCGCGAACCGUGAUAUCCUUGUGCUUGCUGUCAUUUCUUGCAAUCCAUAAGUACCACAAGAUCAAGCAAGGCACAAUGGUCGUGAUGUGUGUGUGGUGUGUGAGUGUGUGCGAAGUGAAGUGCUGCCAAUAAAGUAAAAUCUGGGGUAUGUGCGUAGUGUGUGCAGGUGUAUAGCCAAAAAGAUAGAAAAAAUGAUGCCAUACCCUCUUAGCCGUCGGGCUCUCCACGAAGAUAUGAUCAAUCGACUCAACAGAAGGAGACUCGACAGACUGAGAUACAAGACUCGACACAGGAAUAGAUGGAUCUGGACAACAAUAGCACCUCGAGGCAAGAGAGGUGCCUCGAGACUGAAGUUUGGUAUCCACUGGAAGACGCUGAAGAAGGAGACGCCAAAGAAAGAUAGAAAUUGUAGGAGUAAGACAAGAUCCCCAAAAUAUACGAAGAAGAGGGGUAGGGGUAUGCUGCUGUCGUAUCAAGGCCCAAGCCGAGGUCAAGGAAAACUUGCCAUCCGAAGAAGCUCUCCAAAUGGGCAAAUCACCCGAAGCACCAGAGAUUGGGACCGAGCAAAUCCUAUCGAUCCACUCAAAAGGAAUAUCCUCAGCUAGCUUGUUUCGAUCCCACUGACCGUUAACCAAAUAAUACUCCACACGAACUGACGUUAGCCGACCACCAUCAAUAAUGCCCGAAAGGGGACCAUCGCCAAACCAGUGGUCGUGCCAGAAAUAAACAUGACCUGGACCAAUCCGCCAAAAUAUUUGAGCUUGAACACGCUCUCGGACACGGCACAUGCGCUUCCACACCGUGCUAUAGAGUGAAGACACAACGGAUGAACCUGGGAACCGAUUCCGACAAUACUUGUUUCGGAGAAAACGGGCCCAAAGAGAAUCCUGAGCACGGAAUCGGAACCAGAGCUUGUAAGUGAAGGCGUCAAUCACAUCCGUCAAACGCCUCAACCCCAAGCCACCCUCACCAACUGGCCGACAAAUCGUCUCCCAAGCAACCCAAUGAGGCCGGCGCUGAUUACCACAAGAUCCCCAGAGAAAUCGGGCCAUGCACUGCUCAAUCUGCUGAAUAAUGUACUGCGAAGGUUGAAUAACCUGAACAAGAUGCAAAGCCAUAGUCGAAAGCGUACUCCGGAUCAAGGCAAGACGGCCCCCGAAAGCCAAAGCGGUCCGAGCCCAUCCCGAAAUCCUGGCUUGCAUGCGAUCAAGCAAAGUGUGAAACAAACUGCCCCGGUCCCUCCCUUUGUAUAGUGGUGCUCCAAGAUAAAUGAUAAAUUAGCAUAAUUAUACUAUCACUGACAGUACAUUAACGUAAUUGUACUGUCGUUGACAAUACAUUUAUGUAAUUGUACUGCCGUUAACAGUACAAUUAGAGUCAAUGACAAUAUUAUUAUUAUUUUUUUUGUUAUUUUUUUUUUAAUUUUGUUUGAUUUGUUGACAAGUCAAAGUAAUUAUAUUACUGUCGUUGACAGUAAAAUAACUGUAAACACAAUAAUAUUACUUUCAACCACAUCAAUAUUAUUAUUUUUUUGGGUUUUUUUGUUUUGUUUGAGUUAUUCAUGGAGUAACAUAAUAAUAUUACUGUAUAUUAUUCUAAUAUUACUGUAAACACAAUAAUAUUACUGUCACUCACAGUAAUAUUAAUAAUUUUGGCUUUUUAUUAUGUUUACCUUUGUUGAACGGUCAACAUAUUAGUAUUACUCUAUUACACAAUAAUAAUGAGUUUUGUUGUGUUAAUAUUACUGUGCUAGAGAUUAUUAUAGCAAUAUUACUGUGUUAAACUGUAGAAUAGUUAAUUUUACUAUGUUUAACAGUAAUAUAGUUAAUAUUACUCUCAAUCACAUCAAUAUUGUUGUUUAAACAAAGGCAAAAAGAUGUUAAAGAAAAAAAACCAAAAAGUCAACGCCGAAAAUCGGUGGCAGAAAAACCAUGAAGGAAAAAAAAAAAAUCAACGCCGGAGACCGGCGGUGAUGGACGAAAUUGUUCAUAAAUUAAAAAUGUGUUUCGGGUCAAAAUUGAAUAAUUUGUGAAACUUGGGGUCAAAUUGAGGUUAUAUUAAAUUAAAUGGUAAAAUUGAAGCAUAUUAAAAUAUGAAGGGCUAUUUUAGUCUUUUACAAACCUCUGGACCAUGUUUGAAUUUUUUUGUAAAAGAGUUUAUUGUCUGGACCUCUUUAUGAAUAAGUACCCAUUGAUUAUUUGUAAAGUGCCCCUUUUAAUUAACUAAUUAAGAGUGAUAAGGAGAAAAUUUGAAAAAAAUACAAUUAAGUUUUAUUGAAACUCUAAAAUGACAAAUAAUUUGGGACAAAAAAAACCCCAAAAAGACAUAAUAAAGGACAGAGGGAACACCGUAAGAUAAGUUGACAAUAUUUUAUUUAAUAAAUUAAAAAAUAGUUUUUUGUAAUUAAAAUUUUGAAAUACUAAAUUUUGGGGUGCAAAUCAGACGGAAUGGAUCGGAAAUGACUUUUUCGGAAAAUUUAAAAAAAAAUCGGAAGUAAAAAGUGGGUUCCAAUUUCUGUUUCAAAAAAAUCGGAAUGCCAAAAUUCAUUCCGAUUUCCGAAUGCCUCGGAACCAGAGGAAUUUCGGAAAUUUCAGAAAUUACAUUAGUUAAUAAUCUUUUAUUCCAAAUUCGGAUAUAAUGAAAAUUUUCAAAAUAGUUUUCUUUCAUUUUAAAAAAACAAUUGCAUGAAAAUGCAAGAAUAUCCAAACGAAAAUUCGACAAAACGCAAUAAAUAAAAACACAUGUCGGAAGAACUAAUUGAAACAUAGAUCUUCUUACAAGGAAAUCAUGCAAACAUAAAGUUUAUGAUAUCAAUUAAUAGUUUCUAAGGUCUUAAUUGACUUGAGCCUUCGAUAUUUAUAUUUUUCAUAUUCAAUAUAACAUAAGUUACAUUAUCGAAUUACAAAAUAUAUCAUAAAAUUAUAUUAUAUAUUUUGAAAAAUCAUAGAAAUAUUCGGAACUAAAAUCGGAUCGAAAAUCGGAAUUUUCAGUAAUUUUAUAUAUCAUUUCGAUUCCGUUCUAAAUAAAUUCGGAAGAAUCGGAAAUCGGAACUUCAUAAAUCGCAAUGAAAAAUAGGGUUCUUAAUUCAGAUAUUUUUGGAUCGGAAUUGACGGAAUUCGGAAAUUCCAUUCUGAUUUCCACCCCUAGGCAUAUUUUACUUGAAUUGCAACAUGCACACUGUAUUCUUUAGUAAAAGGCAAAAGAAUAGUUCGCUAUGUGAUCACUGUGUAGCUGCGAGGAUCAGAACAUGUUACUGCACUUGUAUUUAUCUCUCUGGCUAUAAACAAUUAUAUGGUUAUUUUCCUAUAGAAGCAUAGGCACUUAAAUACUCUCUGUCAGUUCAAAUGUUGGGGGUUGGAUGAAUUUUCAAAUCAACUUCGUUUCUUUAUAUAUCCCCAAUUUGGUAGCAUACGACAAGUUUUUUUUAUCUUAACAAUUUUGGUUGUGGGUUAAAACUAAUAGGCAAUAUAUUCAUGUUGGCGGGACUAGAAAAACGAUAAGAAUUUGUAAGUAGAUAAAGCAUUCAUGGAUCAAAAUGGCUCAGGACUAGUAUACAAAAAAUUUCAUAGGUAUUGCGAUUAAUUUGUGCAGGAAUACAUUUUGUAUCCGACAAAGUAUCUUCCGUGUGUACAAAAUAUGUAAAGAAUCUAGCUAACAAAAAUUAUAUUCUCUAAGACCUAGUAUAUAUAAUAUGUUCUGCUCAAUCGAGUACAUAUAUCAUGCUCUGCUCAAGUGAGAGGUGAGAUCAAUGAAUGACUCUUCACUGCAAGGAAUAGUGAGGCCGCCCAUUGGAUGAUGAAAUCCAAAUUCUUGUUCAGCUUGGCAUAGCAAUUCUUGAAACAGAGGAUGGUUUAAAUAUGAUAAUGGAAUAACAAAGCGCUUGUUAUUGUUUUCCCCAACAUAAAUAGCCAAAUGACCCUUUGGAGCUUCAGUUGAUCUUUUUUCCGCUGAUAAAGACCGCCUAAGCAUUUUGUGAAUGGCCAUUGAAUUUUUGUUAAAGUAAAUAUUUGUGAAGUUGAAGAUGGAAAUGAAUCAAGGAAUAUAUGAGAGUUUUUUGAAGCAAGUAAAAUAUGAGAAGUAGUUGAGUUGUGAGUUUUAAAGGUGGGUUGUGACUUGUGAGCAUAUAUAUAUAGAGAUGAAGUUGUAAA